Molecule: long non-coding RNA, 188986 nt
Filed under: Lactuca sativa (garden lettuce)
Lineage: Eukaryota; Viridiplantae; Streptophyta; Magnoliopsida; Asterales; Asteraceae
Description: long non-coding RNA (LSAT_LNC000553)
Source: RNAcentral
UGUUCCUACUUCAUCAACUCAUGGUCGUAGUUCAUCAACUUGUGGUCAUAGAUAUGACAUAUUUUUAAGUUUUAGAGGUGUUGACACUCGUCAUAGUUUCACUGAUCACCUUCAUAAGGCUCUCAUUGAUGCCAAUAUCACUACCUUCUUGGAUGAUGAAGAGAUUGAAACAGGGGAAGAUCUGAAACCAGAACUAGAGACUGCAAUUAAGGCAUCUCGGGCUUCUGUUAUUGUAUUGUCUAAGAAUUACGCUUCUUCAACAUGGUGUCUGGAUGAAUUGGUGUUGAUCCUUGAGCAGCGUAUGACAUCCAACCAUAUUGUCAUCCCCAUCUUUUAUCAUGUGGAACCCACCCAUGUCAGGAAGCAACAAAGUAGCUUUGGAGAUUCAAUGGCUAAGCAUAAACAGACAAUGGACGCAGAGACAAAUGCAAAUAAAAGAAGUCAAUGGGCUCAAAAGAUGGAGCGAUGGAAUAAAGCACUUACACAAGUUGCUGAUUUAAAAGGGAAUGACGUAAAAGGAAGGUAACCACUUUCUUACCCAUAUUUCCAUAAUCCUUCAAUUUUCUUUCAUUAACACAUGAAUGUCGGUACCACCUUAAAAUCAUAGUGUCUUUUCUGAUAAUUAACUUCUCUUACCUUUAAGAAGUAAAAUAUUACCUAUAACUGGCAUGUUUUUUCAAACACACCACAGUGAUAGUUAUGAUGGUCCUGUGUAAAUGCAGUGAAGUUAGGUUGCCCAUUAGUGAAAUCUGGUAUCACAUUGGCAUCUUUUAUCUUAUUAUACAUAAAUAUUUAUGACCUUACACAUUGGAUACUUGUAUGGUUAGAACAUAGAAGUGUAAGCACACUAUGCUUUUAAUGUGAAGGACUUGAUUAAAAUUAAUAGCUAUGAUAUAAUUAAAUCUCCAAAUCUGGUUUGUUAGUUUUGUGGUUCAUAUAAAAUCAGAUUUCAGGUUAGAGACAGAGUUCAUUGAAGAAAUUGUGAAGGACAUCCACCAUAGAUUAUAUGUACCCUUAAGGAGCGUUAAACCACAACUUAUUGGGAUGAAAGAUGAUAUUAACUUCAUCACUUCAUGGUUGAAAGACGGAUCCUCACAUAUGGCAGACAUACUCACUAUUUCAGGUAUGGGUGGGAUCGGGAAGACAUCUUUAGCCAAGCAUGUGUAUGGGCUAUAUUCUCAUGAAUUCCACAAAAGCAGCUGCAUUGAAGAUAUUAGUAGGAUAUGUGAUGGAAAGUUUAAGUUGCUUGAUUUACAAGAACAACUGUACAGUGACAUUUCAAAAACAAGUUCAAUUAAAGUUCAUGAUGCUUUGGUAUAUACCUCAAAGAUAGAGAAUGUUGUAGCUCGUCAAAGCGUGUUUCUUGUUCUUGAUGAUAUUAGUACGAUUGAUCAGUUGGAUGCGUUACUUGGAAGCAAAGGUUUUCACCCUGGAAGCAAAAUCAUUAUAACCACAAAGGACAAGCAUUUGACAAAGAGUUGUGCACUAUUCAAAACAAACAUUGAACCCAUGCAUAAAGAGCUCGUGCUUCAAGGCUUACAUGAGAUCAAAGCAUGGCAACUUUUGUGUCUCCAUGCAUUCAAAUGCAAUUAUCCCAAGAAAGGUUACAAAGAGGUGUCAUAUAAGCUUGUGAAGUAUUGUCAAGGACAUCCAUUGGCUCUUGAAGUAUUGGGAAAAUCGCUAUAUGAUCGAGAUGUAACUUAUUGGGAAGGGUGCAUAGAAGGGCUAAAGAAAGAAACAGAUUCUCAUGUAAAUAAUGUCUUGAGAAUGAGCUUUAAUUCCUUGCCAUCCAAAAAUGAUAAGGACUUGUUUAAGUAUAUUGCUUGUUUUUUUGUCGGAAAAGAUAGAGAUCUUACUGAAACAAUAUUAAAGGCAUGUAAUAUAAACAUAAGAUCUGGAAUCCCAAAUCUCCUCGACCGAUUCCUUCUUUCUAUUGGACGGAAAAACGAAUUGAAGAUGCAUCAGUUGGUUCAAGAGAUGGGAAGAUUCGAAGUACAUCAAGAAUCACUUGAUAAGCCAUGGAAGCGAAGUCUAUUAUGGUGUCAUGAAGAAUCAUUCAGAGUGUUGAAACGAAAAAAGGUAAGAGGCCAUGUAUGCUUUUAGUAGUGUGUAUAUCAAACAUAUUUUGUAUUGCCUGAUUUAUUUAUUUGCAUCAUGUUUCUUAUUAGGGUAAGGGAAAACUUCUAGGCCUUACCCUUGACAUGCACAUGCUUGAGAAAGAAAAGUUGGAUGUAUCAUAUGAGCUGAAAACAGAUGCAUUAAGUAACAUGGAUAAUUUGAUGCUACUACAACUCAAUUAUGUGCACAUGAACGGGUCUUAUGCAAACUUUCCAGAGGAAUUAAGAGGCUUGUGUAUGCAUGGGUUUCGUUUAAAGUCUAUACCUUUAGACUUGCCGAUGAGGAAUUUGGUUGCUCUUGACAUGUCGUAUAGCAAUAUUGAAGCAUUUGUCGGCUGUUAUAAUAAUUCACAACGGCUUGAGAAGAGGCAAACGGUAAAUUAUCUUCAUUUAUUAUUCAUGCAUCUUGAGUUGAUGAAAUUUGUUACUCUUAUAACUUAUUUCCAUUUCUACAGUUGGAUGAGUCGUGUUUAAAAGAGAAAAGGUUGUUUGGAUCAUUGAAGAUUCUUAAUUUAAGUUUCUGUAAACAACUCCGUAGUCUUGGUGAUUUUGACCAACUUCCUGCACUUGAGAGGUUAAUCGUUAGACAUUGCAUUGGUUUGCUCGAGGUUUGUGAGUCAAUUGAGAAAUGUGUUGAACUUCUCUUCAUUGAUCUGAGCUAUUGCAAGAAGCUUGAAAAACUUCCAAGAAACAUAGGCAUGUUGAAGAAUGUUAAAACAAUGUUGCUAGAUGGUUGUAGUCCCGGUGGAUCUCGAAUCCAGAAUAGGGGUAUGGAUGCACUGGAAUUGGGCAAGGCUGACAACAUUCACAUAAAUACAAGAACCUCUUCCUCUGCCUUUGUGGGUGCUAUACCAAGUGAUUUGAAGUUGUUUACAAUUUAUUUACCAAGGUCUUUAGUAAGUUUGUCACUCGCAUAUAGUAAUUUGUCCACUAAAUCCUUUCCCACGGACUUGAGUUGCCUAUCCAUGUUAAAGGAAUUAUAUUUAGAUGGCAAUCCUAUAAAUUCCAUGCCCAGUUGUGUGAGAACCCUUCCUAGGCUUGAGAUGCUUAGUAUGCAACAGUGUAAAAAAUUGAAGUCAAUUGAGCAUCCUCCACGUACACUAAGCAAGUUGCUCUUUCCUGUUGAUGAGCGUGUUUUACGCAAAGUCGUUUUUGAUCCAAACAUGUCCCCACUAGAUUUGUUAAGAAGUUCGAUGGUUUAUUCAGGUUUGUCAUAUGAAAUUGAAGGCAUUGUGAAAAUCCAACCAAUGGUAGGUGUGGAGGAGAAGGUAUUACGUAGCUUGGGCUGGAGUAAUUUAGACUUCCUUAACGAAAGGCACUUGGGAGCUAAUUCUUGGGAAUCUGAAACCCAGGUUUAUUUUAGUUUAUUGUUUGUCUCUAUGUGAAUAUGUAUAAUAUGCUUCUUAUGUUGAUUAAUUAAGGUGGUUGUAUUUGGCAGCAGAUGUUUUAUGAAUUUGGAAUAUUCAGCACAAUGUAUGAGGCGGAGGAGAUGCCGAGUUGGUUUAGGCAUAGAAGUGUGGGGCCAUCAAUAUCUUUUACCAUCCCACCAUCAUCUCCAAACAACCUCCUUACAGGACUCAACUUCUGCUCUCUGCACACAUUAAAACCUCCUGUUGAGUGGUGGAAUUGUUUCCCUUUUACGCCAAUGAUGACAAUUAGUAAUAUAACAAAGAACCGCAUGUGGAUAUACGAACGUUGCUUUGACAGGGGUAUUUUAUCUAGAGACUGUUGCGUGUUGUUAAGUCAUUGGAUGUUUCGGAUGAAUGAGAUGGAAGGUGGUGACCACAUUACUAUUACUGUUACACUGCCGAAUUAUCGAGUUGUAAAGGAGUGUGGGGUGAGUCUUGUGUAUGAGGAUGAUGGAGUGAAGAAGGAUGAAGAAGAAGAUGUGUUGGGUUAUUACAAGUCAUGGAAUCACAUAAUUGGUGGAGAUCUCUCUCCUUUUCAGACAACUACAGGACAAUUCAUCCUAAGAAACCGGCAGUUUUUUACACGUGGCAUUGUAUUGUCUCCCUAUCAUCGAAAAUUCGUUCCAGACGGCCCCGACAUUCAAGGUAGAUGUGAUUUUUGUUAAAUAUAUUUUUAUUCUCAUGUCUUAUGUAUAAUGACCUACCUCACCCAUCACCCACUUUCUUUAAAUAGAUGGACAAUGACCCAUUUAUUUAUUAAAUCUUUUAAACAAAUGGAUAAUAUGACCCAGAUCCACUCAUUUAUUAUUGAUUUAAUUGACCUAUAAGAUAAGAUUUUGAUUUUAUAAAAUAUAUAAAAUAAAAUUUGUACUUUUAAUUUAUAAAAUGAAUAGACCCAAGCAUUGAUUCGUCUAGUCUACAGCAGGAGGUCCAGGAAAGCCCAUCAAAAUAGUUGGGAUCAAGUUCAGUCCUUACACUCUUAAGAGAGUUUUAUUUUUCUGUUUUGUCUUAAUAGAAUUCCCUUAUGGGUGAAGCACUAUCUUUAUGUUUGGUUUGGUAUGGAGUGCUGGCAUCCAUUUUACCCUACGUUGAGGAGUAUUUCAGCUUUUCAUUUUCUAGAAGAUUGUUAGCUAAGAAAAUUGUAGUAGCAAAAACUAUUGGAGAGGCCCUUCCUCUUGAAAGAAUGGGAAACCCCUAUUAUAUAUAUCAUUCAUUAUCGGUUACUUGUUUCUGGUUGUGAAUUUCCUGCUUAUUCUCUUUACUCUGUGGGAGCUUAUCAAUACAGUCAAUUGAUUAAGUCUUUCGAUAUGUUGGAUCACAUAAAUAUAUCUGGACCCAAAACGACUACUUUGUCCAAGUAGGUUGUUUGUGAACAAUGAUUAACAUAUCACUUUUUAUCUGUUUUCAGCAAAAAAGGAAGAUUGUUGGUUCAGAGCUUUAUCCCCAAGGAAGCCUGGCAUAAUUGGUGGGGCACAUGAGGUAUACUUUUUGACACCCAAACCCUUUCUCUCAUCACUUGAACAAAGGCUUACACAACCAAAUAUUAGGAAUCAAAGUACUCCAUUGGUUUGGGGGUGUAACAAAAUAAGAGGAAUUAUGACCUUGCAAUGAACACUUGAAAAUGCCAACAUUAAAAUUUUGAAUCAUUUUCUGUUCAUACCAUGUCUAGACACAAUGGGUCAAAAUCUUGGAUAAAAUUCUCACCACUCCUGUACUUGAUAUGCAGUUGAGUCCAAUUCAUAGAGUCAUCAUGUUCAGUAGAUGUUGUUCUUGAGCAAAUUCUAUGUUAAUAACAAACUAUUGCAAUUAAUUUGGAAAACAAUAUGAAAUAGUUUUAAGCAUAUUCCUUGAUUUUAAGGAAUCUUAUUGAUAGAUUCAUUCUUAGGAUAGAACCAAGCAACAUGUUGAGAAUGAAUAAAAUGCUUCAAGAGUUUGGAAAGAGAUGUAUCACUAGGAAUCAUUAAUUCUAUUGUAUCAAGAAAAUGCAACAUAAUAUUUACACUUCCAACUAACUAUCUGUUUUCGUAGCAUUUUGUAUUAUAUCUUGUGUACUUACAUAACUUUUAAAAAUUUCUUAUUUUUUCCUUUAUUUGUAGGGUGAGGGGGAAUCUUCAAGGUGUCAUUCUUCACAUGAAAAGGAUUGAGAAAAAGAGGCUACAUGGCAUGAAUAGAAGAUGAAUGCAUUCCGCAAAUGGGUAACAUAAUGCAAUUGCAACUCAAUUGUGUAACUCGGAGUUAUAUCCUACUUUUCCAGAAGUGUAUACUAACUAGCCUGUAUUGCAAAAUUAUACACAUUUCAAAUUGUAUGGUAUUUUCCAACGACUCUUUUAAGCAUAGUUGUUAAAAUUAAACACUUCUCAAAUUGUGUGCUGUUUCCUGAUCAUAAUUUGAACUGAAUUUUUGGUCUCAAUCAUUGGCUUAUCAACAGUGUCCAACGUGUAUGGGCUCAAAAUCUCAAAUCCUUUAUAGGAUUCUAUAAAUCAGCUACAGUCUACAUCAGUCUGACACGAUUCUUGAUAGAAGCUCAUGAACAAGCCCAUUGUAUAUACUCCACUCCUUCAAGAUUCCCCUGUUGUACUUGUCGGAUUGAAGGCAGCUCACUCAUACUACUAAUAACACCUUUCAAAUUCCCCUGAAGCAUCCCAUUGAGGUUAAACCUCCUGAUGAAACAUGAAACUUCCUCUCUCCCAUUGAAUUAAUUAGCCAUGGAAACUAACACAGAUUGUAUCCCUAGAAUAAACCUAACGCCCCUAACCUCUGUCAUGUACAGCAGCCAUCAGCUACCAUCAUUUGACCUAAAACAGCUAGAUUUGGUUGGGAUAAAUUUCAAAAACGAAUAAUAGUUUUUUUUAAUAUUUAUAUAUUUAGAAUGGCGAAGAAAUAAAAUUAAAACUGGAAGGGUACAGAGACGAUUGAAAUAGAAAACAGUAAUAGCCAACCUAAUUUGAAUACAACACAAAAACCAAAACUAAUGAAGCAAAACUAAUUAAAUGAUGUGAGUAGAUGCAAUGCAACAGUUGAACAAGGAGGAGAUGUACAAAACGCAGCAGCAAUUAGCCAAAGCUAGUUAUUGGAGACAAUAAACCACUUAAAGCAACUGGAGAAUGAAAAACAAUGAAAGCGACCCUAUUUGAAAACUCUGAAUUGCAUUCAGUGCACCACCACUUUAAAGUAAUAAUAUCCACACCACUAGUAAUCCCCAAGAAAUAUUCAGAGCACCUGAAAAAGCAACCUAAAACUACAAUAGAACUUGCACCAAAAACUUGAAGCAGCUCCAAUAAACUACAUGUGUCAAACAACUCCAAAUGACAGCUCCAAUAACUUUUUCACUCUUGCAAUACUCUCAAGUCUCAACAUAGAAAACAUUUGAACCUCUCAUUCCUAAAACCUGUACAUAACAUUAACAAGUUACAAUAUGUUCAUAUAAUUUUUUUUUUGGAAUUUUUUUUUAUGAAAUAGACAUCAAAGAACAUCCACACCCUUCUUUUCUAUUACUAUAAAUAUAAGAAAACAAGGUCUUACAUCGGUGUUUUAACAUCUAAUUAGCUAUGUGGAUAUGGGCUACAAAGAUUUGAUAUUACAUAAUGUUUUUGUCAACAUACCAAUCAAAACCAUGUUUGUUUUGAUGACUUCCAAAACCACAACCCUUGAAGAUGGAUUUAAGAAAAAUUAUAGCCAUGGAUGCACAUUCUAAAAUAUAGAUUUGGAUUUUUUUGCAAGUACGGGUUGUGGGGUUUAACUUCGAUUUCAUAUUAAUUUGUUUUUUCCUCAACUUCUUAUAAGAUUUAAUGAACCAAAAUGAAUAUGAAGAUGAUUUUCAUACCAUAAUCGAUUUAUGGGUUUCAAUUUUCUUUUGAGUUUUCAUAUAUUUUAUGAUUUAGUAAAUGUUGAAUGGACAUUUAAAACGAGCUUAAGUUUUCAAAUUUUACAUCUAGUUUCUAUUUUGUGAUUUUGCAUAAGAGAAUAAGACUGUUUUGGAUUAUCCUUUUGUAUUUUCUAGCAAUCUUAUUCUCUAAAAAAUAGCAAAAUAUAAAGGAGUAUGGUAGUGGGUGCUGGUGGCGGUAGUAGGCUGACGCGGACCCAAGAAGUUUUAGUAGGGGUAGCACCAAAAAAAAUUCCUGAUUAUAUAUAUAUAUAUAUAUANAGGAGUAAGAUCAAAUGAGAACAUCAAAAAGGUUGAGAACGCGAGAACAAAGUAUAUUCAUUUGUAAUUCCAUUUAUUCAUUUGUGGAGAAAUGAUAAAUUUUUACGCCUUUAAUUUCAAUUGAAGAGAAAAACUAUAUUCAUGUUGAUUGUGCGUAAAAAAUUAUCAUUUCUCCACAAAUGAAUACAUGAAAUCACAACUGAAUAUACCUGUUCUCGCGUUCUCAACCUUAUAUAUAUAUAUAUAUAUAUAUAUAUUACAUUUUAAAGUUAACAUCUUUGUGUAAUCAUUUUUUAAACAAUUCAUCAUUUUUCAAUCUUAGCAAACAUACGCGUCGCUCGUUAAAUCAUCACCCACUUUCAUCACUACUACGAAGUACCAACAUUCAAUUUCCAAAAAAAAAUAUUAAAGUUUUAAAAUUCAUAGUUGAAUAUUUAAACCUAAUUUCACCAAUAACAUAAAUAAAUAACAAAUGAAGAAUUAAUUGAUUAAUUUUAGGAUUUCAAUUUGAAUAAGUAAAUUAACUAAAGUGUUAAAGAUAAAGGUAAUACUUUAUUUUGCUAGUGGGAAAAAAGCCUAGCUUUUGAGAGGAAUGAGCAAGUAGGAGAAAAUGCCAAGCUUUUGUUAUUUAUGGUGUGGACUUGUAGUGAAGGAGGGCAGGAGAACUCAUUUUUUCCCUUAUGCUAUUGAAGAAUGUCAUAUGCCUUUUUAGUAAUUGAUUCACACGUAAUGGCCUUAAUUGGCUAAUUGAUUCACAUAAUGGGCUAUUUACUUGGAUUUUUUAUUUAGCCAAUAGUGAGAUGUUUAGUUGGAUUUGCAUUAGGUGCACAUUAGAUCAAAUAUAUAAAAUCCAUUUUUUUCAAACUUUUGAGGAGAUAUUGAGGAGUAGUACUUGCUAUCCCUACCAAGUAACUACAUCCACCAUUGGUGGUAGGUGGGAUGGGGUUGGGGGUUUACAUAUAGGGGUUCACAUAUAACAGAGGAAAAAAUGAGACAUGACAAAAGAAGGUUAAAAAAAAUCUCUUUAUAGUUGAACUUAAAUGAAAAGUUUAACAGAUUUGGUAAAAGUGACAACCAAUGAAAGAAAUUAAGACUAUAAGGAUGGAUGGUUGUGUGUCGUUUUUUAAACUUGUCCUCAAAGUGAAAUUUUCACUAAACGUCAAGGGCCAAUUUGUAAUUUAGUCUUCCAUUCCAGAAAAAAUAAAUAAAUAAAUAAGGAAAUUCAAAAAAAGCAAAACCUUGUUUCUUUUUUCUUUUUUGGAAAGAACCCUGAAAGCCUCCGAUCCCAACGCGUAAGAAAACACCAACAUUUACGUUGUUUAUUUAUAGUCUCUCGCCCUCUCCCUUCCUUUCAUAGUGGACUCCUGCUGACUUACUGCUCAACUUUCUUGGUCGUUGUCUCUGUUCAUUUUUCCUCUGCUUAUCGCCGCUUCAGGUUUUUAUAAACUCUGCUCAUCCUUACAGGUUAGUUUUGCUUGUGUAAGAAUUUCACGUAUCAAUCACAGAUCAUUUGAAUUUUCAUAAACAGGUGAUUAAAAUUUUGUUUAUUUCAGCUAUAUUUUUUUUUUAGUUUAUAUAUCAGUUACAGUCCAGUACGUUCUUGCUUGAAGUCCAGAAUGAUGAACAAAACUUUGAGCACGCAGACUGGGAAAUUCUCGGAUUCUUGAAAAUUGCCUCCUUAAUCACUUUAUAUUUUGAAUUGAUAAACACCAUUUUUACAUUUGAUUCUUUUUUGAAUGAUGGUAUCUGUUCCUUAAUCGUAAGCUAAACACUCAAAACCAACAAGCUUCAAUAUUCGAUUGUCAUAAUUCUAGAUUGCCUGUUGAUGUUCCUCUUGUUCAAAACUUGCGGAUCUGUCAAGACAAAAUUAGGAUUUUGCUCUUUCUGUUUGAAAUUAAGCUGGAUUAGGUUUAUGUAAUUAUGUUUGGAGGUACAAAACUGAUAAGAAAUUUCUUUGUAGAUUUAAGACAUAUGAUAUGACAUUGGUCAGCUAAGCUGAUGUCAUUUGUGACUUAAAUCAUUCAUACCUUCCGGUUUCAAGUGUUUAAACUUCUUCCAUAAGUUGUUCUACUUCUGAUACAGAAAACAGUCUUCAAGUUCUAUGUUGUGAAACUUCACAUUUCUUGGUUAUUUGGUGGUUAAUUGGGUCAGCUGAUAAAGCUUCAGUUUUCACUUCCAAGGAUGGUAUCAGAGCUUCGGAAUCAGCCAUUCCAUCUUUUGGCGAUUCCAUUUGUAAGGGUAUGAUUUCUUGAUUCUUAUCAACAUGGUUGUCUAAACUAGUUGUUUGAGGAGAAUCCAGAUAAGAUUUGAUAAUCCCACAUCCGGAAUGGGAUUAGCCGCUGACCUGGCAAUCAUUUCUUCAUUCUUAUCUUGAAAUGGAGAUGGAAUAGCUUGGAGGAAAUAUAAAUCCCAAAGUCUUGAGUUCAGAAUCCCAGGAAAUACCUGUUUGUUGUAGGGUUCUGUUGUAGUCUCUGACCUUUUUGCCCUCAAACAACUAACCCUUCAUGUAGUUCGCCUCCUAGGAUAGCUGAAACAGCCUCCAUAACAGUCCUCUAUGGAAAAAAGAAAUGAAGUUCCAAAAAUUGUAUAAAUGAAAACCUUAUAGUUGAUGCUAAACUUCACUGGAAAAGAAACAUUACGAGGGAAUUUUCAACCAUAAUGUAAAUGAGUUACAUGAGAGAGGAAACUUACCAUGAUUAUCUCCAUUGCCACUCUUCUCAUGAAACAAAGGAGUCUCUGUUAGACACUUUGUCUUGACUGUAUAUCUGUUUUCUAUUUUUGGUAAAGUGGCUUUGUUUUACCUACUAAAAGAACCAACAAAAUGAUAUAGUUACACAGAGGGCUGCAUGAUCUAACUUUUAGGCUGCAUUUGUCAAGCUAGAUAUACUUUCAAGGGCAUUUCAGUUAUGAGGAUCAGGAGGGCAUUUACGUCUUUUUCAUAAACGAGAGACCAAGAGAUAAAAAAUUUCAAUUUAAAUAACUCACAUGGCAAUAUAAUAUUAUUUUACAUCAAUACUUUGCUGUUAGCAGAUGAAAUUUAAGUUGCAUAUUAAUCAAUAAUUUGCUAUUAUGCAGAGGCAUUUUCUAUGGGUCCUGAGACAUUAAAGAACAAGUGAAGAAAGCCGGUGAAACCAACUUUCAUAACUAAUAACAUCUGUGGAGGAGUUUGAGAGCUUACUGAGAAGCGUGAAGGAUCAUCAACCUGUAAUUUGUUAUGGUGGUUCUAUCUGAUCUUCCAGAAGGUUCUUCAUCAACUGAUGAUUAUAGUUCAUCAGCCCAUGUUCCUACUUCAUCAACUCAUGGUCAUAACUCAUCAGCUCAUAAUCAUAGAUAUGAUGUAUUUUUAAGUUUUAGAGGUGUUGACACUCGUCAUAGUUUCACUGAUCACCUUCAUAAGGCCCUCAUUUAUGCCAAUAUCAAUACCUUCUUGGAUGAUGAAGAGAUUGAAACCGGGGAAGAUCUGAAACCGGAAUUGGAGAGUGCGAUUAAGGCAUCUCGGGCUUCUAUUAUCAUCCUGUCCAAGAAUUAUGCUUCUUCAACAUGGUGUCUGGAUGAAUUGGUGUUGAUCCUUGAGCAGCGUAUGACAUCCAACCAUAUUGUUAUCCCCAUAUUUUAUCAUGUGGAGCCCACACAUGUUAGGAAGCAACAAAGUAGCUUUGGAGAUGCAAUGGCUAAGCAUAAAAAGACAAUGGAGGAAGAGACAAAUGCAAAUAAAAGAAGUCAAUGGGCUCAAAAGAUGGACCAAUGGAAUAAAGCGCUUAUUGAAGUUGCUAAUUUAAAAGGAAAGGAUGUAAAUGGAAGGUAACCACUUUCUUACCCAUAUUUCCAUAAUCCUUCAAUUUUGUUUGAUUAAAACAUGUAUGAUAGUAUCAUGUUCUCCCAAUGCAUGUCAAUAAGUUUCUUUAACAUCAUUUAGUAUACAUAUAUUUGAUGUAUUAGGAUAUAAAUUUCACACAUUUAUUAUGCAUUUUGUGCUUCAUUAUAAGUUACUUCAUUUAGACAAACUAUUUCAAUUAUUUUGUAUGCUUUCUAUUAAAAAACAAGAUUUAAAGGGUUUUCUAUGCAUCUACUAUUAAUUAUACCAUACCACCUUCAAAUCAUAGUGUCUUGUAUGAUAAAUAACUUCUCUUACCUUCAAUUAGUAAUUACCUAUAACCGACACUUUUUUUUCAAACACGCCACAAUGAUAGUUAUGAUGGUCUUGUGUAAAUGUAGUUAAGUUAGGUUGUCCAUUAGUGAAAUCUGGUAUUACAUUGGCAUCUUUUAUCUUAUUAUACAUAAAUAUUUAUGACCUUGCACAUUGAAACUUGUAUGGUUAGAACAUAGAAGUGUAAACACAAUAUCAUUUUAAUGUGAAGGACUUGAUUAAAAUUAAUAGCUAUGAUAUAAUUUUGAUUUUGGUUCUUUGGACAAAUUAAAUCUCCAAAUCCAGUUUGUUAGUUCUGUGGCUCAUAUAAAAUCUGAUUUCAGGCUAGAGACGGAAUUUAUUGAAGAAAUUGUGAAGGACAUCCACCGUAGGUUACAUGUACCCUCAAGGAGUGUUCGACAACAACUUAUUGGGAUGGACUAUGAGAUUAAGUUCAUAACUUCAUGGUUGAAAGAUGGAUCCUCACAUACGGCAGACAUACUCACUAUUUAUGGUAUAGGAGGGAUUGGGAAGACAACUUUAGCCAAACAUGUCUAUGGGCUAUAUGCUCACAAAUUCCACAAAAGCAGCUGUAUUGAAGAUGUUAGUAGGGUAUGUGAUGGAAAGUUUAAUGGGUUGCUUGAUUUACAAGAAAAACUAAGCAGUGACAUUUCAAAAACAAGUUCCGUUAAAGUUCAUGAUGCUUCGGUAUACACCUCAAAGAUAGAGAAUGCAGUAGCACGUAAAAGGGUGUUUCUUGUUCUUGAUGAUAUUAGUACGCUUGAUCAGUUGGAUACGCUACUUGGAAGCAAAGGUUUUCAUCCCGGAAGCAAAAUAAUUAUAACCACAAAGGAAAGGCGUUUGAUAGAGAGGUGUGCACUAUUCAAAACAGACAUUAAACCAAAGCAUACAGAGCUCUUGCUUCAAGGCUUACAUGAGACCGAAUCAUGGAAACUUUUGUGUCUCCAUGCAUUCAAAUGCAAAUAUCCCAAGACAGGUUAUGAAGGGGUGUUUUAUAAGCUUGUGAAGUAUUGUCAAGGACAUCCAUUGGCUCUUGUAGUAUUGGGAAAAUCUCUAUAUGAUCGAGAUGUAACUUAUUGGGAAGGCUGCAUAGAAGGGCUAAAGAAAGAAACAGAUUCUCAUGUGAAUAAUGUCUUGAGAAUGAGCUUUAACUCUUUGCAAUCCAAAAAUGAUAAGGACUUGUUUAAGUAUAUUGCUUGUUUUUUUGUUGGAAUAGAUAGAGAUGUUGCUGAAACAAUAUUACAUGCAUGCAAUAUAAACAUAAGAUCUGGAAUCCCGAAUCUCCUCGACCGAUUCCUUCUUUCUAUUGGAUGGAAAAACGAAUUGAAGAUGCAUCAGUUGGUACAAGAGAUGGGAAGAUUUGAAGUACGUCAGGAAUCACUUGACAAGCCAUGGAAGCGAAGUCUAUUAUGGUGUCAUGAGGAGUCAUUCAGAGUAUUAAAACAAAAAAAGGUAAGAGGUCAUAUGUGGUUUUAAAAGUGUGCAUGUUAAAAACAUUGUGUAUGGUCUUAACUUUUUAUUUACAUUAUGUUUCUUCUUAGGGUAAGGGAAAUCUUGUUGGCCUUGCCCUUGACAUGCGCAUGCUUGAGAAAGAGAUGUUGGGUGCAUCAUAUAAGCUAAAAACAGAUGCAUUAAGUAAGAUGGAUAAUUUGAUGCUACUACAACUCAAUUAUGUUCACAUGAAUGGGUCUUAUGAGAACUUUCCACCGGAACUAAGAGGUUUGUGUAUGCAUGGAUUCCAUUUAAAGUCUAUACCUUCAGAAUUACCUAUGGAGAAUCUUGUUGCUCUUGACAUGUCAUAUAGCAAUAUUGAAUCAUUUAUCGGUUGUUAUAGUAAUCCACAACGACUUGAGAAGAGGAAAAAGGUAACUUAUCUUCAUUUAUUAUUUUUCAUGCUUAGUUGAAUUUCACCACCAUUCUAACUUCUUUUAGUUUUUAUAGUUGGAUGGAUUAUGCUUAAAAAACAAAAGGUUGCUUGGAUCAUUGAAGGUUCUUAAUUUAAGUUUCUGUAAACAACUUUGUAGUCUUGGUGACUUUGACCAAUUCCCAGCUUUGGAGAGGUUAAUAGUCAGAAAUUGCACUGGUUUGCUUGAGGUUAGUGAAUCAAUUGAGCAGUGUGUUGAACUUGCCCUCAUCGAUCUAAGCUACUGCAAGCAGCUUAAAAACCUUCCAAGAAUCAUAGGCAUGCUAAAGAAGGUUAAAACAAUGUUGCUAAAUGGUUGUAAUCUCGGUGAAUCUCAAACUGAUAAUACAAAUUUAAAUAUGGAUUCACUGGACAUGUGCAAUGCUAACAAAAACAUUAGCAUACGCACAAGAACCUCUUCCUCCGCCUUUGUGGGUGCAAUACCAAGCCGUUUGAAGUUGUUUUCAGUUUCUUUACCGAGGUCUUUAGUAAGGUUGUCCCUUGUAAAUAAUAAUUUGUCCACUGAAUCCUUUCCUAUGGAUUUCAGUAGUCUGUCCAUGUUAAAGGAAUUAUAUUUAGAUAGCAAUCCUAUCCAUUCCAUGCCCAAUUGUGUGAGAACCCUUCCUAAGCUUGAAAAACUUGGUAUACGAGACUGUAAUAAAUUGAAGUCAGUCGAACAUCCUCCACACACACUAAAAACAAUGAUGCUCUAUUCUUAUCCCGAUUCUUUAGAAAAAGUUGUAUUUGAUCCCAAAAUGUCUCCCCUCCAGUUAUUUCAUAGUUUAAAACAUUACACACCUGGGUCGUAUGAAAUUGAAGGCAUGGUGAAAAUCCAACCAAUGGUGGGUGUUGAGGAAAAGGUAUUACGUAGCUUGGGCUGGAUUAAUUUACUCCAUAACAAAAGGAAUGGGGGAAAUAAUCCUAGGGAAUCUCGAAUGCAGGUUUUGUCUGGUUAACUGUCUUUCUUUAUUUGACUACAUAAAAUACUAUAAUAUAAUCAUUUAAUUAAGAUGUUUGUAUUUGGCAGAUGUUAUAUGAAUUUGGAAUAUUCAGCACAAUAUAUGAGACAGAGGAGAUGCCGAGUUGGUUUAUGCAUAGAAGCCCAGGGCCAUCGAUAUCAUUUACGAUCCCAUCAUCAUCUCCAAACAACCUCCUUACAGGACUCAACUUCUGCUUUCUGCAGACAAGGAGAGUUUUGUAUGAGAGGCCUUCAAUUCUACUUCAUCAUUUCCCUGGUUCACCGAUGAUCACAGUUAGUAAUAUAACAAAGAACAGUAUGUGGAUAUACGAACAUUACAGGAUGCCAUUUGGUGUAGGGCGAGUGUGUAGGGUGGUGUUAAGUCAUUGGAUGUUUGGGAUGAAUGAGAUGGAGGUUGGUGACCAUGUUACUAUUACUGUUACGCUGCCAUAUGAUGAACAUGUAAAGGAGUGUGGGGUGAGUCUUGUGUAUGAGGAUGAUGGAGAGAAGAAGGAUGAAGAAGAAGAUGUGUUGGGUUAUUACAAGUCAUGGAAUCAUAUAAUUGGUGGAGAUCUCUCUCCUUUUCAAACAACAACAGGACAAUACAUCCUAAACGACAGGUGGUUUUUUACACAUGCCAUUGUAUUGUCUCCCUAUCAUCGUAAAUUCGUUCCAGACGGCCCCGACAUUCAAGGUAGAUGUGAUUUUUGUUAAAUAUAUUUUUAUUGUCAUGUCUUAUGUAUAAUGACCUACCUCACCCAUCACCCACUUUCUUUAAUUACAUGGAUAAUGACCCAUUUAUUUUAAUACAUAUGUCAUAACUUAAAUCUUUUAAACAACUGGAUCAUAUAUACUAUUGAUUUUAUUGACCCAUAAGAUAAGAUGUUGUUUUAUAAAAAUAUUAAAGAUAAAAGUUGUACUUUAAAUUUAUAAAUUGCAUUGAUUCGUGUAGUCUACAACAGGAGGUCCAAGAAGCCCAUCAAAUUAGUUGGGAUCAAGUCCAGUCCUUAUCACCCUUGUUUAGCUGCAGUUAAGAGUUUUAUUUUUCUUUUGUAUGUUAAUAGCAUUCUGUUAUGAGUGAAGCACCAUCUUUAGGACAGGGGGCAGCCUUUUUGGUUUGGUAUGGUGUGCUGGCAUCCAUUUUACCCUACCCUGAGGACUAUUUAAACUUUUCAUUUUCUAGAAAAUUGUAGUAGAAAAAGUUAUUGGAGAGACCCUUCCUCUUGAAAGAAUGGGAAAAAACCCUAAUAAAUCAUUUAUUAUCAGUUAAUUGUUUCUGGUUGUGAAUUUCCUGCUUAUUCUCUUUACUCUGUGUGGGGCUUAUCAGCACACUCAAUUGAUCAAGACUUUUGAUAAGUUGGAUCACAUAAAUAUACCUGGGCCCAAUACGACUACUUUGUCCGAAUGGAUUAUUUGUGAAUAAUGCUUAACACAUAACUUUUUAUCUGUUUUCAGAAUACAAGGAAGAUUAUUGGUUCAGAGCUUUAUCCUGAAGGAAGCCUGAUAUAAGUGGUCGCACACAUGAGGUAUACUUUUUGACACCCAAACCUUUUCUCUCUUCGCGUGAACAAAAGGCAUACACAACCGAAUAUUAGGAAUCAAAGUUCUCAAUUGGUUUAGGGUGUAACAAAAUAAGAGAAGUAAUUAUAACCUUUCAUUGAAUGCAUUAAAGUGGAAAUAUUAAAAUUUGGAAUCAUUGAAUACUACAAAUAUCUGUUCAUACCAUGUCUAAACACUAUGGGUCAAAAUCUAGGAUUGAAUUCUCACCACUCCCUGCCACGGUUUUGGGGAAUGGCAUCACCUGUCAUGACUCGUUUUUGUAUCUAGAGUCUCCUAGAAGGAGAGCGUGAAUUUGUAUAUAGAUCUAUACUGGAUUGACUAUCCUACACCUUGCUAUUCACUACAGUUGGACUUGCAAGUCUACGGGUGCCAAAUGUCAUUUCUUCCGAUGUCUUUCAUCGUCGUGUUAUUAGUUGAUAGUAUGGUGCAAUCAUAUCACAUUAUACCUUAAAUAACAAUUGGUUUAAGGUAGAUAGUACAACAGUAGUUACUAUAAUACAACACUACAGUACUAUUAUUAUUUCCCCAUUACAUUCAAAUUGUGAUCUUCUUACACAAGCGGUAAUGUAGAAAUUAUAUUUUUGGUUAAUGAUAGUCACACUUGGGAAAAUACACACUUUUACAAGAAACAAACAUACAGAACAUUUGAUGCCUUGGUAGAAGGCUAAGUUUAAUAGAAAAUAUAGGAUUUUCUAGGAGAUACAAACAUUUACUACAAACAAUUACAAACUUAUACAUCAAACACUUACAAACAUUUUCAUACAAACAAUGACACUAAAAUGCUUAUGAACUCACCAGCUUUAAAACUGAUAAACUCUUUUAAAAUUUGGAAUCAUUGAAUUCUCACCACUCCCUGUCACAGUGUAAUAUGCAACUAAGACCAAUUUAUAGAUUAAUAAUCUUCAGUAGAUGUUGUUCUUGGGUAGAUUCUAUGUUAAUAACAAACUAUUACACUUUGGAAAACAAUAUGAAAUUGAUCAAGCAUAUUGCUUGAUUUUAGGGAAUCUUAAUGAUAGAUUCAUUCUUAGGAUAGAAGCAAGCAACAUGUUGAGAAUGCUUAAAUUGCUUCAAGAGUUUGGAAGAGAUGUGUCUCUAGGAAUCAUUAAUAUUGUUGAAUCAAGAGAAUGUAACAGAAACUUUUACAAUUUUCUUACUUUUCCUUCUUAUGUAGGGUGAGGGGGAAUCUUCAAGGUCUCAUCCUUCAUUCACAUGAAAAGGGUUGAGAAAGCUAGAGAGGCUACAUGGCUGGCAUGAAUAGAAAAUAGAUGUAUUCGGCAACUGGGGGAAUCUUCAAGGUCAAUCAUAUGCAAGUCAAUGAGCUAUAUAUGUUACUUUUCCAGAAGAAUUAAGAUAAUAUAUACCAGCCUCUACUGCAAAAUUAAACACAUUUUGAAUUGUAUGUUAUUUCCCCAUGAUUCUUUUAAGCAUAGUUAUCAAAAUUAAACACUUCUUGAAUUGUGUGCUAUUUCCUUAUCAUAAUUGGAAUUGAAAAUUUUGUCUCAACUCUCAAUCAUUGCAUUAUCAACAAUGUCCAUCGUGUCUACGGACUCAAAAUCUCAAAUCCUUGAUAGGAUUCUAUACUUUGUUUGGGUACUAUGUAAAAUUAGCAUGCUACACCUUAAUAUACUAAGACUCUGAUUCAGAGUUGUGUGAGGUAACUAAGUAGGGAGUCCUUUGGCUCCGCAGUCGGGCUGGGACCCGGUAUUUCAGAUAAUUGGUGAACGAACUGAGACCAGGAGGUCUCGUUAGAUUUUGGAGAGCAGCCAUGUGGUAGCAUACUGCUUCAAGCAGUUCAGUGUUUCAGGCAGUUACGUGUUUUAGGCAGUUCAGUAUUUCAUGCGGUUCCGUGUUUCAGGCAGUUCAGUGUUCAGGCAGUAAGUGUUUUAGGCAAUUCAGUGUUUCAUAAAUUUCAAUGCUUCGGACAGUCAGUGUCUCAAGCGGUAAUGGUAACUGAGGAUCUCAUGUAUGGUAAGUGUAAUAGAUUGCUGAGUAAUGCUAAGUUACCCACCGCGGGGUUCAUCUAUAAUGAUUCAGUAUGAGUGGUCUAUUAAGGAUUCAGAUCAUCUAGAGACAGCAAAUUUCAGACAGAGUACAUGUAAUCUUGUUGCGAGGUAUUUGUUCACCUUAGGAAUUUAGGGCUUUACGAAGAUUGUCACGACUACCCUAGGAAGCCUAGGGUGUGCUCAGGAUAGUGACCAUGUUACUUGAGUGGUUCGGCGCAUAAGAGAUGGUAAGGAAUGAUUUCGAGGACAAAAUCUAAUUUAAGUGGGGGAGAGUUGUAACACCCUGUUUAUUUAUUAGAUAAAAAAUUAAUUAAUGAAUGAAUACUAGCCCUAAAAUAAAUAAUUAUAUUUCAAAAGUUGAUCUUGAGGAGCUAAUUGUCACCCUUUAAGAGAUUGGGGGUUAAAAGUGUAAGUUCCAGAUUAGUUUUUUAAGUAUUUAAGAAGGCAGGGGCUAAAUGGUAAGUAUUAUACUCGAUUUGUAAAGAAUUUUAAGGCUGAGGGUUAAAAAGGUAUAUUGGGGAUUUAUGUUGAAAGAAAAGGAGGGUGGAGGGGCUUAUCUUGCCAUUAUGGAAAACUUAUGUAUGGAGGCGGGUAUUUAAGGGUUCAAACCCUAAACCUAGUGCAAGAAACUACAUCUGCCAUCUCCUUUUUCAUUCUGGUAGCCGCUGCUACCAUUGGAGCCUCCUCAGCCACCAUUUGCGUCACCAAGCCCGACAACCCAGUCCCGCCUACUGUAUAUGAGGAUGAUGGAGAGAAGAAGGAAGAAGAAGAAGAUGCAUUGGGUUAUUACAAGUCAUGGAAUCACAUAAUUGGUGGAGAUCUCUCUCCUUUUCAGACAACUACAGGACAAUACAUCCUAAACAAUAUGCAGUUUUUUACACAUGCCAUUGAUUUGUCUCCCUACCAUCGUAAAUUCGUUCCAGACGGCCCCGACAUUCAAGGUAGAUGUGAUUUUUGUUAAAUAUAUUUUUAUUCUCGUGUUUUAUGUAUAAUGACCUACCUUACCCAUCACCCACUUUCUUUAAAUACAUGGAUAAUGACCCAUUUAUUUUAAUAGACGGAUCAUAACUUCAAUCUUUUAAACAAAUGGAUCAUAUAUAUUAUUGAUUUUAUUGACCCAUAAGAUCAGAUUUUGUUGUUAUAAAAAAAUAUAAAAGCUAAAAGUUGUAAUUUUAAUUUAUAAAAUGAAUAGACCCAAACAUUGAUUCAGAAACGGGGACAGUUCUGGUCCCAGGGGUACUUUGGGAAAACUUUCCUAAUUUAAAGUUUUGAGUUAGUUUAGGAUUCCAAUUAGGGUAUGGUUGUGUGACCUUUUUAAUUAAGUUUUUUUUCAGUCUUUUCAGUAAUAAAAUUUGGAGAACAAGUAAUUUUCCCAGAUUUCUUCCUCCCCUGUUUCGCUCAUGCUCUAUUUCUUUUCUGCACACAGCUGAAGUUUCCAUUCUGUCAUAAUCAAGUGAAUUGAUAUGGUGUGGUGGCAUCCAUUUUACCCCACCCUGAGGAGUAUUUAAACUUUUCAUUUUCUAGAAGGUUGUCAGCUAAGAAAAUUCUAGUAGCAAAAACUAUUUGAGAGGCCCUUCCUCUUGAAAGAAUGGGAAAACCCUAAUAAAUCAUUAAUUAUCAGUUACUUGUUUCCAGUUGUGAAUUUCCUGCUUAUUCUCUUUACUCUGUGUGGGGCUUAUUAGCACACUCAAUUGAUCACAUAAACAUUCAUGGACCUAAUAUGACUACUUUGUCCAAAUGGAUUAUUUGUGAAUAAUGACUAACACAUAACUUGUUAUCUGUUUUCAGUAGAAAAGGAAAGGUUUUGGUUGAGAGCUUUAUCCCUAAGGAAGCCUGACAUAAGUGGUCGUGCACAUAAGGUAUACUUUUUGACACCCAAACGUUUUCUCUCUUCGCGUGAACAAAAGGAAUACACAACCGAAUAUUAGGAAUCAAAGUUCUCAAUUUGUUUAGGGUGUAACAAAAUAGGAGGAGUUAUAACCUUUCACUGAAUGCAUUAAAGUGGAAAUAUUAAAAUUUGGAAUCAUAGAAUACUACAAAUAUCUGUUCAUACCAUGUCUAAACACUAUGGGUCAAAAUCUAGGAUUGAAUUCUCACCAUUCCCUGUACUUGUCUCAGUGUAAUAUGCAAGUAGGACCAAUUCAUAGAUUAAUCAUAUUCAGUAGACGUUCUUGGGUAAAUUCUAUGUUAAUAACAAACUAUUGCAUUUUGGAAAACAAGAUGAAAUUGUUUAAGCAUAUUGCUUGAUUUUAAGGAAUCUUAUUGAUAGAUUCAUUCUUAGGAUAGGAAUCAUUAUUCUGUUGAAUCAAGAAAAUGUAACAUAAACUUUAACAAUUUUCUUACUUUCCUUUUUAUGUAGGGUGAGGGGGAAUCUUCAAGGUCUCAUCCUUCAGAUGAAAAGGAUUGAGAAAGAGAGGCUACAUGGCUGGCAUGAAUAGAAAAUAGAUGGGUAGCCUGAUGCUAUUGCAAAUUCAUUAUAUCCUACUUUUCUAGAAGAAUUAAGAUAAUAUAUUCCAGCCUCUACUGCAAAAUUAAACACAUUUGUAUUUGUAUGUUAUUUCCCCAUGAUUCUUUUAAGCAUAGUUAUCAAAAUUAAACACUUCUCGAUUUGUGUGCUAUUUCCUGAUCAUUAUUUGAACUGAAAUCUUAGUCUCAGUUAUUGCCUUAUCAACAAUGUCCAUAUGAAAGAUGAGAAUUCUCGUAUCAUUUGUUUUCUUGUUUUGUUUAUUUAUUUAUUUAUUUAUUUUUUAUUUUAGAAGCAACACUUUUAGGUCGCCCCUUUUUCUACACAUCACGAUACAGAAUAGUAUCACAUAUUAAUUUAUAUAUCUUAUCUUUACUGUCCUCUAUAUCUUUUAUUGUUACUAUUUGUGGUUGCCAAAAGAAUAUCAUAUUCUCAUUUAUUUUCAUUUUCCAGCUCAUCUUGAUAUCAUAUCAAGUUAUCAGUAGUGUUUUUGCAACAAAGUUAGACUCCACAAUCUGGUCAUUUGAGGCUGAAAAUAAAUCAUCAACAUCAACUUAUCUGUGGUCUUUAUGCACCACUCUCAUUUCGUGUCUUUUUCCCAUGUCCUCAUUGUCCUUAACAACUUGAACAUCACAUAACCCCGUGCCUGAUUCCACCUCAUUUGAGCUUAAAAAAAACCUGUUCAUCUCCUUACCAACAUCUUGAUUACCAUUGAAGUCAUUUUAUUGGCCAUAAUUAUCAUUCACACUUGCAUUAGUAACCUUGCUUUCAGUAUCCAGAUUGGAGAUGAUUGGAGAUACAAGGAGUAGAGGCUUUAAUUAACUCUUUUGCUUUCAGUAUCUGAAUACAACAAAAUGGCACCAAAAACAAAAACUAAGAAGCAACACCCAAAUGAUGAGAGAAGAUGCAACAUGGCCAAAAAGCAAUUAGCCAAAACUAUAUCAUUGGAGACAAUAAACCACUUCAACUUGGCCAAAAAGCAACAUGAAGCAAUUGGAAGCAAUGAAAGAAUACACUAUUUGAAAACUCUAAAUUGGAGCGAGUCACCAAUUUAAACUAAUAAUAUCCACAUCAAGAGUAUAUGCAUAGCUCCUCCACAUGUUGACUUUUUUUUUUUUCUUAACUACAAAUCUAGCCACUUUUUUUCAUAAUUUAAUAAAAGCUUUGUUUUCUAUUUAUCAUUAUUUGUAUACACAUAGCAAGAAAAGCUUAUAACUCCAGUGGGUGCAAUCUUUGGGAUAAAGUAUUUACAUAUAAAAACAUUUUACACAUUAAUUUGAACCAAUCAUUAUAAAGUUAGAAAAAUCAUAUUACUAUAUAAAUUAAUAAAUGUUUGAAAAUCAUUAAUUAAUGAUUAUAACUACAAAGUAUUAAUAUUAUUUUAAUUUACUAACUGCGGUUACUACGAGUUAGUUUAUAAAGAAGCAAACCACUUAAAGAUACCUUUUUCACUAUUCAAAUACUAGAAAUCACUUGAUCCUCUUCUUAACAAACCAUUAUUAUAACCACAAAAAAGAAGAAAUAUGAACAACAAGGUCUAAGAUGAGAGAGAGUCAAUACUCAUAAUUUUCUCAGGCCAACCCCACUUCUUAAAAUUUGGACAAUUUUAUGCAUACAACUAGUCUAGGAAUGACAUUUAUUAUUAACAAAUUGAAAUGAAAUGAAAAUGAAAUUUAAAGAGUAAAAUGGAAUAAGAUGUGUGGUUUUCAAUUGGUACGAAGAGAGUAUUUGUAAUGAUAUAAAGGAGAAAAAAAAGGAAAAAAAAUGAAAAUGUAACUGUUAGAACGCGUUCCACAAACCUUUAACCUUCUUCUAACGGUAACCAAUGCGCUCAAAUCCAUCUCCUCGGCGGUACUGCCCGCCACCCGCCGGAGCCCACUUCCGAUACCCUCCACUCUAAUAAAUAUCAUUAUUAUCUUCCAAUUUUAAGUAUCAUGAUAAGUACUGUGUUGACUUUGGGUUGACAUAAGGAAUAACAAUUAUUUUCUCUAAAAUUCUCCUUGCGAAUCAUUAUUUUGUUGAAAUGUACCUUUUCUUUAUGAGCAUAAUUACUUUAUUGAAUUUAGCUUGCCUUGAUAAAUAUCUUUUAUUUUCGUGAAGUUUACAUUGUCUUAAUAAAUAUCAUUACCACUUUAAUAAUUAUCAUUUCUAAUUCCACAAUAAAUAUCAUUAAAUAGUUUUCUUUAAUAAUUAUUAGACAAAAUUACAAAAAUGGUCCCUGUGGUUUGCCAAAAGUCACGAAGUCAGUAUCUGUUAAUUUUUUUUUGAUGUAAAUGGUCCUUGUGGUUUGCAAAACUUGCAAAGAUGACCCUUUUUACUAACACCAUUAGUAUUCAGCCGUUAGGGACUAAAUCUGUAAGGGUAUUUUCGUCUUUUCAAGUAUAAAGGGACUGAAUUCGUGACAUUUAAUAAACCAUAGGGACCAUUUUUGUAAUUUGUCUUAAAAUAAUAUAAAUGAUAGAAAAUGAAGUGUACUAUAUUCGAACUUUGGACCUCCUACCUUUCUCCCUUAAUCAACCAAAGCUUUAACCAACUAGGCUAGAGCCGCACUUGAUUUAUAUUUUCGAAAACUAACUAAUAUUAUCUACAAAUCGUAAAUAAAUUAAUAAUAAAAUAUUAAAAAAAACAUAUUUUUACAAAAAAAAAAAAUUAAUAAAACAAAAUAUAUUUUUAGCGUAUUGUAAAAAAAAAAUACAAACAAUUAUUUGUUUUUUUACGUAUUUAAAAAAAUAAGUUUCCGUAUACUUUUAAAUACAUAAAAAAAUAACGUAAUAACAUAUUCUACAAAAACAUAAUCCUAAAAAACAUAAAAAAAAGUUUUUUGUAUAUAUUUAUUUUAUGUGAAGAUUCAGUUCCUAACGGCUGAAUACUAACGGUGAUAGUAAAAAGGGCCAUCUUUGUAAGUUUUGCAAACCACAAGGACCAUUUACAUCAAAAAAAUUAACAGGGAUUGAUUUUGUGACUUUUGGCAAACCAUAGGGACCAUUUUUGUAAUUAUGUCUAAUUAUUAUUAUUUAUAGAAAAGAAUUGAAAAAAAAAGCGACACCAUCAAGGCAUCGAAGGAAAACCCAACACCCUCGUUGACUCUCCUCUCUGGUCGUCUCCCUUCCUCGUUGACUUGCUGUUUCCCUGCCGACUUAACGCGGUUCGCUCUGUACUUUUCACUCUUCAUCGAUCUUUCUCAGCCGCGUCACUGUUGGUUCAUCCUUUAUCGCUGCUGUUUCAGUUCUCCUUGUCAUCCUGUAUGCUUCUUAAUUACAAGUUGUUAGACAAUUUCAUCUUAUGAAUCAUAAAUCACAUCAUAAUCAUUUCGUUAUUUCACUAACAGGUGAUUGAAUAUUGUCUAUUUCCAUUAUUUUUGUUUUAUUUUAUAUAUCAAUUAGGAUACUCCACACUCCUUCUAGCCCAAAGUCCAGUACGAUGAACAAAAUUUCCUGCACGUUGAGAAUUCUUUGAUCCUUUAAAAUUUCUUCCUCAAUUCCUCUAUAUUUUCUAAUUCGCAACACGAUUUUUAGAUUUGAUUCUUUUUGAAUGAUGUUUAUGAACAAGCUUCAAUAUUUGAUUGUCAUAAUGAGUGUUUUGCUUGUGUAUAGACUAAAGAGUGCAUUUAGCUUUGAAAUUUCUUCUAUUAUUGAGUUUGAAAUUGAACCCUUAGAAAGGGCAAAGUGGAAGGCGUGUUUUGCUGGCUUCAGAAACAUAUCAUUUGGAACAAGCCCAUAAAUAUUGUUAGUUGAAACACUUAAAAUAAGAUGUAUGCUGAUACUAGAUCCAGUUAUAUAUGAAUUUUAAAUUUGUGUAGAUUGUUGUGCUAAUUUUGGAGAUCCAUAAUUAAACAACCUUGUCAAGCAAGUGCUGUUUUUUUUUGUUUAAAACUUUACAUCUUUCAAUUGUUUGUUGAUAUCUAGUAAAAGCUUGAAAUUUCCUAUAUGCUUUGCAAUUUCCUUCAUGGGAGGUAAUAGUGGAUCUUGUAGUUAUUUCAAGAAUGGUAUUUUGGUGUAGAUUUGUUUGACGAUUACUCUACUGAAAUUCAUAUGGAUUUUACUUAGAUAAAUAAGGAUCUUUAUGUGGGCUAAUCAAAUUAAAACAGAGGCGUUGUAGUUUCAAUGCAUAAAUUGGUUUGUUAUUUUCUUGAAUCUAAACUUAGCCAGAAAAACAGGUUAAUUAAUUGGUAACAGCUUUUAAAAUAAAUUUCAUGGCAAUGUAAUGGUUAUUCUAUAUCCAUACUUUGUUUUUGUGGGAAAGAAUAUUCUAUAUAAAUACUUAGUUAGCUAUAUAUGUUUUGGCUAAAGGAUCCAAAAACCUGUCACAUAAUUAUUAUUGCCAUGAGAUUGCUGUUGUAGUGAUUUAACAGCGUCUCUUUGUAUUUCAAACACAGCAGCAACCGAUUAAUGCUUAUUCUUUUGUGUUCCUUUUCCAGUGUUUAUUUGAUGAGAUUGAAGUUGCAUAUUUUAAAUAUUAAUAAUUUGGAUUUUAUGUACAGGCUUUAUUUGAACCACAAGUUAAGAGCUUCUAGCUUAUUGAGAUACACAAAGGCUUAUCAACCCAUAACUCAUAAUGGUUAUUCUCUCUGAACUCCUCUCAGAAGGAUCUUCAUCUUCUUCAUCAAAUAGUGGUCAUAGUCCAACUGAUGGUCAAAGUUCAUCAACUGAUGGUUACAUGUACGAUGUAUUUUUAAGUUUUAGAGGUGUUGACACUCGUCAUAGUUUCACUGAUCACCUUCAUAAAGCCCUCAUUGAUGCCAAUAUCACUACGUUCUUGGAUGAUGAAGAGAUUGAAACAGGGGAAGAUCUGAAACCAGAACUAGAGACUGCAAUUAAGGCAUCUCGGGGUUCUAUCAUUGUGAUGUCUAAGAAUUACGCUUCUUCAACAUGGUGUCUGGAUGAAUUGGUGUUGAUCCUUGAGCAGCAUAUGACAUCUGAUCAUAUUAUUAUCCCCAUAUUUUAUCAUGUUGAGCCCACUCAUAUCGGGAAGCAACAAAGUAGCUUUGGAGAUGCAAUGGCUAAGCAUAAACAGACAAUGGAGGCAGAGACAAAUGCAAAUAAAAGAAGUGAAUGGGCUCAAAAGAUGGACCGAUGGAAUAAAGCCCUUAUAGAAGUAGCUAAUUUAAAAGGAAAAGACGUCAAUGGAAGGUAACUGUUUUCUUACCUAUAUUUCCAAAAUUCUUCAAUUUUGUUUGAUUAACACAUGAAUGUUAGUAUCAUCUUCUCCCAAUGCAUUUCAAUAAGUUUCUUUAACAUCACUAAAAAGACAUAUNUAUAUAUAUAUAUAUAUAUAAUGUAUUAGGAUAUAAAUUCCACACAUUUUUUUAUGCAUUUUGUGUUUCAUUAUAAGUUACUUCAUUUAGACAAACUGUUCCAAUUAUUUUGUAUGCUUUCUAUUAAGAAAACAAGAUUUGAAGGGUUUGCUAUGCAUCUACUAUUACUUAUACCAUACCACCUUAUAAUCAUAGUGUCUUUUAUGAUAAAUAACUUAUCUUACCUUUAAGCAGUAAAACAUUACUUAUAACUGGCACUUUUUUCAAAACACGCCACAAUGAUAGUUAUGAUGGUCUUGUGUAAAUGCAGUGAAGUUAGGUUGUCCAUUAGUGAAAUCUGGUAUUACAUUGGAACUUGUAUGGUUAGAACAUAGAAGUGUAAACACAAUAUCAUUUUAAUGUGAAGGACUUGAUUAAAAUUAAUAGCUAUGAUAUAAUUUUGAUUUUGGUUCUUUGGACAAAUUAAAUCUCCAAAUCCAGUUUGUUAGUUCUGUGGUUCAUAUAAAAUCUGAUUUCAGGCUAGAGACGGAAUUUAUUGAAGAAAUUGUGAAGGACAUCCAACGUAGGUUACAUGUACGCUUAAGGAGUGUCCGGCAACAACUUAUUGGGAUGGACUAUGAUAUUAAGUUCAUCACUUCAUGGUUGAAAGAUGGAUCCUCACAUACGGCAGACAUACUCACUAUUUAUGGUAUAGGAGGGAUUGGGAAGACAACUUUAGCCAAACAUGUCUAUGGGCUAUAUGCUCACAAAUUCCACAAAAGCAGCUGUAUUGAAGAUGUUAGUAGGGUAUGUGAUGGAAAGUUUAAUGGGUUGCUUGAUUUACAAGAAAAACUAAGCAGUGACAUUUCAAAAACAAGUUCCGUUAAAGUUCAUGAUGCUUCGGUAUACACCUCAAAGAUAGAGAAUGCAGUAGCACGUAAAAGGGUGUUUCUUGUUCUUGAUGAUAUUAGCACGCUUGAUCAGUUGGAUGCGUUACUUGGAAGCAAAGGUUUUCAUCCCGGAAGCAAAAUAAUUAUAACCACAAAGGAAAGACAUUUGAUAGAGAGGUGUGCACUAUUCAAAACAGACAUUAAACCAAAGCAUACAAAGCUCUUGCUUCAAGGCUUACAUGAGACCGAAUCAUGGAAACUUUUGUGUCUCCAUGCAUUCAAAUGCAACUAUCCCAAGACAGGUUAUGAAGGGGUGUUAUAUAAGCUUGUGAAGUAUUGUCAAGGACAUCCAUUGGCUCUUGUAGUAUUGGGAAAAUCUCUAUAUGAUCGAGAUGUAACUUAUUGGGAAGGGUGCAUAGAAGGGCUAAAGAAAGAAACAGAUUCUCAUGUGAAUAAUGUCUUGAGAAUGAGCUUUAACUCUUUGCCAUCCAAAAAUGAUAAGGACUUGUUUAAGUAUAUUGCUUGUUUUUUUGUUGGAAUAGAUAGAGAUGUUGCUGAAACAAUAUUAAAGGCAUGCAAUAUAAACAUAAGAUCUGGAAUCCCGAAUCUCCUCGACCGAUUCCUUCUUUCGAUUGGAUGGAAAAACAAAUUGAAGAUGCAUCAGUUGGUUCAAGAGAUGGGAAGGUUCGAAGUACGUCAAGAAUCACAUGACAAGCCAUGGAAGAGAAGUCUAUUAUGGUGUCAUGAGGAGUCAUUCAGAGUAUUAAAACAAAAAAAGGUAAGAGGUCAUAUGUGGUUUUAAAAGUAUGCAUGUUAAAAAUAUUGUGUAUGGUCUCAACUUUUUAUUUACAUUAUGUUUCUUCUUAGGGUAAGGGAAAUCUUGUUGGCCUUGCCCUUGACAUGCGCAUGCUUGAGAAAGAGAUGUUGGGUGCAUCAUAUAAGUUAAAAACAAAUGCAUUAAGUAAGAUGGAUAAUUUGAUGCUACUACAACUCAAUUAUGUUCACAUGAAUGGGUCUUAUGAGAACUUUCCACCGGAACUAAGAGGUUUGUGUAUGCAUGGGUUUCAUUUAAAGUAUAUACCUUCAGAACUACCUAUGGAGAAUCUUGUUGCUCUUGACAUGUCAUAUAGCAAUAUUGAAUCAUUUAUCGGUUGUUAUAGUAAUCCACAACGACUUGAGAAGAGGCAAAAGGUAACUUAUCUUCAUUUAUUAUUUUUCCAUGUUUAGUUGAAUUUCACUCCCAUUCUAACUUCUUUCCAUUUUUAUAGUUGGAUGGAUUAUGCUUAAAAAACAAAAGGUUGCUUGGAUCAUUGAAGGUUCUUAAUUUAAGUUCCUGUAAACAACUUUGUAGUCUUGGUGACUUUAACCAAUUCCCAGCUCUCGAGAGGUUAAUAGUUAGAAAUUGCACUCGUUUGCUUGAGGUUAGUGAAUCAAUUGAGCAGUGUGUUGAACUUGCCCUCAUCGAUCUAAGCUACUGCAAGCAGCUUAAAAACCUUCCAAGAAUCAUAGGCAUGCUAAAGAAAGUUAAAACAAUGUUGCUAGAUGGUUGUAAUCUGGGUGAAUCUCAAACUGAGGAUACAAAUUUAGAUAUGGAUUCACUGGACAUGUGCAAUGCUAACAAAAACAUUAGCAUAAGCACAAGAACCUCUUUCUCCACCUUUGUGGGUGCUAUACCAAGCCGUUUGAAGUUUUUUUCAAGUUCUUUGCCAAGAUCUCUAGUAAGGUUGUCCCUUGUAAAUAAUAAUUUGUCCACUGAAUCCUUUCCUAUGGAUUUUAGUAGUCUGUCCUUGUUAAAGGAAUUAUAUUUAGAUGGAAAUCCUAUCCAUUCCAUGCCCAAUUGUGUGAGAACCCUUCAUAGGGUUGAGAUACUUAGUAUGCUAAACUGUAAUAAAUUGAAGUUGGUCGAACAUCCUCCACACACACUAAAAAUCUUGCUCUAUUCUGAUCGCGAGUCUUUAGAAAAAGUUGUAUUUGAUCCCAAAAUGUCUCCCCUCAUGUUAUUUUAUUUUCCAAGAAGUUACACCCCUAGGUCGUAUGAAAUUGAAGGCAUGGUGAAAAUCCAGACAAUGGUGGGUGUUGAGGAAAAGGUAUUACGUAGCUUGGGCUGGAUUAAUUUACUCCAUAACAAAAGGAAUGUGGGAAAUAAUCCUACGGAAUCUGGAAUGCAGGUUUUGUCAAGUUAACUGUCUUUCUUUAUUUGACUACAUAAAAUACUAUAAUAUAAUCAUUUAAUUUAGAUGUUUGUAUUUGGCAGAUGUUAUAUGAAUUUGGAAUAUUCAGCACAACAUAUGACGCAGAGGAGAUGCCGAGUUGGUUUAUUCAUAGAAGCGCAGGGCCAUCGAUUUCAUUUACAAUCCCAUCAUCAUCUCCAAAUAAUCUCCUUAAAGGAAUCAACUUCUGCUUUCUGCAGACAAUGAGAGUUUUGUAUGAGUUGCCUGUAAGUCUACAUGAUCAUUUCCGCAUUACACCGAUGAUCACAGUUAGUAAUAUAACAAAGAACCGCAUGUGGAUAUACGAACCUCUCUGGGACAGAUACUUUGUAGAUAAAAAGUGUAGGGUGGUGUUAAGUCAUUGGAUGUUAGGGAUGAAUGAGAUGGAGCCUGGUGACCACAUUACUGUUACUGUUACAGAGCCAUCUUAUGAACUUACAAAGGAGUGUGGUGUGAGUCUUGUGUAUGAGGAUGAUGGAGAGAAGAAGGAUGAAGAAGAUGUGUUGGGUUAUUACAAGUCAUGGAAUCACAUAAUUGGUGGAGAUCUCUCUCCUUUUCAGACAACUACAGGACAAUUCAUCCUAAGAAACCAGCAGUUUGUUACAUGUGGCUUAUGUAUAAUGACCCAUUUAUUUUAACAGAUAACUUAAAUCUUUUAAACAACUGGAUCAUAUAUACUAUUGAUUUUAUUGACCCAUAAGAUAAGAUGUUGUUUUAUAAAAAUAUUAAAGAUAANUAUAUAUAUAUAUAUAUAUUAUUGAUUUUAUUGACCCAUAAGAUAAGAUUUUGUUUUUAUAGUAAAAAAUAAAAGUUGUACUUUUAAUUUAUAAAAUGAAUAGAUGCAAGCAUUGAUUCAGAAACGGGGACAGUUUUGGUCCCAGGGGUAUUUUGGGAAAACUUUCCUAAUUUAAAGUUUUGAGUUAGUUUAGGAUUCCAAUUAGUUUAGUAUAAAUAGGGUAUGGUUGUGUGACAUUUUUAAUUAAGUUUUUUUUCAGUAAUAAAAUAUGGAGAACAAGUAAUUUUCCCAGAUUUCUUCCUCCCCUGUUUCGCUCAUGCUCUGUUUCUUUUCUGCACACAGUUGAAGUUUCCAUUCUGUCAUAAUCAAGUGAAUUGAUUCUUGUGUUAAGUUCAUUUUCAAGAGAAUUAAGCGAAUUAAUUCCUUCAUCACUUUCCAUAAAUAGAUGGAUAAUGACCCAUUUAUUUUAAUACAUAUGUCAUAACUUAAAUCUUUUAAACAGGAUCAUAUAUACGAUUGAUUUUAUUGACCCAUAAGAUAAGAUUUUUGGUUUGGUAUGGUGUGGUGGCAUCCAUUAUACCCUACCCUGAGGAGUAUUUAAACUUUUCAUUUUCUAGAUGAUUGUCAGCUAAGAAAAUUCUAGUAGCAAAAAGUAUUUGAGAGGCCCUUCCUCUUGAAAGAAUGGGAAAACCCUAUUAUUUAUAUAAUUCAUUAUCAGUUAGUUGUUUCUGGUUGUGAAUUUCCUGCUUAUUCUCUUUACUCCGUGUGGGGCUUAUCAGCACACUCAAUUGAUUAAGUCUUUCGAUAUGUUGGAUCACAUAAAUAUAUAUGGACCCAAUACGUAUGACUACUUUGUCCAAGUAGGUUGUUUGUGAACAAUGAUUAACAUAUCACUUUUAAUCUAUUUUCAGUAUGAAAGGAAAAGUUUUGGUUCAGAGCUUUAUCCCUAAGGAAGCUUGACAUAAGUCGUCGCGCACAUGAGGUAUACUUUUUGACACCCAAACCUUUUCUCUCAUCGCGUAAACAAAAGGAAUACACAACCGAAUAUUAGGAAUCAAAGCUCUCAAUUCGUUUAGGGUGUAACAAAAUAAGGGAGUUAUAACCUUUCAUUGAAUGCAUUGAAGUGGAAAUAUUAAAAUUUGGAAUCAUUGAAUACUACAAAUAUCUGUUCAUACCAUGUCUAAACACUAAGGGUCAAAAUCUAGGAUUGAAUUCUCACCACUCUCUGUCACAGUGUAAUAUGCAAUUGAGACCAAUUCAUAGAUUAAUAAUUUUCAGUAGAUGUUGUUCUUGGGUAAAUUCUAUGUUAAUAACAAACUAUUACACUUUGGAAGACAAUAUGAAAUUGUGUAAGCAUAUUGCUUGAUUUUAAGGAAUCUUAUUGAUAGAUUCAUUCUUAGGAUAGAACCAAGCAACAUGUUGAGAAUGCUUAAAUUGCUUCAAGAAUUUGGAAGAGAUGUGUCACCAGGACUCAUUAAUUCUGUUGAAUCAAGAAAAUGUAACAUAAUAUAUACGCUUCCAAGUAACUAUCUGUUUUCAUAACAUUUUGUGUUGUAUCCUGUAUAAUAUAUAACUUUUAAAAUUUUCUUACUUUUCGUUUCUAUGUAGGGUGAGGGGGGAUCUUCAAGGUCUCAUCCUUCACAUGAAAAGGAUUGAGAAAGUGAGGCUACAUGACUGGCAUGAGUUGAAAAUAGAUGCAAUGGGAAAAUGGGUAGCCUGAUGCUAUUGCAAACUCAAUCGUCUAUGACCUACUUUUCCAGAAGUAUUAAGAUAAUAUAUACCAGCCUCUACUACAAAAUUGAACACAUUUGGAAUUGUAUGUUAUUUCCCCAUGAUUCUUUUAAGCAUAGGUAUCAAAAUUAAACACUUCUUGAAUUGUGUGCUAUUUCUUGAUCAUAAUUUGAGCUGAAAUCUUGACCAUUGCCUUAUCAACAAUGUCUAUCGUGUCUAUGGACUCAAAAGCUCAAAUCCUUGAUAGGAUUCUAUAAUUUAUUUGGAUACUAUGUAAAAUUCGCUUGCUUCACCUUAAUAUUUUAAGACUCCGAUUCUGAAAGAUGAGAAUUCUUGUAUCAUUUGUUUUUUUAAUUUUAGAAGCAACAAUUUUAAUUAGGUCGCCCCUUUUUCUCCACAUCACGAGACAGGAUAGUAAUAGUAUCACAUAUUAAUUUAUAUAUCUUAUCUUUACCGUCCUCUAUAUCUUUAUUGUUACUCUUCUUGUUGUCAAAAGAAUAUCAUAUUCUCAUUUAUUUUCAUUUUCCAUCUCAUCUUGAUAUUCUAUCAAGUUAUGAGUAGUGUUUUUGCAACAAAGUUAGACUCCAAAAUAUGGUCAUUUGAGGCUGAAAAUAGAUCAUCUACAUCAAGUCAUCACUUAUCAGUGGUCUUUUUGACCACUCUCCUUUAGUGUUUUUUUCAUGUCCCCAGUGUCCUUAUUAACAACUUGAAUAUCACAUAACCCCUAGCCUGAUUUCACCUCUAUAUGAGCUAAAACAAACCGGUUCAUCUCCUUACCAACAUCUUGAUUACCAUUGAAGCCAUUAGAGUUGGUCAUAAUUACCAUUCACACUUGCAUUAGUAACCUUGUUUUCGGUAUCCACAUUGGAGAUACAAGGAGUAGAGGCUUUAAUUACCUCAUUUGCAACAGCUAUAGUAUGCAACUCCAUCAUAAAAAUAAAUAAAUAAAUAAAUCAUGUUCCCAGUAAUGUAUUGAAACAAAUGAACUCAUAUUCGUUUCUUCAUGAUACUCAACACUUCUAUCGCUUCUGUUGACUAAGUAAGGUUCUUUUUAUUAGUCUUCAUGCACACUUUGCCUCCUAACCUCUAUUUUUUCGAUCUCUAACCACACAACCUGUCAUCUACCACUGAAUAAUGCAUCCCGAAACCUUUCUGAUUAACAACUGCCACAGCUCCUUCUCGUUCAUAGAGUUGGGGAAAUUAGAAAAAUGAAAAGUAUAACAAAAUAUGAUCCAUUGAUUUACACGAUCUACUAAACUUCCUUCCUUCUCUUAAUUGAUCGAUCUUUGUAGAAGAAAUUUGCCAUCCUCCCUCCUGGUUGCACUGUUUCUUACCUGAUUGAAAUCUUUUCAUAAAGAUUCCCCUGUUAUUGGAUUGAAGAAAGCUCACUCAUACUCCUAAUAACACCUAUCAAAUUCCCCUGAAGCAAUCUGGUAAGCCUCCUGAUGAAACAUGAAACUUCUGUAUAUAUAACUUCCUCUUUCCAACAGAAUUAGCCAUAGAAACACAGUAGUCCUACGUAUUGGGUACAGAAACGAUUGAAAUAAUAUUAAAACUGGAAUUNNNNNNNNNNNNNNNNNNNUAAUAGGAGACACUGAAAAUGGUGUGCUAUAAUAAACAAAUCAAUGAAACACGUUGCUAUUUCUUGCAUUUAAACCUUAAGAGUCAGUCAAAGAUGGUAUUCAUGAGCAUUCAAACCUUGAAAAUGAAUCAAAGCACGCAUAUAGGCACACAAGUCCCUGGUCUAUUGCAUAGAAUCUGUGAAAAGAAUUUAGCAUGCUCUUCAAAGUUAUUGAAACAAAGAAACAAACAAGACUAAAUUACAAAAAUCGUCUCUAUGUUAUAUUACUUUUUAUGCGUAUGGUCAAGUCGAUGGAUUUAAUGGACGGGCAACCAGGGACUAAAAGUGUGACCAAAUGUUGGUUUAGGGAUGGAAAAGGUAAAUGAUGAAACUAUCAGACCAUAUCGAUCGCAUUUUCAACUUAUUUUGUUAUUAGGACAUAAUACUUUGAAGAAUCUAUCCAAUUAUAAUAGUGAAACUUGCAUUGUAUCGGGAUGAUAUUGCUACAAUUAAUAGGUUUUCAAAGUAUAUUGCGGUAAUACGCAUGAAUGAAAUUAGGAUGCUAUUAGAAAACAGAUCAAAAUUUUGUUUCUUAGAUUUAGCCCUAAUUAGUAAAAUGAAAAACUUGAAUUGUUUGAGAUAUAAACAAGAUACAAAUUACACAUACUCGACAUUUUAAAAUGAACAGGUUACAACACAUUAAAUAACAAUGUGAUAUGCAUUUAUACCACUUAUCAAUUGGUGAGUCCUCAAAGACACAUUCUUUCUGAACAUCAAUGCUAUAACUAACUGUUACAUUUUUCAAAGUAAAAUGCCCUAAGAAAGAAACGGAAGUACCUUGCUAUCAUCAUAAAACCAAAGUCAUUUGAAGUUGCUAAAAGGUUUGGUAUGUAUAAAUAGUCCCGUGCUUCAUUAGAAGAAUUGGAACUUACCAGUGGAUUUACAAGAAGGAAUUGAGAUUAUAGAAAACAUUACAUAAAUAGUCCCAUGCAUCAUUGGAAGUCAUAUAUAGGUUAAAUCAUUAACUUUUUUCCUUGAUGAAAAUGGUCUUUGUGGUUUCAAUUCCUUACAUGGUUUGUUUCUAAUCCAUAUAAAAUGAUAUCUAUAUAUACCAUUUUAAUAGAUUUAUCUUUUUUUUUUUACUUAAUUUUAUUUUUUAAUAUGUUAACAUUGAGGGACCCACCAUACCAAACAGUUCACACACCUAUGUUCACCAGAAAGAUUACCAAAGUUAUAUUCAAGCUUAGAAAAUUACAAGAAAUUAAGGUUGUAUACAACAGUAAGAAUAAAAAAAAAAACUCCAACAAGAAAGAAACUAUCUCUUUUCUGAUCAUUUUGAGGUCUCUAAAAAUCUGAAAGCUGCAUAACUUUCAGAUUAUUGGGUUCAUCGGUAACAGAAUAUCUAAAAUUUGUUGUAGAAUAAUUUGUAUCACAAUAAAAGUGGUGCAUCAAGUUGCAGGUAUAAUUAUCUUAUUCCACUUACUAAAAGCAUGGAAAUGGAAUAUUUGGUUUAUAAAAAGAGUCCCAGAAGAAUAUACUAUAUAGCUCAGAUAAAAAUCUCCCCAAUCACCUGGAUAGACAAUACCAUAUGAACCAAUGUAAAAAACAGCAUAAGCAUUUCAUCAAAUACCUUGACUACGUGAUGUAAGAUGACCACAUUCGCCAAAAAAACACAAUGAAAGAAGGAAAAUUUUAGGAACAUAAUCAAGUAUAACAUUCUAAAGAUUGAGAACUGAAUUAAAAAAACAUCAUCAUAAUAAUAAUAAUGAAAUAAACCAAAACAAAGACAAUGUAACUUGAAAGAUUUAUAUAAAGCUCUGUUAUAUCUACUGACGGAAUAAGAAAUUGAGGAGGAGGAUGAUGGAAGUACAAGAUCUAACCAUGACAAAUGAACAAUGAGCGUUGGUUUGGAGAUGUUUCUGUCUAAUUUCCAAUACGGGUGAUUUUAAGAAGGCCUUCGAACACCUCACAUUAUUUCUUAUUCAAAUUUUGAUCCGGAAUGUCUAAUAAAGAUACCAUGGAAAGAUGAUCCGUUAGAAACAAUAAAUGUGGCUCUCGGAGCAGCGCGGUGGAGCAACUGAGCGCAAUAUGAAGCAUUGCCCUCGACCACUACCAGAAGUCAGGAAUUGAGUUUGAUUGUGCUUCUAGCCCUUGAACAUCGCUAUCUGAAAUUGGGAAUUGGGGACGAAUUUCAGGGAGAAAUUAGAAUUGAAGCAACGUCAGAAUGUGGGAUCGUGGAAAAAUAUACUUCACCUGUGUGAGAGCGAGGCGAGAGUGUUGCCGAUUCAACAAUGUUGUAACAUGAUAUUCAUUAUUUAGUAGGUUUGGUUCACGAUUAUUUUGGAUGGAAUUUGAAUUUGUUAAACAAAUUGAAAUUCAUUAAUUAGAUUUAGAAUUUGAAGGAAUUAAUCCAUGUUAUGUCUUUGGUUGGUAAAAAGUGAGAUGAAAUUUUAAUUUAUAAACAAAGGGUAAAAUGGAAUCUUUUUUCUCAUUGAACACCUUUAACAAAUAACAUAAAUCAUCCUUAACCAUUGAGGCCUAAAUUACCAAAUAGCCCUUAAAUUUAUAAAUGGAUACUCACAUAAAUGACUAUUAAGUAGGGGUGAGCAAAAACCGAACCAUCAAAACCAAAAGAAACCGCAAUUGACCAACCGAAACCAAUGCAAAAAACCUUUGGUGCGGAUUUAAUUUCUACAAAAACCGAAGUUAUCGGUGUGGUGCGGUUUUUAUCAAAAAACCGGUCCACCAAAACUGAACCGCACCAAAGACAUAUAAAUAAUAAAUUAUUAAUUUCUAUUAUAUACAUAAUUAUAUAUCACAUGUUAUUUGAAAAAGUAAUAAAUACUAAUGUAACUUUGACGAUAGGUUUAAUAAUUUAAUCAUAUUCGAGAGCAUUUAAAAGAAGUCUCAUUGUUCCCUUCUUCCUUUCCUGAUCUUGUGUUAGACGAAAUCAAUGUUUGUUUAAUUGUGUUUGUGGAACCAUAGAAAUGUGUUUAGGCGGAGGCCACUGUAAGUUUUUUUAACACGUUAAUGGUAUGACAUAAAUAGGUUUUACUAGAUUGUAUGACAUAAAUUGUUUUUUUUCCUACAAAACUUAAUUAAUAUGUUUAUUUAUCAAUGCUUUUGUAGUUUUGUAUAUAUAAAAAAGAACUUGUUUUACAAAAGGCUAUGACAUAAAAUCAUAAAUGAUUGUUUAAAAAAUACGUUGUUUAAAAAACAAAAAAAAAGUUGUCCAUAUGUUGGCUAUUUAGUUAAAAAUUGGCUAAAUUAGUUUCAAAAUAUGGCACCAGGCAAGAAUUAAGAAUUAUUGGACUUGCAUAGUUACAAAAAAACCUGACCCAUAACAGCAAAAACCGCACCAAUACGUAUACCAGAUUUAAAACUGAAACCGCACCAUUUAAACCGAAACCGCAUGAUAAAACCGCAAAACCGAACCAAUGAAAAACCGCACACGUUGGUUUUAGUUCUACAAAACCUCACCUUGCAUUUAGCGGUUCAGUAUUGCCCUAAAACCCCACCAAACCACACCAUACUCACCCUAGUAUUAGGAGCAAAGUUAUUAUCCUAAAAGAUUUGUACGACCAUUUUCUUGGCAGCACAUGACACAUGAAGUAUAUGAUAACUACAAAAGGGUCAAUGGCCUAGCGGUAUGGAGUGACCGUCUCAUAUGAGAGGUCAGGAGUUCAAGUCUCAGUGGAGACAUAGGUGGUUAUUUAGUAGUAGAUUAGUUAGUUUGCCGUUUCAAAUAAAAAAAGUAUAUGGUAACUUGAUGUGAAAAACGAAUUCUUUUAUGAGGAGGUUGAGUGAUAUACUUUAGAACAACCCCAAAGUUUUAUUUCACAUCUGUUUUUAGGAUAUGUUGAUAAGUUUGCAAGAUUUAUCUUUAUUUCAUACGAGAAGUUAUCUUUUAUUAUUAUUUAAGAUUAGUAUGUAACACCGGUCAAAAUUAGGUCAAAGAUAAUUCCCAUAAAUAUAAUUAACACACAUUAUAAUCAAUUUACUUUAAUAUUUAAUGAUAUUUUCAUUCAACACUACAAGUCUAAACGAUUCCAAAAAUAUAUAGAACGUCUAAAUCUGACUUCGCAUGAAGAAGUUAUGAUAAAUUCUAUCACUAUAGUAUUUGUAACAAGUGGAAUUUAAAAUAGACUUAGAAUUAGCUAUUGGAAUCUAGAAGAAAGUUGUAGUACUCGGAAAUACUAACGCGUGGAUAAAAGAACAUCAAAAAUGAAGUUCGUAUACAAAAGUUAUGACCUUCCGAAGAUGCAGUUGUCUAAGUGCAUGACACGUGGUAGAAACCCUAGCCGCCAUGGUUCACGACGUGAACAUUAAUUCCACGACGUGAAACGUGUCAGGGGCACUAAUCGGGGCUAGAAAACACGUGUUAAAGCUACGGGGUGACUCAUGGAUGUUCACGACGUGACCCUAGGCAUGUCACGACGUGAAUGUGCCAAAAUCAGCCUAUAAAUAGCGAUCAAGACCCUUUCAUUCCUUACACCUUCUACUUUUCUCUCCCUCAUUUUUCGUAGGUUGUUUCCCUUCUCGAGCCUGACAACGACGAGCCUUUGACCGUUUAGAUUCUAUAGAUCACGCUACUAGGGUGAGUUUCACGACCCCACUUUUUAAUAUUUUCGGGGAAAAACACAUGCUAAAUAUUGUAUAUAAGUUAAUAUUAUAUCUAUAUGAUAGUAUAUUCGUAUCAACAAAACUAGUUAUAUUAACUUGGAUAUAGUUGUUUUAAAUAUGAUAUUUUGAAAAUAUACAACUAUUAUCAACUUGUUAGCAUGUUACUGUACUNAUAUAUAUAUAUAUAUGUUAUGUGUGAUAUAGUUUCGGAGUUAUACUCGAAAGUUCUAUAUACAAAUUACUAAGUAUGUUUCUAUUGUUGGUUUUAUGUCAAGAUAAAACCUAGUUUUACCUCAAGUUAUAGCUGUUAUACUACCUAAAUAUUAUGAAAUUAGGAGUAAUGCUUAAAAGCAUUGUCUAGUAAGUUAGGGUUUUAGACACGAAUAUGCUGUUGUUGUUAGAGCUAUAGGAGUCGUUGAAGUCUACAUGAGCUAUUGUAUUCAUCAACUAAGAUUGGAAAUCUUAGGGAAAAUCCUCUGACCUGUAAACGUUAAUCCCGAGCGAGCGAGGAAGUCAUGUAUGAAUAAGAUACAGGUUGACAACCCCACUUGUGUUUGUUAGCUACAACCAAAUUUAAACGAGUGACGAACUGUCCUUUUAUUUGUUAAUUGUUCCCACGUUUAUGAAGCGUGUGGAACUUAUCUUAAGAUGCGAAACUUGUAGCAUCAAGCAGAGGUUUGAAACUAGGCAUACAGCCGCGGUUACGGACUUAUGGUAGCAUUAUGCAAUUGAGACCAAUUCAUAGAUUAAUAAUCUUCAAUAGAUGUUGUUUUUGGGUAAAUUCUAUGUUAAUAACAAAUUAUUGCAUUUUGGAAAACAAUAUGAAAUUGUUUAAGCAUAUUGCUUGAUUUUACGAAAUCUUAUUGAUCGAUUCAUUCUUUGGAUAGAACCAAGCAACAUGUUGAGAAUGCUUACAUUGCUUCAAGAAUUUGGGAGAGAUGUGUCACUAGGAAUCAUUAAUACUGUUGAAUCAAGAAAAUGUAACAUAAACUUUUACAAUUUUCUUAAUUUUCCUUGAUCUGUAGGGUGAGGCGGAAUCUUGAAGGUCUCAUCCUUCACAUGCAAAGGAUUGAGAAAGAGAGGCUACAUGGCUGGCAUGAAUAGAAAAUAGAUGCAUUCGGAAAAUGGUUAGCCUAAUGCUAUUGCAAACUUAUUAUAUCCUACUUUUCCAGAAGAAUUAAGAUAAUAUAUACCAGCUGCCUCUACUGCAAAAUUAAACACAUUUGGAAUCAUAUGCUAUUUCCCCAUGAUUCUUUUAAGCAUAGUUAUCAAAAUUAAAUACUUCUCGAAUUAUGUGCUAUUUUCCUGAUCAUAAUUUGAACUAAAAUCUUGGUCUCAGUUAUUACCUUAUCAACAAUGCAAUCGUGUCUAUGGACUCAAAAUCUUAAAUCCUUGAUAGGAUUUUAUAAUUUAUUUGGGUACUAUGUAAAAUUCGCGUGCUACACCUUAAUAAUAUUUUUAGACUCUGAUUCUGAAAGAUGAGAAUUCUCAUAUCAUUUGUUUUAUUAUUAUUAUUUUAGGAGCAACACUUUUAGGUCGCCUCUUUUUCUUCACAUCACAAGAUAGUAAAGUAAUAGUAUCAUAUAUUAAUUUAUAUAUCUUAUCUUUACUGUCCUCUAUAUUUUUAUUAUUACUAGUUGUUGUUGCCAAAAGAAUAUCAUAUUCUCAUUUAUUUUCAUUUUCCAGUUCAUCUUGAUAUCCUAUCAAGUCAUCAGUGGUGUUUUUGCAACAAAGUUAGACUCCAAAAUCUGGUCAUUUGAGGCUGAAAAUAAAUCAUCUACAUCAAGUUAUCAGUAUUCUUUUUGCACUGCUCUGAAAAAGCAAAGUAUGAAACUGUUGGACCAAAUUUAUAAAAAGAUAAAACACAGGGAUGAUUUUUGUAAUUUAGUCAACAAAUAAUUACUUGCAGAAGUAAAGGCAAAGUACCACUUCAUGAAGCCCUUUCUACACCAAAACACCUGCUUCAAAAACUAGCAAUGUACUUUCAUUAUUGUUGUUAUAGAAUUCUACUUCCAUUUCUUUCUAUUACAUCAAUGUAUUUUAUAUAUUUUUUUUCUUAUGAAAGCAUUAUACAUUGAAAUAUCUACCCAAUAAAAGCAUUGCAUUUUCAACUUAUUUUAUUAUUAGGGCACAAUACUUCAAAAACUAGCAAUGUACUUAACAACCAAUUUGGAUUGUCAUAUUGCAAUUCUCAAGCACACAUACAAACAAUCACGACUGUGUUGCUUGGAUAAUCCUUAGUCUACAUCUUAAGUCUUAAGAUAGAAAUGGCUUACAUCCUUUAAACCCUAAAAGCCAGUUUAUCACAAAUUAUCAAGCCAAAAUCAUUCAAUUGUGGUAAAAGUUAAUACAUGUUUCUGGUUAUUGAACUCAUUUGCUUCACACAUAUAAACUCUUGAUUGAUGGAAAUGCGUAUAUAAGUAAGGACUUUAAUUUACUCAAUAGCAAUCACGAUUCUCAACCAUCAUAUAGGAAAAUUGUUUUUUUUUUCAAACGCAGCUUUGGAUUUCGAAGAACAAAUAACAAUAAUGCUAGUAGUUGACUGAAUUUUACCGAGAGAAGUAUAUUUGUUAAUAGGUCACGCAUUUCGCAAUUCGUCAUUUAGAUGUUGAGCCUCGACUGACCUGGUUUUGUAGAAUAGCAAAUGACUUGAGAUUACGCAACUUCGGAUCCACUUCCUUAUAUUUCACAUCCGACUCGUCUCCCUUGGUUUCGUUGGGUGAAAGAAUUGUUACGAGAAGAAAUGGAAUUAGCCAAUUGAAUAGAAAGAAUUGAAAUUCAGGAGAAAAUUAGGUAAAUGGUCCCUUGCAUUACAAAAAGUCAUAAAUUAGUUAUUAAAUUAUUGUCAUUAACAUUUUUUGUGAUAAAAAUACACAAGUGAUCCUUGUGGUUGGUAGAAAAUACAAUUGGAAGUCUCUUUGAGGAAUUUUUAACAUCUUUUGGGCCUCCAUAAUGCUUCCCACUCAUUCUCAUUGACGCAGAACGAAAGCAAAAAUAAAGAAAAACUCAAAGUGUUUUAUUACUGGAAUUCCAAUUCUUCCCUUAAACAUAGAGGCUCAAACCCCUGAUUAGGUUUUGCAAUUAAAUAGUGGCAACACCAUGGCGAUAUAUGCCACAUUGUGACGCCAACUUAAUGCCACGAUAACUCUUGCCUUGGAUAUGUUGUGGGACUCCCUCACCACGUUGUGGCCAUAAGAGAUCCAACUUUCAAUUUAUCAAAAUUACAAAAAGGAGCAUUUCCGAAGAAGUUAUGAGUUGAUGAAAGCGUAGAGUUUGUCACACCCCCAAACCAGAACGGCGUAAACGUUCGGGGGCGGAGGACGUCAUGUUCAAUAUCAUAACAGUUCAUAGAAAGGAAAGUACACACCACCAUAUAUAAUAAGUUUGCAAGAUGUUUACAUAGUUGUAUUCAUUACAUGUUCAAAAUAAAGGUACAUAAACAUCAUUCAAAAUGAAGUAAUUAACGCCAGCGCGUUAAUCCCAAAAGUUGAUUCCCAACCUGCUUAGCGAUUUCCUGAGAAUACAAGUUAUUUCAAAGAAAAAGUGUCAACAAUUAAGUUGGUGAGUCCAUAAGUAGUUUAGAAAAAUUGGAUGCCAUUCCAAAAUGGGUGUAUGUUUUCCAGUAAACGUAGCGUUUCAAAAUGUAAAGAGUUAUGAUUUGUGGUGUUGGAAAUGAAUGCAUUAGCUCCAGAAAAUCCCAUAUUUUCCUUAAUAGUCGAAAUACGAUUUGUUGUGUUUUCCAAGAAAAACCCUUAUUUUCUUAUAAAAGUAUGAGAUGUAUAUAGUUGUUCAUGUUAUAAGUUGUAAAUGAUUGCACCGGGAAAAUCCCUUAUUUUCCUAUUAGUUGUUUGGUUUGUAUGCAGGAAAAACCCUUAUUUUCCUCACACAUAAUGCCAGUCUCUAAGACCGAAAAUUGCAAGAAACCGACGUUUCUCGUAAGUGUGUCAUAGUUUUAUAUAUAAUAAAACUACGCGAAGACCGAACCGGUUGGAUGAAGAAUAGUUUUAAUAACUACUCGCUCAUCAAAACUGAAUAUCAUAGUAAUUGUAUAUCCGAUGAGUUUCUAUAACCAUACUAAACAUAAUAUGCCUGUAACGACGUUCUUCAGGCGUCGCAGUGCUAUGACAACUGUCACCCCAAAAGACGGACUGUAGCUAACAGUCAGGGUGCGGGAUCAUGACUUCCCGUAUAGAUCUAUACACAUUUGACACGUUCUCGUCACGGGAGAUUCUGGUUAUAGACAGGACUUACUGCAGUACUUUCUAAUAAAGAAAAGUAACGUUUGAAGAUGUACGCGUCUCAUGGAUUCUCAAUUAAGUCUAUAUUAAAGUGAUAGUUUUGUAUGCAAAGUUUAUCUUUUUUUCAAAAUGUUUGAUAAAGCAAAAUCAUAAGUUUUUAGAAUGUAUAAAACGAUUUAACAAUGAAAGAUCAUUAUAUGCUUCGUAUAAGUCUAAUGCACACAAAGUAUGACAAGAGUUUUCCAUAAUAGUAAUGAGUUCCAAGUGGUUUAUUUGAUAAUAUAAGUGAAGUGAAACUUUAUAAAAUACACGAUAAUAACCGUAUGUUUACUUGUAUUCCCCCCCUAAAAGAGUGUAAAAGUAUUUAAAAAUGUAUUUAAAGUGUGUUAGAAAGGGGUAUGAACUCACUUGACAACUUGAAGAUGGCGAGAUGGAAAAACGGCAGAGUUUCGUCUCGGGAAAUGGAUUUUCCUCGGAAAUCUCGGGAUUCCUCGGGAGAAAAUCGACCUUCGGAUCUUGCACGAAGCGACCAGGGCUUCGGGGUAGUACGAGCACGGAAAACGAGGAAAAACGCAAGAGAAAUGAGAGAGAAUGAGCCCUUUCUUUGGAAACCUUCGUAUGCUAUUUAUAGAGAGGCUGGUCUGCCUCAGUACGCGGGGCGUACGCUAGUACGCGGGGCGUACGCUAGUACGCAGCGCGUACGCGUACGUCACGCAUGACCGAGGCCUCGACUGCCUCGGCUNUGGGUCGGAUGGGACGCCGGGUCGGAUGGGACGUCGGGUCGGACGGGUCGGACGGGUCGGCUUCCUCGGAUAUGGCGACGUGGACGAUCCGAGGCCAAUCCUCUCGGUUACGCGGGGCGUACAGGAGUACGCAGCGCGUACUUCGGAGAAGGACGCUGACUCCUCUUCGGAUAAUAUCCGAAUUUUGAAUAAAAAUUAUAUAUAAAUUAAUUAUCAAACUUCAAAAAUUCAUAUCUCCCUCAUACGAACUCCGUUUUUGGCGUUCUUUAUAUCCCCGCGAAGGUGAGACUACGAUCUACAACUUUCAUUUAGAUUCCGUUGGCAAAUUCCGAAAUUAUUUUUAUUAUUUAUUUAUUAAAGUGACGUGUUUAAGGAAUUUCUUUAAAAAUUCAUAACUUAUUCAUAUGAUGUCCGAUUUGAGCGUUCUUUUUAUGCAUGUUUGUAGUUUAACGAUAUCUAUCACUUUCAUUUAGACACCUAAGGUCAGAAAAUGUUUUAUUGAAACUUUGCGUUUUUACGUAACUUUGUAUUGCUGGUUUUUGUCGGAAAACUUAUAAUGAGCAUAACUUCUUCGUUAUAACUCGGAUUUUUGUGUUAUUUAUAUGUUUGGAAACCUUAAGAUGAUAACUACCACAUAGUGUACUCCAAAUAGAGUUUUUGAAUACUUCAUAUUCUAUUUCCUUUCUCAAGGAGGUUACAUGACUCGAUCUUUACUGACAUGAAAUAACGGGUUGUUACAGAGUUUCUCAUUGCCUUUUCAUCGAUAUAAGGAUUGUCGCACAUCGUACAAGUUGAGUACACCCCGCGUACUCAUCAGGAAUGGAUUCCGGUGUUUGGGCUUCGGUUUGGGCCAUCUUUUGUGUUUAGUUGCUUUAGGCCAUAUUGCGUGUGACAUCCCAAAAAUCUCGGCCAGAAAAGACCGAUUUUCAUUUAUGCUUUUAAAAUAAUUUCAGAGUAAAUCCUUUUGAUUUGAAAGAGUUGCGGAAUUUGUUCCCAAAAACAAAACGUGAUAAAAUAAUAUUUACCAAAGCAUUUCAUAAAAGAAAUGUAUUUUCAUUAUAUAAUCAAAACUCGGGAUGUCAUGUUCCGAUACAGACCAUAAAGCAUAAACGAUGACAUUACAAGUCAUUCAACAAAUAUAUACAUAUACAGACUUUUAAACAAAACAACUUGAUGGUUCAUCCAUCUUAUGCCCUUGCACCACUUCCUGUAAUACAAAUAAAACUGAGUGGGUCAGGCGUGGGAGCCUGGUGAGCAUAUAGGGUUUUCAACCCACAAUAAAUAAUUAUAUUUAAUUCCACCAAUCAACAAUAACCCAAUUACCCAUUCCCAUUAUUCUCACUUUACGUCCCUAAAACAACUAACACAAGGGACCCUAGUCUUAGAAUAUUUGAUCGGGGCAACAACACAUGCAUUCGGGGGUUUCCCGACAAUAUAUGUCAAACAAGGCAACCGUGAGGGGGAUGGAGUACAGCGAAUGAACACCCAAGUUCAUUAAGACCUACAGGUGGCGAACCUGCUAGCGUUCCACAGGACUUUCUAGAAAAGUCUGUGGUCGUCAUCUAAACUCCGUUAGAUGACUGAAUCAAAACAACAACGAGGCCUCUCAUCUGUUUAUUACACACCAACUAUCUACCCAUGUUCUACCCAACAUAUUAGUAGAUAAAAACAUACAUUUUUAUACAUAGUUUAAAAACCUGUAUAGCAUGCUUUAAUCAAUACAUAUUCCAAAACAACAGAUGAGACACAUACACAUAACACGUAUUUCAUUGAGAAUAAAUCAUAUCUAUGAGAUAGAAGAAAGUGAAUAUACAUUCUCGCAUAUAACAAGAAAAUGUACACAUAACACGUAUUUUAUAUUAAAUACUUAAUAAUUAUGCGUUAGAAGAAAGUAACCACACACUCACCUGAUCAGAAGAUGAUCGGACAGCACUACGGCUUGCAGAAGUAGUAAUCCUCAACAGAUCUGGAGGAUCUCAACAGAUCUGGAGGAUCUCGAGAAUCGCACUUCUUGGGAUCCCGGGAGCAUGAAACUUCCUUUUUAAUUUGGAUAUGAGGUUCGGGGUGUCGGGAUGGCUUCGGGGGUUUAUGCGCAGAGUUUCGGCACAAAGAGGAGAAGAAAUGAGCAAAAAUACCCGGAACCCUCGCAUCCUAUUUAUAGGAGGUUGAGGCCUCGUCGUACGCUGGGCGUACAGCCUUACGCGGGGCGUAAGCCGCCGAAUUCGUCACUGCAUGCAUCAUCCGAAGAACUCGAGUGCGAGGUGCAUCAUGCUUCGCGGUACACUGAUCAUUGAUUCCUUCGGAUAUACAUCCGAAUUAAAGAUUAAAUUUAAAUACUAAUUAUUUAAUAAACUUCGGAAAUUCAUAUCUUCUUCAUACGAACUCUGUUUUCGACGUUCUUUAUAUCCACGCUUAGGUGAGACUACAUUCUACAACUUUCGUUUAGACUUCGUCUGCUAAUUUUGAAUUUAUUUAUAUUAUUUAUUUUUAGUAGGCCCGGACAGGAAAACUUCGUUAUAAAUUCAUAAUUUCUUCGUUUGACGUCCGUUCUCGCCUAACUUUUUAUCGUUUUACUACAAUUAAUGAGAUCUCCGAUUCUCAUUUAGAUUGUUUCGGCUAAAAACCGCUCGGUCUCAAAUUGAGUAUUCGGGCUGCAUACCGCUAAGUCAAAACUUCGAAAAAUUAUAACUUCCUCAUACGAAGUCAGAUUUUGGCGUUCUUUUUAUGCACGCUCUCGGUUUAACGAACUCUACGACUUUCGUUUAGAUUACUAAGGCUAAAUAUCGCUCUAACGUAAAUUUCACUUUUUACGUCAUUCAGCGUUUGUCGGUUCUGUCGCGAAACUUCGACAGGUUAUAACUUCUUCGUUAUAACUCGGAUUUCGACAUUCCUUAUAUCUCCGGAAUCCUUGUUUCGAGCACUACAACCUUAUGUAAAGAUAUUGAGUUUAUUUUACACUUAAAUUUUGACGCUUAUUUUAUUCUUAAUUAAUCAAAUCACAUAAUUAAGCAAUUAAGCACAAAACACAUAAUACUCAAAUAAUUCAUCAUUAAUACUUCAAAAAGAGUUACAAGGGUUAACCUAGACUAUUAAAUCAAUGAAAAUGCCUAGCCUGGAAACGCAGGCGUUACAAUUCUCUCCCUCUUAGGAUGAUUCCAUCCCCGGAAUCACACAUCAACAAACAAAUGCGGAUAGCGACUCAACAUGUCACUCUCCGUUUCCCAGGUGAGAUUUGACCCAUUCGUAUGUUUCCAACGGACAAGCACUAAUUCGACCAUCUUGCAUCGAAGCUUCUUAGUCUUUCGGUCAACAAUUGCCUCAGGUUCUUCAAUUAACCUCUUGUUUUCAUCAAUUCUCAAUUCAGAAAUUGGAAUUAUAUCGGGAACUUCUCCCGUGAACUUCCUCAAAUAACACACAUGAAAAGUGUUGUGAAUUCCAUUCAGUUCUUCGGGUAAUUCGAGCUUGUAAGCUUGGUUCCCAAUCCUCUGAAGAACUUUAAACGGUCCAAUAAACCUUGGACUCAACUUUCCCCUUUUACCAAAUCUUAUAAGUCCCUUCCACGGCGAGACUUUAAGCAAAACCGAAUCUCCAACCUCAAAAGUCAUCGGUCUUCGCUUCUUGUCAGCAUAGCUCUUUUGAUGAUCUUGAGCUGCUAACAUCCUUUCCCUAAUCACUUUCAACUUCUCAGCAGUUUGAUGGACCGUCUCGGGACCCAUAAACUGUUUUUCCCUAGCCUCAAGCCAACAAGACGGCGUACGACACUUUUAUCCGUACAAAGCUUGAUAAAGUGCCAUCUUUAUGCUUGAGUGGAAACUAUUGUUGUAGGAAAAUUCUACCAAAGGUAAAUAUUCAUCCCAAUUACCUAGGAAUUCUAGGGUACAUGCUCUUAGCAUAUCUUCAAGUGUUUGUAUUGUUCUUUCACUCUGACCAUCAGUCUGCGGAUGGUAAGCUGUACUUAAACAUAACUUGGUACCCAUUUCCUUUUGUAGACUUUUCCAAAAUCUUGAGGUGAAACGGCUAUCACGAUCCGAUACAAUCGUUAACGGAACACCGUGAAGCCUCACAAUUUCCUUCACGUAAGAAUUCGCAAGCUUUUCCAUAGACCAUUUCUCCUUGGCCGCUAUGAAAUGCGCACUCUUAGUGAAUCGAUCAACGACCACCCAAAUCAUGUCGUGACCAUUCUUUGUUCUGGGCAGUUUAGUGACAAAAUCCAUAGCAAUGUCUUCCCACUUACCCAUAGGCACAGGCAAAGGUUCUAAACUCCCGUACGGUUUCUGAUGUUGUGUCUUGACUCUCGCACAAGUCACACACUCGGCCACAUACUUUGCAACAUCAAGCUUCAUCGUCGGCCACCAGUAGUAGGGUUUCAGGUCCCUAUACAUUUUAGUGCUACCCGGAUGAAUCGAGUACAUGGUCUUGUGAGCUUCUUCCAUCAGAAGAUCCCUAAUUCCUCCUGACUUAGGUACCCAAAUACGAUCUUGGAAUACCUUCAGUCCAUGACCGUUUGUACCAAACACCAACGUUUUACCCAAACGUUCCUCCUUCCGGUCAUUCUUCUCAGAAGCUUCCUCUUGAGCUCUCUUUAUACUCUCCACAAUUGUCGAGACAACUUCUAUUUUCAAUGCUCUUGGCCUUUUCCUUUCAACAUUGACUUUACGACUAAGACCAUCAGCAACAACAUUAGUUUUACCGGGAUGGUAAAGUAUCUCACAGUCGUAGUCCUUGAGUAACUCUAGCCAGUGUCAUUGCCUCAUAUUCAAUUCUUUCUGAUUAAAGAGAUAUUGGAGACUCUUAUGAUCAGUGAAAAGUUUGCACUUCAUGCCAUAGAGGUAAUGCCUCCAUAUUUUUAGAGCAAAAACUACCGCUGCCAACUCCAAAUCAUGAGUCGGGUAGUUCUUUUCAUGCUCUUUUAGCUGUCGAGAUGCAUACACGAUCACGUUAUCUCUUUGGGUCAAAAAACAACCCAAUCCAACUCCAGACGCAUCGCUAUAAAUAGCGAAGUCUUCAACUCCAUCGGGUAGAGAAAGAAUCGGUGCCUCGCAUAACUUCUUCUUUAGCUUCUCGAGUGCUUCUUUAUGCUUAUGACUCCAAGCAUAAGUAGCUCCUUUGUGGGUCAAAGCUGUCAAUGGACUAGCGAUCGAAGAAAAGCCUUGGAUAAACCUUCGGUAAUAUCCGGCUAAUCCUAAAAAGCUUCGGAUCUCCGUGGGACUUUUCGGUUGUUCCCACUUCAUUACAGCUUUAAUCUUUGCAGGAUCAACCAUUAUCCCUUCUUGGUUGAUCACUUGACCCAAGAAUUGGACUUCACGAAUCCAAAAUCACAUUUGGAGAACUUUGCAUACAACUUCUCCUGCUUCAAAACUUCUAACACUUCUUGCAAGUGUCUGCCAUGCUCCUUAUGGCUUUUCGAGUAAAUCAGAAUGUCAUUUAUGAACACUAUCACGGAUUUAUCAAGGAACGGAUUACAAACACUAUUCAUUAAAUCCAUGAAUGCUGCUGGAGCAUUGGUUAGUCCAAACAACAUAACCAAGAACUCAUAGUGUCCAUAUCGUGUUCUGAACGCAAUCUUCUCGAUAUCCUGCNAUCCUGACCUAAGAUCGAUCUUCGAGAAAUAGCUCGAACCUUGCAAUUGAUCAAACAGGUCAUCAAUCCUCGGCAACGGAUAUCUAUUCUUUAUUGUUGCCUUGUUCAGCUCUCUGUAAUCGAUGCACAUUCUCAUACUUCCAUCUUUCUUCUUUACGAAUAACACCGGAGCUCCCCAGGGCGAUGAACUAGGUCUAAUGAAACCUUUGUCCAAUAACUCCUGAAGUUGCAUCAUCAGCUCCUUCAUCUCCGUCGGUGCUAAUCGAUAAGGUGCUUUUGCUAUUGGCGUGGUUCCUGGUAACAAGUCAAUUCUGAACUCCACUUGUCUAUCAGGUGGUAAUCCAGGAAGAUCUUCGGGAAAUACUUCUGGAUAAUCACACACCACUGGAAUACUCUGCAUCACCUUCUUUUCCUUCUUAGCAUCAAUCACGAAUGCUAAAUAUGAUGUACAUCCCUUGGUCAAACACUUUCUGGCUUUCAUUAGGGAAAUGAUUCCAGAAUUUACUCAGCGUUUGUCCCGAAACACCAUAAACGAAUCUUUCCCAGGUGGGUUUACUUUAACUAUCUUCUUCUUGCAUAAAAUUUCGGCAUCAUUGGCGCUAAGCCAAUCCAUUCCCAGAACGACGUCGAAACCAUUAAGUUUGAUAGGAAAUAAUUCAUCGUGAAACUUAUUCCCAUUAAGGUCGAUUAAGAUGUUUUUCAUACGAUGGCUAACAGGUACAAACUUGCUACUAGCAACUUCGACUAAUAAAGCAUUAUCUAGUCUAUCAAUAGGCAAAGCUAUUUUUCUACCAAACUCAUGCGAAAUAAAGGAGUGGUUGGCUCCAAAAUCAAACAAAAUUUGAGCAGGUAAUUCGUUUACGAGAAAGGUACCUGAAGCGACAUCAACUUUAUCUUUAGCAGCCUCAAGUGUCAUUUGGAAGGCUCUCGCCUUCGGCUUUGGUGGAAUGUUGGGCUCAGCUGCCUCCUUCUUCUUCGGACAGUCUUUCAAAAUGUGCCCCUCUUCAUUGCAACCAAAACACAUCCUUUUGUUGGACGAACACUCAUUGGCAAAAUGCCCAAUUUUUCCACACUUGUAGCAGGUUACAUCCUCACUACACUUCCCAAAGUGCUUUUUCUUACACUUAUCACACCAUUUCGCUUCGCAUCCUUUUCCUCCAAACUUUUUCGAAUCAGAUUUCGAAAAAUUGCUUCUCUUACCGGAACCAGAUGUUCCCUCAAACUUUCUCUUCUCACCAACCUCAACCUUGUCGGUGGUUCUCCCCUUAAUCAUGUUCUCAACAGACUUGACAUCCCAAAUAGCUGCCUCUAGAGCAGGUGCCUAACAAACUGGCACUGCGUACUCCCAUGAGAGUCCCUUUGCAUACCGGUCAACCUUUGUUAACUCAUCUGGAACGAUGCGCAAAGCAAACUCCAUCUUAUCGGUAAAGUUAUUAGUGUAUUCAUCAACUGACAUGCUGCCUUUCGUUAAUGUUAGAAACUUGUUCAUCAACUGAGCCGAGCAGAACUUGCGCUUGAACUGCACCAAGAAUUCUGCCCGUGUCAAUUGCAGUGGCUCAUUAGGGCUUAAAGUCUUCCCUAGAGUGUUCCACCAACGAACGGAUCCACCUCGGAACUGACGUACUGCGAACGNCCCUCCCCCCCCACCCACAAGUCAUAAAGGCUAACUCCAUUUCGGAGAUCCAAUCCAUCACUCCGAUCGGGUCCUCCUUUCCAGUGAAGGUCGAUGGUUUGCAAGUCAGAAAGUCCUUGUACUUGCAUCUUAUUCCAUCAUUCCUUCCAUCAAGGUUGUUUUGCCUAACUAUCAGUGGGUUGGCUUGACCAGCAGACCCACUGAAGUUUCCACCUUCCGAGUGCCCUUCAUUAAAUUCAGGCUCUUCCACAUGAAUUUACAGUUCUUCACGAUUCUGUUGAAGCAACCACCUAGUUUCAUCCAUCUGACGAUCCAACAUUGUUUGAAUCAUCAUUUGCACACCAGCCAUGGUUAUUGGCUCAGGUGCUGCUGCUACGACAGGUAUUUGUUCAAUCACUGGUGGUUGAUUCCUGUUUUCAUCAGCAUUUCCAACUCCACUUCUUGUUCUCACCAUUUUGAUCUACACACCGAAUAAGGUGAAAUUAGAUCCUCAAUCACGAUAGAUAUUCAAAUCAUCCUUAUCACUCCGAAACGUUCACAUGCUAGUUCUAAUAUUGUAGACGUACGCUUAGAAUCCUACACACAUAAAGUUUCUAGAUCCGGUUGGCAACAGACCAUAGAUCCGAACAAAUAAUAUCAUAUAUGGCAACAUAUAACAUUUAGCACAUAAAAGCAUUUUAGGCAACUUUCCUAAAAUAAACUAGUGCUCGUGUCUAAAACAUAAUAGACACAUAUCUCAAAACUUCACUUAGCAUUUUAAGUUUAAGUCUCGAAAUCCUACAAAUUCCUAGUUCGCUUAAACUAAUGCUCUGAUACCAACUGUGACAUCCCAAAAAUCUCGGCCAGAAAAGACCGAUUUUCAUUUAUGCUUUUAAAAUAAUUUCAGAGUAAAUCCUUUUGAUUUGAAAGAGUUGCGGAAUUUGUUCCCAAAAACAAAACGUGAUAAAAUAAUAUUUACCAAAGCAUUUCAUAAAAGAAAUGUAUUUUCAUUAUAUAAUCAAAACUCGGGAUGUCAUGUUCCGAUACAGACCAUAAAGCAUAAACGAUAACAUUACAAGUCAUUCAACAAAUAUAUACAUAUACAGACUUUUAAACAAAACAACUUGAUGGUUCAUCCAUCUUAUGCCCUUGCACCACUUCCUGUAAUACAAAUAAAACUGAGUGGGUCAGGCGUGGGAGCCUGGUGAGCAUAUAGGGUUUUCAACCCACAAUAAAUAAUUAUAUUUAAUUCCACCAAUCAACAAUAACCCAAUUACCCAUUCCCAUUAUUCUCACUUUACGUCCCUAAAACAACUAACACAAGGGACCCUAGUCUUAGAAUAUUUGAUCGGGGCAACAACACAUGCAUUCGGGGGUUUCCCGACAAUAUAUGUCAAAUAAGGCAACCAUGAGGGGGAUGGAGUACAGCGAAUGAACACCCAAGUUCAUUAAGACCUACAGGUGGCGAACCUGCUAGCGUUCCACAGGACUUUCUAGAAAAGUCUGUGGUCGUCAUCUAAACUCCGUUAGAUGACUGAAUCAAAACAACAACGAGGCCUCUCAUCUGUUUAUUACACACCAACUAUCUACCCAUGUUCUACCCAACAUAUUAGUAGAUAAAAACAUACAUUUUUAUACAUAGUUUAAAAACCUGUAUAGCAUGCUUUAAUCAAUACAUAUUCCAAAACAACAGAUGAGACACAUACACAUAACACGUAUUUCAUUGAGAAUAAAUCAUAUCUAUGAGAUAGAAGAAAGUGAAUAUACAUUCACGCAUAUAACAAGAAAAUGUACACAUAACACGUAUUUUAUAUUAAAUACUUAAUAAUUAUGCGUUAGAAGAAAGUAACCACACACUCACCUGAUCAGAAGAUGAUCGGACAGCACUAUGGCUUGCAGAAGUAGUAAUCCUCAGCAGAUCUGGAGGAUCUCUACAAAAAUCGAAUUUGGAUAUGAAUCGCACUUCUCGGGAUCCCGGGAGCGUGAAACUUCCUUUUUAAUUUGGAUAUGAGGUUCGGGGUGUCGGGAUGGCUUCGGGGGUUUACGCGCAGAGUUUCGGCACAAAGAGGAGAAGAAAUGAGCAAAAAUACCCGGAACCCUCGCAUCCUAUUUAUAGGAGGUUGAGGCCUCGCCGUACGCUGGGCGUACAGCCUGACGCGGGGCGUAAGCCUCCGAAUUCAUCACUGCAUGCGUCAUCCGAAGAACUCGAGUGCGAGGUGCGUCAUGCUUCAUGGUACGCUGAUCAUUGAAUCCUUCGGAUAUACAUCCGAAUUAAAGAUUAAAUUUAAAUAUUAAUUAUUUAAUAAACUUCGGAAAUUCAUAUCUUCUUCAUACGAACUCUGUUUUUGACGUUCUUUAUAUCCACGCGUAGGUGACACUACGCUCUACAACUUUUGUUUAGACUUCGUCGGCUAAUUUUGAAUUUAUUUUUAUUAUUUAUUUUUAGUAGGCCCGGACAGGAAAACUUCGUUAUAAAUUCAUAACUUCUUCGUUUGACGUCCGUUCUCGCCUAACUUUUUAUCGUUUUACUACAAUUAAUGAGAUCUUCGAUUCUCAUUUAGAUUGUUUCGGCUAAAAACCGCUCGGUGUCGAGUAUUCGGGUUGCAUACCGCUAAGUCGAAAUUUCGAAAAAUCAUAACUUCCUCAUACGAAGUCAGUUUUUGGCGUUCUUUUUAUGCACGCUCUUGGUUUAACGAACUCUACAACUUUCGUUUAGAUCACUAAGGCUAAAUAUCGCUCUAACGUAAAUUUCACUUUUUACGUCAUUUAGCGUUUGUCGGUUCUGUGUCGCGAAACUUCGACAGGUCAUAACUUCUUUGUUAUAACUCGGAUUUCGGCAUUCCUUAUAUCUCCGAAACCCUUGUUUCGAGCACUACAACUUUAUGUAAAGAUAUUGAGUUUAUUUUACACUUAAAUUUUGACGCUUAUUUUAUUCUUAAUUAAUCAAAUCACAUAAUUAAGCAAUUAAGCACAAAACACAUAAUACUCAAAUAAUUCAUCAUUAAUACUUCAAAAAGAGUUACAAGGGUUAACCUAGAGUAUUACAUCAAUGAAAAUGCCUAGCCUGAAAACGUGGGCGUUACAUUGCGCCAUCAGAUUUUGAUCUAAUAUUUAUUUGUGGAGACCCACUAUGGGAUUUGGGCCCAAUUUGGAAAAUUAGGCAAUAUUUGGGCCUUGGGUGUUUAAUUGGAAUUUGGGCUUUUGGAUUGUUGAAUUGGGCCUUGGAUUUGGGCCAAGUUAUGAAGAGGCUAAAAAGGGCUUUUACCCUAGUUUGGACACUUUGUAUGUGUCAGAUUCGAUUCUUGAUAGAUGAUUAACUUGUGAUUGAUAGUGCGAAGAUUUUAGCGGGGGCCAACAGUCAGAGAUUUAUCUGCGGGAUUCAGAAGUGCAAGGUGAGUCUCCUCACUGUGAUAUUGGGUCGAAGGCACUGAUGCCAGUCUAUUGGUUUAUAUAUCAUCGGAAGACUAGGAGGUGACCCUUGGCACUUAUAUGUGUCACACCCCCAAACCUGAACGGCGGAAACAUUGGAGGCGGAGGACGUCAUGUGCAGUACCAUAACAAUUAAAUAGUAAAGAAAGUAUACACCACCAUAAUAUAUAUAUAUAUAUAUAUGUAUAUAUAUAUUUGAAAAGUUUACAUGAUUGUAUGUGUUACAUGUUUGAAAGUCAAAUACAAUAUGGUGUUCCAAAAUAUGUUACUAACGACAGAGCGUUAAUCCCCAAAAGUAGUUGCUAACUUGGUUUAGCGAUUCCCUGAGAAUACAAGUUAUUUCAAAGAAAAAGUGUCAACAAUUAAGUUGGUGAGUUCAUAAGUAGUUAUUUGUGUAAAUGUAUGACAUUCGAAAGUUCACGUUUGUUUUCUAGAAAACUCGAUAUUUUCUUAUGAAAUGAGUUAUGAAUCGUUGUUGUAUGAAAUGAAUGUAUUGAACCAGGAAAAUCCUAUAUUUUCCUAAAUGUGAGAAGCAGUCUUAAAUGUCCAAGACUGUAACUUGUAAGCAAAUAUGUCAUGCUUAAACUGAUAACAUAUAGUUUUAUUAGUGAACAAAACUAUAAGAAGCUUGUAGUUGUAUGUAAAAGCAACCGUAAUAUUACUUUUCCCGUAAAAACAUAAUACCAUAAUAAUUGUCUAUCCAGUGAGUUUUCAUCACCGUACUAUGAUGGAUUUGCCUGUAGCGACGUUCUUCAGGCAUCGAAAUGUUAUGACACUUGUCACCCUUAACCUGCCGGUCCGGUUGUAGCUAACAGCCAGGGUACGAGAUCAUCAAUCCCAUAUAGAUCUAUACACACUUAUCACAUUCUCCGGACGGGAGACUCUGGUUAUAAAACAUCACUUUCUAGUGGUACCUUGAUAGGUAUAAUGAAGACGAAUGUCGCACGGAUUCUCAAUUAAGUCUAGUAUUUCAAAUUGAAUGUGUUAUAGUUGAAAUGGUUACCCUUGAUAUGAUGUAAUAUGUAAAUAUAUAAAUAAAGCAUAUUUGUAUUUAUAAAACAUAAUGUAUCCCAAGAGGGUAAAGUUGUGUUGUGAGAUGUUUUGCAUGUUCACAUCUUCAUAUGAUAGUUUUAACAACAAUAUGAAAAGUAUAGCAAAAGAUUGAUGUUUUCACACGAUUUUAGUCAUGUGUUUACUUGUAUUCCCCCCUCCCCCCCCCUCCCGUAAAAGUGUUUAAAAGCAUUUAAAAUCGUAGUGAUAGGGGUAUGAACUCACUUGGUAGAAAUUACGUUUUGAUGGAAACGAUGCUUUAUUCGGGCAACACUUCGACCGGAAACAAGUCGAUUUCUCGAGAAUCUCGAGGCUUUGAACUUCCGUCAAAGCUUGGAUAUGAAGUCAUGGAGUCGGGGUAGUCUCCAAAGGGUAGAAAGUGAAAAAGUAGUGGAGAGAGAUUGGAAAAUUAGCCCAUAAACCGGAGCCUUCGCAUCCUUUAUAUAGGGCUAGAAGAGGCCUCGAACGCGGAGCGUUCUUGCGAAGAACGCUUUUUCCAAAUGGAUUAUUUGUGAAUAAUGAUUAACACAACUUUUUAUCUGUUUUCAGUAAAAAAAAAGGAAGAAUGUUGGUUCAAGCUUUAUCCUAAAGGAAGCCUAACAUAAAUGGUCGUGCACAUAAGGUAUACUUUUUGACACCCAAACAUUUUCUCUCUUCGCGUGAACAAAAGGCACACACAACCGAAUAUUAGGAAUCAAAGUUCUCAAUCUGUUUAGGGUGUAACAAAAUAAGAGGAGUUAUAACCUUUCAUUGAAUGCAUUAAAGUGGAAAUAUUAAAAUUUUAAAUCAUUGAAUACUACAAAUAUAUGUUCAUACCAUGUCUAAACACUAAGUGUCAAAAUCUAGGAUUGAAUUGUCACCAUUCCCUGUACUUGUCACAGUGUAAUAUGCAAUUGGGACAAUUCAUAGAUUAAUCAUCUUCCGUAGAUGUUCUUAGGUAAAUUCUAUGUUAAUAACAAACUAUUGCAUUUUGGAAAACACUAUGAAUUUGUUUAAGCAUAUUGCUUAAUUUUAAGGAAUCUUAUUGAUUGAUUCAUUCUUUGGAUAGAACCAAGCAACAUAUUGAGAAUGUUUAAAUUGCUUCAAGAGUUCGGAGGAGAUGUGUCACUAGGAAUCAUUAAUAUUGUUGAAUCAAGAGAAUGUAACAUAAACUUUUACUAUUUUCUUACUUUUCCUUCUUAUGUAGGGUGAGGGGGAAUCGUCAAGGUCUCAUCCUUCAUUCACAGGAACAGGGUUGAGAAAGAGAGGCUACAUGGCUGGCAUGAAUAGAAAAUAGAUGCAUUCGGCGAAUUGGGGAAUCUUCAAGGUCAAUCGUGUGCAAGUCAAUGAGCUAUAUCCUAGUUUUCCAGAAGAAUUAAGAUAAUAUAUACCAGCCUCUACUGCAAAAUUAAACACAUUUGGAAUUGUAUAUUUAUCAAAAUUAAAUACUUUUCCAUGUGUGCUGUUUCCCCAUGAUUCUUUUAAGCAUAGUUAUCAAAAUUAAACACUUCUCGAAUUGUGUGCUAUUUCCUUAUACCGGUAUCUAGAUUGGAGAUAAAAGGAGUAGAGGCUUUAAUUAUCUCAUAUGCAACAACUAUAGUAGCCAACCUAAUUUGAAUACAACAAAAUGUCACCAUAAACAAAAACUAAGAAGCAACACCCAAAUGAUGAGAGAAGAAGCAGCUCCAAUAACUUUUUCACUCUUGCAAUACUCUCAAUGUAGAAAAUACUUGACCCUCUCAUUCCUAAACACUAUACAAAACAUUAAAUGUAAUUAAGUCGCCUGUUUAAGUCAAAAGCUAGAUUGCCCAAAAAAUUAUUCUAUUUAACUUCUUUGUGGGCAAUUGAGGAGAUCAAGAAACACAAUGCCUUCGAUCCUACAUCAACAACCUACAAAACAAAGCAACCUCCAUCUUCCUCAUAAUCACCAUUUUUUCAUCACUGUUAAUAGUCGUUGAAGUUCUUUACUUUCUUUACUACAUAUGUUAUUCGUUGGUAGUCAAAUUCAUGUUCUUGAACCCAAAGAACACCACAGCUAUCAGAACUUUUAUCGAACACUUGGCGUGUGUUCUUACAAACUCCACCUCAACCCAAAAUCUCUUUGUUGAGGGACCCCAUUUUCGAUUCAAAUCACCAAAACAAAUACAAUCCAAUAAAAUCAAUAUGAAUUAUGAUUUGAGAUUUAAAAAAAAUCACGUAAAAUAUGCACCCAAAAACAGUAUGGUUUUCACUUACGACAGAAAUAUCCAUUGAUUAUCCACUAUGAAGUUAUAACUGAAACACCAUUCUUACAUCUCCAUCCUCCACAAUAUGUAUGUGUUUAUGCGUAAAGAUACAAAGAAGAAUUAGACCCGGGAAUUCAAACCUUUGUACGUACAUUAUCUAAGGGGGUGUUUGGAUAGGAAAAAAAGAGGUGCUUAUUGCUUAUUCCCACAAUAAGCUAAUUUAAGUGUUUGGAUAAAAUCCAGCUUAUUAGGCUAAAUAAGCUAAUUUUAAUAAGCAUUUCUUUCCAUGCUUAUUGCUUAUUGCUUAUUUCCACCACAAAUAAGCUAUAAGCAAUAAGCUAAAAAUCUAAUCCAAACACCCCCUAAAUGGGUUAUACACAUUUCCCCAUAUUUACAUUAACAGUCCCUAGAAAUAUGUGUGUAUGUCUACUUUAGCCCUAGACUUUUAUUUUUAAGCCACAUGGUCCUACAUCAACAUUUGAGCAUAAAUUUCAAGUACUUACAUGGCAUAUAAAACUGGCUAUAUCAGUUAUGGACGAUCAAAAAAACAGGUCAGCAUCCACUCUAAGCCUCUAUUAAGCCGAAAAAUAACUUCAGGGACCUUUUAAACUAAUUCGAAAAACAUUGUUACCCAUAAGUGACAUUAACCCUUGCAAAAAUUGUAUAUUACUUUGUAUGCAUAUGGUCAUUUCCAUGGAUUUAAUAGGUGGGCCACCAAGGACUAAAAAUGUGAUCAAAUCGUUGGUUUAGGGAUGGAAAAAGGUAAAUGAUGAAACUAUUCGACCAUAUCCAUGACAACAUAAACCAUAUGGUUUAUUUUUUUAGUGAACGUAGAGCUAGUUGUAUGAGUAUUUAACAGUUGAGCAAUCUAGUUAGAUGACCCAAUUGACAAACAGUGUGACCAAAUGUUUUUUUUUUUCGGCCUGAACAAGUAAAGUACCAAACUGUUGGACCAAAUUUAUAAAAGACAAAACACAGGGAUGAUUUUUGUAAUUUACUCAACAAAUAAUUACUUGCAGAAGUAAAGGGAAAGUACCUCUACACCAAAACACCCGCUUUCAAAAAAAAAUAAAUAAAAAAAAAUUUCAAAAGAAAGCAAAACGGUGUUUCUUUUUUUCUUUUUCGGGAAAGAACCUUGAAAGCCUCCGAUCCCAACGCGUAAGAAAACCCCAACAUUUUCGUUGUUUGUUUAUAGUCUCUCGCCCUCUCCCUUCUUUUCAUCGUGGACUCACCGUUUCCCUGUUGACUUACUGCUCAUCUUUCUUGGUCUUUGUCUCUGUUCAUUUUUCCUCUGUUAUCGUUACUUCAGGUUUAUGUAAACUCUCCUCAUCCUUACAAGCUAUUUUUGCUUGUCUAAGAAUUUCACUUAUCAAUCACAGAUCAUUUGAAUUUUCAUAAACAGGUGAUUAAAAUUUUGUCUAUUUCAGCUAAUUUUUUUUAGUUUACAUAUCAGUUAUAUUGUUACAGUCCAUUACGUUCUUGCUUGAAGUCAAGAAUGAUGUACAAAACUUUGCGCAGACUGGGAAAUUCUCCGAUUCUCAAAAAUUCCUUCGUUAAUCACUUUAUAUUUUGAGUUCAUAAACACCAUUUUUUUUACAUUUGAUUCUUUUUUUGAAUGAUGUUAUCUGCUCCUUAAUUGUACGCUAAACACUCAAAGCUUUAAUAUUCGAUUCACAUAAUUCUAGAUUGGCUGCUGAUGUUCCCUUUGUUCAAAACCUGCUGAUCUGUCAAAGCCAGAGUGUAAGACAUCCAGGUGUUAUUUUGCUUGAAUCAAUAUUAGGAUUUUGGUAGUGCAUAGUCUAGAUUCUGAAACAAAUAAGUAAUGCUCUCUCUGUUUGAAAAUAAGCUGGAUUAGGUUUGUGUUUGGAGGUACAAAACUGAUAAGAGAUUUCUUUGUAGAUUUAAGUCAUAUGAAUAACAUUUGUCAGCUAAGCUUAUGUCAUUUGUUACUUAAAUCAUUCAUACCUUCCGGUUUUGAGUGUUUCAACUUCUUCCACAAGUGCUUCUACUUCUGAUACAGAAAAUGGUCUUCUAAUUCUACGUUGUGAAACUUCACAUUUCUUGGUCAACUGAUAGUGCUUCAGUUUUCACUUACAAGGAUAGCAUCAGAGCUUUGGAAUCAGCCAUUCCAUCUUAUGGCGAUUCCGUUUGUAAGGGUAUAAUUUCUUGAUUCUUAUCAACUUGGUUUUAAGGGCAUUUCAGUUAUCAGGAUCAUUAGGGCAUUUACGUCUUUUUCAUAGACGAGAGAUCGAGAGAUCAAAAGUUGCAAUUUUGUCAGGGUAUAAUGUCUUGCAUAACAAACAGGGCCUUAAAGCAUUAGAAUUUCCACUCAAUAGUUUUGUUAGGGAGUUCAUAAUCUUUCUUUAAAGUUACUUUACAGUAUCUAGACGCCAUCAUCUUCCUUAUUCUUCUGUAUCCAGCCAGCACGUGACUGUGCCUGAAAUGCCCUCAUUUUGGUUCCAUGGUGAUUGAAUUUUCAUCAUCAUCAUCAUCAUCAUCAUCUCUAAUACCCAUCAUUACAUAUACCUUAUGUCUUACGAAAGGGUAGAUUUACACUACUAUGUAAGUGAACUUCAGAUGAAUUUUAUUUAGACAGUAAUAGGAUACUUAUGUGGGUUUACCAAAAUAAAAUAGAGAUGUUGUGCAACAAAUGAACAGAUUGGUUAGAUAUUUUCUUGCACCCCUGAAAAAAAAAAGAAAAAAAAACUCAAUUCAGUUAAGUGAGCAGCUACUCUUUAAAUAACUAAAUAACUCACAUGGCAAUGUAAUUUUUAUUUUACAUCAAUACUUUGCUAUUAGCAGAUGAGAUUUAAGUUGCAUAUUGUAAUCGGUAAUUUGCUAUUGUGCAGAGGCAUUUUGUAUGGGUCCUGACAUUUAAGCACCAGCACAAGUGAAGAAAGCCGGUGAAACCAACUUUCAUAAUUAAUAACAUGUGGAAGAGUUUGAGAGCUUACUGAGAAGUGUCAUCAACCCGUAAUUUAUUAUGGUCGUUCUAUCUGAUCUUCCAGAAGGAUCUUCAUCUUCUUCAUCAACUCAUGGUUAUAGUUCAUCAGCUCGUGUUCAUACUCCAUCCACUCAUGGUCAUAAUUCAUCAACUCAUAAUCAUAGAUAUGAUGUAUUUUUAAGUUUUAGAGGUGUUGACACUCGUCAUAGCUUCACUGAUCACCUUCAUAAGGCCCUCAUUGAUGCCAAUAUCAGUACCUUCUUGGAUGAUGAAGAGAUUGAAACAGGGGAAGAUCUGAAACCGGAACUGGAGAGUGCGAUUAAGGCAUCUCGGGCUUCUAUUAUCAUCUUGUCUAAGAAUUAUGCUUCUUCAACAUGGUGCCUGGAUGAAUUGGUGUUGAUCCUUGAGCAGCGUAUGACAUCCAACCAUAUCAUUGUCCCAAUAUUUUAUCAUGUGGAGCCCACCCAUGUCAGGAAGCAACAAAGUAGCUUUGGAGAUGCAAUGGCUAAGCAUAAACGGACAAUGGAGGCAGAGAUAAAUGCGGAUAAAAGAAGUCAAUUAGCUCAAAAGAUGAACCGAUGGAAUAAAGCGCUUACACAAGUUGCUGAUUUAAAAGGGAAUGACAUAAAUGGCAGGUAACCACUUUCUUACCCUUAUUCAUCUCCCAAUGCAUUUCAAUAAGUUUUUUCUAAAUCAUUAAAUAGACAUAUAUCUGAUGUAUUAUGAUAUAUAGAAGAUGCACAUAAUUGAAGAUAAGUUUCCAAAUAUGUGAUCUCCUAAACCAGUUCAUAUAGAUGGGUUAGCCAUUCUCAUAAUUUUCACAUGUUUGUUAUGCAUUUUGUAUUUUAGAUGAAGUUAGUGCAUUUAGAUGAACCAUCUCCUGGAUUUUUACAUGCUUUUUAUUUAAAAACCAAAGUUUGAUGAGUUUGCUAUGCAUUUACCGUUAAUUAUACCAUACUACCUUCAAAUCCCGGCUUUUAUGAUAAAUAAUUGCUUUUAGGUGUAUGUAGUAAAAGAUAGCCUAUAACUAUUUCAUGGCAUUUUGUUCAAAUCUAUGUAAACACCCACAUCGAUGGUUAAGUUUGAUAGUCUUGUAGAAACAUAGUGAAUUUUGGUGGCCUGUUAGUGGAAUCUUGUAUUUCAUUGGUUGCUUUGGUUAUACCAUAAUCAAAUCUUUAUGACCAAUCAUUAGCAAAAUCUUGUAUUUCAUGUCAUUUUGUUCAGAUUGAUGCAAACCAAUUAAUAAUAACAGCUAUGAUAUAAUCUUAGUUUGGAUCUUUGAAUAAGUUAAAUCUCACAAUCUGGUUCAUUAGUUUUGUAGAUUGUGUUUUGAAGUUCUUAUAUAAUCAAGUUUCAGGUUAGAGACGGAGUUUAUUGAAGAAAUUGUGAAGGACAUCCACUGUAGAUUACAUGUGCACUUAAGGAGUGUUGGACCACAACUUAUUGGGAUGAAUUAUCAUAUUAACUUUGUAACUUCAUGGUUAAAAGAUGGAUCCUCACAUACAGUAGACAUACUUACUAUUUAUGGUAUAGGUGGGAUCGGGAAGACAUCUUUAGCCAGACAUGUAUAUGGGCUAUAUUCUCAUGAAUUCCACAGAAGCAGCUAUAUUGAAGAUAUCACUAGAAAAUGUGGGGGAAAGUUUAAUGGGUUACUUGAUUUACAAGAAAAACUCUGCAAUGACAUUUCAAAAACAAGUUCAAUUAAAGUUCAUGAUGUUUCGGUAUACACCACAAAGAUACAGAAUGCACUAGCCCUUAAAAGGGUGUUUCUAUUUCUUGAUGAUAUCAAUACUCUUGUUCAGUUGGAUGCAUUACUUGGAAGCAAAGGUUUUCAUCCUGGAAGCAAAAUUAUAAUUACAACAAAAGACAGUUGGUUGACUGAGAGUUGUGCUUUAUUCAAAACAAACAUUAAACCCAAGCAUGAAAGGCAUUUACUUCAAGGCUUAGGUUAUAGUGCAUCGCUACAACUUUUGAGUUCUCAUGCAUUCGUGUGCAACCAACCCAAGGCGGGAUAUGAAGAGGUGUCUGAUAAACUUGUUAAGUAUUGUGAAGGACAUCCAUUGGCUCUUGAAGUUUUGGGAAAGUCUCUGCAUAAUCGAGAUGUAGCUUAUUGGGAAGGGUGCAUCGAAGGGUUAAAGAAAGAAAUUAGUUCCCCUAUAAAUAAUGUUUUAAAAAUGAGUUUCGACACCUUACCAUCCAAAAAUAAUAAGGACUUGUUUAAGUAUAUUGCUUGUUUUUUGUUGGAAUAGAUAGAGAUGUCACCGAAACAAUACUAGAGGCAUGUGAUAUAAACACAAGAUCCGGGAUCAUGAAUCUCAUUGACAGAUGUCUUCUUAGUAUUGGAUGGAAUAGUGAAUUGAAGAUGCAUCAGUUGGUUCAAGAGCUGGGAAGAUUCGAAGUACGUCAAGAGUCACUUGACAAACCAUGGAAGCGAAGUCAAAUAUGGUGUCAUAAGGAGUCAUUCAAAGUGUUGAAACAAAAAAAGGUGAGAGCUUAUGUAUACUUGUUGGUAGUGUGCAUAUUCAAAUUACAUUUUAUUAUUCAUUUUUAUUUUUGGCCAUCUGUUUCUUCUUAGGGUAAGGGAAAUCUUCUAGGCCUUACCCUUGACAUGCGCAUGCUUGAGAAAGAGAAGUUGGGUAUAUCAUAUGAGCUAAAAACAGAUGCAUUAAGUAACAUGGAUAAUUUGAUGCUACUGCAACUCAAUUAUGUGCACAUGAAUGGGUCUUUUGCAAACUUCCCAGAGGAAUUAAGAGGUUUGUGUAUGCAUGGUUCCAUUUAAAGUCUAUACCUUUAGACUUACCGAUGAUGAAUUUGGUUGCUCUUGACAUGUCAUAUAGCAAUAUCGAAUCAUUUGUCGGUUGUUAUAAUAAUCCACAACGGCUUGAAAAGAGGCAAAAGGUAACUUAUCUUCAUUUAUUAUUCGUCUGUGCUGAGUUGAUGGAAUUCUCAACUGUUCUAUCUUAUUUCCAUUUCUGUAGUUGGAUGGAUCGUGCUUAAAAGACAAAAGGUUGCUUGGAUCAUUAAAGAUUCUUAAUUUAAGCUUCUGUAAACAACUCCGUAGUCUUGGUGAUUUUGACCAACUUCCUGCACUUGAGAAGUUAAUAGUUAGAAACUGCAUUGGUUUGCUCGAUGUUUGUGAAUCAAUUGAGCAAUGUGCUGAACUUGUCUUCAUCGAUCUGAGCUACUGCAAGAAGCUUGAAAAACUUCCAAGAAAUGUAGGCAUGUUGAAGAAUGUUAAAACAAUGUUGCUAGAUGGUUGUAGUCCUGGUGGAUCUCGAAUCCAGAGGGCUAGCAACAUUGACAUAAAUACAAGAACCUCUUCCUCUUCCUUUAUGGUUGGUAUACCAAGUGAUUUGAAGUUCUUUGUAAUUUAUUUACCAAGGUCUUUAGUAAGUUUGUCAGUUGCAAAUAGUAAUAUGUCCACUAAAUCCUUUCCCAUGGACUUGAGUUGCCUAUCCAUGUUAAAGGAAUUAUAUUUAGAUGGCAAUCCUAUGAAUUCCAUGCCCAGUUGUGUGAGAACCCUUCCUAGGCUUGAGAUACUUAGUAUGGAGAAUUGUAGAAAGUUAAAGUCAGUUGAGCAUCCUCCACGAACACUAAAAAGGUUGCUCUUUUAUGUUAAUGGGGAUCUUCAAGGAAAAGUCGUAUUUGAUCCAGAGAUGUCCCCACUACAGUUAUCAUCAACGGUGUCGGUUUCUGCAGCUUUCUCAUAUGAAAUUGAAGGCAUUGUGAAAAUCCAACCAAUGGUAUGUGUUGAGGAAGAGGUAUUACGUAGCUUGGGCUGGAGUAAUUUAGACUUUCUUAACCAAAGGCACUUGGGAGCUUAUUCUUGGGAAUCUGGAACCCAGGUUUUUUUAGUUAAUUGUUUGUCUCUAUAUGAAUAUGUAUAAUAUAAUUAUUAUGGUGAUUAAUUAAGGUGAUUGUAUUUUGCAGAUGAUUUAUGAAUUUGGAAUAUUCAGCACAAUGUAUGAGGCGCAGGAGAUGCCGAGUUGGUUUAGGCAUAGAAGUGUGGGGCCAUCAAUAUCAUUUACCAUGCCAUCAUCAUCAUCAUCAUCAUCAUCAUCAUCAUUGUCAUCAUCUCCAAACAACCUCCUAAAAGGACUCAACUUCUGCUUCUCUGCUGACAAAUUGAGACCUGCAGUUCCAUAUGGUUGGUUCCAUUGGUCACCGGUGAUGGCAAUUACUAAUAUAACAAAGAACCACACGUGGAUAUACAAACGUUACAAAGACAGUUAUUGUUUUGAUCGAAAGUGUUGGGUGUUGUUAAGUCAUUGGAUGUUUGGGAUGAAUGAGAUGGAGGCUGGUGAUCAUGUUACUAUUUUUGUUACACUGCCAUAUAAUGAAUGUGUAAAGGAGUGUGGGGUGAGUCUUGUGUAUGAUGAUGGAGAGAAGAAGGAUGAGGAAGAAGAUGUGUUGGGUUAUUACAAGUCAUGGAAUCAUAUAAUUGGUGGAGAUCUCUCUCCUUUUAAGACAACUACAGGACAAUACGUCUUAUACUACUGGCGGUUUUUUGAUUAUGGCGUUACAUUGUAUCAAUAUUAUCGUAAAUUUGUUCCGGACGGCCCCCACUUUCAAGGUAGAUGUGAUUUUUGUUAAAUAGAUGGAUAACGACCCAUUUAUUUUAGCAGAUGGAUCAUAACUUAAAUCUUUUAAACAAAUGGAUCAUAUGACCAAAAUCCUCUCAUUUUAUUGAUCUAUAAGAUAGUAUUUUUUUUAUAAAAUAUAAAAAAUAAAAGUUGCACUUUUAAUUUAUGAAAUGAAUAAACCCAAAACAUCGAUUAGUCUAGUCUACACCAGGAGGUCCAGGAAGCCCAUCAAAUUAGUUGGGAUCAAGUCCAGUGCUUUUUGGUUGGGUAUGGUGUGCUGGCAUCCAUUUUACCCUACCCUAAGGAGUAUUUAAGCUUUUCAUUUUCUAGAAGAUUGUUAGCUAAGAAAAUUGUAGUAGCAAACAUGACUGGAGAGGCCCUUAAUUCCUCUGAAAGAAUGGGAAAACCCUAAUAAAUCAUUCAAUCAGUUAGUUGUUUCUGGUUGUGAAUUUCCUGCUUAUUCUCUUUACUUUGUGUGGGAGCUUAUAAGUACAAUCAAUUGAUCUAGGCUUUUGAUCUGUUGUAUCACAUAAAUACAUACGACUACUUUGUCCAGGUGGAUUGUUUGUGAAUAAUGAUUAACACGACUUUUUUUUUUUUUUUUUAUCUAUUUUCAGCACAAACAGAAAAGUGUUGGUUCAGAGCUUUCUCCCAGGGAAUCCUUGCAUAAUUGGAGGUGCAAAUGAGGUAUACCUUUUGACACCCAAACCCUUUCUCGCUUCACAUGACCAAAAGGCAUACAAAAUAAAAUAUUAGGAAUCAAAGUUCUCAAUUGGAUUAGGAUCUAAUAAUAAUAAGAGGAGUUAUAACAUUGCAAUGAACGCUUGAAAAUGCAAACAUUAAAAUUUAUAAUCAUUGAGUACUGUUAUGAAUUUCAGUUCAUACCAUGUCUAGACACAAUGGGUCAAAAUCUAGCUAGGAUCAAAUUCUCACCAUUCCCUGUACUUGUUAUGCAAUCGAGUUUAGUAGAUGUUGUUCUUGGGCAAAUUCUAUGUUAAUAACAAACUAUUGAACUUUGGAAAACAAUAUGAAAUUGUUUAAGAAUAUUGCUUGAUUUUAAGGAAUCUUCUUGAUAGAUGCCUUUUUUUAGGAUAGGACCAAGCAACGUGUUCAGAAUGCAUAAAUUCCUUCAAGAGUUUGGAAGAGAUGUAUCACUAGGAGUCAUUAAUUCUGUUGAAUCAAGAAAAUGUAACAUAAUAUUUACACUUCCAGGUAACUAUCUGUUUUCAUAGCAUUUUGUAUUAUAUCUUGUAUACUUACAUAACUUUUAUUUUUGUUUUUUUACUUUUCCUUUAUUUGUAGGGUGAGAAGGAAUCUUCAAGGUCUCGUCCUUCACAUGAAAAUGCUUGAAAAAUAGUUUGAUUCAUUUGAAAAUAGAUUCAUUCGGAAAAUGGGUAACCUAAUGCUAUUGCAACUCAAUGGUCUGCAAUUGAAUGAGUUAUAUCCUACUGCAGCUCAAUCGUGUGCACCUCAAUGACUUACUUUUAUCCAUACCUUUCCAGAAGUGUUAACAUAAUAUAUACUAGCCUCUGUUGAAAAGACUAAACAAAUUUCAAAUUGUAUGUUAUUUCCCCAUAAUUCUUUUAAGCAUAGUUGUCAAAAUUAAGCACUUCUCGAUUGUGUGCUAUUUCCUCAUAAUUUGAACUGAAAUCUUGGUAUCAAUCAUUCCCUAAUCAACAAUUUCCAUCAGUCUAUGGGCUAAAAAUCUCAAAUCCUUUUUGGGAUUCUAUAAUUUAUUUUGGUACUAUCUAAAAAUUCGCACACUACACCAUAAUAUCCUUUUUAGGCUCCGAUUCUGAAAGAUGAGAAUUCUCUUAUCAUUUGUUUUUUGAUUUUAGAAGCAACAUCUUUAGGUCACCCCUUUUUCUUCACAACACGGAACAGGAUACUAUCACAGAUUAAUUUAUAUUUCUUUUAUUUACUAUCCUAUUUAUCUUCAUAUUUACAUUAUGUUGUUGCCUAAAGAAUAUCAUAUUCUCAUUUGUUUUUAUUUUCCAUCCCAUCUUGAUAACCUAUGAAGUAUCAGUAGUGUUUUUGCACCACUCUCAUUUACAGGUUUUUACAUCUUGAUAUCUCAUCUUGAUUCCGCCUCAUUUGAGCUAAAAAACCGUUCAUCUCCUUACGAACAACUUGAUUACCAUUGAAGUCAUUCAGUUGGCCAUAAUUAACCUUGUUUUCCAUACCCACAUUGGAGAUACAAAUAAGGUUCUUUUUAACAGUCCUUAUGCAUACUUUGCUCCCUACCCUGUAAUUUUUCAAUCUCUAACAAUUCCAACCUGUCAUCCACCACGAUGCUUGGUGACCGUUGCUCAAGAGAAGCAAACAAAGAAACAAAGAAGACUAAAUUACAAAAAUCGUCUCUAUGGAAUAUUACCUUUUAUCCUUAUGGUCAUUUUGAUGAAUUUAAUAGGUCGGCCGCCAAGGACCGAAGGUGUGACCAAACGUUGGUUUAGUGAUGGAAAAGGUAAAUGGUGAAACUAUUAGACAAUAUCCAUGACAACAUAAACCAUAUGCUCAAUUUUUGUAGUCAACAUAAAACUAGUUACAUGAGUAUUUAAUAGUUUGAUCGAUCUAGUUACACGACCCAACUGAUUAACAGUGUGAACAAAUCUUGUUUUUGGGCUGAACAAGCAAAUAUGAAACUACUGGACCAAUUUAUAAAAAGAUGAAACACAGGUAUGGUUUCUGUAAUUUAGUAAACAAAUAAUUACUUGAAUUUUUGAUGUUAUUAACUAUUUUUCCCAAUUUUUAAGCCUCCAUGACAAUAUAAAUUCGUGAAAAAUAGUAUCCAGAUGAUAAAAAAUUCAUCAUACUUCCACUAAACAAACUUAAGCUGGGAAAAAUAUAAAAUGGGUUUCUAAAUAGUUACCUGGACUUUAUUAUUUUUUGUGUAUUUAUUCUAACAAAAAUGGAAAUAAAUAGAAUACAGUUUCCAAAAUCGCCCAAACUUUUUUUAACUCUGAUUUUAUACAUAUAUAAGCUGUGAAAAAUAUAAAAAAAUAUUUUUCAAUUAGAUUUUCUAUUUUUCUUUGUUUUAUUCUCUUGAAUAAUCAUUAAUUGGUGAAUAAUUAUCAAACUAUUAAAUUAAAUUACCAAAAUAUUUGAAAACUUCGUUUACAGUGUACAUAAUCUGGGAAAAAUAUCAAUGGUGAUUUUUACAUAUUGUAAUAUGAUUUUGUGGAUUUAAGUGUAUUUAAUCUUAGAAAUAGGGGAAAAAUAGUAUACCGAAUAGAAAAAUCAUCAAAAAUUUUAGUUACAGUUCUAAUAUAUAUGAGAGUCCUCUGGUACAUUUUCAUGAAUUUUGAAUGAAUAAAACUAUUUUUCUCAUUAUUAGUCCAUUAUAAAUACAAAAAUCGGGGAAAAUAGAUAUGCAUCAUAAAAAAUUCUGAAAAUAUUUUUCUGAGUCUUCCACAUAGGGUAGGAGCUGCGAAAAUUGUUAGAUAGACUUUUCAAAUUUAUUAAGGUGGUUUUAUGAUUUAUUUGAAUUAAACAAAAAAAAAUUCAAAACCAUAGCAAAAAGUAACAAAAAUCGAUGAAACUCACUGAGAAGUCAUCAUUCACUUUAGGGUCAUCCACGAAUUUACCUAUGAUUUAUAGACAUCAGAAAAUAUUUUAUAUGAAUUGUUUCCCUAUUUUAUUGCAAUAAUUAUAAUAAUUCGAGAAAAAUGAAUUAUUUUCUGAAAAUUUGUAGAACAUCUCAUUUUGUUGAUGGAAUUCUAGGUAAAAUCGGAUUUUGUCAUAAAAGAAGUUUAACAUAUUUAUUUGGGAAUAAAUCUUUUAUGAACCUAUUUGAAUGCUUUUUAACAACAAACUUUGAUGAUCAAGCCUCUAAGCUUGAAGAUCAUCACAUGCAUGUUGGUUUUUGGGUGAAAUAAUAUCACCAUAAUCAUAAAAAUCAUGGUUAUGAACAUGCAUGUGAAUAAUCCAUCUAUAGAAUGGUGUAGAAAAAGAAGAUAUGCAAGAAAACUUGAGAUUUUGAAGGAAGAUUGAACGAUUUUCGUGAUUACCUUGAAGAACCACCCUAGAUGAUGAAGAUUUCAUGAUUAUAGGUGUUGUUUGAUCUUAUUUUUCCAAAAAUUUCAUGGGUUAGGAAGAGGGGGAAAGAAUGGGGGUUUUAGAGAGAAGAAAAGAGAGAUUAUAUCUCUCUGGAUAGAUCAUCUCUCUCGUCAUCUCUUUGGGGUUCCCCUUAACCAAAAGCGACCACAAAAAUACAGAGAUGCAUCAGGACUCAUGAAGAAUGGACUGGCUAAAUCUCUGCCACAGAUUCGGCUCCUAUGUUCGUCAGUUUUAAAGAGAAGUGAAAGAUAAGUUUUUAGAGAGAGAAAGAAAAAGGCGGAGUGUGGGAAAUGAGGGAUGUGAUUAUGAUUUUGGGGAAGAGAGGUAUGGGGGAGGAGAGAUCCGACUUUUGAAUGGAGAUAGAGGUUCCCUCUUUUAAAUUUUAUAAAAUUUAAAGCAAAUUUUAUAAAAAUAUCAAGGUUUUAUUCACAAUACGUUGAGUUUUGGCUUAUAAAUUAAGGGUAAUUGGUAAUGACCUAAAUUUUUUUUCCUUAAAUAAAUUUUCAUAAUUUUAAUUAUUAUAAGAUCAUAUUAUAAGUUUCAUAAUUAUUUUUAUAGAAUUUUUAAGUUUAAAGUUUAUAAAUACGAGUUUUUAUGGCUUUUAGGGUUUUGGAGUUUAUUAAACUUUGAAUAUCAAAAUAGAUUGAAUCUUUGAGACUUUAAAUUAUUUUUGUGUUUCCUAACUCUUAUUCAGGUUAGAAAUAAUGUUUGUAAUUUAUUUUUAACGGUUUAUUGGCAUUCUAUGUAGUGUUUCCGAGAUUCAAACGAAAUUGAGGAAUCAAGUAUACAAGUCAUAGUUUUCAACAUUGACUUAAGUUUCUAUGAGACAUUGACCUAAUUUCUACUUCUAGGUCAAGUGCAUGAUGUGUGUAUAUGAUUCUUAAAAAGGUUUUCGAGUCAAAGAGUGACCCAAAUAUGGAUAGUCUCUAUAGUUAAGUAGUUACAGAAUUCACAUAUUAAUGUGAAAUCUAAGUACACCAUCCAUUGUUUCUAUCUGUUUUCAAGUUUCUAGUAGGCUAUAACUUUGUUUCUAGCUACCAAUUCUAGUAUGUUUCAUGCUUAUAUGUGGAACUAAAUUUAGUCAAAUCUAGAACCGACUCGAAUUUUGACGGUUGUCACAGGAAGGGUGCUUAGAAGGGCUAAAGAAAGAAAUAGAUUCUCGUGUAAAUAAUGUCUUGAGAAUGAGCUUUGAUUCUUUGCCAUAUAAAAAUGAUAAGUACUUGUUUAAGUAUAUUGUUUUUUUUUGUUGGAAUUGAUAGAGAUGUUACUGAAACAAUAUUAAAAGCAUGUAAUAUAAAUACAAUAUAUGGAAUCCCGAAUCUCCUUGACCGAUUCCUUCUUACUAUUAGAGGGAAAAAUGAAUUGAAGAUGCAUUAGUUCGUUCAAGAGAUGGGAAGAUUCGAAGUAUCUCAAGAAUCACUUGAUAUGCCAUGGAAGCGAAGUCGAUUAUGGUGCCAUAAAGAGUCAUUCAGAGUGUUGAAACGAAAAAAGGUAAGAUGUCAUGUAUACUUUUUGUAAUGUGCAUGUCUGAAGCCCUUUUUAUUUUCUAAUACUCUAAUUUUUAAAAUUUAAAUUGUAUUUCUUCUUAGGGUAGGGGAAAUCUUCUAGGCCUUUCCCUUGACAUGCGCAUGCUUGAGAAAGAGAAGUUAGGUGCAUCAUUUGAGCUAAACACAGAUGCAUUGAGUAACAUGGAUAGUCUGAUGCUACUGCAACUCAAUUACAUUCACUUGAAUGGGUCUUAUGAAAGCUUUCCUUAGGAAUUAAGAGGGUUGUGUAUGCAUGGGUUUCGUUUAAAGUUUGUACCUUUAGACUUACCUAUGGAGAAUCUUGUUGCUCUUGAUAUGUCAUAUAGUAAUAUUGAAUCAUUUGUCAGUUGUUAUAGCAAUUCACAACGACUUGAGAAGAGGCAAAAGGUAAAUUAUAUUAAUUUUUUGUUCUUUCAUGUUCACUAUACAAUGUGUUUAUUAUGUUUAAAAAGGAGAGAGAUCUUUCAUUAAACUUUCCAUUAUAUUCAUUUUUUGUUCUUUCUUGUUCACUAUACAAUGUGUUUUGUAACACCCGUAGAUCUGGGCUAGUCAAUUUAGAGGCAAUAAGUGUCGAAAACGACUUUUUGGCAAAAGAUUAUUUAGAAUAAAUAAUCUUAACCAAGUUGUAGAAUAUGUCUCAAGGAUUCUGUACAUAUAAAGAACGCCGAAAUCCGAGUUAUAACGAAGAAGUUGUGGCCUGUCGAAGUUUUACGGCAAAACCGGCACGACACCGGGAGACGUAAAUAGUGAAUUUACGAAGGAGGACCUUUUAGUCUUGAUGAUCUAAACGAAAGUCGUAUAACAUGUUACACUGAGAGCGUCCAUAAAAAGAACGUCCAAAUCUGACUCCGUAUAAGGAAGUUAUGAAUUUUCUAAUAUUCAGCAUAGCAGUGCACGACCCGAAAUUCGAAUUUUAGUUUAAGCGGUUUUUGGCCAACACAACCUAAAUGAGAAUUGAAUAUCUUAUUAAUAUUAAUACAACGGUAAAAAGACAGACGAAAACGGACGUCGGAUGAAGAAGUUAUGUAUUUUGAACGGACUUUUCCUGUCCUGUUAAAAAUAUAAUUUUAAACAUAAAGUCAAAAUUAGCUGACGAAGUCUAAACGAAAGUUUUAGAGUACGUCUCCACCUGCGUGUGGAUAUAAAGAAGGUCAAAAACAGAGUUCGUAUGAACGAGUUACAAAUUAUAAUAACAUGUUUACAUAUUAAAAUAAAGNUAAACUUGAUAAGAUAUACAUUCAAUACUCAUUCCAGAUAAACAGAUCAUGUAUAUAUAUAUAUAUAUAGACACACACACACAUAUGUAUAUAUAUCAUUAGAAAGGUAUCAACGAUGUGGUCAUUAUAAGACUAAUGUUGAGUUCUUUCGACAUUAGUUUAAUACAAAUAUCGUUAAAUGUAUUUAAAAUAGUAUUAUAAAGGGGUGUUUAGUUGUUUAUAUAACUAUAAGGCCAUUAAGUAAUUAUGGAGGGUAGUUUUUGAAAAUUCAAUUACUAUAAAUAAGAGCCUUGGGCUCUCAUAUUUUUUGCAUCAUUCUCUUGAUUCAAAAGUCUUUCUCUUCUUAUCCCCCGAGCAUUUCGGUCCCUCGUGAUUCGACUUCUCUUUCUUUAGUUUUAGUAUAGUAAGGUUAGCGUUGCAUGAAUCUUUCUUAGAAAGAUUCAGUGGCGAAGUUCUGUCCCUGCAGAGCUCGGCUCCUAGCUAAAGCCCCUUUGCAAGUUCUGUCCGAGGGAAAUUAUUUUGAGAUAACGAAGUGCUGCCCAAUUGCAGAGUCACCACCUUUUCAAGUGAGUGCAUAGUUACUUUCAUCUUAAACAUAGAUAUGAAGUAUUUAAUAUAAAUUACGUGCUAUGUGUGCAAAUUGUCAGAAUACUUGUUGUCUAUGUUGAUGAAAGAUUUUUAUACAUGUUUUAAAUGAUUUAAAUUGUAUACUUAUUUUAUAUCUACAAAUAUGUUGGGUAUAACAUGGGUAGAUGAAUGAUGAGAGAUAAAAGAUGAUGUUAGUAAACAUUGGAAGCUAUAAAUUUAGUGUCCAGUAAAUAACACCGGCAUCUAUGGGCUUAGUGCAUAUUGGACAAACGAGGGUAGCUAUUGACUUAGUACCUAUUAGGUAAACACGAGUAGCUAUGGACUUAGUACAUGUUAGGUGUUGGUAGCUAUGGACUUAGUACUUGGUAGCUAUGGACUUAGUACCUGUUAGAUAAACGUUGGUAGCUAUGGAUUUAGUACCUAUAAUGGUAGCUAUGGAUUAAGUACCCGAUGAAUGAACUUUGGCAGCUAUGGAAUUAGUGCAUUGGCAGCUAUGGACUUAGUGCCUAUCUUAUAGCCCUGGAAGUAAGGGACUUCGGAAUGAACGAAUAGAUGACUCUUAGGGUAGACCCUUGAGAGUAAGGAAGAUAUGGGGAUGGGUAAUUGGGUUGAUUGUUUGAUGUUUAAACAAAAUAAUUAUAUUAUUGUGGGUUGAAAACCCUAUGUACUCACCAGGUUUCCCAACCUGACCCACUCAAGCUUAUUUGUAUCACAGGUGUCGAUAUGAAGUUACAUUACACUGAGAGAUUAAAGAGAUGUAGAUCACUAGUGUAAAUAAAUGUAAGUUCUGUUUAUGCUUAUGUUUCUGUAUUAAUGAUGACAUCCCACAUGUUUUAAAAUGAACAAAAAUACAUUUAUUCGGAAAUUCUUUGAUAACGUAUUUAUCAUGUUUUUUUCUGGGAACAAAUUCCGCAACACUUUUAUUAAAAGAUGUACUCUAAUUUUUAUAAAACAUAAACAAAAUCGGUCUUUUCUAGCCGUGAAAAUGGGGAUGUCACAGUUGAUAUCAGAGCAUUAGUUUAAACGAACUAGGAAUAAAGAUUUAUUUCAAGACUUAAACUUAGAAUGCUAAGCGACGAUUGUGAGGAGUGUGUCUAAUAAAUUUAGGUAAUACACCUGAGUAGACACAAGCACUAGCUUAUUUAGGGAAAAUGCCUAACAUACUUUUAUGUGCUAAAUGAUUUAUGAUAUGCAUUAUAAGAUCAGAUCUAUGGUCUGUUGACGACCGAAUCUGGAAACAUUAUGUGUUUAGGUUUUUAAAUGUUUAGUUACGGUAUUAGAGUUGGCACGUAACUUUUCAGAGUAAUAAGGAGUGUUACACGUCUAAAAUCUUCUCUAUCUAUAUUCUCGUCUUGAUGCGAUGAAUGCAUGCUUUAGUGAAAAUAACAUCAUGGUGAAGACUUAUAGAAAAUUGAGUAAAUAGAUGAAAUAAAAAAGGCUUAUGAUAGUGAAUGACACCUAUCAGAAGAUAUCGUAAGAGAAGUAUUUUGCCUUUAGAAUAUGUUAGAAGGUACGUUUAGAGGAGUACGGUACGUCCAAAGUACACCGUCGAUUGACGGGAUGAUGGAAUGUGGUGGUUGUCGAGGCCAACAAAAAUAAUAACCCUAAAUAUUACACACUAAAAUAGUGUAUAGCGGUAAAGGGGUCGAAUCCACAGAGAUUGGUUCAAUUUAUAACUCUAUGAAAAAUCUCUUUGUAAAAAUACUUGUAAAAUUACAAUAAAAAUAAAAUGGGGGGUUUUGGUGUUUUGAAAUACUUUAAACAAACUAGAAUUAACUAUGAUUUAAAUAGACAAUUUCAAGAAAAAUAAGGGUUUGAUGUAAAAUCAAUAAGGGUGAGAUGGUUGACUUAAAGUUUCCUCACUUUGACUUUUGAUGAACAUAUCAUUAGAAUCCAAUGGUGCAAUACUUUGAUUUAAAUCCUUAAUUUGGCUAUAGUAAUCCAAGGAGCUUGAGAUUACCUAGACUUUUCUUAAUUGUUGAAAUGGCUAGAGAAGCUCAUAAUAAUUUCCUUAGUCAAAGUCACUAAUUCCAAAUAGCAUGCAAUUAAUGAAAGUCAACUAGCAUUAAGAACCAAAAAGUCACCAAAUCCAAGAGGAGUCAAUUGCUUUCAUUACCAUGUUGGAGAUUUUUUUUAUGUGGUGUGAAGCAGAAACAACACAAAAAUCAUUUGUUGCUUGCUAAUUUGAGGAUCCUUUACUUAAUCAAGAAAUUAGCCAACUAAUCACCACAAACACAUUUAAACUCAUGAAUAAAAACAUAUUAGUAGUGAUAAUAUGAUAAAACACAAAACAUUUCCAUAAAGAUUUAAGAACAAGUUCAUGGAUUUUCAACAUUCAACAAAAGUUCAAAGGAUUCAACAAAAAGUCAACCAAGAUUAGUUUAGCCAAGCAUGACUAAACUUAAAGAAGCAAAAUUAGUUAAGAUUGUACCAAACAUUUGACAAGAAUCAAGAGAUGAAAGAAGAUAUUCUUGAAGUGUUCUUGGCCUUCAAAAGUACUCCAAACUCCAAAGAGAAUGUGUCAAACUCGGACCUCCAAGAUAAGGCUGAGAAGGAACGCCAACCUUCCCAAUAUAGAGCUUUAAGUAAAAUUCCAAAAUUGCCCUUGUCAGGAAUCCACGCGGACCGCGGGUAAUCUUACGCGGGCCGCGUUACUGCGAUGAAAUUUUUGGGCUUCUUCAAGUCUUGGGCCCCCACAGCUAAUCCAUUGGCCCAGUUCCAAUCCAAUCAUCUUCUAGCCCAUUUUUCUUCAAUAUUUCUUCAAUUAGAGCCCAAUUUGUCUCUCCACAUCACUCAAAACUUCCGCAAACUCCUAGACAUCGAUCUUGCACACUCAAGAAUUCUCCCGCGCCCUUUGAUAUUUAAUGUUCAAAACUUUCGCGCCUUCAAGCAGUUGACAAGCCUACUCCCUGAAUCACCUCCACAUCCAUCAAGCACGAAAUACCCACUACUCUUCAAGUGCAAUCGCCUUCCAAAAGAUCCCGCACACUCCCACUCCUCUAGUUUCCUUAAAAUCUGCAAUAAUGCUCAAGAAACUAGAAAGUACCCGAAUUGGUCAUAAAAAUAACAAAAAGGAAAAAAUACAUGGAAAUUAACUAAAAUGUGAAUGGAAUGUGCUAAAAAAACUAUAAAAAGAAGUAAAUAAAACGAAGCUAUCAGAACGAUUGGUUUAAUUCCUAAAGUUGUCCUAUCGUAUGGCAUUUCCACCACCAACCGAGUUGAAGCAGAAUUAAUGAUUGAAGAUACAUGUGGAAGAAGUCCUAGUAGAGUCUAGGGGAGAAUUUUGUGAUUGUAUGGACACAUUUGUAUGUGUUAAAUUUUUUUUUUUGUGAUAAAGACUUGGAAAACUACGACAUAAUACUUGGGACGGGUAUGAGUAGGUGUGGAUGGUAGUAGAGGCCUAUACUAUCGGAAGCACAACACUCUCACUUGGAUUAGGGAAAGUCACAAGGUUACCAAGAAGCUAGUAAUUGAUUUUGUUUUGUUCAUGUGUGUCAUUAUCAUUGUUUCGGUAAUAAUUAAGAAGAUGAUUGUUAUUCCGCCCCUAGUGUUCAUAUCAUAUUGAGUCCGACUAAGACGAGUAUGUUACGUGGUUCAGAGAACCAAGUUUGAUGUAACAUCUGACUUAAGCCAGAAGAUUGAAGUGAGAGAUAAUUGAAGUGAUCAACAGAAGUAUCGUUCUCGUUGUUAAAGCUUGUAGCUAGAAGUGCUACAUGCUAUGACAUGAUUAUAUCACAUUAGAACAUGAAGGAAGACAUAGUAUGUUCUGGAGUUUGACUCUAAGAGACCUGAGUCUAAGCGUUGCAAUAUACGAUGAUAGGUCAUUAGAAUAUGACACAUCGGUCCAUUGUAGUAAUAAAAGAACUUAUCUUAAGUUGAGUGUCCAGUAAGGAUCAAGAUUGCGAAUCGAAGGUCUAACAUGGGACAGAGCGAGAUCAAGCACUACUUGUAGUAAAGAAGACCAUGACUUAGAUAUUCAUUCAAAGAAACAUAGAAUUUAUGAUUAUUACCUUGGAUGAAGAGAUAAAGUAUGGAGUCAUUAUACAACCCUGUUUCGUUCAUGAUUCCAGGACGUAAUCAUCCUAAGGGGGAGAUAAUUGUAACACCCGACUAGUCAAUAUAAAGGCAGUAAGUGUCGAAAACGACUUUUUGGCAAAAGAUUAUUUAGAAUAAAUAAUCUUAACCAAGUUGUAGAAUAUGUCUCAAGGUUCUGUACAUAUAAAGAAUGCCAAAAUCCAAGUUAUAACGAAGAAGUUAUGGUCUGUCGAAGUUUUACGGCAAAACAGGCACGACACCAGGAGACGUAAAUAGUGAAUUUAUGAUGGAGGACUUUUUACCCUUGGUGAUCUAAACGAAAGUCGUAUAAUAUGUUACACCAAGAGCGUCCAUAAAAAGAACGCCAAAAUCUAACUUCGUAUGAGGAAGUUAUGAAUUUUCUAGUAUUCGAUAUAGCAGUGCAUGACCCGAAACUCAAAUUUUAGUUUGAGCGGUUUUUGGCCAACGCAACCUAAAUGAGAAUUGAAUAUCUUAUUAAUAUUAGCACAACAGUAAAAAGACAGGCGAAAACGGACGUCGGAUGAAGAAAUUAUAAAUUUUUAACGGACUUUUCCUGUCUUGGCUUGUUAAAAAUAUAACUUUAAAAAUAAAGUCAAAAUUAGCCGACGAAGUCUAAACGAAGGUUGUAGAGUACGUCUCCACCUGCGCGUGGAUAUAACGAACGUCAAAAACAGAGUUCGUAUGAACGAGUUACAAGUUAUAAUAACAUAUUUACAUAUUAAAAUAAAGUAUAAAUCAUAUAUACGUAAGCAUAUAUAUAUAUAUAUANUCAUUAGAAAGGUAUCGACGAUGCGGUCAUUAUAAGACUAAUGUUGAAUUCUUUCGACAUUAGUUUAGUACAAAUAUCGUUAGAUGUAUUUAAAAUAGUAUUAUAAAGGGGUGUUUAGUUGUAUAUUAUUGUGGGUUGAAAACCCUAUGUACUCACCAGGUUUCCCAACCUGACCCACUCAAGCUUAUUUGUAUCACAGGUGUCGAUACGAAGUUACAUUUGUUGGAAUAGUGUCUAAGGCUGCAACUAUAUUAGGCAAGUAUUUGACCCGAUUGUGCAUGGUCCUUUUGGGUUGCCUUCACCAUAGCAACUUGAUAGGAUGAUUUAUUAUGAGAGAAUAAAUAUUAUUAAUAUAUUAUGAGAAUAGUAUAAGGAAUAAUAAUAUUGUUAUUUGAUUAAUAUACGUCAAAGAUUAAUUAAUAUUAAUUUGGUGACUUAAAGAGAUUAAUUAAAUAAGAGGGUAUAAACUGUCAAUUGUUUGAUAGUUACACUUUGGGCUAUAAAUCCUUAUAGGAUAUAGGGUGGAUGAUUUCUAGAGCUAGGAUAAGCCUAAAAUCAUCCAGGCAUAUCCAAGGAAAGGAUUAGGAUUACUUAGAGUCUAAGUUAUCCAAUUAGGGUUUAAGGGUAAAACCUUAGGAGCCUUACAAGUAUAAAUAGACCCCUUGGGAUAGGGAAAUCGGCAUCUCCUCUACAACAAGGAUACCCUGACCGAUUUACUCCUCUCUCCUCUCUCUCAAAUCAUUCUCUUUGCUAGUUGGUGUUUGUAAGCCAUUAGAGGAGUGACAAUUGUGACUUUAAAGCUCCAAGAACAAGAAGAUCAAACAAGUGUUUCAAGGUAUGCUUCUAACUCUGGUUUUGUAUUGUUCUUAUACCUAAUUAGUCAUUAGAAGUCUUGGAUUCAUUGCAUGUUUAAUUAGAGAAACCUAGAUCCAAGCAUUAAGGUUUGUAUGUGCACAUAGGAAUGUUCAUAUGACCAAAACCCAUCAGUGGUAUCAGAGCCUAGAUUGGUUUCUAUUAAAUUGUUGCUUGAUUGUUUGAAUCUUACCUGCAAAAUUCAAAUUUUGUGAUUAUGAGUCAUGGACUCGACGAGUCCCAUAGUGGACUUGGCGAGUUGGCCUGAAUCGGCGAGUCCAGUUUGGGUACUUGGCGAGUCCGAGCGUCAGGAAGAGCCAAAAUCGGGAUUUUUUUCAUAUUUAUCUUAUGGAAACUUACGUUUAUCAUAUUAGAUCAACCCAAAUCCGAUUUCAUGAUAUAUAUGACUAUAUUUUUGAUCUAAUUGAAGAUAUUUAUCAAUUAAUAAAAUAUUUAAUUUCCUUAUAUGAUAAUUAUUAAUUAUUUUGAUUAAAUUGGUAAAUUGUUCAAAUAUGGAUAAUUAUGUGAUUAAUUGUUAAUUUAAAUUAUUUUUUAUUUGAUCCUUUAUGUUUUAAAUGUUUAAAACUUGUCCUCAAGUUUUGAAAUUUAUGUUUUGUAAUUAAAAGUUUAAUUUAGACAAUUUAAUUUUCAAACCCUAGAAUUUUACAAGUUUAAAAUCCAACCCUAUACUAAUAUAAUAUUACAAGAUUAAUAUCUAUAUAUGUAUAACUUAUAUGCUAGUCUUACCGUUAGUAGGCCUCAUUCACGAAGCUGGUCUAUAAGGUGGGUAUAAGGUUGCGGCCUAUAAAAUGGCGCUUAAUGGGUGUACACUUACACCCACCGCUUCCUUGAUCGGUGGAGGGUAGUUAGUCGAACGGGUAGGAUAGGGCAACCUCAUCCUCUCAUUAAAAGUAUAAUAUGAAAUACAAAGUAACUACAUGUUUUCUUAAAACUUCCCAAUCUUAGUUACUUUAGGAAAAGUGAAUUGAUGCAAUCCCAUGAAAUUACACUUUGCACCUUGCUAAGAUGUUAGUGGCGCGUGUGUGGUUUACCGGCACACUAAUUGGUUCUAAGCGAAGGUGGCAAAGGGUGAUUCAUUGUUUAUCAUAUUUCGAUGGAGCGUGUGUGGUUUACCGGCACAUCGAAUAGGCGAUCGUUACAAUGAAGGCACCAUGUGAAUUUGCAUGGUAAUUCACACCCGCUUUGUGAUCCUCGGUAUCCCAGUCACAAACUAGAGGGGCAUAUCGAGAUUUAAACAUGUCAUUGAAAAGUUUCAAUGAAUCUCAUUCGAACCUAGGAAUUCUCAAUACAUUUAGGACAUAAAGUUAUGUUUUUCAUGGUGGAGAAUUAGUGAAUCGUCAUUCACUUACCUUCAAAUUGUUUGCAUAUUAGAUUACGGCAUCCCUCUUCUAAUGUGUAAAUAUUGUUGUUGGAUCCUAGCCCUAAUUUUUCUUAUUGGGUGAUAAUUAGGGAUUCAUAUUCUAAUCUAUCUUUGUCCUUUCUAUUUGUAGAUGUCGAACGCAAACAACGCUGCUGCUAGUUCNNNNNNNNNNNNNNNNNNNNNNNNNNNNNNNNNNNNNNNNNNNNNNNNNNNNNNNNNNNNNNNNNNNNNNNNNNNNNNNNNNNNNNNNNNNNNNNNNNNNNNNNNNNNNNNNNNNNNNNNNNNNNNNNNNNNNNNNNNNNNNNNNNNNNNNNNNNNNNNNNNNNNNNNNNNNNNNNNNNNNNNNNNNNNNNNNNNNNNNNNNNNNNNNNNNNNNNNNNNNNNNNNNNNNNNNNNNNNNNNNNNNNNNNNNNNNNNNNNNNNNNNNNNNNNNNNNNNNNNNNNNNNNNNNNNNNNNNNNNNNNNNNNNNNNNNNNNNNNNNNNNNNNNNNNNNNNNNNNNNNNNNNNNNNNNNNNNNNNNNNNNNNNNNNNNNNNNNNNNNNNNNNNNNNNNNNNNNNNNNNNNNNNNNNNNNNNNNNNNNNNNNNNNNNNNNNNNNNNNNNNNNNNNNNNNNNNNNNNNNNNNNNNNNNNNNNNNNNNNNNNNNNNNNNNNNNNNNNNNNNNNNNNNNNNNNNNNNNNNNNNNNNNNNNNNNNNNNNNNNNNNNNNNNNNNNNNNNNNNNNNNNNNNNNNNNNNNNNNNNNNNNNNNNNNNNNNNNNNNNNNNNNNNNNNNNNNNNNNNNNNNNNNNNNNNNNNNNNNNNNNNNNNNNNNNNNNNNNNNNNNNNNNNNNNNNNNNNNNNNNNNNNNNNNNNNNNNNNNNNNNNNNNNNNNNNNNNNNNNNNNNNNNNNNNNNNNNNNNNNNNNNNNNNNNNNNNNNNNNNNNNNNNNNNNNNNNNNNNNNNNNNNNNNNNNNNNNNNNNNNNNNNNNNNNNNNNNNNNNNNNNNNNNNNNNNNNNNNNNNNNNNNNNNNNNNNNNNNNNNNNNNNNNNNNNNNNNNNNNNNNNNNNNNNNNNNNNNNNNNNNNNNNNNNNNNNNNNNNNNNNNNNNNNNNNNNNNNNNNNNNNNNNNNNNNNNNNNNNNNNNNNNNNNNNNNNNNNNNNNNNNNNNNNNNNNNNNNNNNNNNNNNNNNNNNNNNNNNNNNNNNNNNNNNNNNNNNNNNNNNNNNNNNNNNNNNNNNNNNNNNNNNNNNNNNNNNNNNNNNNNNNNNNNNNNNNNNNNNNNNNNNNNNNNNNNNNNNNNNNNNNNNNNNNNNNNNNNNNNNNNNNNNNNNNNNNNNNNNNNNNNNNNNNNNNNNNNNNNNNNNNNNNNNNNNNNNNNNNNNNNNNNNNNNNNNNNNNNNNNNNNNNNNNNNNNNNNNNNNNNNNNNNNNNNNNNNNNNNNNNNNNNNNNNNNNNNNNNNNNNNNNNNNNNNNNNNNNNNNNNNNNNNNNNNNNNNNNNNNNNNNNNNNNNNNNNNNNNNNNNNNNNNNNNNNNNNNNNNNNNNNNNNNNNNNNNNNNNNNNNNNNNNNNNNNNNNNNNNNNNNNNNNNNNNNNNNNNNNNNNNNNNNNNNNNNNNNNNNNNNNNNNNNNNNNNNNNNNNNNNNNNNNNNNNNNNNNNNNNNNNNNNNNNNNNNNNNNNNNNNNNNNNNNNNNNNNNNNNNNNNNNNNNNNNNNNNNNNNNNNNNNNNNNNNNNNNNNNNNNNNNNNNNNNNNNNNNNNNNNNNNNNNNNNNNNNNNNNNNNNNNNNNNNNNNNNNNNNNNNNNNNNNNNNNNNNNNNNNNNNNNNNNNNNNNNNNNNNNNNNNNNNNNNNNNNNNNNNNNNNNNNNNNNNNNNNNNNNNNNNNNNNNNNNNNNNNNNNNNNNNNNNNNNNNNNNNNNNNNNNNNNNNNNNNNNNNNNNNNNNNNNNNNNNNNNNNNNNNNNNNNNNNNNNNNNNNNNNNNNNNNNNNNNNNNNNNNNNNNNNNNNNNNNNNNNNNNNNNNNNNNNNNNNNNNNNNNNNNNNNNNNNNNNNNNNNNNNNNNNNNNNNNNNNNNNNNNNNNNNNNNNNNNNNNNNNNNNNNNNNNNNNNNNNNNNNNNNNNNNNNNNNNNNNNNNNNNNNNNNNNNNNNNNNNNNNNNNNNNNNNNNNNNNNNNNNNNNNNNNNNNNNNNNNNNNNNNNNNNNNNNNNNNNNNNNNNNNNNNNNNNNNNNNNNNNNNNNNNNNNNNNNNNNNNNNNNNNNNNNNNNNNNNNNNNNNNNNNNNNNNNNNNNNNNNNNNNNNNNNNNNNNNNNNNNNNNNNNNNNNNNNNNNNNNNNNNNNNNNNNNNNNNNNNNNNNNNNNNNNNNNNNNNNNNNNNNNNNNNNNNNNNNNNNNNNNNNNNNNNNNNNNNNNNNNNNNNNNNNNNNNNNNNNNNNNNNNNNNNNNNNNNNNNNNNNNNNNNNNNNNNNNNNNNNNNNNNNNNNNNNNNNNNNNNNNNNNNNNNNNNNNNNNNNNNNNNNNNNNNNNNNNNNNNNNNNNNNNNNNNNNNNNNNNNNNNNNNNNNNNNNNNNNNNNNNNNNNNNNNNNNNNNNNNNNNNNNNNNNNNNNNNNNNNNNNNNNNNNNNNNNNNNNNNNNNNNNNNNNNNNNNNNNNNNNNNNNNNNNNNNNNNNNNNNNNNNNNNNNNNNNNNNNNNNNNNNNNNNNNNNNNNNNNNNNNNNNNNNNNNNNNNNNNNNNNNNNNNNNNNNNNNNNNNNNNNNNNNNNNNNNNNNNNNNNNNNNNNNNNNNNNNNNNNNNNNNNNNNNNNNNNNNNNNNNNNNNNNNNNNNNNNNNNNNNNNNNNNNNNNNNNNNNNNNNNNNNNNNNNNNNNNNNNNNNNNNNNNNNNNNNNNNNNNNNNNNNNNNNNNNNNNNNNNNNNNNNNNNNNNNNNNNNNNNNNNNNNNNNNNNNNNNNNNNNNNNNNNNNNNNNNNNNNNNNNNNNNNNNNNNNNNNNNNNNNNNNNNNNNNNNNNNNNNNNNNNNNNNNNNNNNNNNNNNNNNNNNNNNNNNNNNNNNNNNNNNNNNNNNNNNNNNNNNNNNNNNNNNNNNNNNNNNNNNNNNNNNNNNNNNNNNNNNNNNNNNNNNNNNNNNNNNNNNNNNNNNNNNNNNNNNNNNNNNNNNNNNNNNNNNNNNNNNNNNNNNNNNNNNNNNNNNNNNNNNNNNNNNNNNNNNNNNNNNNNNNNNNNNNNNNNNNNNNNNNNNNNNNNNNNNNNNNNNNNNNNNNNNNNNNNNNNNNNNNNNNNNNNNNNNNNNNNNNNNNNNNNNNNNNNNNNNNNNNNNNNNNNNNNNNNNNNNNNNNNNNNNNNNNNNNNNNNNNNNNNNNNNNNNNNNNNNNNNNNNNNNNNNNNNNNNNNNNNNNNNNNNNNNNNNNNNNNNNNNNNNNNNNNNNNNNNNNNNNNNNNNNNNNNNNNNNNNNNNNNNNNNNNNNNNNNNNNNNNNNNNNNNNNNNNNNNNNNNNNNNNNNNNNNNNNNNNNNNNNNNNNNNNNNNNNNNNNNNNNNNNNNNNNNNNNNNNNNNNNNNNNNNNNNNNNNNNNNNNNNNNNNNNNNNNNNNNNNNNNNNNNNNNNNNNNNNNNNNNNNNNNNNNNNNNNNNNNNNNNNNNNNNNNNNNNNNNNNNNNNNNNNNNNNNNNNNNNNNNNNNNNNNNNNNNNNNNNNNNNNNNNNNNNNNNNNNNNNNNNNNNNNNNNNNNNNNNNNNNNNNNNNNNNNNNNNNNNNNNNNNNNNNNNNNNNNNNNNNNNNNNNNNNNNNNNNNNNNNNNNNNNNNNNNNNNNNNNNNNNNNNNNNNNNNNNNNNNNNNNNNNNNNNNNNNNNNNNNNNNNNNNNNNNNNNNNNNNNNNNNNNNNNNNNNNNNNNNNNNNNNNNNNNNNNNNNNNNNNNNNNNNNNNNNNNNNNNNNNNNNNNNNNNNNNNNNNNNNNNNNNNNNNNNNNNNNNNNNNNNNNNNNNNNNNNNNNNNNNNNNNNNNNNNNNNNNNNNNNNNNNNNNNNNNNNNNNNNNNNNNNNNNNNNNNNNNNNNNNNNNNNNNNNNNNNNNNNNNNNNNNNNNNNNNNNNNNNNNNNNNNNNNNNNNNNNNNNNNNNNNNNNNNNNNNNNNNNNNNNNNNNNNNNNNNNNNNNNNNNNNNNNNNNNNNNNNNNNNNNNNNNNNNNNNNNNNNNNNNNNNNNNNNNNNNNNNNNNNNNNNNNNNNNNNNNNNNNNNNNNNNNNNNNNNNNNNNNNNNNNNNNNNNNNNNNNNNNNNNNNNNNNNNNNNNNNNNNNNNNNNNNNNNNNNNNNNNNNNNNNNNNNNNNNNNNNNNNNNNNNNNNNNNNNNNNNNNNNNNNNNNNNNNNNNNNNNNNNNNNNNNNNNNNNNNNNNNNNNNNNNNNNNNNNNNNNNNNNNNNNNNNNNNNNNNNNNNNNNNNNNNNNNNNNNNNNNNNNNNNNNNNNNNNNNNNNNNNNNNNNNNNNNNNNNNNNNNNNNNNNNNNNNNNNNNNNNNNNNNNNNNNNNNNNNNNNNNNNNNNNNNNNNNNNNNNNNNNNNNNNNNNNNNNNNNNNNNNNNNNNNNNNNNNNNNNNNNNNNNNNNNNNNNNNNNNNNNNNNNNNNNNNNNNNNNNNNNNNNNNNNNNNNNNNNNNNNNNNNNNNNNNNNNNNNNNNNNNNNNNNNNNNNNNNNNNNNNNNNNNNNNNNNNNNNNNNNNNNNNNNNNNNNNNNNNNNNNNNNNNNNNNNNNNNNNNNNNNNNNNNNNNNNNNNNNNNNNNNNNNNNNNNNNNNNNNNNNNNNNNNNNNNNNNNNNNNNNNNNNNNNNNNNNNNNNNNNNNNNNNNNNNNNNNNNNNNNNNNNNNNNNNNNNNNNNNNNNNNNNNNNNNNNNNNNNNNNNNNNNNNNNNNNNNNNNNNNNNNNNNNNNNNNNNNNNNNNNNNNNNNNNNNNNNNNNNNNNNNNNNNNNNNNNNNNNNNNNNNNNNNNNNNNNNNNNNNNNNUGCAACUAUAUUAGGCAAGUAUUUGACCCGAUUGUGCAUGGUCCUUUUGGGUUGCCUUCACCAUAGCAACUUGAUAGGAUGAUUUAUUAUGAGAGAAUAGAUAUUAUUAAUAUAUUAUGAGAAUAAUAUAAGGAAUAAUCAUAUUGUUAUUUGAUUAAUAUAAGUCAUAGAUUAAUUAGUAUUAAUUUGGUGACUUAAAGAGAUUAAUUAAAUAAGAGGGUAUAAACUGUCAAUUGUUUGAUAGUUAUACUUUGGGCUAUAAAUCCUUUUAGGAUAUAGGGUGGACGAUUUCUAGGGCUAAGAUAAGCCUAAAAUCGUCUAGGGCAUAUCCAAGGAAAGGAUUAGGAUUACUUAGAGUCUAAGUUAUCCAAUUAGGGUUUAAGGGUAAAACCCUAGGAGCCUUACAAGUAUAAAUAGACCCCUUGGGAUAGGGAAAUCGGCAUCUCCUCUACAGCAAGGAUACCCUGGCCGAUUUCCUCCUCUCUCCUCUCUCUCAAAUCAUUCUCUUUGCUAGUUGGUGUUUGUAAGCCAUUAGAGGAGUGACAAUUGUGACUUUAAAGCUCCAAGAACAAGAAGAUCAAACAAGUGUUUCAAGGUAUGCUUCUAACUCUGGUUGUGUAUUGUUCUUAUACAUAAUUAGUCAUUAGAAGUCUUGGAUUCAUUGCAUGUUUAAUUAGAGAAACCUAGAUCCAAGCAUUAGGGUUUGUAUGUGCACAUAGGAAUGUUCAUAUGACCAAAACCCAUUAGUGGUAUUAGAGCCUAGAUUGGUUUCUAUUAAAUUGUUGCUUGAUUGUUUGAAUCUUACCUGCAAAAUUCGAAUUUUGUGAUUAUGAGUCAUGGACUCGGCGAGUCCCAUAGUGGACUCGGCGAGUUGGCCUGACUCGGCGAGUCCAGUUUGGGUACUUGGCGACUCCGAGCGUCUGGAAGAGCCAAAAUCAGGAUUUUUUUUCAUAUUUAUCUUAUGGAAACUUACCUUUAUCAUAUUAGAUCAACCCAAAUCCAAUUUUAUGAUAUAUAUGACUAUAUUUUUGAUCUAAUUGAAGAUAUUUAUCAAUUAAUAAAAUAUUUAAUUUCCUUAUAUGAUAAUUAUUAAUUAUUUCGAUUAAAUUGGUAAAUUGUUCAAAUAUGGAUAAUUAUGUGAUUAAUUGUUAAUUUAAAUUAUUUAUUAUUUGAUCCUUUAUGUUUUAAAUGUUUAAAACUUGUCCUCAUGUUUUGAAAUUUAUGUUUUGUAAUUAAAAGUUUAAUUUAGACAAUUUAAAUUUCAAACCCUAGAAUUUUACAUGUUUAAAAUCCAACCCUAUACUAAUAUAAUAUUACAAGAUUAAUAUCUAUAUAUGUAUACCUUAUAUGCAAGUCUUACCGUUAGUAGGCCUCAUUCACGAAGCUGGUCUAUAAGGUGGGUAUAAGGUUGCGGCCUAUAAAAUGGCGCUUAAUGGGUGUACACUCACACCCACCGCUUGCUUGAUCGGUCGAGGGUCGUUAGUCGAACGGGUAGGAUAGGGCAACCUCAUCCUCUCAUUAAAAGUAUAAUAUGAAAUACAAAGUAACUACAUGUUUUCUUAAAAUUUCCCAAUCUUAGUUACUUUAGGAAAAGUGAAUUGAUGCAAUCCCAUGAAAUUACACUUUGCACCUUGCUAAGAAGUUAGUGGAGCGUGUGUGGUUUACCGGCACACUAAUUGGUUCUAAGCGAAGGUGGCAAAGGGUGAUUCAUUGUUUAUCAUAGUUCGAUGGAGCGUGUGUGGUUUACCGGCACAUCGAAUAGGUGAUCGUUACAAUGAAGGCACCAUGUGAAUUUGCAUGGUAAUUCACACCCGCUUUGUGAUCCUCGGUAUCCCAGUCACAAACGAGAGGGGCAUAUCGAGAUUUAAACAUGUCAUUGAAAAGUUUCAAUGAAUCUCAUCCGAACCUAGGAAUUCUCAAUACAUUUAGGACUUAAAGUUAUGUUUUUCUUGUGGAGAAUUAGUGAAUCGUCAUUCACUUACCUUCAAAUUAUUUGCAUGUUAGAUUACGGCAUCCCUUUUCUAAUAUGUAAAUGUUAUUGUUGGAUCCUAGCCCUAAUUUUUCUUAUUGGGUGAUAAUUAGGGAUUCUUAUUCUAAUCUAUCUUUGUCCUUUUCUAAUUGUAGAUGUCGAACGCAAACAACGCUGCUGCUAGUUCUUUCACGUUGAUGAGCCUUUGCCAAAAGGUCACCUUCGAUGGAACGAACUUUAGCGAAUGGAUAAGAUACAUUCGCACCAUUGCUCGCUAUGAGGAUAAGGAGUAUGUCCUCGAUGAGAAGCUCGAGAAAAUCAACCCUGAAAUCGCUACUCCGGCUGAAAUGACCGCUUUUGAAACUCAUGAGCGAGAUGCAACGAAGGUACAUUGCAUCAUGAUAGCCACCAUGAACUCCGAAUUCCAAAAGUCCUACGAGGACAUGUACCCGUACGAGAUGCAUCAAGACUUAUUGGAGAGAUACCACCAAAACGCGAGACAAGAGCGUUAUGAGAUUUUCACUAACAUGAUUUCCGCUAAGAUGGGUCAUGGAGAAUCUCUUACCGUGCACCUGCAAAAGAUGCAAAGGUAUGUCGACCGUCUUCGCAAGUUGAAUGUUGACUUUGGGGAAGACUUGGCGAUCGACAUGGUGCUUCACUCUUUGCCUCCGAGCUACAAUCAAUUUAGGAUGACCUACCACAUGAACAAAGAGGAGGUCACCCUAAGCAAACUCCAAGGUCUCUUGAGGGUCGCUGAGAGCAACUUCAAGGACAAGUCUGUUGCACCAACUCCCAAUCCGCCCGCCGCUCCUGUCUUGGCUAUUGGACAAGGAAAGGGAAAGAAGAGGAAGGCUUCGUCGAAGAACUAUCGUAAGGUUAAAGCCCGAGAUGGUGCCUCUUCUAGUGGGACCAAAGUUGAUCCCGCUAAGCCCUGCCCUAACCCGAAGGAGGCAGAGUGCCACCACUGCCACAAGAUAGGACAUUGGGAAAGAAGCUGCCCUAAGUACCUGCAAGCCAUCAAGGAAGGAAAGAUCAAGCCAUCUUUCGCAGGUAUAUACACAAUUAAAUCUAACGAUUCAUCUCAUGAUAUUUCUUGGGUUCUUGAUACCGGUUAUGGUUACCACAUUUGUUCUAAUGUGCAGGGACUAAGAAGAAAUAGAAACGUGGAGCAUGGAAGAAUAAAUCUAAUCAUGGGGAACAAAAUAUCGUCGCUUGUGACCAAGAUUGGAGUGUAUUCUUUAGUGCUUAGGAAUGGUUUAUCUUUAGAUUUGAACAAUUAUUGCUAUUCGCCAGAAAUGGCUAGAAACAUCAUUUCCUUUCAUGGUUUGUUUAGACAAGGUUUUAGAUUUUCUUUUAAUAAUGAGAAUGGUUCUAUUUUAGCUUAUCUGAAUGGUGUUUUUUAUUUUGAAGCUAUACCAUGUAACGGAAUUUAUGAAACUGUUAUGAUUGUUGAUAACUUAGGAAAUGAUGUUUUAUGCAUGGAUUCUUCCAAUAGUAUGGAUAAGGUGUCCUUAUGGCAUUGUCGUCUUGGACAUGUCAACAAGAAACGCAUAGCCCAACUCCAAAAGGAUGGAGUGUUGGAGUCAUUCGACCUUAGGGAAGAUGACACAUAUGAGUCUUGUUACUUGGAAAGAUGACUAAGUCACAAUUCGCUGGUACGUACGAAAGGGGUGAGGGUCUAUUGGACCUCAUACAUACUGAUAUGUGUGGACCGCAUAUAAAGAAAAAAUAAUUAGGGUACAAACAUAAAAGAUUUGUAAAUUUUUAUUUUUAUUUUUUUAAAUUUUAGUUAUGGUGAAUUGGAAACCCAUUAUCAAAGACAACAAUCACAAAAAAUAAAAAUAAAUAAAUAAAUAAAAUACAAAUUUCGAAGACCAAGGAACAAAAGUCAUAAAAUGAGACAAAAACCUGCAAAAUUUUCCAAAUAUUAUCGUUGUUAAAGUCUUUGACGUUGACUUAUAUAAUUUCUUAGAAUUUUCCCCAAUUUACCAUUAAAUUUCUUGGAAUUCUCCAUAUCUCCAGAAAAUAAUAAAAAGAGAACACCAUCGAUUUUUAAGGCAAAGGAGAACCAUCCCCAUCUUAUCCUCUUUAGCUGUCUAUCUUCCUUCCUCGUUGGUUCGUCAUUUCCAUGCCGACAAACAAACCUCUGUAAUUUUCAGUCGUCAUCUUUCUCAGGCUCGAGACUCGUCACUGGUUGUUCGUUCUAUGUCAUCGCUGCUUCAAGUCUGCUUGUCUUCCUGUCGGUAGGUAACUAUGAAGUAUAAAGGGACAUUCUUAUAGUUUAGCUUCACAUGUUGUUAGAUAAUUUCAUAUCAUAAAUUACAUCAUAAUCCUUUUUUAUUUUGUUCACAAAUGAUUGAAUUUUUUUUCUAUUCAAUUGCUGUUGCUCAAUUAAUUCUAGAGAGUUUGAAAUUGAAACCAUAGAAAGGUCAUGGCUUGUUAGUUUCAAAAGCAUAUCAUUUGGAUCAAGCCCAUGAAUGAAAGUCGAAAUCCUUUAGAUGUAUGCUAAUACUAGAUCCAGUGAUAGUAGAUAUUAAUAGUUUCGAAUUUAUGUAGAGGCAUUAUGUACUAGAUCCCUACAUUGGAACACAAGGGAGGAAAGCCGGUGAAACCAACUUUCAUAACCGAUAAGGUGAGGAAGAGUUUCAGAACUUACUAAGAUACACCCUGUAUAUAAGGAGAAACUUUAAAUAAAUAAACAAAAUUGUGGGAAAGGUGAAGAGUCAUCAACUCAUUACUAAUAAUGGUUGUUCUAUCUGAACUUCCAGAAGGAUCUUCAUCUUCUUCAUUAACUCAUGGCCAUAGUUCACCAACUUGUGGUCGUAGUUCAUCAACUGAUGGCCAUAGAUACGAUGUAUUUUUAAGUUUUAGAGGUGUUGACACUCGUCAUAGUUUCACUGAUCACCUUCAUAAGGCCCUCAUUCAUGCCAAUAUCACUACCUUCUUGGACAAUGAAGAGAUUGAAACAGGAGAAGAUCUGAAACCAGAAUUGGAGAGUGCGAUUAAGGCAUCUCGGGCUUCUAUUAUAGUGUUGUCUAAGAAUUACGUGUCUUCAACAUGGUGCCUUGAUGAAUUGGUGUUGAUCCUUGAGCAGCGUAUGACAUCCAACCAUAUUGUCAUCCCAAUCUUCUAUCAUGUGGAGCCCACCCAUGUCAGGAAGCAGCAAAGUAGCUUUGGAGAUGCAAUGGCUAAGCAUAAACAAACAAUGGAGGCAGAGACAAAUGUAAAUAAAAGAAGUCAAUGGGCUCAAAAGAUGGACCGAUGGAAUAAAGCGCUUAUAGAAGCUGCUAAUUUAAAAGGAUAUGAUGUUCAUGGAAGGUAACAACUUUAAUUAUAUUUUCAUGCACUUUUGAUUUCUUUUUUAUUAAACGCAUGAAAUGUCAAUAGAAUCUUUUGCCUAUGCUUUUCAAUAUCAUCAAAUAGCUCGGUGAUCUCCUUAAUUAAUACAUAUACAUAGAUUAACAUCAUGAUAAAUUUGACAUGUUUCUGUGCAUUUAGUAUUUUAUUAUCAGGUAGUUCUUUAAGAUAACCUAUUUUAAGUUAUUUUAAUAUGUUUUGAACCAAAUUUUGAACAGUUUGAUAUGCAUCUACUAUCAAUUAUGUUAAUAUGUUCUUACCUGUGAGUAGUAGAGGAUAACCUAAAACUGGCAUAUAUUUUUCAGACACAUACAAAACCACAUUGAUAGUUAAGUUUGAUGGUCCUAUAGAAACAUGGUACAAGUUAGUUGGCCCAUUAGUGAAAUUGUAACAUGUUGGUGGAUUUGGCUUUAUCAUACAUAAAUAUUUACGACCUUAUACAUUAGGUGCUAAUCCUAUAUGGUGUUGAUGUGAAGAAUUUAAUUAAAAAUACAGCUAUGAUAUACUUCUGAUUUAGAUCUUUGGAUAAACUACAUCUCCAAAUCUAGUUUGUUAGUUUUGUGUAUUGUGUUUUGUAACUCUUAUUAAAUCAAGUUUCAGGCUAGAGACGGAAUUUAUUGAAGAGAUUGUGAAGGACAUCCACCGUAGGUUACAUGUACGCUCAAGGAGUGUUCGGCAACAACUUAUUGGGAUGGAAUAUCAUAUUAAGUUCAUCACUUCAUGGUUGAAAUAUGGAUCCUCACAUACGGCAGACAUACUCACUAUUACGGGAAUCGACUGGAUCGGGAAGACAUACUCACUAUUACGGGAAUCGGCUGGAUCGGGAAGACAUCGUUAGCCAAACAUAUCUAUGACCUAUAUUGGCAUGAAUUCAGCACAAGCAGUUGUAUUGAAGAUAUCAGUAGGAGAUGUGAUGGAAAGUUUAAUGGGCUGCUUGAUAUACAAAAGCAACUUUGGGAUGACAUUUCAAAAAAAAAAGUUCAAUUCAAAUUCAUAAUGUUUCAGCAUACACCUCAAAGAUAGAGAAUGCAUUAGCCCGCAAACGGGUCUUUAUAGUUCUUGAUGAUAUCAAUACUAUUGAUCAGUUGGAUGCAUUACUCGGAAACAAAGGUUUUCAUCCCGGAAGCAAAAUUAUAUUAACAACAAAGGAAAGAUGGAUAACACAGAGUUUUGCACUAUUCAAAACAAAUAUUAAACCUAAGCAUGUAGAACGCUUCCGUAAAGGCUUAUGUAGGACUGAAUCAUGCCAGCUUUUGUGUUCCCAUGCAUUCAUGUGCAACCAUCCCAAGGCAGGUUAUGAAGAGGUGUUAGAGAAGCUUGUGAAGUAUUGCCAAGGACAUCCAUUGGCUCUCAAAGUUUUGGGCAAGUCGUUACAUAAUCGAGAUGUAGCUUACUGGGAAGGGUGCAUACAUGGGCUAAAAAAAGAAACAAAUUCAUACAUAAAUAAUGUCUUGAGAAUGAGCUUUGAAUCUUUGCCAUCUAACAAUGAUAAGGAAUUGUUUAAGCAUAUUGCUUGUUUUUUUGUUGGAAUGGAUAGAGAUGUUACCGAAACAAUAUUAGAGGCAUGCAAUAUAAACACGAGAUACGGAAUCAUUAAUCUCAUUAACAGAUGCCUUCUUAGUAUAGGACGGAAAAUGAAUUUAAGAUGCAUCAGUUGGUUCAAGAGAUGGGAAGAUUCGAAGUACUUCAAGAAUCACUUGACAAGCCAUGGAAGCGCAGUCGAUUAUGGUGUCAUGAGGAGUCGUUCAAAGUAUCAAAGAAAGAAAAGGUAAGAGCCUUUGUAACCCUGUAUAGUUGUUAGUAAUGUGCAUAUUUAAAGUAUUUUGUAUUGUCUAAUUUUUGUUGGAUUUUGGUUCUUCUUAGGGUAAGGGAAAUAUUCUAGGCCUUGCCUUGGACAUGCGAAUGGUUGAGAAAGAGAAGUCAGGUGCAUCAUUUGAGUUAGAUACGUUGAGUAACAUGGAUAAUCUGAUGCUCCUACAACUCAAUUAUGUGCACAUGAAUGGUUCUUAUGAAAACUUUCCGGAAGAAUUAAGAUGCUUAUGUAUGCAUGGGUACCAUUUAAAUUCUAUACCUUUAAAUUUACCAAUGGAGAAUCUGGUUGCUCUUGACAUGUCAUAUAGUAAUAUUGAAUCCUUUGUCUUUUGUGAUAGUAAUCCACAACGACAUGAAAAGAGACAAAAGGUAACUUAUCUUCCAUUGUUAUUAUUCCAUGUUGAUUGGGUGAAAUUCACUAUUACUCUAACUUAUCCCUAUUUCAACAGUUAAGCGGAUCAUGCUUAAAACAAAAAAGGGUACUUGGAUCAUUGAAGAUUCUUAAUUUAAGUUUUUGUAAACAACUUCGUAGUCUUGGUGACUUUGACCAACUCCCUGCUCUUGAGAGGUUAAUAGUUAGGAAUUGCAUUGGUUUGAAUGAGGUUUGUGAAUCAAUUGGGCAAUGUGUUAAACUUGUCUUAAUCGAUCUGAGCUACUGCAACAAGCUUGAAAAAAUUCAAAAAAUCACAAGCAUGUUAGCGAAUGUUAAAAUAAUGUUCCUAGAGGGUUGUAAUCUUGGGGAAUCACGAAUCAAGAUUAGGGAUAUUGAUUUACAAGAAAGGCUCAAGGCUAACGACAUUGACGUAAAUACAAUAACCUCUUCCUCUGCCUUUGGGGGUGCUAUACCAAGUGAUUUGAAGUUCUCUGCAUUUUCUUUACCUAGGUCUUUAGUAAGUUCUCUGCACUUCAGUUGCCUAUCCAUGCUAAAGCAUUUAUAUUUAGACGGAAAUCUUAUCGAUUCCAUGCCCAUUUGUGUGAGAACCCUUCCUAGGCUUGAGAUACUUAGCAUGACAGUACAAAAAAAAUGUCAAUUAGUAACCAAAACGAUAUGGUCACUAACAAUAGAAUGCAUCGUCACUAAAUGAUUUAGUGACGAAAAUUCCGGUCGACACUUUUCGUCACUAUAGGUCCGUCACAAAACCGAUUUAGUGACCAAAUAUAAAUAUGGUCACUAAAUAGUGACUAAAAUAUACUCGUCACUAAAUCUGUGACAACCCACUUCGUCACUAAAUGUUGUCACUAUUUUAUCUACUUAGUGACCAAUAAAAGUCGUCACUGUUUAAUCCGAUUAGUGACCAGAGAAAAUGGUCACUAUUUAAUAUGAUUGGUGACCAUAGAAAGUGGUCACUGUUUAAUCCGAUUAGUGACCAUAGUAGGUGGUCACUGUUUAAUCCGAUUAGUGACCAUACCAAGUCAUCACUGAUUUAUCCUAUGAGACACAAAAAGGGGUCAAUAAUUAAGAAAUUAUUGAAAUAUUAAAUUUCAUUUUUAAUAUGAAAUAUAACAAUAUCCAAUUAGAUAAAAGAAAAAACAAUCCUAUAAAUUUUUACAAUACAACAAAAACCAAAUAAAUCUUCACAUUUAUAAUAUGAAAAUUAAAUGUCAAUUUUUAAAAAAAUCCAUACAUUUUAUCCAAUAUUUCAAACAACAAAAUAUAAAGAUCAACCGGGUGAAGUUCAUUUAAUAAGAAAAGUAAGUUCAAUUGAUCAAUGCAAUUGAGAUAAACGUGAAAGCUCACUCAUCAUAAAUUCCAUUUUCUUAUUUUGCUCCUCUCGAUAUUUGAUCUGCUCUUCUUGAAAUUGUAGUUGCUCUUCUUUAAUUACAGGAAUUUCCUCCUCCACGGCUUUUGAUUUUUCCUUUUCCAGUUCCAGAUCCAUUUGUAACUUUUCUGUGCCUAAAACUUGUUUUGUCGAAACAGAACGCCCUUUUAUAUAUCCCGGUAUACGAUGUAGUUUUUUCAUACAUAUUUCAGCCGGCGAACAAGAAGAAGAAGCUUCCUCAUUUAGUAAUUCAUUCUGCAUAACAAAACAAUUUAGAUUAAAAGUAAAACAAAUAUUAUUCAUAAAUACGUCAAGAUAUUAAAAAUACCCAAAUUUCUCCGGCCAUCUCAUUGACCAUUUGAUUUUUCUUUUUCGAAAAAUGCCCAAUCUUGUAACGUUCAAUGAAUGAUACUUCUUCUCCUUCUUUCUUUUUUAUGUUUUCAAAAGGAAGAAAACUUUGACAAUGCAAUGAAAGAUUUAAGUUAAAAAAGUAGCUUACCAUGUCAACAAUCCUUGCAAUUGAAAUUGUGUCAACCGCGGGUGGAACUUGAUUAAAUGAUUUGUUCUUCUUGUUUCUAAUGCUAACUUUCUACAACAAUUAAACAAGGGUUGUUUCUGUCAUAUUUGCAAACCAAAAAAAACAGGGACCGUUUAUGUCAUUUGUCCACACUAUUACAUAGGGACCAUUCCUGUAAUUCUACAAAGUAAAACAUAGGGACCAUUUCUGUAAAUUUUGAAAAAUAAAAAACACAAUGGUUGUUUCUAUCAUUUUCUCAAACCAAAAAACACAUGGACCAAUUUUAAAAUUCUGCAAAUUGAAUAGACAGGGACCAAUUAUGUAAUUAUGCAAAGUAAAAACUCAAUAACCAUUUAUGUCAUUUUACCAUUUCUUGAUAUAAUUUGGAAAAGAAGUAAAAACCUGAAAUUCUUCGCUUGCAAAUUUUUGAUAUAGUUUUACCCAAUCAACAUUGAUUACACCAUUUGGAGGAUGAUUGAUUGCUUCCUCUUUUGUAGAGAACUUUUUGAAAUGAAGGUGCAACCUAUAUUGCCUGUUUUUAUGUUGGUUCGCCAGUUGUGUAUCGAUAGCACGCACCAUCGAGCGACAACUUGGAUCGUAAGUUGAAUUUUCCUACAUAUAGGUAUAGCAAUGUAUUCUUAUUUAUAUGUUUAAGAAAUAGCAAUGUAUUCUCAUUUAUUGUUUCUAUAAAGAGAGUUGAUAACAUCAUACCGUGCAUUUAGUGAUAAUAUCAUACUUCAACAAAUCUGGUUGGUUUUUCCAAGUGGUUCCAUCAAAUUUUGCAUGAUCUCUAACUACACAUCCACCCUUAGUGAUGAAUUGUUGACUAUCUUCCCCAACUAUACGACCAACACAUUCAUCAACUUCAAAAACUAAAUUUGCCUUUAUUCGAGCGCCUCUUUUUAGUUUCAUUCAAAGCUCUAGAUUCUUUUUGAGUAUUAGACAUGCCUACAUAGAUUUAGUCAACAAGAAAAAUGACUGAUUAUAUAAUCAUAUACAUUAAUCACAUACUAUUUUACUUCUAAUCAACGUACCAUGAAAAGUUGAACCAAUGUUCUCAUCUCGAAAAGAAUCAACUUCGUGUUCCUCUUCUUCAAAAUCUUCCUCAUCGUGGUUCAAACUAGAAACUUUUCUCAUAUGACUUUGAUAGGGAGAAAGUGACUCCAUUGUUUCAUAAGUAGGCAACUCUUCAUCUUGCAACAUGAGAUUAGAUCUCUCCAAUACCCCUCUUCCAGGGCCAACUAUCUAAAUAACAAUAACACACAUUUUUAAUUUCAUGUAAAGUGGUGUUAUCAAAAGUCAAAGUUACAGAAAAUACCAUCUUUGAAAAAUUAGUAUUCUUCAACUUUUAUUGACUUGGCUUCUCUAUUCCCCGAUGUUUUUUCUGAUCCAUCAAAUGUCUAGUCAAACACUGCAUAGCAAACAAGACCAUAAAGAGUACAUAAAAGACAUUAUAUUCUUAAAUAGCAAUGUACUUUUCUGAAAUUAAUUUUUUUCAGAUUUAAAUGGUACUUUCUAGAAUUCAAAAUCACCGAUACCAUUAUACAUUGCUAUAAAAAAGUAAAAAUAAGAAAAUACAUUGAUAUAAUACAUGAAAUUAAUGUAAGUUGAUUGCUUACUUCAUCACGAAGGUUAGAUGCCUCCUUUUGGCCACCCAUAUCUUUAUUUACAUGUCCAAUAUCCUUUGUAAACCUAAAAAUGUAGACUUGUAAGGUUACAUACUAAUUUCACUAAAAACAACACUCGAGUCCUAAUAUAAACAUUAAUACAAUACAUAAAGUUAAUGUAACUUUUCUUUCUAUUACAACAUUGUACUUUCAAUUGUUUCUUAUUAACGCAUCAUAGUUUUAUUCUUUAAAAAUAUAUACUCAAUAAUACCAAUGUUAACCAAAUACAAAGCACACUUUUAUUAGAAGAAAUGAGAAUAUGAUGCUAUAAAAAACAAAGUAAAAAAAGUACAUUGUUAUGUCUUGCAUGUUAAAGAAACUAAACUUUAUCAAUGUUUUAAUAUUUUACUAGAACUAAAUUUAAUAGUAGUUUAAAACAUGGUUAAAUAAACAAGCUUCUCAUAACAUAAUGGUAAUUCAACAAGUGGGAGGUUCGCAUUGAUCCAUAACAACAUUUUACAUGGAAUGUAUGAAAAAAAUUACCAUUUUACCCUUAAGAGUUACAUUUAAUUUAAUUUUCCAUUUUAAAUGGAAAGUUAUACGAAAGAAGUUGGGUAAAUUUGUUACCUAUUUUGACUGAGUGUGUUGCCAGUAGGUGGCACAACUUGUCCUGUUCGCGUUCGAACAGAUACAAAUGGUCUUCCAGAUAAUCUUUUAGGAGUCAUUCCCGACAUAACUGCAUAGGAUUAAAAAUGAAAUAUUUUGUCUCAACAAAAAAAAAAUGAAAUCAAACUAAAUUUCAAAUAAAUACAUACUUAUUAUUAUCUUUUUAUCACACAAAUAAAAGGUUACCUUUUCACUAAAGGCAAUCUUCUUUCAACUGAUGCAACUCUGAAGAUGCUACAAGAACAAAUACUUAAAUAAAUUAGUAAAUAAAUGUGUUUAAUCAUACAUCAUCAAGGUAUGAAGAGAGAAGAUAAAGAAAUGAAAUCAAACUAAAGAUCAAAUAAAUACAUAGUUAUAUUGUAGAUAAAUUGCAUUUAUAAGAAAAGGGAAAUACAUUGUCGUUAUUCUAAUCUUGAAAAGAGCACAAAGGCUGAACUUUUAUUCUGAACUUGAAAAACAGCAAAAAGGCUGAACUUUUAUUCUGAACUUGAAAAACAACAUAAAUGUUGAACUUUUAUUUUGAACCUUUAUUCUUUUGCUACCAUUUUAUUUAUGCCUUCCAUUGCACUUGUUUAAGUAAUUGUAAAAUCUAUGAGUAAAAAUAUUUUUAUCGUAUUUCCUCAUUUUGUUGGACAAUUGAUUCAUUAUCCAUUUUAGCAUAAAAAUAUAAAUACCUUUUACUAAGAACGGGCUCUUGUCAUUGAUGUACUUGCCUUUGUACAUGUUUUUUGAGAUAUAUCAUGCAAUGCAAUGGUUAAGGCAUCCACCACUUCCAAUGGGACAUUAUCUCUUGUUAAGGAUAAUUGGUCCAUAUUCAAAUCAAUAUUUAGAUUUAGAUGUGGCUCAUGUUCUUGAUGUACUUCUUCCAUCAUUACAUGAACAUCAUACAAUGCACGAGGGGAACUACUUUGAACCACAUACCAAUUUUUGCCCAAUUUUAAAUCAGGAGCAUAAAAAACUUGUUUGGCUUGUGAUGCAAGUAUGUAUGGUUGAUCUAUGUACCAUUUUUUGGAUGUAUUCACACUUCUAACUUUGGAUUCUUUGUCAAUUCUUAGCCCUUUCUUAUCACCGACCAUAAACCAAUCACACUUGAAUACUAACACUCUUUUAUUUUCACCCAAGUAUUCAAUUUCUAACACUUCUUGUAAUAUCCCAUAAAAAUCAAUAAUGUUUUCCCCAUGAACACCUUGCACUACAACUCCGCUAUUUUGAGUUUUCCGAUUCUUCUCACGACUUUGUGUGUGGAACCUAUACCCAUUGACCAAACAUCCACUAUACUUGUUGACAUAACGUGAUGGCCCAUGCGACAAUAUAUGAGUUUCGUAUUCAAACAACUUUGGCCAAGAAUUAACCUAAAUAAAAAUGUAUACCAUAUUGGUUAACAAGAGUUUAAAACUCCCAUAUUAAAUUAAAAAAAAUAAACAUCAAAUGUAGUUCUCACACGUUGGCGAAGCCAUGAUGCAAAUUGUUUUUCAUGACGUUCAUUUACAUUGUCAGCAUUUUCUUCCUCUAGUUCAACUUUGUGUGAACUAAAAAGUUAAAAAUUAAGACUUGUUAUUAUAUGAAAAAAAAAGGAAGGUAUCAUUACAUAAAAAAAAUCACUUACGUUAUUAGUUCCUUUAUUUCAUCACAAUUGUUUAGAAUAUAUGUAUGAAUCUUCUCCAAUUCAUUUUCACUCAAAUCCUGUGAUUUUGGACUACCUAAUAGGCGCCCUUUGCAUGAAAAAAUGGAAAUUUCACCAUCACUAUCCAUCAUUUCAUUGUUGCGCUCAACCUUAUUGAAAAGCGUGUCAACAUCAUUCAAAUACAUAGAACAAAAAUUCAGGCAUUCCUUGUCUAUGUAUCUCUCAGCAAUACAUCCUUCUGGAUGAGCUUUAUUCUUGACAUAUCCUUUUAAAGUACCCAUUUUCCUCUCAAAAGGGAACAUCCAACAGUAUUGAGGUGGGCCUGCGAUCUUGGCUUCAUAUGGCAAAUGAAUCAAAAGAUGAACCAUGAUGUCAAAGAAUGAUGGAGGAAAUAUCCACUCCAACUUACAUAAUAUGAGAAUAAUUUUUUCCUCUUGUUCUUCUAAAACAUCUAGGUAUAUACUUCGUGUGCAUAAUUUUUGGAAAAACUCGCUGAGUUCGUACAACACAAGUCGAACUUCCUUUUUCAAACAACCCCUAAUUGAUAAAGGCAACAACCGUUGGAUGAAAACAUAAAAGUCAUGACUUUUCAUGCGUGACAACCGGAAGUCCCCCCCCUUUAAUGCAUCUAGAUAUAUUCGAGGCAAAUCCAUCCGGGAACUUAAGUGACUUCAAGAAAUCUAAUAUCUUUUGUUUCUCUUCCUUUGUCAAAUGGUAACAAGCCAUAGGCAUUAUAAAUGAAUUGCCAUCUGGUUGUAAAUGUAAGCUCUUUUUUAAUCCUUUAUCCAUUAAAUCCUUGCGAGAUUUCCAUGUGUCCUUUGUUUUAUUCUUAAUAUUGAACAAUGUGGCGGUCAAGCUUUCUGUCACAUUCUUAACAACAUGCAUGAUAUCAGUGUUGUGUCUCAAUUUUAGUUUAGCCCAAUAUGGAAGCUUAAAUCAUUUCCGCUAAAUCGAGGCUCCUUGCAGUCGUCAUUUGGACAGUGGGUAUGAGACGCAUAUUGUUUUCGAUAAAGAACACAGUCAUUAACACAUGCGUGAAUUUUUUCUCCUUGAAAACCCAAAUCACGUAUGUAUUUUUUUGCUUCAUAAAUUUUUUUGGGACUAAUGAUGGAGUUGGCAAGGCUUUUCUAAAUAUAUCAAGCAAAGCAUCAAAUGAUUUGAUGGACCAACCACUUGUUGUCUUUAUAUGUAAAAUUGUAACAAUAAACGAAAAUUGUGAGUAACUUUGACACCCUUCAUAAAGUUCCCGGUGCGCUUCAUCCAUCAAUCUUCAGAGGCCUUCUAAAUCCUUGUCUAUGGUACAUGAGGAAUCACCACUAGCUUGCCAAUUAUCACCCCAGUUACUUUGACCUAUGUUAUUUAACAUCUCAUCAAGGUCAUCAUCAUUUAAGUCAUCACAAGCCCCAUCAACUUCAUCCAUUGAUAUGUCAUCAUCCGAUGUAUCAUAUGACUCACCAUGAUAUAUCCACCUAACAUAACUAACAACAAUUCCUAUUUGCAUCAAAUGUGAGAAUAUAGCUGUUCGGUUAUGAUGUCGAAAAUUAUUGCAUUUUUUGCAAGGGCAUAGAACUUUUGACAACACUUCUCUAUCGCGGUAUGCAAAAUUAAGGAAUUCAUUUACACCCAACUCAUAUCUUGGGUCCUUCAUCCUUUGAACUAUAUUCAUCCAAGACUUAUCCAUAUGAUCUGGUAAAAGAAAAUUUCCUGAAAAUGGCAUAAAUGUAUAAUGACAGUGAAAUAGAAAACUCAGGUGGGGUUGUUAAAUUAAGCAAUAAGUUAAUCUAAACAUUGUAUAUGAGAUAGAAACUAAAAUGUAUUACUAACUUACAGAUCUAUUAAAGAUAACUAGCAUGCCAAUUAAUCUAAAGUAGAAUCUGAAAGUUUUCUUAAUCAUUUAGAAAGGUUUGUCACUACAAAAUAAUGCAAGAAAUAGCAACAUACUUUUUUCAUUUGUUUAUUUAUUUUACAACUUUACUUCAGUUUAUUUCUGUAAAAACUUUCAAAGUAGAAUGUUGUAAUUGUGUAAAAUUUUCAAAGCAUUAUGAGAAAAAAAUGAAAAUACAGUGUUGUAUUAGAAAGAAAGGAAAGCAAGAUGCUACUGUUAUAAUUUAUACACAAAAAUAAAUGAAAGAAAAUUGUAUUUGUAUUUUGAUGACAUUGCUCAAAUUGAUAAAUAAAUCAAUGGAAAUACGUUGCUAUUUUUAGCAUUUAACUUUUUCUUUAAAACUGUUAUAUUAUUGAUUAUAUUAUUAGUAACUUACUAGAGAUAUGAUUCUUAGGUUCAUAUGUAUGUGGAUGAUUGUGAGAAGGUUACUACUCAUUAUCAGGUAAAAAUUAUACAAAAAUUUAAUUGGAAUAAUAUGAACAUUUCAUGUAGAAUGGACCAUUUUGCCCCUAUCCUCUUCAAACCCAAGAUGCACAAACUCAGGUUUUGUUUGUAGGGAAAGAAAAGGAGAUGACAAAAAUGGAGAAGGGCAAAAUGGUCAUUUUCAUGAUAUGUGUGUCUAUAUAGUAUGCCCUACAACUAUGAAAACAUAAAUUUACCGUCACUAGGACCAUUUCUAUUACAAUUUACUGUCAAAAGGACCGUUCUAAUUGAUGUUACAAAACAAUAUCUUCAUCUCUUUAACAACAUUGUAUUAUCAUUAGUCAAAACAUAUGUUUUUCAAAACAGAGACAUAUCACAUAAUCAAAGGGUAUUAUAAUUAGAAUUGUGCAGCAACAUUGUUUUCAAAAUGACGACAUCAUUAAAACAUAUUUUUUUUCAAAACAAUGACAUAAUCAUGUACUUUGUAGAUAUGGUAUUAAUAAACCAAAAUAAUCAGUUCAUACCUGAUGCUUAUGGUUUGUAAGUGACUACAACUGAACUCAUAAGCAAUAUCACUUGAUAUUUUGUGACAGGUUCGUGGAAACCUUCUAAACAUAACCACAAGAAAAAAAACUGCACUAGAUAUAGCACAAUAUAGAUUUGGGCUUCCUUAACCAUUUCUGCAAUCUUGUUUUUGUGUUAUGAAAUGGAUGAAUUGAUUAGAUACAAAAGGGAAAGAGCUACUAGAGAAAAGACCGUUUUGCAGACACAAUUCUAAAAGCACUCCACCAGGACGAAAAAGCGGACCCCAUCAACUUGAAAACCAAAAAAGGAAAUGAAUCAAGAAAAUGAAACUUAAAGAAAACGAAGAGGAAGUGUUGUCAUUGUUAGACCCUUUUGUUGGAUUGUUAUGCAGUUGCUUAAGCUCAAAGUAUGAAGAUAAUAGAAAAACUACACUUUUUGUUAUGAUGUACGAAUGUUCAAGCAUAAUGUCUGGUGAAAUACGAAAAUUCCCUGAAGUUCUUCAUUUAUCUUCUAAUGGCAUCAUAUAUCUAUCAAAUGAAGUAAUGGCAAAAGAAAAAUCCUUACAUUCACUCAUUACAUUUGAAGGCUUUUCAAGAAUUCCUACCCCUGAUUACAUAUUCGAACAGAGGUAUCUCAGGGUUUUGCAUUUAGGAAUCAGGUAAAUGAGAAAUCUGUCUAAGUUACCUGAAGAAAUCAGGUACAUGAGAAAUCUUAGACAUUUGAAUAUCCAUGGGUGUUGCUCUUUUUAUCAUAUGCCACUUGGCAUGGGUCAGUUAUGCCACCUAAGAAGACUCAACACGUUUCUUGUGGGCCAGGGAGUCCAAGUAAGCGAGUUACAAGAGUUGAAUCUUUUAGGAGGAGAGUUUAGCAUAAAGGGUCUUACAAAUAUGAAAGAUUCAUUUCAAGCUCAGAGUGCAAACUUGAAAAAGAAACAUAAUAUAAACUGUUUAAAUCACUGAGUAAAGAGCUUAACAAGAGGGAAGCUCUAACAGAAAGGAAGAAACAAAAGCCAAAGCCUUCCGUGAUAUGGUCCAAAAGCAGAAAAUCUCAACUUAUCAAGAAAACUGAAUUGAUUCCAUAUUAUUAUAUUAUCCAAAAAAGUAACACAAGAACAAGAAAUAGUAGGAAAAAUAUGGCAUCACAUCAUAUUGUAGGGCUGGUGGAAAAUUCAUGGGAAAGGAAGGUUAGUAACUUUGUCAAAUAGAACAAAUCAUGGCAUACAAGUGUAUAUAUGAGAAGGUGAUUCAAUUUAAUUCAAUGUGAUUGUAAAACUCAGUUAAGCCUAGAAAAAGAAGUUGAUAGUCACUCAAUCGAUUGACUUAUCUAAUCAUGCGAGUUUGGAGUACCUGUUUGGCUUCAACUUUGACUCCGAGUAGAGAACAGAAGUGCGUCAAUAGGAGGGCGUGGAGGACGAUGGACCGCCGACCAAGAAAAAGAAGUUUUAGUCACUCAAUCGAUUGACUUAUCUGAUCAUGCGAGUAUGGAUUACCUGUUUGGCUUCGAGUUUGACUUCGAGUGGAGAACAGAGGUGCAUCAAUGGGACGGUGUGGAGCGACAAUGGAACGGAGGAGAUGGACCGGCGACGAUGGGUAGGCAGCGAUGGACUGGAGAUCUAACAAGGUCUGGUCGCGCAGGCGAUCGGAGAUCGGAGGUGGGAGAGAAAUUAACUGUGGAGUUAUCGUGAAAAAGUGUGGAGGAUGCUUUGAACGAGUGGGGAGCUGUGAACUGAGGUAUCGAUUCGGGGCAAAAAAAUGUGUUGAGUCGAUUUAGGGCACAGUACCCUUUAUCGGUAGUUAAAUUAGUUAGCUUGUUUAUCCUCUUUAUAUAUAUAAUUAAUUUGGUCAAAUUAGUGGUCAAAAUUAAUCAAGUCAAUUUGUAAACCUAUUUUUCCGACAAUAUUAGACAAUUUUUUCUAAAUCAGGUACAAUUUUAGUCGAUAUGGUAUUAUUUUUUCUUCAUUUUGAGGUAAGCUUCCAACAAUUUCCAGCAUACAAUUUUUUUAUUAUAUAUAUUUUGAGGAUUCAAUUUUGGACCUGAUUUUGAAGUUCCAUAUCAUGACUUUGAGAAGCCUUAGCAAUUUUAUCAUAAAUUUACGAUAGUGUUCUUUUGAUUCUCAUUUUAAUUGUAACUUCAUUUACCAAUUAAUCUAGAAUCCAUUUAUUGCAAGAAUACCAAUUUUGUUCUUUUUUUUUAGAUUGUGACAUACAAUAUAUGUUAUUGAUCUUUUGGUACUGCGGUGGUCUCCUUAUUUAGUCAAAAUAUAAAUACAACUAGUACUUUUUCUAAUGUGUUUUUUUUUUUUUCAAAUAUAUGUAGUCAGUGACCACUACUUAUUGGUUACUAAUUGUUUUUUUUCUUGUAAUUCAUCAGUGACCACUAUUGAGUGGUCAUUAAUUGUUUUUCCACAUUACAUUUACUUAGUGACUGCUAUUUUUGGUCACUAAACCUUCAAUACAGUGACCACUUUUUUGUCACUAAAUUUCUAACAUAUUGACCAUUGUUCUUAAUCACUAUAUAGUUAACAUAGUGAUCAUUAUUUUUAGUCACUAAAUAGUUGUUAUUAUAUGAAGCAAAAACAGUUAAAUUUUUUUGCAUUUUAGUGACUGAGUUAGUGACCACCACAUAUAAUUCGUCAUUAAAUUUGUAGGAUUACCAAAAUUUAAUGACCACUUAAUUUCUAGUGACUAAUAGAUGCUUUCGGUGACCAAAUUUUAGGUGGUCACUUAAAAAUAGUCACUAAUAAGGACUUUUCUUGUAGUGUGAAUAAUUGUAAAAAUUUGAAGUCAAUCGAGCAUCCUCCACAUACACUAAGAGUGUUGUUCGUCGUUUCUCAUAGGCCCUCUAUAGAAAAAUUGGUAUUAAAUCGAACAACAUCAUACACCAAUUAUCAUAUAACGAUAUAGAUUACGGACGUUGGUCAUAUGAAAUAGAAGGCAUGAUCAAAAUCCAAGCAAUGGUGGGUGUUGACGAAGAGGUAUUGCGUAGCUUGGGCUGGACUAAUCUAGACUUCCUUAAUGACACGCGUGUGGGAACUAAUUCUGUUUUGUCUAGUUAAAUGUUUGUCUUUAUGUAAAUACAUUUAAUAUAAUUAUUACGGUGAUUAAUUAAGGUGGUUUGUAUUUGGGAGACGAUGCAUUAUGAAUUUGGAAUACUUAGCACAAUGUAUGAGGCGGAGGAGAUGCCGAGUUGGUUUAGGCAUAGAAGCGUGGGGCCAUCAAUAUUAUUUACCAUCCCAUCGUCUCUAAACUGCCUUAGAGGGUUCAACUUCUGCUCUGUGCAGACAUUGCGAGUUCCAGAUGAGGAUUCAGGAAUCCAUCUUUCGCCAAAGAUCACAAUUAGUAAUAUAACAAAGAAUCGCACAUGGAUAUACCAACGUCGCUUGACCAGAUCUAGUGUAUGUCGAGAGUGUUGCGUGAUGUUAAGUCAUUGGAUGUUUGGAAUGAAUGACAUGGAAGGUGGUGACCAGGUUACUAUUACUGUUACAGGGCCAUAUAAUGAACUUAUAAAGGAGUGUGGGGUGAGAGUCAUGUAUGUUGAUGAUGAUGAUGGUGCGUUAGGUUAUUACAAGUCAUGGAAUCUCAUAAUUGGUGGAGAUCUCUCUCCUUUUCAAAUGACAACAGGAGAAUACAUCCUAAACAACUGGGAUUUUGGAAUCCACUUUAUGAAUUUUUUCAUGCAGUUAUUCUAAAUGCAUUAGAGAAGGCGCCAGCUAUCAAGGUUGAUGUCAUUCUUAUUAAAUAUUUUGUUAUCAUAGCCUAAUUCGUCUAAAUAAGUACAUCAUAUGACCCAAAUCCACCCAUUUAUUAUUGAUUUUGUUUGCCCUCUAAGCUAAAAGUUUAUUUUUAAUGUAUCGAUCCAGAUGCACGAUGGGUCGACCUAAGUAUUGAUCCGUCUAAAUGGGUUGAUCUGCUACAUCAAUUGAUUAAGUUUUUUGAUAUGUUGGGUCACAUAAUUAUAAUAUACCAGGACCAAUACAACUACUUUGUCCAAAUGGAUGUAUGUGAAUAGUGAUUGACACAAUGCUUUUUUUUCUCUGUAUUUUCAACACAAAAGGAAGUGUGGUUCAAAGAUUUUUCGCAAAGGAAGCCUGACAUAAUUGGUCAUGCACGUGAGGUAUAUUUUUAUACCUGAACAUUUCUCUCGUCACAUAAAUAAAGGGAAAAUGACUUAGGUUUUGUCCACAUUUGGUCACUUUCAUUUUUUUUGACAACAUUAACCAUUAAAUUCUCAUUUUCUGUUCAAGUUAUAGUAGGUUAAUGCCCAAUUGGCAUAUACUUGGCAUCUACAUGGUGGCAUUUGAGAUUAGCUGAUACGUGAUAUAAGGUAUUUCUUCACCCUCUUGCUCUUUUGUGCCCUAGAAUAACAAAAUCGACACGUCUUCUUCUUCUUCUUAAUCUGCCAGUAAAAAUCAAGAAUUCCAAGUUGAAAAUCCUUGAAAAUGUGGGUUACCUUCUCGAUUGAGGACAUCACUGAUGACAACCCUGAAGAAAGUUUAGAGUGUGCCCUAACUCGAUGGUAAAUCAAAUUAUGUUUUUUAUUUAACACUUCUUUUUUAUGUUCUUGUUUUAACAUUUCUAUUUAUUCAAGACUAAAAGGAAAAGUUGCAAUUUCUAGGAGUGGUCGAUGAAGAUUUUCAAUAUGAAGAUUUAAACAUCAAGUUGAAGUCGAAGAAUAUGGGUGUAAUGCAAGCUUAUGAACUAAUGCUGAAAAUUUGCUACAUCAGAGCAUGAGAUGAAGAUGGACCACGAAAUGGAGGCACUGAAAUGGAAGGUGUCCACUCACAAAAUAGUGCUCUUGUGUUGUUUGUUAUGCUUGUAGUUAAUCUACUUUAGGUUAGGGAUUAUAUUUGUUUAGGAUACAUUAUUUUUGUUGUAAGUUACAAUACAUUAUUUUUUGUUUAGGAUACUAUAUUUGUAGUUCUUCCCAUACUCUCCCUCUAUUUUCCUCUUUAUAGUGGGCCUCCCACGUAACCUUCUUUUUAAGGGGGGUUAAUGGAUUGUGAGCAUCAACAUGAGGCUACAUGACACAAUUAAAAGUCAUAAGUUCAAUCAUUAACUUUUUUACUUGAUUUUUGGAUGUUGCUUUUUCAAAUGAAGCAAUCAUUGAUGGGGAUUAUAUUAGAUGUCCUUGUUCUAAAUGCAAGAACAAGUCUUAUAAAACAAGAGGUGAUGUAGAGCUUCAAUUGUUACAAAACGGUUUCACUCCUAAUUUCAUAACUUGGCAGGCCAAUGGUGAAAGAAAUACGAUAUCUCAGCAUGAGGAAUAAUCUUCUAAUCUGAUGCAGGAUCCGAUGGAAGAUGAUGAUGAUGAUGAUGAUGAUGUUAAUGGGUGUACACAAAUGUUGAUGGAUGUAAUGGAAGGACUCCUGCAUCCAACCGCCAAGGGGUUCUAUGAUAUGUUAGAAGACGCUGAUGAACCUUUGUGGCAUGGAUGUGAAAAUUAUUCAAAAUUAGAAGUUGCAACAGAAAUGUUGCAUUGGAAGUCUGAAUACAAUAUAUCUAAGGCUACUUAUGAUCACAUACUUCCUAUAAUUAAGCGGAUGCUACCCAAAGGUAAGAAACUAGUUGAGAACUUCUACGAGACGAAGAAGCUUUUGCAAAGAAUUAGACUCCCAGAAAAAAAAAGAUUCAUGCUUGCAAAAACCAUUGCAUGAUAUUCUAUGGGGCUGAUUCUGAUUUGACUAAGUGUCGAGUGUGUGAUCAUGAUCGGUACAAGAGUGGCAGAUAUCUGGUUAUGAGGUACUUUCCGAUUGCUCCUAGACUCCAAAGGUUGUAUUUGACAAAAAGAUGGCAAAGCAAAUGACAUGGCACUAUGAACAUCAAACAUAAUCGGGUUUGAUGGUCCAUCCAAGUGAUGGUCAGGCUUGGAAGCAUUUCGACUCAAUGCAUCCAGAAUUUUCAAGUGAACCACAGAAUGUUCGCCUUGGGCUAUGCACUAUGGUUUCAGUCCAAAUAACUCAAAUAUAACCUCGUAUUCAUGUUGGCCUAUUUUCCUUUCAAUUUAUAACUUGCCUUCUUGGAUGUGCUUAAAAGAACCAUAUGUUCAAUUAAGCAUAGUUAUUCCUGGAAAAAAGAGCCCAGGUCAAAAUAUAGAUGUGUUUCUCAGGUCAUUAAUUGAUGAGUUAAAGAUGCUAUAUACAGAUGGCAUUGUCACUUAUGAUGCUUCGAGUAAAUGCAAUUUCACAAUGAAAGCUAUACUUCUUUGGACAGUUAGUGACUUUCCUACCUAUGCAAUGUUAUCGGGAUGGAUCACACAUGACAAGUUAGCAUGUCUGUAUUGUAUGGGUGAGUCGGGGUCGUUUUGUUUACACCAUGGUAGUAAACCAUGUUGGUUUGACUGCCAUCAAAAUUUUUUACCUGAACAACACACAUAUAGGGGUGACAAAAUAGGAUUUUUGGCUAAUAAGGUUGAUCGAUCUAGCUCCCCACCAAUAUUAACCGGUGAUCAGAUUUGGGAGCAAGUACGACACUUUCCAACGGUUUAUGAAGGCAAACCUUUUAAGAGAAGAAUGCAAAAUUGCCUGGUUUCGGGAUUACUCAUAAUUGGGUUAAGAGGAGCAUCUUUUGGGAGCUACCAUAUUGGCAGAAGUUGUUAAUACGACACAACCUUGAUCCCAUGCACUUUGAAACAAAUGUGUUUGAAAAUAUUUUCAACACCGUGAUGGACACUCCAAAAAACAAAGACAACAUGAAUGCAAGAAACGAUAUAUGUCACACCCCAAAACCGAUAACGGCGGAAUGUGUUUCAGGGUGGAUGACGUAGUGUACGGUAUCAUCAUAAUUGUAUAAUAGUAAAAGCAAGAAACAUACAACCAUUUCAUUUACAUAGUAAGUGUAAUUACAAGUGUGUUUUGUAAUGUUUGACAAACACCAAAAGUAAACAAAAAUAAGAUAUGGGUCUUGCAUGCUCCAUCUUCUCCGAAAAUGCUGCAGUUUUACCUGUCUAUCUUUGACCUAAAGAUACAAGUUAUUUUGAAAAGAAUAUCAGCAUAAAGCUGGUGAGUUCAUAAGAGUUUAGUGUGAGUUCUUAUAUAAAAAGCAUUAGAAUCAUUAGUAUGAAAGCUGAAUGUUUGUUGUCAUGAGUAGUAGUAAAACCUAGAAAAUCCUAUAUUUUCCAGAACUGAAUAGUAAGUGAAAACCAUUAUGAAAUAUGAUAUUUCCAUCUUUGAAAACCAUUUAUCGUAGAAGUAUAAUAGUGACUCACCAAUAAGUAAAGCAAUAUAGUGAGUUAUACUUGAAGUAAAUAAUAGUGGUGCAGCUUCCUUUAGUAUUAGAUACUUAUUUACUUCGGGAUAUUAACUUCAUCUUUCGUUUAGUGUUUUAGUGCGGUUAUAGUGUAUUUCUUGUAUGUUACCAAUGGUGUGAGUAAUAGCGGACCCCCAUGACCUUCCCAGUCAUGUAUAGUGUAGUGGAGUAAAGGCAUCCCUGGACCUGUGCGGCUCGGACUGAAAUUAUCAGUCGGGAUGUAAUAGCGUCUGCCCCGUAUAGAUCUAUACAUAUAGUGUCGUCUUCCUAUCAGAAAACUUCGGGCGUAGUGUGUAGUGAAUAGAGUAUCUCGUAGUGGGUAAAUGAGUUAUAUUAUGAUUUGUACUUUCUCUUGUGUUGUAGUGGGGUAGUCUUUUGUAUAACUUGUAUUGUACUCUCUUAAUAGUGUAUAGUUUUCAUAAUAGAGAGAAUUAUAGUAGUGUAGAGUAGUAGUUAAAACAAGAGAUAGAGACCUUAACUAUACCUAUUAUAGUUAACUUAGUGUAUAUGGUUCUAGUCAAGUUAGUGAUUUAGGCAUCUACUGAAAUAAGAAGUACUCGUAAUCCAUACUAAUAUACGAGAUAUAUAACUAAGAAAUCAACGACAGUCAGACGGAUAACCACUACCCUAAGUCCACAAUCAGACAAGAACAGGAAAUAAGGCGAGCUAUCGGUCCUAAGUCCUUCAAGUCUUACUUAUAUAAAUAUAUCAGUGUGAUUACAUUUUUAUGAAGAGAUUUAUUAAAUAAAAGUAUUGUACAAAAGAGACAUUUAAAACUUGUUUGUCCAUUCAAAAUAGUUUUGAAAAUAAAUGAUUGAUUUAUAAGGCAUAGUGAUAAAUCACAUGUGAUUUGAACUACAGGUAGUGAAUCACAUGUGAUUAAUUCUGUAAUAUGUAAAAUUUUCUUGUAUAACUUUCCAUAAACAUGUAUAUUGAACUUGUAUCUCCCCCCUAAAACAUAUAAAACAUUUGAAAGGUUCAUUAAAGGGGUAUGAACUCACCUGAAUUCGCGUAAAUCGGGUGAAUCGGGUAAAUCGGGUAAAAGUGUCGGUUGAGCGUUUUGUUCCAAACAAUGACUUGUACACCUUUUAGGACCCUAAUGUCAUAUGAAAAUAUGUAUUUUACAAGAAAUUAAUCAUUUUAUGCUUUCCGUUUAAGUAUUGAGGCAUUCUAGCAUCAAUUCGGGGUUUUAGGGCCUAGAAGGGGUUCCCGGGAGUGGUUUAAGGCUAAGAAGGAUUUACGGGAGGUUCCAUGAGCUCACUCCCUUGGAGUUUACGGCCCAAAGGCCACUCCUUGGGAGUUUACGGCCGUAAGCCCCCUAGGCUUGGCCGUAAACUCAUGUGGUCCUCCAAAUUGUAUGUUUAAGGCCUUAUUUCACUUCCUUACUUUAAUGGUAUGAGUCUUGGACCAAUAUGGAGGGAUUAAACUCUUAUUUUUGUGUCAUUUUGGGGAGUUUAUGGCCAAGGCUUGUUCUUGGGCCGUAAACUCCAUUUAAUCCAUCAAAAUGGGUGUUUAAAUGGUACAACAUGUUCUCAUUCACCUUAGGUAAAUCCUAGAAGGCCUUAAAAUGAGUUUUGGGACAAUUUGGCAUGAAAAUUGGGGAGUUUACGGCCCAAGAAUAUCCUUGGCCGUAAACUCUUCAUUUGGCCUCAAAAUGGGAAGUUUAAUGGUACAACACACAUCCAAGGGCCUUAGCUAAAUUCCUUACAUGCAUUAGAGAAGUUUUGGGACUUGUUUGACACAAAAACUUGGGUGUUUACGGACCAAGCUUAGCCUUGGCCGUAAACUCCUCUUUUUGUCCUCAAAUGAUGUUGUUUGAUGCAUUUAAACCUUCCUUAGUGUCAAGUAUAAAUUACCAAACACCUUAGAUGAGUUUUUGGGGUGUUUACGGCCUAAGCACAAGCUUGGGCCGUAAACUCCUUUUUAAGCUUCAAUUCCUUGUGUUUUAGUGUCCAAACUCUCCUAGGUAUAUGCCUUAAUUAGUCCAUAAGCUUAAAGGAAGGAAAAAUGAGGUUUUUGGCAAGUUUCUAGGGGUUUACGGCCUAAGGGGCUUCUUAGGCCGUAAACUCCUUUUUGGUCCUUGAUUUCUAUGAUUUUGGCCCCUAAAUACAGUGAAGUAUGUCUAGAUUAAGAUAGGGAAUGAGUCCUUACGUUUGGAAGCCGGAAAUUCGCGGAUUUAGGGUCGAUUUCGGGUCUAGAGAGAGAAAGUAGUGAGACAGAGGUGAGGGUGUGGUAAAAGAGUUCAAUUGUAGUGUCCCUUUGUUUAUAUAUGUCUCGGGUAUUGCACCCGAUACACGGCUACCCGAUGCUAACGUUUAACGGGGUUAAAACUUUUUACCCGGGUGAAGUGGUUGAAAAGUAAUAUAACUCUAUUUAGUUAAACGGGGUUAACAUUUACAAGUUAUAAUUACUUAUGAUAAUAUCGUGACAUAUGAAUAACUAGAUAUUUGUUUAUUGACGACUCCCAACCAUUACCGAAAAUAAUAUAUAGUGACGCAUUCCGUUAGUGAAAGUAGGGUUUGUAACGGCAAUAUAUUUGGGGUUGUCACAUUAUCCCCCCGUUAGGGGAAUUUCGUCCCGAAAUUUAGAAUUUAUACAGAUCAGAAUUACAGUACUACUACGCGAAGAGAUGGUGGUAUUUGAGUUUCAUUUGGUCUUCGCGCUCCCAAGUGAAUUCCGGUCCUCGUUUGGCGUUCCACCGAACUUUCACAAUUGGGAUACGGCUUUGUUUCGUUCGUUUUACUUCUCGAUCCAUGAUCUCCGCAGGCUCUUCCACGAAGUUGAGGCUCUCAUUGACCUCAAUCUCGUCAAGGGGAAUUACGAGUGUCUCGUCUGACAGGCAUUUCUUCAAGUUACAGACGUGAAAGGUAGGGUGUAUGUUGCUUAGUUCGUGAGGUAGGUUGAGUUUAUAAGCUACGGGGCCGACUCUAACGAGAAUCUCAAAAGGCCCUAUGUACCUUGGGUUCAGCUUUCCAUGCUUUCCAAAGCGUAUCGUGCCCUUCCAGGGUGAGACCUUCAACAGGACUCGAUCUCCCACCUGGAAUUCCAAGGGUUUUCUUCGUUUGUCGGCGUAACUUUUCUGUCGAUCCCUAGCGGCUUUUAGUCGUUCACGUAUCUGUACAAUCUUCUCGGUCGUCUCUCGAAUGAUCUCCGGACCAGUGAGAGAGCUGUCAGGAACUCUUCCUCUAGCUAGCUGAGUGUCACCCACCUCAGCCCAGCACAGAAGGGAUCUGCACUUACGCCCGUAGAGGGCUUCGAAUGGGGCUGUCUUGAUGCUCGUAUGAUAACUAUUAUUAUAUUACAAAACUCCACAAGAGGUAAGUGUGUGUCCCAUGAUUUGCCAAAGUCAAUCACACAAGCUCGCAACAUAUCUUCUAAGGUUUGAAUCGUCCUCUCACUUUGUCCGUCGGUCUACGGAUGGUAGGCUGUACUCAUGUCCAGUCUCGUUCCUAGUGCCUUUUGCAAUGAUUGCCAAAAUCUAGAGGUGAAUCUACUAUCUCUGUCUGAUAUAAUAGAUAUAGGGACGCCAUGCAGUCGCACUAUUUCUUUUAUAUAUGUUCUAGUGAGCUUCUCCAUCUUGUCCGUCUCCUUGAUGGGUAGAAAGUGUGCAGACUUGGUCAACCUGUCAACGAUGACCCAAAUGGUAUCUAAUCCACCUGCUGUCUUGGGCAGUUUGGUGAUAAAGUCCAUUGUGAUUCGCUCCCACUUCCAUUCUGGUACCUCCGGUUGUUGGAGGAGUCCUGAUGGCUUUUGAUAUUCGACUUUGACCUUCGCGCAAGUAAGGCACUUACUUACAAAUGUAGCGAUCUCCUCUUUCAUGUUCGGCCACCAGUAUCGGUUUUUGAGAUCCAGAUACAUCUUAUCUGAACCCGGGUAAACGGAGUAACGAGUGUUGUGUGCUUCCCUCAUAACCAAGUCUCUGAAACCUCCAUGGCGUGGAGUCCAGAUUCGGUCCAUGAAGUAGUAGGCUCCGACACCCUUAACCUCCAGAUUUUUAUCCAUUCCGCGCAGGGAUUCUCCUAUCACGUUCUCGGGCUUUAAGGCUUCUAGCUGAGCCUCUUUGAUCUGUGCGGAUAGAUGCGAAUGGAUAGUCAUUGUCAACGACUUGGUCCUUCGACCGGAAUAUUCCUUUCUACUCAGGGCGUCAGCUACUAUGUUGGCUUUCCCCGGAUGAUAUCUAAUUUCACAGUCGUAAUCGUUAAGUAGCUCGACCCAUCGACGCUGUCUCAUGUUGAGUUCUUUUUGGUUCAGUAUAUGUUGGAGGCUUUUAUGAUCAGUGUACACCACGCUCUUCGUCCCAUACAAGUAGUGUCUCCAGAUUUUUAGUGCGAAGACGACCGCUCCUAACUCGAGGUCGUGAGUAGUGUAGUUCACUUCAUGGUUCUUUAGCUGUCUCGAGGCAUAGGCGAUAACCUUGCCUCGUUGCAUCAAGACACAACCGAGCCCCUGAUUGGAUGCAUCACAGUAUACGACGAAAUCUUCUGUCCCUUCGGGAAGGGAUAAUACUGGUGCGGUGCAUAGGGCUCGCUUCAGGGUCUGAAAUGCCUUCUCCUGUUUCUCUUCCCAGUCGAAUGAUACACCCUUCUGAGUUAGCAUAGUGAGAGGCUUCGCAAUUCGAGAGAAAUUUUGGAUGAAUCUGCGGUAGUAGCCAGCGAGGCCUAGAAAUUGACGAAUUUCUGUAGGCGUCUUCGGUGCUGACCAGUUCUCAAUAGCUUUAAUUUUGGAGGGGUCCACGUGGAUUCCGUCUUCACUGACCACGUGCCCUAAGAAUUCAACUCUUCGGAUCCAAAACUCGCACUUAGAGAACUUCGCAUACAACUUCUCGGAUCGCAGGGUUUCCAGGACUAAUCGUAAAUGAUUUCUGUGCUCUUCCUCGCUCCGAGAGUAGACGAGUAUGUCAUCAAUAAAGACGAUGACGAACUGAUCUAGAUAUGGACGACAUACCCUAUUCAUCAAGUCCAUGAAUACUGCGGGGGCGUUAGUCAGUCCAAAGGGCAUCACUACGAACUCAAAAUGCCCGUAGCGGGUUCGGAAGGCUGUCUUUGGAACAUCUUCCUCAAGCACCCGUAACUGAUGAUACCCCGAUCUAAGAUCAAUCUUGGAGAAGUAACUUGCUCCUUGGAGUUGGUCGAAUAGAUCGUCGAUACGAGGGAGAGGAUAGCGAUUUUUGAUCGUGAGUUUAUUGAGUUCCCUAUAAUCGAUGCACAUCCGAAACGACCCAUCCUUUUUCUUCACGAACAAGACCGGAGCUCCCCAAGGUGAGAAGCUCGGUCUUAUAAAGCCCUUGCUGAGCAGUUCGUUGAGUUGACCGGAUAGUUCUUGCAUUUCGGCGGGCGCUAGACGGUAGGGCGACUUAGCUACGGGGGUAGCUCCUGGGAUUAGGUCGAUUCUGAAUUCAACCUGUCGUUUGGGAGGUAGGCCUGGAAGAUCCUCCGGGAAGACAUCAGGAAAAUCGCAUACUACAGGAAUGUCUUUUGGAUCUUUCGAUUUCUGGUUAGUGUCGACAACGUGAGCAAGAAAGGCGCGAUAUUCCUUGCGCAAGUAUUUCUGAGCCUGAAUACUAGAGAUGAUACGAAGGUUUGUACUUGGCUUAUCUCCGUAUAUCAAUAGGGUCUCUCGAUUCGGAAAGUUCAGGCGAAUGGCUUUCUCGGAGCAUAGGAUGUCGGCGUAGUGAAGGCUUAGCCAAUCCAUACCAACAAUGACAUCGAAAUUUUUGAUUGAGACUGGUAUAAGAUCGAUUAAAAAGGGGUGAUCAUCUAACGUGAGAGUACAACCUAUAUAGAUUUCAUUAGAGCUUUCUGUCUUCCCAUUAGCCAUUUCUACAACGAAUGUUUCUUUUAGUGGUUGAGGGGUUUGUUUGAGUAAGUGUUUAAAGUUUUGAUUUAUGAAGCUUCUUUCUGCACCACUAUCGAAUAAGACACAGGCAUAAGAGUUGUUGAGAAGAAACGUACCCGUGACCACCGUGGGAUCGGCUACCGCUUCAUUGUGACCGAUAGCAAGUAACCUUCCAGUUCCCCCAGCAUUUGCAGCCUUCGGACAGUUCUUCUUAAAAUGGCCCGCUUCACCGCAGCCAUAACAAGUUGGGGUCACUCCCGUACCAGGAACCUGUGUGAUAGGUUUGGGAGGGGCCUUGCAAAAUCGGACAGUAUGGCCCUUUCGUCCGCAGUUGGAACACUGCAAUUCACGGCAAGGACCGUUGUGGUGAAAAGGGCACUUGGGACACUUAGGCAAGUUUCCACUGUAAGCCUUCGGUGGGGCUGGAGCAGCUGGUGUGGCUGGGGUGGUGGCAGCAUGGACCGCCACAAUUUGCUGGUCCUUAGAGGCGGUUUGAGUCUUCUUGCCCUUCUUCUUAUCCCAUCGUUUCCUUUUUCUGUCAGAUGAUCCGGAUGGUGCAGUGGUUGUUGUGGUUGUUGUUGCUGGAGUGGAGGAGAUUUCGUGGUUGAUCAGACUCUGGGCCAAUUCCUUGGCGCUGUCGAAAGUGGUAGGGCGUGAAGCCAGAACAUUUCCUCGAUACGGGGGCACUAAACCCCAGAUGUAACGUUCAAUCUUCUUGCUUUCAGAGGGGAUCAUGUUGGGACACAUAGCCGCCAAGUCGCAAAACCUGGCCGUAUAAGCCGUUAUGUCGGUCCCCUUCAUCUUGAGGUUCCAGAGUUCUUCCUCAAGCUUCUGAACUUCGCCCCUAGGGCAGUACUCUCCUCUCAUAAGAUCUUUUAGAGUGUCCCAGCCCAUGGCAUUGGCUGUGACCAAGGAGAGUGCGUUGACAUGGCCGUUCCACCAUGACAAAGCCCUGUUAGUGAGGGUAGCAGUAGCGAACUUGAUUUUGCUCUCUUCGGGACAAGAGCACAUUUCGAAUACAGCUUCGGUUCUUUCGAACCAUUGGGACAAUGCCAGAAUUCCUCCGGUCCCAUCAAAGAAAGUAGGUUUACAAUUCAUGAAGUCUUUAUAAGUGCAUCCCUGCACUCGUUGGUGGACUUCACCAAAUCUAGAAUUUCCACCGCUCGCAUCACCCGAGUUCAUUUGGGCCAUGGCUGCUGUUACAGCCGCAGUCACAGCCGCUUGGAACAACACCGGAUCGAACUGCGGAGGAGGAGGUGGUGGAGGAGGGGUUUGAGUUUCAGGUCUUCCUCUGCUGGGACGCUUUCGUGGAGGCAUCCUUCACUGGAAGAUCAUAGAAAUGAUAGCAAUAGUAAGAGCCUAUUGCGAAUAUGAAUAGUGUGUUUCAUGGAUUAAAUCAACAUAAUCCAAGAUCAGGGUAAGAGUUAUAGCAAUAGAGAAAUCAUCUGCCAAUAUACUGGUAUUAAUGAUGCAACAGAAGUUCAUGAAAAUUGACCUAGCAGUAGGUCUUACAUCAUACCAUAGAGAAAUUGUUGGCAGUUUAGAGGUUCAACUAGAGUACUUUUAAACUAGGAAUGUUUACAGACAAGAGACCUACGGAACAUAGAGAUAAAAAGGCUAGUCCUUUAAACAAAAGAGUGAGGUAACUAGACGUCUUCUACUGGCGACGGUUGCUUGUUGGGCGAAUCCUCAGAUCCACUAGUUGACGCAUAACUUCUUGAAGGUGUCGAUCAUGAGUCCUUUGGCGUGCUCGGAGUUCCCUAACUUCAGCUCGGGAUGCAGCCAGCUGAUGCUGCAGAGCCUCAUUGGUCCUCCUUAUCCUGUCCACAGCUUCUUCGAGUUGACGAAUGCGAACAGUGUUGAGGUUUGAGUUGACAUCCACUUCUACAACUCGACCAAUAGCAGCCUGACUUUGCUCAACAUUCCUGGCAAUCCUUCGGAUCAUGAUGGGCAGAACCCGAUCCGCUGAUCCUCCUUCGCUUAUGUUGUAGAAGCUGCAGUCUCCAUUGUAAGGCAAGGGCUGACCCUGCUCCUCGCUCCGUCGAUACAAGGAUAUUGCCCACAUAGGAGNAGGAGUGGGGCCCUGAAAUGCCGGACGGGGGCUAGGGUUCGGGGCUUCAGGAGGUUGGUUGUUGACUUCUGGCUCGGAGCUCGAGCUAUCCGAGAAGCCUUCAGCAUGAUGAUCAUCCAAAGGAAUCGGGUGAUCGUCGUCUGACUCCUCUUCGAGCCAUCCUCCAUUGCCCUGGUUCGGAAAGUACGGAUCGCCGGGUAGGUGGAAGCCAGCCACUAUCUACGCGAGAAAGGGGGAAAAGAAGAUUAAUAAAUGUACUAUUCUAAGAUCCUUAUAGGAUAAAUCAUUAUUAGUCGACCAAAUACUUGCAUAGUGCAUACCGAUUACAUGUAACCAAAGCAAGAUAGUCCUUAGAAUAAACCACCCUAACUUCAGACCCCCAAUCAAACAAGAACAGUGAAUGAAGCAAAGGCUGCAGAUUCUGAGUCUAUAACGCCCUAAUCACAUGUAAUCGUGGUGUAUCAACUUAGCAACUAUUGUCCCACUAGUAACGACCCCUUUUUGUUAUCACAUACGUAUAAUCUAGAGAUACGGAAUACUCCUAUAGUAUUCUUAUGGCAGCGUUAUGAUGAUAUUUGUGGUAAGUUUUAGACUUGUUGCAACAUCACAACCAAACUUAGGCACAUGCUAGUCACUCUCAGGAAAGACGUAGUUGAUCAGGCUACAUCACCCUGAAUGUGACUAUAUGUCUCUAAACCCAAUUGUGCUAUCCAACAAUCUUAAUACUUUCAUUUUGUUCUAGGAUGAUACAGACUUCGGUGUUUUAUAGUGAUGUGUGUAUAUAUAUAUAUAUACUUAGUUAGAUCUUUUAGAUACUUAACAGUAUAUAUUCUUGUACAGAGUGUUUUAGUCCCGAAGUGUUUAUAGUUCGUAUAUCUCUUAUAGGUUGAUAUACUUGAUUCACUAUAAAGAAUGCUCUGAUACCAAUCUGUCACACCCCAAAACCGAUAACGGCGGAAUGUGUUUCAGGGUGGAUGACGUAGUGUAUGGUAUCAUCACAAUUGUAUAAUAGUAAAAGAAAGAAACAUACAACCAUUUCAUUUACAUAGUAAGUGUAAUUACAAGUGUGUUUUGUAACGUUUGACAAAAACCAAAAGUAAACAAAAAUAAGAGAUGGGUCUUGCAUGCUCCAUCUUCCCUAAAAAUGCUGCAGUUGUACCUGUCUAUCUUUGACCUGAAGAUACAAGUUAUUUUGAAAAGAAUAUCAGCAUAAAGCUGGUGAGUUCAUAAGAGUUUAGUGUGAGUUCUUAUAUAAAAAGCAUUAGAAUCAUUAGUAUGAAAGCUGAAUGUUUGUUGUCAUGAGUAGUAGUAAAACCUAGAAAAUCCUAUAUUUUCCAGAACUGAAUAGUAAGUGAAAGCCAUUAUGAAAUAUGAUAUUUCCAUCUUUGAAAACCAUUUAUCGUAGAAGUAUAAUAGUGACUCACCAAUAAGUAAAGCAAUAUAGGAAGUAAAUAAUAGUGGUGCAGCUUCCUUUAGUAUUAGAUACUUAUUUACUUCGGGAUAUUAACUUCAUCUUUCGUUUAGUGUUUUAGUGCGGUUAUAGUGUAUUUCUUGUAUGUUACCAAUGGUGUGAGUAAUAGCGGACCCCCAUGACCUUCCCAGUCAUGUAUAGUGUAGUGGAGUAAAGGCAUCCCUGGACCUGUGCGGCUCGGACUGAAAUUAUCAGUUGGGAUGUAAUAGCGUCUGCCCCGUAUAGAUCUAUACAUAUAGUGUCGUCUUCCUAUCAGAAAACUUCGGGCGUAGUGUGUAGCGAAUAGAGUAUCUCGUAGUGGGUAAAUGAGUUAUAUUAUGAUUUGUACUUUCUAUUGUGUUGUAGUGGGGUAGUAUUUUGUAUAACUUGUAUUGUAUUCUCUUAAUAGUGUAUAGUUUUCAUAAUAGAGAGAAUUAUAGUAGGGUAGAGUAGUAGUUAAAACAAGAGAUAGAGACCUUAACUAUACCUAUUAUAGUUAACUUAGUGUAUAUGGUUCUAGUCAAGUUAGUGAUUUAGGCAUCUACUGAAAUAAGAAGUACUCGUAAUCCAUACUAAUAUACGAGAUAUAUAACUAAGAAAUCAACGACAGUCGGACGGAUAACCACUACCCUAAGUCCACAAUCAGACAAGAACAGGAAAUAAGGCGAGCUAUCGGUCCUAAGUCCUUCAAGUCUUACUUAUAUAAAUAUAUCAGUGUGAUUACAUUUUUAUGAAGAGAUUUAUUAAAUAAAAGUAUUGUACAAAAGAGACAUUUAAAACUUGUUUGUCCAUUCAAAAUAGUUUUGAAAAUAAAUGAUUGAUUUAUAAGGCAUAGUGAUAAAUCACAUGUGAUUUGAACUACAGGUAGUGAAUCACAUGUGAUUAAUUCUGUAAUAUGUAAAAUUUUCCUGUAUAACUUUCCAUAAACAUGUAUAUUGAACUUGUAUCUCCCCCCUAAAACAUAUAAAACAUUUGAAAGGUUCAUUAAAGGGGUAUGAACUCACCUGAAUUCGCGUAAAUCGGGUGAAUCGGGUAAAUCAGGUAAAAGUGUCGGUUGAGCGUUUUGUUCCAAACAAUGACUUGUACACCUUUUAGGACCCUAAUGUCAUAUGAAAAUAUGUAUUUUACAAGAAAUUAGUCAUUUUAUGCUUUCCGUUUAAGUAUUGAGGCAUUCUAGCAUCAAUUCGGGGUUUUAGGGCCUAGAAGGGGUUCCCGGGAGUGGUUUACGGCUAAGAAGGAUUUAUGGGAGGUUCCAUGAGCUCACUCCCUCAGAGUUUACGGCAUAAAGUCCACUCCUUGGGAGUUUACGGCCGGAAGCUCCCUAGGCUUGGCCGUAAGCUCAUGUGGUCUUCCAAAUUGCAUGUUUAAGGCCUUAUUUCACUUCCUUACUUUAAUGGUAUGUGUCUUGGACCAAUAUGGAGGGAUUAAACUCUUAUUUUGUGACAUUUUGGGGAGUUUACGGCCAAGGCUUGUUCUUAGGCCGUAAACUCCAUUUAAUCCAUCAAAAUGGUUGUUUAAAUGGUACAACAUGUUCUCAUUCACCUUAGGUAAAUUCUAGAAGGCCUUAAAAUGAGUUUUGGGACAAUUUGGCAUGAAAAUUGGGGAGUUUACGGCCCAAGAAUAUCCUUGGCCGUAAACUCUUCAUUUGGCCUCAAAAUGGGAAGUUUAAUGGUACAACACACAUCCAAGGGCCUUAGCUAAAUUCCUUACAUGCAUUAGAGAAGUUUUGGCACUUGUUUGACACAAAAACUUGGGUGUUUACAGGCCAAGCUUAGCCUUGGCCGUAAACUCCUCUUUUUGUCCUCAAAUGAUGUUGUUUGAUGCAUUUAAACCUUCCUUAGUGUCAAGUCUAAAUUACCAAACACCUUAGAUGAGUUUUUGGGACUUUAAACAAGGGUUUUUAGGGUGUUUACGGCCUAAGCACAAGCUUGGGCCGUAAACUCCUUUUUAAGCUUCAAUUCCUUGUGUUUUAGUGUCCAAACUCUCCUAGGUAUAUGCCUUAAUUAGUCCAUAAGCUUAAAGGAAGGAAAAAUGAGGUUUUUGGCAAGUUUCUAGGGGUUUACGGCCUAAGGGGCUUCUUAGGCCGUAAACUCCUUUUUGGUCCUUGAUUUCUAUGAUUUUGGCCUCUAAAUACAGUGAAGUAUGUCUAGAUUAAGAUAGGGAAUGAGUCCUUACGUUUGGAAGCCGGAAAUUCACGGAUUUGGGGUCGAUUUCGGGUCUAGAGAGAGAAAGUAGUGAGAGAGAGGUGAGGGUGUGGUAAAAGNCUAGAGAGAGAAAGUAGUGAGAGAGAGUGAAUGAGUGGUAAAAGAGUGUUCAAAUGGUGUUCACUCUCAUUUCAUAUGCCUCGGGUGUUGCACCCGAUACACGGCUACCCGAUGCUAAAGUUUAACGGGGUUAAAACUUUUUACCCGGGUGAAGUGUUUGAAAAGUAAUAUAACUCUAUUUAGUUAAACGGGGUUAAUAUUUACAAGUUAUAAUUACUUAUGAUAAUAUCGUGACAUAUGAAUAACUAGAUAUUUGUUUAUUGACGACACACAACCAUUACCGAAAAUAAUAUAUAGUGACGCAUUCCGUUAGUGAAAGUAGGGUUUGUAACGACAAUAUAUUUGUGGUUGUCACAAUAUAGAAAUGUAUUGCAAUCGAGUGCAAUGGCAUACAUGGAAGAAGCGAAAUAAGGAUAUGAAAAAGAGAGCAUCGUUUUCUUUGAGCAAAGAACAAUUAAGUAACUAAAAUAUGCCAAUGGUUGAUUAAACUUAAAUUCCCGGACGGAUACGCCUCAAACUUGGGGGGUGCGUUAAUGUAGAUGAUAAUAGCUUUUACAAAUUCAAGAGUCACGAGUUCCAUGUAUUUCUUCAAAAAUUGUUGCCUAUUUCUCUAAGAGGUAUGGUGCCAAAUUCAAGAUGGGAUGCAAAAUAUGUUCAAAGGUGUUACGUGCGCGUAGAUGGCUUACAGCGCUUGCAAACUACUAUUGUUGAAACCAUUUGCAUGUUGGAAAAAAUAUUUCCACCUGGAUUCUUUGACUCAAUGGAGCAUCUUGUUAUCCACUUAGCUCGUGAAGCUAAGCUUGGUGGUCCGGUUCAAUAUAGGUGGAUGUAUCUUUAUGAAAGGUAUAUUUUUUACCAUACAAAAGAUUUUACCAUAAAACCUAUGGAAUUUCUAAUAAGCCUUUUCCAACAUCUUUUUAGGAAGUUGGGAUCAAUGAAAAGAAAGAUAAAAAACCAUGUGAAGGUUGAGAGGUCCAUUGUUGAGGUUUGCAUGAUUGGAGAAAUAUCGACUUUUUGCUCACAAUACUUUUUGCCUACAAUCGAAGCCCAGUUGAAUCGUGAGUCGUGUAAUUUUGCACCAAACAUUCCUAAUUAUACCAUGGUUGACUCUCGAUUAAGCAUUUUCAAAGUUCCAUCUCGAAGAUUAUUCGAAAAAAGUGGUCAACGGAGGCCUUUAACAGAUGAUGAGAUGCGUAUUGCUCAUAAUUACAUAUUGAUCAAUUGUGUUGAGGUUCUACCUUUUUUAAGGUAUGUUAAGUUAUCUACUUUUACUUGAUGUCAUGAAUCUCUAAAAUGUUUUUUAUUUUUUAAGGUUGUUUGAUAAUUAUGUGAUCCAAAGAAAACCUAAUAUCGAUGAUGGAGCAUUUGAAAGGUUUAGGGAUCAACAUUUUGCUAAGUGGUUUUAAAGAUCAUGUAAGUAUGAUACAAGCAAAAUUUGUAUUCUCAAAAAGUCUUGCCCCAUGAAUUAAUUAACAAAUGACUUUAUCAAUGUAGGUUUCACAACAAUCAAAUGAUAUUAGUUAACAUCGUAAAUGCCUUGCACGAGGACCAUUGCAAAAUGUUAGGUCCAAUAAAUGAUACUUUGUCAAUGAUUACAAGUUUCAUACUAAAAAAUAUGGUGAUGGACGGGUCACACACAAUAGUGGUGUAUUCGUAAGAGGAACUUGUUACAAUGAGACUGAGUGUGACUAUUAUGGGUUGUUGGAUGAGGUCUUGGAAGUAGAAUAUCAAGGCAUAUGGCGUUGCGUUGUAGUAUUGUUCAGGAGUACAUGGUUUCACCCUACUGAAGGGGUACGUGUGGAUCGAAAGAAUAAUUUGGUUGAUAUUAAAUACAAAUCAAGGCUAAGAAAUGAAGAUCGGUUUAUCCUAACGUCACAAGCAGAACAAGUGUAUUACUCACCAUAUCCUGCAAUCAAGGAUUUGAAAGAUUGGUGGGCUGUCGCCAAGACGAAGCCAAGGGGUGUAUAUGAUCUACGACAAUGUAUUACCAAAGAAGAUGAUGAUGAGGAUGAAGAGGAUCAAUUCAUUCAAGAAAGUGAAGCGACUUUACCUUCUACAAGUAGCGGUAAAAAUGAGGUGGCAGAACCCCUUUCUCAUGUAAUUGAAGGAGAAAUAGAAGAAGUUAAUGACAAUGACGUUGAGAGAGAAGAGGAUGAAGAAGUUGAUGAUAACUCGGAUGAUUCAUCCAAAGAUGAUAUUGAAGACGAAGACAACAUAUGUGAUGAUAAUUUUGAUGAUGAGUAAUUACUAAAAAUGUAGAAUGAAACAAUGUAUUUGGAACAAUAUAUUGCCUAAUGGACCUUAUUAAUAACUUUUUAGCUAAAAUGAUUGUUUUCUUUUUCUAUAUACAUUGUACUUCCAUUUAUUCGUGUAUUAUAUAGCAUGUUACCUUCUUUUACUUCAAGAAUUUUCUAUUAUAAUACAUACUUGUUCUAACCAAUCGUUUAUUAAUUCUUGAUUUUAAGGGUUUUUUUUAUUUACUAAUGGCGCUACGAGGAGCCCAUGGUGGUGAUCGCAGUGGUAGUCAUAUUGGUGGUCAUGAUGUUGGAGAUAGAAAUGCAUCUCAAUCAUACAAUAAUGCAGAAAGUUAACCUUCUUCAGUUAGAGGAUCAAACAUCUUGGAACAAGUUCCAACUAACCCAUCAAAAAGGAAGUUCAUUGAAGUCGAUUCUGAAAACGAGUACUAAUGUUAAUUUUAUAAUUAUUUAUGAAAAUGAAUUUACUUGUUAAUAAUAAUACUAAUGCUAAUUUUUUUAAUUAUUUAUUUUUUCAAGAGGGGUAAUUUAGGCAUUUUACUUGUUUAACUUGUUAAGAGGAGAGUGAAGGUAACUUUUUAUUUUUUGUGUUGUUUCUAGUGUUUUAAUUCAAACAAAACAAAACAUUUGUCUUUGGUUCUUUUUUAGAAACUAUACAAUAUUCUUUGAUGGAGAUGCAACUAUCUUGGGGCAAGCAACCCCAAUCUCUGGAUACGAAGGAGGAACCAACCGGAGAAUCAAGAAGCUAGAGAUACCGCUAUUUAAUGGAAAUAAUCCGAAUGACUAGGUUCUUGAGGCAGAGAGCCGGUUUCUAGAUUAUCGAUUAUCAUCGGCCAAUUAGCGAUUAACUAGAAGGCGACGACGCUCACUGGUAUAACGAGGAACACUAUCACCGGCCAAUUAGCGAUUGGGAAGAGAUAAAAUUCCUAAUCAGCCGGUGAUUCGGACCUUCCAUGGUGGGGGGUUUCAGUCGGAGCGAGAACGUAGUCUUAUGCAGAUAACGGCUCCGUUAAAUGACGGACGGCAAAAAGAAGACCAAGGUCAUCACAAAGUUGGGCUUAAAAACAACAUGUGGGCCAAAAUUGGAUUAUUGGACCCCGAGAAGUUGGAUCAGACAAUGGACUCGGAAAUUAAAGUGGAAGAUAAAUUAAGCCCAGUGUAAAUAAACCUAAUAGCCCUAAAACGAUGGAAACGUCAGUAAGGAGAUCAUAAACAAUCUUUGUGUAAGGUGGGUGGUGUUAACCCAGCUCAGAAUAUGCAGGAGUUUAAUUCUUCGGUGCAUUAUGAUCAUCAGGUAGGUUGGUUUUAUAUGAGUCGUCAAUCUCAGCUUCCCUUAUCCUCAAUCGGUUUCAUCCCUGGCAUGUGGUUGGUGUGGAGGGGCCUGGUUUGAACUAAGCUGUGUUUUGGACAAACACAUUAUUGGUCAAAGGUAUCAUAUCAAGAGAUGAAUUGCCCCAAAAAUAUAGAGAAUUCGGGAUGCAUUUUGAGAUCCCAAAUUCUCUAUAUUUUAGGUAAUACUUGUUUAUUUUGCUAGUGUGAAAAAAAGCCUAACUUUUGAGAGGAGUGAGCAAGUAGGAGAAGACGCCAAACUUUUGUUAUUUGUGGUGUCGACUUUCAGUGAAGGAGGGGCAGGAGAACCCAUUUUUUCCCUUUUGCUAUUGAAGUAUGUCGUAUGCGUUUUGAGUAGCUGAUUUACGCAAUGGUCUAAUUGGCUAAUUGAUUCACAUAAUGGGCUGUUUAUUUGUAUUUUUUUAUUUAGCCAAUAGUGGACGUUUACUUGGAGUUACACCCGGUGCACAUUAGAUCAAAGAUAUAAAAUCCAAUUUUUUUUUUUGAAACUUCUAAGUGCUAUCCCUACCAACUAACUAUAUCCGCCACAAGAAGUAUGUGGUGGUGGAUUGUAGGUGGGAUGGGGUUGCGGGUUCAUAGAGAAAAAAAGGAGACAUGACAAAAGAAUGUUAAAAAAGUCUUUUUAGAAUUGAACUUAAAUGAAAAGGUUAAGAGUUUUGGUAAAAAGGACUACCGAUGCAAGAAAUGAGACCAUAAGGAUUUGUGAUGUAUUGUUUUUUAAAUUUGUUCUCAAAGUGAAAAUUUCACUAAACUGCAAGGAUCAUAUUUGUAAUUUAGUCUUCAAUUCUAGAAAAAGAAUAAAAAAAGAAAUUCAAAAGUAGCAAAACCGUAUUCCUUUUGGGAAAGAACCCUGAAAACCUCGGAUACCAAAAAAUAAAAAGAAAGAAAAAAAAAAGAAAAACCCGAACAUUUUCAUUGUUUGUUUAUACUCUCUCACCGUCUCUGUUCGUUCAUCGUCGACUCACCGUUUGCCUGCUUGCUCAUCUUUCUUGGCCUUUGUCUCUGUUCAUUUUUCAUCUGUUAUCACCGCUUCAGGUUUAUAUAAAAUCUGCUCAUUCUUACAAGUUACUUUUGCUUGUCUAAAAAUUCCACAUAGCAAUCGCAGAUCACAUCAUAAUCAUUUGAAAUUUCAUAAACAGGUGAUUAAAACUUUGUUUAUUUCAGCUACUUUUGUUUAGUUUACAUAUCAGUUAUAAUCCAACACGUUCUUGCUUGAAGUCCAGAAUGAUGAACAAAACUUUGCGCAGACGGGAAGAUUCUCCAAUUCUCAAAUUUUUUUUUCCCUUAAUCACUUUAUAUUUUGAGUUCAUAACCACCAUUUUUUACAUUUGAUUCUUUAUUGAAUGAUUUUAUCUGCUCCAUAAUUGUAAGCUAAACACUCAAAAUCAACAAGCUUCAAUAUUCGAUUGUCAUAAUUCUAGAUUGCCUGUUGAUGUUCCCCUUGUUCAAAACUUGUAGAUCUGUCAAAGCCAGAUUGUAAGACAACCGGGUGUUAUUCUGCUUGAAUCAAAAUUAGGAUUUUGCUAGUGCAUAAUCUAGGUCUUGAACCAAAUAAGUAAUGCCCUUAAUUUCUGUUUGAAAAUAAGCUGGAUUUGGUUUAUGUUUCGAGGCACAAAACUGAUAAGAGAUUUCUUGCAUAAUGAACGGGGCCUUAAAGCAUUAGUAGACAAAAAGAUUCAAAGCACUAGAAUCCCCACUCAAUAGUUUUGUUAGGGAGUUCAUAAUCUUCAUUUAAAGUUACUUCUUAAUAAGUAAUAACUCCCCUGCACUACUAGAAAAACACCCUUUUACGACGCUCAUUGCGCGUCGUAAAAUGCUCAGACGACGCGCAAAUGCACGUCAAGAAAGGCCCUGUCAUAAAGAGAGACGACGCGCUUUUGUGCGUCAUCUAUAGACGACGCGCAUUUAUGACGCGCGGUUAUGACACGCAAUGCGUAUCAAGGAAGGCCCUGUCAUAAAGGAAGACGACAUGCAUUUGUGUGUCGUAAUCUUAUGACGCGCGCGUUCAUGACACGCAAUGCGUAUCAAGGAAGCCCCUGUCAAGAAAGGUCAUGUCAUAAAUGAAGAUGACGCACAUUUUUGCGUAUCAUAAUUUUGAUAUGCUCUAAAAAAAUAUAUUUAUAUAUUUAUUAAUUUUUAAAUUAAAUUUGCAUUUAAUAUCUUAUAAUACAAAUAAAAUAUCAUAUACAAAAAAUACAACCCAUUGCAUAAAAUUUAAUGUCAUACAAUUCAAUUUCUUACAAUAUCUAAAUUUGCAUCUAAUCUACUCUGUACAUCAAAUUCCAACUAAGUAAAGUUGCAUUUUGUCUUUCAUAAUUCUCUAAGACUAAUGCUCCAAGCAGCUGAUUAUAUGGAUAAGCAGUUGUACAUUGGCCCAAAUCAUCAAUUGCAGUGAUACGAGCUUGGUUUAGGAUAUGAAUAUCUAAAAAACAAUUAGACAAAAAAAAAAGAAUUACAGGAAAAUACCAUCUAUUUUUUAAUACUAAAUAGAAUUUAUACCCAGAGAGGAAAAAGGUUGUACUUUUAUCUACAUUACAUGUCAUUCCUAUUACGUCCUGAAGACUUACAGUUGUAAGCUCACCCAAUUUAUCUGCACCAAUAGACUGUUAAGAUGAAAAAUCAGAUUAUUAAUAAUAGAAACACAUGCAAUUAAGUUCGUUUCUAGUUCUUUAUCACAUCAGGUUUCUGGCCUAUAUACUCUGUUUAAACCCUUUAUUCAGAUCAAUAAAGCAAGUAUUCAGCUUCACCAAAACUACAACAUUCAACUUUGAAAAGCUCAAAAUAGUUGGAGACAGAUGUAACAACAAUACCUAGGAUAAAACUGUCAUAUAUGAAUAUUAUUGAGGUUGUGGUUAAAUAUCUACCUUUCCCCAUGUUUGUUUCUACUAAUUCCAACAUAUAGCUAUCCUACCCAAAAUAAGUAGAUAAUGAUUUAAAAGAUUGAUUUCAUAAAUAAUAUCUUGGCUGGUUGUCCAAGUUUCAGGUUUUCCAAGUUUCAUUCACAAGUUUUCGAAGUUUCAGGUUGGGAAGAAACACAAACAACAACACAUAGUAUGUAUCAAAAGUUGGAUCAUAGUUGUAAUUUUCCAGCAGAAAAGUAGUAGCAAUAGAAAAAAAUACACUCACACACAUGAAAUGAAAGGGUUGGUUGGGUCUAACCACAGUAACAUUUGGCCCUAGCACAUGGUGCUCCUUGUCCCACCACCAGCACCAGCAACAACAACAACAUGUAGACCCGUACAUGAAAGGUAGCCAAAUGAGCACCUUGCAUACCUGUCUAAACAUAAUUCAAAUAAUUAAAACAAAUCUUACUUAAUUCAAGGGAAAAUUAUGUUUAUAACCUUAUAAAGUUUAAAUAUUACUUAUAUAUACUUAUAAAUUUUAUACUUACAUAUAUGUAUAUAUAUAUAUAUAUAUAUAUAUACAUAUAUAUAUAUAUAUAUCCUUCUCAAAUUAUAAAACUCACAUCUAUAUCCAAAGUGAUAAUUUAAAUAGGCUUAAUUAAUCAAAUAUUAAAAAACUUAUCCAAAAAUUAAAAUCCUUUAUGUUUGUACUAAAAUAUCCUUCCAAAAUAAAUGUAGGAAGUUACCAUUUUACCCUUAUACUUUAAUAAAUCAUUUUUACCAUAUACAUAUUAGAGUAGAAUUUAAUAACUUGAAUCAUUGAUAACAUAUACCGUAAAACAUAGUGUUGACAUGUGAAGCCUUUUGUUAGGGUCCCACUUCCCUCAGGUUUGGAGGCAAGAUUAACCAUUUCAAGAGCAUAAAACAGUUCUUCCUUGCUGUAAAUGGAUUAAACCAAGAGCAUAAAGUGCAACUCCUUCUGAAUAGGGACUACCACCUCCACUACCACCAGCCGUUGCACUGAACUUAACCCAAUUUCUCGCCCUGAUUAGCCAAUGCUAAAAUCGUAUCCAAACAUAAUCCAAAAUGCUAAGGGGAGGAAUUUGUGUCAAAGUAAUUUGUUCUUAUGUGUUUUGCAAGAGUUCGAACACACUCCAAUUCCAACUUACAUUUACUUGAUUCUAAAGAUGAUGAAGACUUGUUGACAUCAAAAGAAAAGCAUAAGCAGCGAAUCACAUCUUUUCCAGCAUAUUUUGCUUGAAGUAUUCAAUAAUUGGAGGUCGUUGAACAUUGAAAACAUAAACUGUGAACACUCUUCAGGGUCUAUAAGUGCAUCAAUGGCAAAAAGAACACCUUCUUUAACAAAAGGCCCCAUGAAAACAUCGGUAUUCUUUUGUAGGAUAGUGUCAGAAAUAUUAAGAGCUAGCAUUAGUACACGUAUAUCCUUCCUAGUGAACACUCCAGCCAAAAACCUGAGAAAUUACCAACAUGAAACAAUUAAAAUUUAAGAGAAAUUUGAUAGAAUAAAGUAUAGUUGAGUAUCAAGAAUUCAACAUUAUGUCCCCUUGAAAUGUUGGUGCUUUUAAGCAAAUCAAGAAGCAUAUCAGAGUUGAUGUAAUAAAGUAACUUGUCAACAACAGAUAGACACCCAUAACAGAUAUAUAAAUCCACCCUAGAAUCAACAACCUGUUCAGAAAUAAGAAGAAAAGAAAGGGUAUAUCAGGGAAAUUGUAAAAGUUAGCAAGAAAUCAGUACAACAUGAUUGACAAAUGAUAACCAACCUGGAUCAAGACAGGUAAUAAAUCAUUCCCAAAUUUCUCUACAAGAUUAGGAUGAGUCACCAAGAAAGCUUCUUUUUCUGCAGCUAAUGGAACUUCUUGAUUUCUGGAUACAACGGGUAGAAGCUGAAUCAACAACUUCAAAACUUCAUGCAUUUGAUUAUAAUGUCCAUCAAUUGUUCGAGGGGAAGGGACUCCAUGUGAAAGGUCAUAUAUUGACAAGAUCUCUUUCAAAAUGCUACUUAUAUUAAGAUCAAAAAGUGUCUUCACAGCCACCAUAGAACCAGAAGCAAGUUUAACAAGUAGUCCAAUUAAACCCUACAUAAAAAUACACAAGAGUUCUUCAAAAAAGAUUGAAAAAAAAAACAAAAAUUGCUAAAAAUAGAAGAAGAUGGACAUACAGUAUGAACAUAAUAAGAUAGAGUGGUAUGGUUGAUCAGGUCUAUAAUAUGUGCCACUUGAUGAAUCAAUCCAUGUUUAGAAAGUUCAUCAAGCAUUUCACUGGAUUCUUGUACUCUUUCUGCUAUUUUAAUUAAGCAUGUAGCAACAUGUUCAACAAGCUGCAAUCGCAAGAAUAUGUCAGUAAAGUACAAAAGAUUAUAAGAAAGACCAUAAUUAUAUUUAUACCUGAUUGUCUUAGCUACAAUCACAAGAAUCAGAAGAUGUUGAAAUCAAUGAGGUUUUUGAAGUUUCUAGAGCGAUCUGUCUUAGCUGGUGUAAAGCCGGUCACAUAUUCAAUUUUUUAUUAAUUAAGUAAAAUGACAUAAGGGUAUAUUUGGAAACAUUAUGGAUUUAAAAUGUCGUAUUACCAUCAUUGUUGUUUUUUUGAGCGAGAACAGUUGGAGAUCAUAUAAAGGAUGCAAGACUUUAGGUACCCUCCAUGCCUAAUGAAUGAUAUAAUAGAGUAAUUUAGAAUAUAAAUGGAGUUUAAAUAUGAAUAUAUUUGAAUCUAGAUAUAGUAUAUAGUAAAAUGACAUAAUGAUAUAAUAAAGUAAUUUAGAAUAUAAAUGGCUGCUUACCUCUACAUUAACUUUGUCAAAAAGCUCAAGCUUAAGAUCAUACUCAUGCUGACCAGCUGAAGCAGAUAAUGUAAAAACACCUUCUGGAGCAAGAUUCACUUUUGCAUCUUUUGUAUCCGCCAAUAAAAUUGUGAUAUAAACUUUAUCCUCUCUCUGAGCCCACUUAAUUUCUUGAUGACGACUACAAAGCUCAAUAUUUUUUUGAAUUUAUUAGGAUACACCAAUCAUUGAACCAAGCACAAGCAAGCAUAAAUAUGUAAAACUAAUAAAUCAACUGUUUUCUAAUUCUCACCAUUGCAACACAAAGAACCCAAUUCUUGUGCCCUGAAUAGAUAUGUAAAAAUAUAACAAUUUGUUUGGCUUUUGUGAUUAUGAAGUUAUGAUAACAACCAUUAUAUUCACUACAUGGAACUUGGCUUCAGUGAAACUGUAUACCACUUACGAUUGUUAGCUGAAAGAGCAGAAUUUGUAACUGCAAAUUGAGUAGAAAGAAUAAUAGAUAUUUUAUGAAUCAAAAUUGUGUUUACAAAAUACAGAGCAGUAUAAGAAGAUGAAAUCAGAAUAAAAUUGUACCUAAGUGUUAAGGAGUGAGCCACUGACCGGAGAAACCGCCUGAAGGGGCUACCAACGCUGUGAGAUGAUAGAAUCGACAGAUGACAUGAUUCUCUCAUCUGUAUGAACUCAAAAAAGAAAAAAAUAUUACCUCUGUUUUACAUUUUCCAAACCAAACAUUGUGGAUUCGUCAUUGGAGCAGUCGAAGUGCACAUACACAACUUUUAUGAAAAAACCCUAAGUCGUCGGUGUCUUAGUCGAUAACUUGUACCAAAAAACCCUAAAUCGCUAUGAGAGAGGAGUGAGGCCUGAAUCACUUUCAUUAAGAUGUGAUAUCUUGAAGCAGAGAUGUAUAGCGGUCCGAUAGGGUGGGGAUACUUUACUCAUGCGGCACAACCGAACGAAUCAAGGGUAUCGAGCUAAUCCACAGGAAAUCGAUUGAAGCAAUUGCUUUCGAAUUUCGAUAUGGUUGAAAUUGAAAUUUUGGAAAUUGGAAGAACUUUGAAAGAAAUUGAGAAAUUAGCAUUGGAUUCCGGUUUAUUUGGGAUUUUUACAAGCAAAUCAAAGGCUUAUUUGGGCUAGAGGAUCGACGGGAGGGAACAGAGGAAGGAAAAGGGGAAAUACAACAAUUAGGGGUUUUAUAGGGUUACUGCAUCAUUCUUUGCUCUCCGCAUUUUUCAUAUUUAGAAGAAUGCUUUGGAGUAGAAUCCUUGGAGUUCAUUUUUUGAGUGUUAGGGUUUACUGCAUCGUUCAUUUUUUUAGUGUUAGGGUAUCUAGAGGUUGGUCGAGAGGGCCUGAACAUCAUCGUCGUGUGAGGCCUGAAGAGUCGGUGUGGGUUGGAGGUAGUGGAGGUGGGUGAGGGGUGGAGACGAAGGAGAGGAGAUGUUAGAGAACAGAUUGAUACGAAUGUAGGAGAAGAAAGAGGUUUAAAAUUUUUGGGGAUUUCAUUUCCCUCUAAGAAGAGAGAUGCGCGUUUCAUAACAAAAAUAUAAAACGACAUUCACAAAGAACGCACAUUUUAGAUAAAGUGCCCUCCGUGUUUUUAAUUUUUUUUACAUGAGACACUAAUUUAAGGGCACGCAAUAAUGCGUGUCCACUAUCCUUAAAUUUUUUGAAGAUAUGACACUUUUUUAAUGUCACUCUCUUUUACGUAACAUAAAUCAACGAGUGUCGUGGUUUGCGCAUCGUAAAAGGGUCUUUUUCUUGUAGUGAUGGCAAUAUAAUUUUAUUUUACAUCAAUACUUUGCUAUUAGCAGAUGAGAUUUAAGUUGCAUACUGUAAUCAAUAAUUUGCUAUUAUGUAGAGGCAUUUGUACAGGGUCCUAAAAUUAAAGAACAAGUGAAGAAAGCCAGUGAAAAAAACUUUCAUAACUAAUAACAUAAUUUAUUAUGGUGGUUCUAUCUAAACUUCCAGAAGGAUCUUCAUCUUCUUCAUCACUUCAUGGUUAUAGUUCAUCAGCUCGUGUUCAUACUCCAUCCACUCAUGGUCAUAAUUCAUCAACUCAUAAUCAUAGAUAUGAUGUAUUUUUAAGUUUUAGAGGUGUUGACACUCGUCAUAGUUUCACUGAUCACCUUCAUAAGGCCCUCAUUGAUGCCAAUAUCAAUACCUUCUUGGAUGAUGAAGAGAUUGAAACAGGGGAAGAUCUGAAACCGGAACUAGAGAGUGCGCUUAAGGCAUCUCAGGCUUCUAUUAUUGUGUUGUCUAAGAAUUAUGCUUCUUCAACAUGGUGCCUGGAUGAAUUGGUGCUGAUCCUUGAGCAACGGAUGACAUCCAACCAUAUCGUCAUCCCAAUCUUUUAUCAUGUGGAGCCCACACAUGUCAGGAAGCAACAAAGUAGCUUUGGAGAUGCAAUGGAUAAGUAUAAACAGACAAUGGAGGCAGAGACAAAUGCAAAUAAAAGAAGUCAAUGGGCUCAAAAGAUGGACCGAUGGAAUAAAGCGCUUACACAAGUUGCUGAUUUAAAAGGGAAUGACAUAAAUGGCAGGUCACCACUUUCUUACCCUUAUUCAUAUCCCUAUGCAUUUCAAUAAGUUUUUCUAAAUCAUUAAAUAUACAUAUAUCUGAUGUUUUAGGAUAUAUAGAAAAUGAACAUAAUUGAAAAUAAGUUCUCAAGUAUGUGUUCUCAUAAACCAGUUCGUAUAGAUGGAUUAGCCAUUCUGAUAAUUUUUACAUGUUUGUUAUGUAUUUUGUAUUUUAUCAUAAGUUAGUACAUUUAGAUAAACCUUCUCCACGAUUUUUACAUGCUUUUUAUUUAAAACCAAAGUUUGAUGGGUUUGCUAUGCUUUUACUAUUAUUUAUAUCAUACUGCCUUCAAAUCAUAGCGGUUUUAAUGAUAAAUAACUACUUUUAGUUGUAUUUAUUAAAAGAUAACCCAUAACUAUUUCAUGGCAUUUUGUUCAAAUCCAUGUAAAGCCACAUCGAUGGUUAAGUUUGAUGGUCUUGUAGAAACAUAGUGAAAUCUUGUAUUUCGUUGGUUGCUUUGGUCUUAUCAUAAACUAAUAUUUAUGACCUUCUCCAUUAGCAAAAUCUUGUAUUUCAUGGUAUUUUGUUCAAAUUGAUGUGAGAACUCAAUUAAUAAUAACAGAAGUGAUAUAAUCUUAGUUAGGAUCUUUGAAUAAAUUAAAUCUCCCAAUCUGGUUCAUUAGUUUUGUAGAUUUGUUCUGAAAUUCUUAUAUAAUCAAGUUUCAGGUUGGAGACAGUGUUUAUUGAAGAAAUUGUGAAGGACAUCCACCGUAGAUUACAUUUACACUUAAGGAGCAUUCGACCACAACUUAUUGGGAUGAAUUAUCAUAUUAACUUUGUAACUUCAUGGUUGAAAGAUGGAUCAUCGCAUACAGCAUACAUACUUACUAUUUAUGGUAUAGGUGGGAUCGGGAAGACAUCUUUAGCCAAACAUGUCUAUGGGCUAUAUUCUCAUGAAUUCCACACAAGCAGCUAUAUUGAAGAUAUCACUAGGAAAUGCGAUGGGAAGUUUAAUGGGUUGCUUGAUUUACAAGAACAACUCUGCUAUGACAUUUCAAAAACAAGUUCAAUUAAAGAUCAUGAUGUUUCAGUAUACACCACAAAGAUAGAGAAUGCACUAGCACGUAAAAGGGUGUUUCUAGUUCUUGAUGAUAUUAGUACUCAUGUUAUAAACAAUUAUUUAUGACCAUCCAUUAGCGAAAUCUUGUAUUUCAUAGCAUUUUGUUGAGAUUGAUGCAAACUACAAUAUGGUUUUGAUGUGAGAACUAAAUUAGUAAUUUAAAGCUAUGAUAUAAUCUUAGUUUGCAUCUUUAAAUAAAUUAAGUCUUCCAGUCUGGUUCAUUAGUUUUGUAGAUUGUGUUUUGAAGUUCUUAUAUAAUCAAGUUUUAGGUCCGAGACACAGUUUAUUGAAGAAAUUGUGAAGGAUAUCCACCGUAGAUUACAUCUACACUUAUGGAGCGUUCGGCCAUAACUUAUUGGGAUGGAAAAUCAUAUUAACUUUGUAACUUCAUGGUUGAAAGAUGGAUCCUCACAUACGGUAGACGUACUUACUAUUUAUGGUAUAGGUGGGAUCGGGAAGACAUCUUUAGCAAAAUAUGUCAAUGGGCUAUAUUCUCAUGAAUUCAACACAAGCAACUAUAUUGAAAAUAUCACUACGAAAUGUGAUGGAAAGUUUAAUGGGUUGCUUGUUUUACAAGAACAACUCUGUAAGGACAUUUCAAAAACAAGUUCAAUUAAAGUUCAUGAUGUUUUAGUAUACACCGCAAAGAUAGAUAAUGCAUUAGCACGUAAAAGGGUGUUUCUAGUUCUUGAUGAUAUCAGUACCCUUGUUCAGUUGGAUGCACUACUUGGAAGCAAAGGCUUUCAUCCUGGAAGCAAAGUUAUAAUUACAACAAAGGACAAUUGGUUGAGUGAGAGUUGUUCUUUAUUUAAAACAAACAUUAAACCCAAGCAUGAAAGGCAUUUGCUUCGAGGCUUAGAUUAUUUUCCAUCGCAACGACUUUUGUGCUCCCAUGUAUUCAUGUGCAACCAACCCAAGGCGGGAUAUGAAGAGAUGUUUGAUAAGCUUGUGUAGUAUUGUGAAGGACAUCCAUUGGCUCUUGAAAUUUUGGGAAAGUAUCUACAUAAUCGAGAUGUAGCUUAUUGGGAAGGGUGCAUCAAAGGGCUAAGGAAUGAAAUUAGUUCCCCUAUCAAUAAUGCCUUGAAAAUGAGCUUCGGUUCCUUGCCAUCAAAAAACGAUAAGGAGUUGUUUAAGCAUAUUGCUUGUUUUUUUUGUUGGACUAGACAAAGAUGUUACCGAAACAAUAUUAGAGGCAUGUGAUAUAAACACAAGAUCUGGGAUCACGAAUCUCAUUGACAGAUGCCUUCUUAGUAUAGGACGGAAUAAUGAAUUGAAGAUGCAUCAGUUGGUUCAAGAGAUGGGAAGAUUCGAAGUACGCCAAGAAUCACUUGACAAGCCAUAGAAGCGAAUUUGAUUAUGGUGUCAUAAGGAGUCAUUCAAAGUGUUGAAACAAAAGAAAGUAAGAGGUCAUGCAUGCUUUUAGUAGUGUGUGUGUGUGUGUAUGUCUGAUAUUUUGUAUUGCCUAAUUUAUUUAUUUGCAUUAUGCUUCUUAUUAGGGUAAGGGAAAUCUUCUAGGCCUCACCAUUGACAUGUGCAUGCUUGAGAAAGAGAAGUUAGGUGUAUCAUAUGAGCUGUAAACAGAUGCAUUAAGUAACAUGGAUAAUUUGAUGCUACUACAACUCAAUUAUGUGCGAAUGGAUGGGUCUUAAAAGAAUUUUCCAGAAGAAAUAAGAUGGUUGUGUAUGCAUGGGUUUCGUUUAAAGUCUAUACCUUUAGACUCACCAAUGAUGAAUUUGGUUGCUCUUGGCAUGUCAUAUAGCAAUAUUGAAUCAUUUGUCGGUUGUUAUAAUAAUCCACAACGGUUUGAGAAGAGGCAAAAUGUAAGCUAUCUUCAUUUAUUAUUCAUCCAUAUUGAGUUAAAGUAGUUCUCUACUGUUCUAACUUAUUUCCAUUUUUUUAGUUUGAUGGAUCGUUCUUAAAAGAGAAAAGGUUGCUUGGAUCAUUGAAGAUUCUUAAUUUAAGUUUUUGUAAACAACUCCAUAGUCUUGAUGAUUUUGACCAACUUCUUGCACUUGAGAGGUUAACAGUUAGAAAUUGCAUUGGUUUGCUCGAGAUAUGUGAAUCAAUCGAGCAAUGUGUUGAACUUGUCUUCAUCAAUUUGAGCUAUUGCAACAAGCUUGAAAAACUUCCAAGAAACAUAGGCAUGUUGAAGAAUGUUAAAACAAUGUUGCUAGAUCAUUGCAGUCCUAGUGGAUCUCCAAUCCAGAAUUGGGAUAUGGAAUUGCGCAAGGCUAACAAAAUUGACAUAAAUACAAAAACCUCUUCCCCUGCCUUUUUGGGUGUCAUACCAAGUGAUUUGAUGUUGUAUGCAAGUUCUUUACCGAGUUCUCUAGUAAGUUUGUCAAUUGCAAAUAGUAAUUUGUCCACUAAAUCCUUUCCCAUGGACUGGAUGUAACACCUAAAGUCAGGAAGGCCAAGAAAGGAAAGAAAACCCUAAUUUUAAAGGGCGACUCGACGCGUCCAAGGAUGAACUCGGCGAGUCCGAGCGGGAUCCGGGUCGAGGAGUAAGUGACCGACUCGGCGAGUCGGCCAAAGGGACUCGGCGAGUCUGGUCUGUGCGGAGAAAACCCUAAAAUCGGGACUUGGAGCCUAUUUAAGCGCCUCAUUCUCCUCCCUAGGGUUCCUUUACUGCCUCUUUUACCCAGAACAUCAAACCCUAGCCGCCAUAUCAAUUGAUUGAGCCAUUUGUUGCCUUGGAAGGUGCAUAAAAGUGUGGAGAAGGAAGAAGGAACUUGGAGGAGCAAGAAAGGACUAUAGAUCUGGGAUUGUGAGUUCAUUUCUGAGCAUUUGGAGGUAAUAAACUAGUUCUUGGACCCAUUUUGCACCUAUAUCUAUGUGUGGUUGUUGGGACUUUUUAGCUCAUUUGAGUUAGAAGCCAGAUCUGAAGUUGCUACUUCAGAUCUAAGCAUUUUAUGGUCUUGGGAAGCAUAAAGUAUCAGCCCUUGAGUUGUUUAUGGAGCCUCUUUGCCUUAAACCCUAGUUUAAGGUGUAUUUUGCCUAGAUCUCCUUCUCUACACUUAAAGUUUACAAAUUUACGUGAGGAAUAGGCUUGGGAAGGAUAGAUCUACAGUUUGGAGUCCAUGCAUGACUCAAAAGUUCUCUACAUGUAAGGAGAUCUGAAUGGACUCGGCGAGUCCUUUGAGUGGACUCGGUGAGUAGCAUGAAGAGGAGGAGCAACUCGACGAGUGGGAUGAACAGCUCGUCGAGUCAGAUGAAGAUUGCCUUGUACUCGGUGAGUCUGUUGUUGGACUCGGCGAGUCAGGUUGCGAUACCCCAAACCCUUCGAGUUGAGACUCGAAUUAGUGAGUCAGGUGGAGACUCGAUGAGUUGGACAGAUCAGGACUCAGAAAUCGGUAGACUCGGCGGGUCAUGGACUGACUCGGCGAGUCGAAAAGCAAAAGGAAGGAUUCUGAAUAUAUGAACUUGGCGAGUCAGUAGGGUGACUCGGCGAGUAGGGUUGACCUGGAAGGUUGACCUUGACCAAGACUUUGACUUGGACUAGGGUUGACUCGGUUGUCUUUCAGGGGUCAGUUAGACUCAGUGUUGCAUUGAUAUUGGGAGUUCGAGGAGCAAGGGAAGCAGGAGCUCGGUGAGUUGCCGGGUAGCAGCUAGUGAGUUCAUCAACAAGUUCAGCCAGUGCAGGUGAGUUUCCCUUUGUGUGAAUGGGUCUAAGGCCACAAUGUCAACCCAUGUAGUUAUGAGAAGAAAGCCUGGGGGUUAGCCCUAGGCACAGUAUGCUAGCAUGCUAUUCAGGACGAGGUCCAUUAUUAGCGGGCGGGUGCCCAAGGAUUUGUUUAUAUGAUAGUUUAUACUUUUUGUCUGUGUGAUACAUGAAUGUGCCUGGUAGGGAGGUGAGUGUGGGCGAGGUCUCGUAUCUCACCAAUAGCAGAGUGUGGAUGGGGUUCCAUGUCUCAUUAGUAGCAUAACAGGAGCGAGGCCCAAGUUAGGGAAGGAGUGAGGGUGGGCUGGGCCCGUAUCUCACUACCAGUAGGAGCGUGGACGGGGUUCCAUGACUCAUCAGUAGCAGGACCUGAGUGAGGCCCAGGACCGGUGAGGCCUUAGGACAGGAUCAGUCGUAUGAGUUUAGCUUAUGUGUUGUGAUAUGUUUAUGUCUUAUUAUUUGUUGGCGGGCGAGGCCUUGUGACAGGCGAGGCCUAAGUGAAACAUAUUUGUAACCGAGCGCGGCUCGAAGCCAGGCGGGGCCUGGAGCGGCGGAGCCAUUGUAGCGGGCGAGGCCCGAGGCAGGGGGUGAGGCCCAAGAUAGCGGGCGUGGCCCAGUAUGUAUAGUAUGUGAUUAUGCAUGGUAUGUGGUAGGGUGGGGAACUCACUAAGCUUCGUGCUUACGGUUUUCAGUUUUGGUUUCAGGUACUUCCGGUAGCGGAGGGACGAGCUCGGGGUGAUCGCAUGGCACACACCAUAGAAUAGACAGCCUGGGAAUGUUUACUCUGAUAAUGAACAUGUGUUUUGAAAAUUAAUUCUCUGAUUAUGUUUUGGAAUGAUGACUUUGCUUAAAGUAAUGUUUUAUUAAAAGAAAUUUUUGGUCUUUAAUUUUGGGUCGUUACAAGUUGGUAUCAGAGCCUUGGUUUGAGGGAUUCGGACAUGCUCACGGGUGUCUUUGAACUCAAACUGAGGAAUUGGUAUUGAAGUUUUCAAAAUGAAAAGACAGUUUUGUAAAAAGAGAGUUUUGAGAAAGAAAACAGUAAAGAAUUCAGAAAGAAAAGAACUUUGAAAAGAGAAAAGAGGUGUGGUGCAUGCAAUCAACUGAGCUCAAGUAAGUACCCCAAAAUACCCAUACAAGUCUAUGUUUUGAUUAUCAGUUAAUAGAACAGCAUGCUAGAUUAGGACUAAGGAUCUAGGGAUGAUGCCUUAUGUGCCUAUUAUAUGUGCUUUUGAUCUGCAUGAUAGUGCUGAAUAGAUAGUAGUAGGAUAGCUUGUUUAGGUUAUGCCUAAGUUUAUGAAUUUGUGUUGCAUGCUAGUUCAAAUUCUUGCUAUGUGGAUAUGAUUGCUUGAGUAUGUUAUGGUUAGAUUUUCCCUUUUGCAUGAAUGCUGCUUGCUUUGUGCAUUGUGGGAUUCUGAGUGAUGGGAGUUAGCCAUUAGGUGGAUACGCCACGUCACAUGUGAUCAGGGUUGAAUAAUCUCAGAGUGUUGGAUUUGGUCCUAUUGCGCAACUCUUGUUUGAGUCCAACCGUUGUAGGAACGAGUCUUUUACUUGAAGGAUUAUCUAAGACUCGUCACAUGUGAUGGUAUCCAGGUGAUGGCUAGUUGGCAUCACAAGGAAACCUUCAGUAACUGAGGGCUAGUUUGAGUUGAGUCAUAGGUUUCCCUAGUGUAAGCCUAGGAUGAGGAGUAGUAGUAGAAAAGGGACCUGGUGGAGUCGAAGCAGUUCUUGAGGAAAGUAAGGAUAGAUGUGGAAGGUAGUAUGGGCCCGUACUACUGAAAGCAAAGAAUCCGUACUCGAUUCGGGAAAGGUCGAGACAAGACCAGGAACCUGGUAGUGAGUAUGUUUGGUCUCGUAGUAGUGAGGAGUAUUCUGAUAGUGGUUAUGUUAUAUGUUUCAGUAUGGUGACGUUGCGAGAGAGACCAGCGGGCGAAUCAGGCGCCGGAGAGGAAUCAAGCUCGGGUUCAGGGGCCGAGCAGCUCGAGGAGCGGAUGAGAGAGUUGAUAUCAGCUGAGGUUACGCACAAUAUUCUAGCUCAGACUCCUGUGAUCUUUGGCACGGUCAAGGAGGGUAUAUUGGAGAUUUUGGAUGAGAGGCUGGGAGCCUUCCGUACUGAGAUGAUGGCUUUGAUGGGAGCGCGUACCUUGACAUUCGGGAGUUUAGGGCUUGCGGGGCACCAGAUUAUCAUGGGGCUAGGGACCCCAUCGCUAGCAGCAGAUAGUUGGCUGAUGUUGUCAACGCGUUCCGUACGAGCCGGUGUCCUGAGGAGGACAAGGUCAGACUCGCUUCCUGUCUUUUGAAGGACAGAGCGAGGGAUUGGUGGGAAGAGAUUGGUCAUGCUUUGGGUGAUGAUGUCGCGUUGAACGCGAUGACUUGGAGCGAUUUCUCAGCUAGGUUCAGGGUGGAGUUUUCGCCAAUUAUUGAGGUGUAGUAGUUGGCCCGGGAGUUUCAGGAUUUGACGCAGAACACUGAGACUGUGGCGGAGAUCACAACCAAGUUCAGGGAGAGGGCUCUUCUUGUUCCGCAGUAUGUCGCGGAUGAGGAGAUGAAGAAGGCCCGAUAUCACGAGAUGCUGAGGGCUGAUAUCAGGGAGUUCGUGAGCAGGUCUGGCUGUAAGACGCUGGAAGAUAUGAUUUCUCGGGCCAGGGAAAGGGAAAUUGAUUUGGAGCAGAUCCGGAAGAAGAAGUCGGAUGAGGUUCAGGUAGCCGCGAGUUCGGGCAAAAGGCUCAAGGGAUCGGAUUCGAGAUCGAGGGAUUAUCAGGACCGCAGUCGAUGCGGGAAGUGUGGCAGGGCGCACGGGGGCGCGUGCAGGAGUGGUAGUGGUGGUGAGUCUGGCUGCUUCAAGUGCGGUCGGACUGGUCAUUUUAGCGGGGACUGUACUGUUACCACCACUCAGGGAUCAUACUUGAUAUGUUUUCAUUGCAAUCAGUGGGGCCACAAGAAGGCCCAGUGCCCCAGUUUGUUUUCAGUAGGACGGGUGAUGGCACCUGCCCCUGCAACCUUGAGGAUCACAGACGGCCGUUAGGGCCGUGAAGAGGCGCCUGCGAUAGGAGGCAGGGCUUUUCAGAUGGCUACCUUGGAGACGCGAGCAGCACCGGACGUUGCAGGUAUGUGACUUUUGUUUUCAGUUCUUUUAUUUAUGGAUGAUUAUAUUGUUAUGGUUUUGCAUCAUUAUCAGUAGGAGUAUUUUAUUUUUGAGCGGUUUGAUUGUGAUCGAGUUAUAUGUCAUCUGCAUACCUUGGAUAUUUAGAUAGUAGUUAAGGAUUGGGUUCUGUUGGAAAAGAUUACUUAGGGUGCAGUAAUUGUAGUAUGCCUUGGAGGGACUUGGUAUGUCUCGCUAGUUCAGAGCAGUAUAAGUUUUAGAAUCGACAGGUUAGAUCCCUAGCUAUGGUAAGCUUGGGAUUCCUCAGCAGAUUGAUUAUGGAAUGGUAGCAAGGAUUGGGAUUUCUAAUCAUUGAGCUGUGAGGUGUAAGCAGGAUCGAAGUGGGGGAGAAUCCUCCGAGUGUACAAGGGUGAGAGCACACAAAUCCAGAACGAGUACGCGACUUCUGAGAAGGAAAAGAGGUAGUUCAGCGUCUGAUGAUUGAGGAGUUCAGGGAUAGGAGUUUGAGAAACUCCCCCUCAGCCAGUGCGUGUACUGGUGAUGGUUAGUAUGUGGUUGAGAAUUCAGGUUGAAGGAUCGUCUGUAGGACUCGUGUGAGUCGGAACGAAGAUCUUGAGGUCAGAUAGCAUGAGAUGCUUUCGUGCUAGUAGAUCGUGGCAGAGACGGCAGGUAGAGCAUGGAAGAGCGGCGGGAGAGCCUCAGCCUUCUUCAGCAGCAGUCAGUGGUGGAAAGUAUUGUAAGACUACGGGGCAGCAGUAGCAUUCACUAACCGUUAGUGGUGGAAAGUGUUGUAAGACUACGGGGCAGCAGUAGCAUUCACUAACAGUCAGUGGUGGAAAGUGUUGUCAGACUACGGGGCAGCCGUAGCAUUCACUAGUAGAUGGCGAUAGAAGGUGAUGGAAGACUGUGGGGCAGUCGUAGCAUUCCGUAGUAGUUUCGUUGGCGGAGUCCGGGCGAGGCCCUUAUCUCCUAGCAUUCAGAUAGGGGUCAGGAAUGGGUAAUGAAUGAGAAUGGUAAGGAGUUUGACUGUACAGCCCUGGACAGGUAAGGCCUUGGAAGAGGCCGUUCUAGGAUAUAAUUGGGUGAGACCCGUGGGCGAGGCCCAUAUGAGAAUAGCAGUGUAGGUGAGACUUGAGAGUAGGGUGCUUAGUAUUAUGGUUGGGUGAGACCCGUGGGCGAGGCCCGUGAGUUUUAGCAGCACAGGUGGGACCUGGUAGGGAUCUUUGUGUCUAGAUAGGGGAUCGGGGAUCCCAGGAAGUUGAAGUGCCAGCAUGGUGGAAUAGAUUGAGCAGUAUAGGUGGUUGAAGUUUCUUCGUAUGUCGCUGGGAGCGACUAGUGGUUGUGUUGGGUCAGCGAUCGGUGGGACCCGGUAAUCCAGAUAUUGAUAGGUUGGUAGGGACCAGGGUGGUCUCAGUUCAUUUGGAAGCCAGAUGAGGAAUAGCAAAAUUUCCAGUCAGUAACAGUGCGAGUAUGCAGCGUAUGGUAGAAUUCAGUUAGUUGAUCGUGGGGUGCUCGACACCAAAUGAUAGUAGAAAGAAUGCCAAGUGGAUACUGGCGAUGAGGACACGUACUGGGAGUAGCGGGAGUAAUAGAUUUGGUGAAGACAGGAUGUUCAUAGUGGCAGAGGAGAUAGAUGGUUAUAGAACAUUGCCUUAGGAGGUCAAGGAAAUCGUGCAAGGAAAGAAGGGGUGAACCCUAUGAGUUCAGUUGCAGUACUCGGAGAGUACCAGAAGGACUGUCGGGUGAGUAAGUUGUGUUUCCAGAAUGUUCAGGGUCAGGAUGGACCUGAGAUUAUUAUUCACAAGGAUUGGUGUCAGUCUGAAUGACUGAGCGGAAGGCCAGCGAAGUUAGGAAGCUGGUGUUAGACUAAUUCGUGGGGAUUUGGAGGCAGAUCGCAGGCGGUGUAUCAUAGCAAACUUCGAGGACGAAGUUUAGUUUAAGUGGGGGAGAGUUGUAACACCCAAAGUCUGGAAGGACAAGAAAGGAAAGAAAACCCUAAUUUUAAAGGGCGACUCGACGCGUCCAAGGAUGAACUCGGCGAGUCCGAGCGGGAUCCGGGUCGAGGAGUAAGUGACCGACUCGGCGAGUCGGCCAAAGGGACUCGGCGAGUCUGGUCUGUGCGGAGAAAACCCUAAAAUCGGGACUUGGAGCCUAUUUAAGUGCCUGAUUCUCCUCCCUAGGGUUCCUUUACUGCCCCUUUCACCCAGAACAUCAAACCCUAGCCGCCAUAUCAAUUGAUUGAGCCAUUUGUUGCCUUGGAAGGUGCAUAAAAGUUUGGAGAAGGAAGAAGGAACUUGGAGGAGCAAGAAAGGACUAUAGAUCUGGGAUUGUGAGUUCAUUUCUGAGCAUUUGGAGGUAAUAAACUAGUUCUUGGACCCUUUUUGCACCUAGAUCUAUGUGUGGUUGUUGGGACUUUUUAGCCAUAAUGUUAUUCAUUUGAGUUAGAAGCCAGAUCUGAAGUUGCUACUUCAGAUCUAAGCAUUUUAUGGUCUUGGGAAGCAUAAAGUAUCAGCCCUUGAGUUGUUUAUGGAGCCUCUUUUCCUUAAACCCUAGUUUAUGGUGUAUUUUGCCUAGAUCUCCUUCUCUACACUUAAAGUUUGCAAAUUUACGUGAGGAAUAGGCUUGGGAAGGGUAGAUCUACAGUUUGGAGUCCAUGCAUGACUCAAAAGUCCUCUGCAUGUAAGGAGAUCUAAAUGGACUCGGCGAGUCCUUUGAGUGGACUCGGCGAGUAGCAUGAAAAUGAGGAGCAACUCGACGAGUGGGAUGAACAGCUCGUUGAGUCAGAUGAAGAUUGCCUUGUACUCGGUGAGUCUGUUCUUGGACUCGGCGAGUCAGGUUGCGAAACCCCAAACCCUUCGAGUUGAGACUCGAAUCAGUGAGUCGGGUGGAGACUCGGUGUGUUGGACAGGUCAGGACUCAGAAAUCGGUACACUCGGCGAGUCAUGGACUGACUCGGCGAGUCGAAACGCGAAAGGAAGGAUUCUAAAUAUAUGAACUCGGCGAGUCAGUAGGGUAACUCGGCGAGUAGGGUUGACCUGGAAGGUUGACCUUGACUAGGACUUUGACUUAGACCAUGGUUGAGUUGGUUGUCUUUCGGGGGUCAGUUAGACUCAGUGUUGCAUUGAUAUUGGUAGUUCGAGGAGCAAGGGAAGCAGGAGUUCAGUGAGUUGCCGGGCAGCAGCUAGUGAGUUCAUCAACAAGUUCAGCCAGUGCAGGUGAGUUUCCCUUUGUGUGAAUGGGUCUAAGGCCACAAUGUCAACCCAUGUAGUUAUGAGAAGAAAGCCCGGGGGUUAGCCCUAGGCACAGUAUGCUAGCAUGCUAUUCAGGACGAGGUCCAUUAUUAGCGGGCGGGUGCCCAAGGAUUUGUUUAUAUGAUAGUUUAUACUUGUUGUCUGUGUGAUACAUGAAUGUGCCUGGUAGGGAGGUGAGUGUGGGCGAGGUCUCGUAUCUCACCAAUAGCAGAGUGUGGAUGGGGUUCCAUGUCUCAUUAGUAGCAAAACAGGGGCAAGGACCAAGUUAGGGAAGGAGUGAGGGUGGGUUGGGCCCAUAUCUCACUACCAGUAGGUGCGUGGACGGGGUUCCAUAACUCAUCAGUAGCAGGACAGGGGCGAGGCCCAGGACAGGCGAGGCCUUAAGACAGGAUCAGUCGUAUGAGUUUAGCUUAUGUGUUGUGAUAUGUUUAUGUGUUAUUAUUUGUUGGCGGGUGAGGCCCUAUGACAGGCGAGGCCCGAGGCAGGGGCAAGGCCCAAGAUAGCGGGCGUGGCCCAGUAUGUGUAGUAUGUGAUUAUGCAUGGUAUGUGGUAGGGUGGGGAACUCACUAAGCUUUGUGCUUAUGGUUUUUCAGUUUUCGUUUCAGGUACUUCCGGUAGCGGAAGGACGAGCUCGGGGUGAUCGCAUGGCACACACCAUAGAAUAGACAGCCUGGCAAUGUUUACUCUGAUAAUGAACAUGUGUUUUGAAAAUUAAUACUCUGAUUAUGUUUUGGAAUGAUGACUUUGCUUAAAGUAAUGUUUUAUUAAAAGAAAUUUUUGGUCUUGAAUUUUGGGUCGUUACACUAGAGUUGCCUAUCCAUGUUAAUGGAAUUAUAUUUAUAUGGCAAUCCUAUAAAUUCCAUGCCUAGUUGUGUGAGAACCCUUCCUAGGCUUGAGAUACUUGCUAUGAGGGACUGCAAUAAAUUGAAGUUAAUUGAGCAUCCUCCACGUACACUAAGCAGGUUACUCUUUCCUGUUAAUGGGCAUCUUCUAGGAAAAGUCGUAUUUGAUCCAGAGAUGUCCCCACUAGAGUUAUCAAUACCCCUGAUGCUUCCUACAUUUUUGUCAUGUGAAAUUGAAGGCAUUGUGAAAAUCCAACCAAUGGUAUGUGUUGAGGAAAAGGUAUUAUGUAGCUUGGGCUGGAGUUAUUUAGACUUCCUUAACCAAAGGCACUUGGGAACUAAUUAUCGGGAAUCUGAAACCCAGGUUUUUUUAGUUUAUUUUUUUGUCUGUAUGUGAAUAUGUAUAAUAUGCUUCUUAUGUUGAUUAAUUAAGGUGGUUGUAUUUGGCAGAUGACGAUUUAUGAAUUUGGAAUAUUCAGCACAAUGUAUGAGGCGGAGGAGAUGCCGAGUUGGUUUAGGGAUAGAAGCGUGGGGCCAUCAAUAUCAUUUACCAUUCCAUCAUCAUUGUCUCCAAACAAGCUCCUUACAGGACUCAACUUCUGCUUCUCUGCUGACACAUCAAUAUAUCCUGGUGAGCGUUUUCCAGUUUCAUUUGGUCAGUUUUCUUUGUCACCAAUGAUGACAAUUAUUAAUAUAACAAAGAACCGUACGUGGAUAUAUAAACGUUACUUCGACAGAUUUAAUGUAUGUGGAAAGUGUUGGGUGUUGUUAAGUCAUUGGAUGUUUGGGAUGAAUGAGAUGGAGGCUGGUGACCAUGUUACUGGUACUAUUACAUAGCCAGAUGAUGAACUUGUAAAGGAGUGUGGGGUGAUUCUUAUGUACGAUGAUGGAGAGAAGAAGGAUGAAGAAGAAGAUGUGUUGGGAUAUUACAAGUCAUGGAAUCACAUAAUUGGUGGAGACCUCUCUCCUUUUGAAACAACAACCACCGGAGAAUACAUCCUACACAACGAACAAUUUUUUUAUGUAUGGCAUUAGAUUGUUUCCCUAUCAUGGUAAAUUCGUUCCAGACAACCCCGACUUUCAUGGUAGAUGUCAUUUUUAUUAUUGUCAUGUAUAUAUUACAUGAACCAUCACCCAACUUCUUUAAAUAGAUGGAUAAUAACUCCAUUAAAUUUUAAUACAUGGAUCAUAACCUAAUUCUUUUAAACAAAUGGAUCAUAUGACCUAAAUCCACCCAUUUAUUAUUGAUUUUAUUAACCUCUAAAAUAAGAGUUUCUUUUUAUAAAAUAUAGAAAAUAAAACCACUACUUUUAUUUUUGAUGAAUUAACCCAAACAUUGGUCAAUCUAAAUGGAUCAAUGUGUUAUAUCAAUUGAUAAGUCUUUCGAGAUGUUGGAAUUUGGAUCACAUAAAUAUAUCGAGACCAAAUACAGCUACUAUUUUCAAGUGGAUGUGUGUUAAUAAUGAUUAACACGUUACUUUUUUUAUAUGUUUUCAGAAAAAAAGCAACCAUGGUUUAGAGCUUUAUCCCGAAGGAGACCUUAAAUUAUUGGUCACACACAUGAGGUAUACUUUUUGAAACCGAAACCUUACUCUAGUCACAUGUAUAAAAUGCAUAUACAACCAAACAUGUAAUCAUGAAAGUUCUUGAUUGGUCUAUGAUGUAAUAAAAUAAAGGGUGUUAUGACCUUGCAAUGGAUGCUUGAAAAUGGCAACAUCAGAAUGUAGUUGGAGCAUGAAAUUUGUCUAAUGUUCUUUUAAAUAUUUACAUGCACAACUCUAAUCUUUAAUCAUGUGGACCUAUGGAGCCCUAAUGUCUUCAUUUAGGGCUUCAAAUUCAGUGUUUUUUGGUUGUUAUUACUUUUGUUUAUUUUUAUGUCAAAUACAUGAUAUUUAUUAGGCAAUUAUUAUCAAUUAUUUUUAGUUGAUUUCAAAUUUCAAAUUAUUGGCCAUACCUGCGUUAAUAGAACCCUUCUUAUAAGACAUUAGGGUGCCUGUGUGUUUUGACUUAAUGCCCUUAAUAUGGACAACGUUUAACCCUUCCAGAUAUAUAGGUUUUUCUCUUUCUAACUUGAUGCAUAACGGAUAGCUUAAUGGGCAAAGUGUGGGAAGGGAUGAUUUAUGUAUUGAGAUUUGAGUUUUUAUCCCCAGUAUCCUUUACCCAAAAUUUUAACAUAAAAUAAAUAUACCAGCUGAAUUUCCCUCACCUUUUUGUUUUGUACAUUUCUAGAUAUUUUUUAUGGUAUCAAAAUCUAUAUAUUUUUUUAGAACUUUUUCAUAACAUUAAAAUCUAUUUUUUUUUCUUGUAUUAUACGAUAGUUAUAUUUGGUGUGUUAUUAAAUAUUAUGUUUACUUUAAGUUAUUAAUCAUGUUAGUAAUAUUUUUAUUUUAAUUCUUUUAAUAUGAUUAUUUGUGAUUUCUGUUUUAAAUGAAUACUUAUUUGUUAUUUGAGCUUAUUUAUAGGGUUUUAUGCAAAAAAAAGUCCCCAUUAUUUUGAAUUUUUUUUUGAUAAAGUCAUAAUUUUUUUUGAACAGACGAGUCCCGAUUAUUUAACAUUUUACCCAAAUUAACGAAAAAUUCCUUUUUUAUUUUAAAAGGAAAUGACAUAUUAUGUGAUUUCCCAAAAUCAUGAAACUUUUCUGUUAAAAAAAACAUUUAGGAAUUUAUUGAUAAAUUUUCUCAAAAUAAUGGGAUUUUUGUGCGUAAAACCCUUAUUUAUAUACAAAAGGGUAAAUAUAGUCAUUUAUUCAUAUUCAAGAUAGUUUAUUUAGUUCAAAAAAGGAACAGUCUUUAUGUGUAUACAAAUGCUUUAUUAUCCAGACAAACACUAAUACCUAUUCAUCCGCUUUAUCAAUAGAGGACUUGUUGAGGAAAAAAGAAAAUCUCUAAGCGUGUAGAUUCAAGAAAAUGUAUCCUAACAUGUAUAUACUUCCAAGUGAUUAUCUAUUUUCAUAGUAUUUUGUAUUUUGUCUCUGUAUAUUUAUGUUAUGUUUAAAAUGUUCUUACUUUUCUUUUAUUCGUUGGGCAAGGAGGAAUUUUCCAGAAGAAUUUAAUUAGAAGGUUUGGUCAUUGCCAUCUCUAGUAUUGAUUCAUCUUUUCAGUUUUUGUUUAAUAGUUGUAUCUUUAUUUUCAAAAACAGGGGGAAAUCCUUAUGAAUGGUUUUUGAGUUGGUUAAUAUAAGCAUGUAAGGAGUAUUAUAGAAAUGGUCAUGUUGUCUUGAUUACUUAAUAUAUUUGUUAUUUUGGUGAGUUUACAUGAAUUAAUCUCACAGUUGUUGCAAUAUCUCCAAGAAUCCCUAUCUUGAACAACCACCCAACCUCACUGUUUGUUGAGUUGCAUUGAAUUUAUGUUUGAGAGUAUAUAUUUGUGUUUAUGUUUUAUCAUUGGUUCAACUUCCAAGUGUAUAUUUCAUCUGGUAUAUGUUUGAUUGCACAUGAAGGUGCUAAUAUGUACUUGUGUUAAAUCGUGGUAUGGAUAUUAAAUGGUUUCUCAUAUUGAGGACUUUAAUUAGCUUGCUCUUCUGUAGCUAUAAAUUGCAAUGAUUUGACUAUACUCGUUAAACAUUUGAGAAGUUAUAUAUUCACUUGGUGACAUGUUUUGCUACGAUUAGAACUUGGUUAAAAAAGAUAACCGCAACUUGCAUGAAUUUUCUAGAUUAGCUACUAGCUUCCGUUGCAAAAUGAAACACUUCUUGAAUUAUAUGUUAUUUCCCCAAUGAUUCNNNNNNNNNNNNNNNNNNNNNNNNNNNNNUAUAUAUAUAUAUAUAUAUAUAACCCGCGUUAAACGCGGGGAACAUAUAAAAAACAUACAUAUAUCUACAGAUAUUGCAUAAUAAUUAUUAAAAAAAAAUUAUGGUUAUUGGUAUUAUUGAAAUAUGUAGAAGAUACAUUGAAAUCGAUAAAUAUUUAUAAUCGUUGAAAUACCUCUUUGUAUACAACAUUUUUUGUUUUAUUAGUUGAAUGACCUUCUUCAUCACAUAUGGUUAUAAUAUUGUUAUAUAAGCAUAAGUAUUCUAAUUAGACGUUCAUUCCAUAAUAAGAUUACUUAAUUUGAGCUUAUAUUGACAACCAAUAUACCCUUUUUUUCACUGCAUUAAAUAUUGACAACUAUUUCAUUUAUUCAAAUAAAGUCAUAAAGUAUAAUUUAUGGAAUGUUAAAUGUUAUAUGGAUUUAAUUUUAGUAUAUUAUCAAUGGAAAUUCUUUUCUAAAUCAUGAUUGGUUUAUUUUAUAUUGAUUAUGAAUAUAAGUGCUAGCUUUUAUAUUUGUUCUUAUUUAUUUGGUGUUCACAAGAACUAUGCAUUAGUCUUGGCGCAACUUUGAAUAAUUUUAGUAUAUCAUCAAUGUAAUUUAGUAUAUCUUUUAAUUAUAUGAAAUAUCAAAUAUUGACAUUUCAUUACUAUUGUGAUAAUUUAGUUUAUAUAUUGCAUUUUUACUAAUCUUAACGAUCUUAUUUUUUUUCUAAUAACCGUAGAGUUUUUACUAAUUGUACUUACAAAUCUCCUAAUAUAUUAUAAUUUUUAUCUUACUUUAUAAUUUUUCAUAUCUUUAUUAUUUUCAAGAUUUGUUGUCUUAAUAGUUUCUUUUUAGUCUAUUCAAUUUUAUAUUGCAUUGUACAACAUUAUCGUUUCUAUGUAUUCUGAAAUUUUAUUUUAAAAAUGUUUAAUGUAUACAUCUUGAUAUUUUUUAAUAAACUCGUGUAAUAAUUAUGGAAUAUAUAUCUAGUUUGAAUUAGCAUUUACUUCAUUCACUAAAUUAAAUUCCUCAUUAAUCGGAUAUAUUUUGAAAAAUAAUAAUUAUAAUGUGGCAACAUUAUCUAAGACAUAAAUGCUUGGUAUACUUUUAGAGGGAAAAAUCGGGAUCAUUAAAAAGAUUUAUAUAAAGAAAAAGACAAAUUUAAAUUGGAUGAAAUUACUGGCGAAAAUUAUUUUGGAGGGAAUUGUAUUUUGUAAAGUAUAAUACUAUGACAAAAUUCGAAAUAUGUGUAUUGUUCUGUAAUUUUAUAAAUUUUAUUGUUAUUAUAUAAAGAUAAAACAAAAUAGGUUGAUAUGUUAAACAAAAAAAUAAUAAUAAUUUCAAUGUAUGUAACUAAAAAAUAGAAUUUGAAGAUGAAAAUUUAAAAAUUAGAAGUAUGAAGACACGUGAUAAAAAAUAUAUUUGAAAGAGCUCUAACCACAUUUGACCAAUUUGUUAGUGAGAAGUGAUGGGUUUUGGUCAUAAGACAUCCUAUGUGCUCAUACAAACCCUAAUGCUUGGAUCUAGGUUUCUCUAUUGUACAUGCAAGUUAUCUAAGACUACAAACCCUAAUUCUAGUAUACAAGUAAUCAUAUUAACAUAAAAAUAGGUUUAUAAUGUUACCUUGAUUGUUAUGUAGCAAUAACAAUCCCAAAUCUCCUUGAAUUGACUUUGGAAGGCUUAGAGUCACAAGUGUCACUCCUCUAAUGGUUCACAAACACCAUAAGCAAGAGGAUGAAGUGGAGAGAGGUUGGAGGCUGCCCAAAAACGUGUGAAACCCUAGAAAGAUCAUUUGCCACGUUUUUUUAGCCUUAAGGGGUCUUUAUAUAGUUGGGCUAUUAGGGUUAUCUAACAAGGAAACCCUAAAUUGGAUGCUUAAGCCCUAAGCAACCCAUGGAGCCCUUUACUCAAGGCCUUGGACGAUUUCAUAUGGGCUUCACCCAUAGAAUUCGUCCACCUUAUAAUAUAAGGCAAUCCAUGGCCCAAAUUGCAAUUAUCUUAUAAUUACAAUUCCAGUCCCUUAAGUUUAAUUAAUCUCUUUUAGUCACAAAACUAAUUACCAAUUAAUUAUUGACUAAUAUUAAUUAAACAAUAUGAUUUCUCCUUUAAUAUAUUAUUCCCAUAAUAUAUUAAUAAAUCAUAUUUAAUCCUUUCUCUCCAUAAUUCAUCCUAUCAAGUUGCUUUGGUGAAGGCAACCCAAAAGGACCAUGCACCAUCGGGUCAAGUACAUACCAAAAUAGUUAUGGACUUAGACACUAAUCCAACAGUCUCCCACUUGGAUAAGUCUAAUAACUAUUCUGCGUAUGACUUCAGAUCCUGAUCUGCAAUCGUAGCUUUCCAAAGCCGCUGUCAACUCUGAUCCUAUCAGAUACGCGUGUCCUUNNNNNNNNNNNNNNNNNNNNNNNNNNNNNNNNNNNNNNNNNNNNNNNNNNNNNNNNNNNNNNNNNNNNNNNNNNNNNNNNNNNNNNNNNNNNNNNNNNNNNNNNNNNNNNNNNNNNNNNNNNNNNNNNNNNNNNNNNNNNNNNNNNNNNNNNNNNNNNNNNNNNNNNNNNNNNNNNNNNNNNNNNNNNNNNNNNNNNNNNNNNNNNNNNNNNNNNNNNNNNNNNNNNNNNNNNNNNNNNNNNNNNNNNNNNNNNNNNNNNNNNNNNNNNNNNNNNNNNNNNNNNNNNNNNNNNNNNNNNNNNNNNNNNNNNNNNNNNNNNNNNNNNNNNNNNNNNNNNNNNNNNNNNNNNNNNNNNNNNNNNNNNNNNNNNNNNNNNNNNNNNNNNNNNNNNNNNNNNNNNNNNNNNNNNNNNNNNNNNNNNNNNNNNNNNNNNNNNNNNNNNNNNNNNNNNNNNNNNNNNNNNNNNNNNNNNNNNNNNNNNNNNNNNNNNNNNNNNNNNNNNNNNNNNNNNNNNNNNNNNNNNNNNNNNNNNNNNNNNNNNNNNNNNNNNNNNNNNNNNNNNNNNNNNNNNNNNNNNNNNNNNNNNNNNNNNNNNNNNNNNNNNNNNNNNNNNNNNNNNNNNNNNNNNNNNNNNNNNNNNNNNNNNNNNNNNNNNNNNNNNNNNNNNNNNNNNNNNNNNNNNNNNNNNNNNNNNNNNNNNNNNNNNNNNNNNNNNNNNNNNNNNNNNNNNNNNNNNNNNNNNNNNNNNNNNNNNNNNNNNNNNNNNNNNNNNNNNNNNNNNNNNNNNNNNNNNNNNNNNNNNNNNNNNNNNNNNNNNNNNNNNNNNNNNNNNNNNNNNGCUAGAUUCUAACAUUCUAUGCAAUGAUUCUUUCGUAAUGUCACUCACCAAAAUCACAAAGACUAUUGCCAAUGAUAUUACAAAAUCUUCUAUCGGAGAUUGUUACAAGACAAUUCCAUAGACGUGAUGUCUCUCACUCAAAGUACAUUCUUUGAACAUCCUUUUGCAUAGAAGUUUCUAAUCUAGUCAUAGAUUUCUCAAUAUUCAAUUCCCAAUAUGGACACACUUCCAUAUGUUCCAUAUGACAACUCAUUCUUAAUAGAAUCUUAUCUAUUCGUAAUGAUGUCGAUAUGGUCCAUCCAAUAUGGAAACAUUUCCAUAUUUUCCAAUACUAUACUUCCAACUACUCACAAGCGACCAAUCCUCGUCGAACUUUGGAUUGUCCUUUGAUAGUUGUUUAAUUAUUUUAGUCAAAACCAAUUCUAGUCCCUUUUCCCUCUAAAUGCGCUCGACAUUUGGAAAAUUUUAGAAUGGUCAAACAUUAAAGCAUUUGCAAUCGAUCCUAUACCCGAAGCGUAUGGGACACGACGCAUAAUGUUUUAUUUGCUAUGUUCUCAAAAUUCGAAUUGUGAAGAGGGAUGCCGUAAUCAUAAUCGAAAUUUUAAGAACACACUAUGUACCUUUGACUAAAUUUAUUAACAUUUCUCAACCUAAUCCUUUAGAUUUGAAAUGAAGCAUAAUAUUCUCUCCCUUAAUUAUAGCAAAACAACUUUACAACCCUUACGACUUUGCAAGGUAUAACUCUUGUUUUCUAUAAUUAAUAUUGCCAACUUGCAAUACGUGCCUUAAUAAUCAUACAAUCAUAACAUUUAUGCUCCCACUAUCAUGAUGAUUAUUAUAAAACAUAACACUUAUGCUCCCACUAGCUUCGACAUGUAUUCAUAAACAUCUUAACUUUCAGAAAAACAAUACUUAUUGAAUUUCUUAAGUUCAUGUUUCUAAUACUUAGUGCUUUGAUAAUCUUUUAUCAAGGCUUCUUGAACUUAUACACCUUUGCCUUCGAUAGUUCAUAUGUGUGUCUAAACAAUUAAGACUAAUUGCCAAACCUCACAAUUCAAAUUAUGGAAAGGGAUACCGUAACCAUAAUCGAAUUCGAGAAUGCAAUUUUACAAUCACUAUCUUCUUAAAAUCUUUCUUAGUGAAAGCAUUUCCUCACAAUCAUUUUCAUGAAGGAGGAAAUCUUAUGACACUUAGAUUUAAACGGUGUAUGUGUUCCUAUCCAUGUGAAUUUGUUAAAACCAAAGUUUACGACAAAUUCAAACUCAUAUGGACCGAACUUUCUUAAUCUUGAUUUCUUGCCUUAUGGUAGCACAGCUGCCCACCAUGUCUUCCAAGUAGUUAAGCAGCUCACCCUUUCCUAUCAAUGUACCUUUCAUUGAUUAAGGUGCUUUGCCUUUUAUGCGUUCAAAAUGAGAACUCAUAGAACUCACAUGCAUAAUUAACUCGAUUGGAUUGGCACAGAAACAAAAUAAUGUCAACACGAUAGGUUGUAAACCUCAACUCGUGUGCUAGUGAUGAUCGAUAAGGUUUAUUUGAUUUGUUCUUGAAACCUUUCAAGACCAUUAAGACUCCCACUGACUCCUUGACAUAUAAGAUUCUCUUGUCAAUAAACAUUUCUUGACAAACAAAUAUUCAAGAGUUAGUGUAGCUUUUAUCAAAACACUUCAUAAAUUGGUCCUAGUUGGUCUUUGUCUUAUCCAAGACAUCACAACUUUCCACAUUUGAUGAAUGUUAUAAACCUUCUUAAUACUUAUCACUCAAUGUCACAAUCUUAACUCUAAGACUUGUUUUGGAACGAAGUAUGAUUGACUUCUUGAUUUAACCAUUUCUUCAAUUCUUGAUUCCUCUUCUUAGACAUACAAUUGUACUAAGACUCACUUAGAGGAUCAAUUGAGAUAUGGUUCUUAAUCAUUAAGACCUAUCAUAAAGCAUAAAAGGUACUCUCCCUUCUUCUUAGAAUGGAGAAACUUUUAUCUUUCUGCCUACUUGAUUCUUCUUAUUCGUUCUGCUAUUGAUUUAAACUUUUUCAAUCAAUUCAGAAUUACACUUAAUCUUGUAAGUAUAAUCAUAUUUACUAAACCUUUAGUAAAUCAUGACGAAUAUCUUUGUUACUCUUAUGGUGGACUUGAUCAACACGCAACUUUGUGUACUCGAUCUCCUAGUCCUUCACUUGACACUUUGUCAAUGAAUUAGUCUAAUUUCCAAAUAUGAAAUUUCUCAUUCAUCGUGCAACCAAGUUGCAUGAUUCCAAGUUUCUGUCCAAUUGAAACUUGGGCGAUGAGAAACUCUCCCUAUUUGGUAAAUUCUCGACUUUCCAUAAAUAACAUAAUAAGAACCAAAUCCAUUAUUGCUAAUAAUAGAAACAUUCAAACAUCAAUUUUUCAUAUACGCCAUUGCAAGGAUAAAUAAAUAAUAUAAAAUCAAAAUUUAUUUUAUUGCGGAAAAAAUUUGUCCUUACAAUGCAAUUCAUUGAAAAACUAUGCUAAUACAUCUUUCUUAGCAAUCUAAUUCUAACUCUAAGUAGUAGCUCAAGAAUCUAAUCUUCGAGAAAUGCGAUCGAAAUCCAUUCCUUCACGGUUAGAUUCUGCUCACUUCUUCCCUUAAGCUUCCUUUCUUUUCUUCGAUCCUACAAAACAUCAAUUGUAAUCUUAUCACAUUAUGUAUUAAGAAUCUAGAAUAGAAGCUUAAAAGAGUUAGUUAAUGGAUUUUACCUAUAUUAGAGCCAUACGUUUCGACUCUCCCAUCUCUUAGAUCUCUUAGGUAAAUGGGGCAGCUUCGUCUCCAAUGCCCUUUCUCUUGGCAAUAAAAGCAAAUUGACUCUUUUGGAACAUGACAUGGAACUACUUCAGACAUUGCCUUUCUCUUAUGAUCAAACUUUUCGAUCAUAGCAUGUCUUUCGUUGCCAUUGUCUAUAUCCAUAGAGGUCUUGAAGGCAGAUUCACCAAUCAACUUUGCUUUUCUAUUGCGCCAAACCAUUGCUGAUUCAGCAGCAAUAAGCAUAUAGGUGAGAUCUAUAAGGGUCACGUCGCGGUUCAUCAUAUAGUACUCUCUUACGAACUCACUAUAUGAGUUAGGAAGUGACUGAAGAACCCAAUCAACAGCCAUUUCCUCACAGACAACGGAUCCCAACAUUCUUAACCUAUCAAUGUGUGACUUCAUCCCUAGGACGUGUGCACACACCGACUUUCCUUCUUUAUGUUUACUUGCCAAAAGGGCUUGAGUGAUCUUGAACUUUUCAAGCCUUUGAACUUGUGGGUUAGGGAGAAUAAUUGGAGGAGGAGGAGGAAGUGAAGCAUGAUUUCUUGUUCCUCGAUCGAAUCGUGGAAUAUCAUCUUCAUGUGGAAUGCUUGUUCCACGGGAUUUGGGAAGACCAUAGUUGUCGAACUUUGACAUCUACAAAACGGGAGAAAACGAAUUCAAGUUAGUUGAUUGAUUGAGUCCUUAGUAAAUCACCCAAAUGAGAUACUAAGGCUAGGACCCAACACAAUAUUCUACAACUCGGGAGAGGGAUGCCGUAACCCUAAUUGCAGAAUAUUUGAAGGUAAGUGAAUGACGAUUCACUAAUUUCCACCAUGAAAAACGAAAAAGAAAUUUAAGUUUUAAAUCUAUGAAAACUCCUAGAUCCUUUGAGAUUCAUUGAACUUUCAAUGGCAUGUUUAAAUCUCGAUAUGCCCCUCUUGUUUGUGACUGGGAUGCCGAGGAUCACAAAGCGGGUGUGAAUAACCAUGCAAACUUACAUGGUGCCCUCACAUGUUACAGUCACCUAUUCGAUGUGCCGGUAAACCACACACGCUCCACCGAACUAUGACAAACAUUGAGUCACCCUUUGCUACCUUUGCUUAGAACCAUUUAGUGUGCCGGUAAACCACACACGCUCCACUAACGUCUUCGCAAGGGCACAAAGUGUAAUUUCAUGGAAUUGCAUCAAUUCACUUUUGCCUAAGUAACUAAGAUUGGGAAUUUUAUGAAAACAUUUAGUUACUUUAAUAAUUCAUUAUACUUAUAAUGGAAGGUUUCGUCCUAUCCUACCCGUUCGGCUAACGACCCUCCACUAGUCAAGAGUGCGGUGGGUAAGAGUGGAUACCCAUUCAAUCGCCAUUUUAUAGGCAAUUUCCUUAAACACCCCUUAUAGACCAGCUUCGUGAAUGAGGCCUACUAACGGUAAGACUGACUUUUACUCAUACAUAUAUAUAAUGUUAGACUUUUAAUGUUAUAUAUAGUAUAGGGUGUAUUUUACACUUUUAAAAUACUAGGUGGUCAAAUUUAACAAUUAUACUUUUAAUUCAAUUAAAUUGUAAACCAAAACUUUUAUGGAUUUAUUAAACCUCUUUUAAUUAUACACCUUAAUUAAUUAAUAAAACCAUAAGGGUGUGAUUUGAACUUUUUCAAAACUAUACUAGAGUUUUAGAAUUUAACAUUCCUAAUUAAACUUUUAAUCAACUUUUAAAUUCCAAAACUUGAGGGCAAGUUUUGAAACAUUUCAACACAUUAGGGUUUAGAAUUUAAAUAUACAUCAAAAUUAAACCAUUUAAUCAAAAUUUAAAUUCCAAAACUUGAGGGCAAGUUUUGAAACCUUUUUCAAAACAUUAGGGUUUCAACUAUUUAAAUUUCAAAACAACAAAACUUUUGGGUUCAAAUUUAAACUAUAAAACCUAAAGGGCAAAACAUGAAACUUUUCAUAACAACAAGGAUCAAAUAACAAAUAAUCUAAAUUAACAUUUAAUCACAUAAUUAUCCAUAUUUGAUUUAUUUAAUGAUUUCUUGCAAAACAAUUUAUCAAUUUACUCAAAAUAAUUAAUCAAUUAUCACAUAAGGAAACAAUUAUCUUUUUAAUUGAUAAAUAUCUUCAAUUAGAUCAAAAUUAUAGUCAAAUAUAUCAUAUAAUCGGAUUAAUAUUGAUCUAACAUGAUAAGGUAACUAUCUAUAAGCAAAAACAGCAAGAAAACCCGAGAUACCCUCCAUCUGACGAGUUGACUCGUCGAGUCAGCAUGGACUCAGCGAGUUUAGCUAUGGACUCGGCGAGUCCAGCCACCAAAAACCCAAAAAACAAUUUUUUCUAGUUAUACAAUGCAUCAUUACAAUUGAAACCAAGCUAGUCUUAUACCACUGAUGGGUUUUGGUCAUAAGACAUCCUAUGUGCUCAUACAAACCCUAAUGCUUGGAUCUAGGUUUCUCUAUUGUACAUGCUUUGAAUCCAAGACUAUAAACCCUAAUUCUAGCAUAUAAAAAUCAAUAUUAACAUAUNAGAAUAGGUUUAUAAUGUUACCUUGAUUGUUAUGUAGCAAUAACAAUCCCAAAUCUCCUUGAAUUGACUUUGGAAGGCUUAGAGUCACAAGUGUCACUCCUCUAAUGGUUCACAAACACCAUAAGCAAGAGGAUGAAGAGGAGAGAGGUUGGAGGCUGCCCAAAAACGUGUGAAACCCUAGAAAGAUCAUUAGCCACGUUUUUUAGCCUUAAGGGGUCNCCUUAUAAUAUAAGGCAAUCCAUGGCCCAAAUUGCAAUUAUCUUAUAAUUACAAUUCCAGUCCCUUAAGUUUAAUUAAUCUCUUUUAGUCACAAAACUAAUUACCAAUUAAUUAUUGACUAAUAUUAAUUAAACAAUAUGAUUUCUCCUUUAAUAUAUUAUUCCCAUAAUAUAUUAAUAAAUCAUAUUUAAUCCUUUCUCUCCAUAAUUCAUCCUAUCAAGUUGCUUUGGUGAAGGAAACCCAAAAGGACCAUGCACCAUCGGGUCAAGUACAUACCAAAAUAGUUAUGGACUUAGACACUAAUCCAACAAGAAGAUCAUAAAUGGAUCCUUUGAUAAUGAUCAACGAAUUAUUUCUUGUAUGAAUAAAAGUGGAUUCUAUAAUUAGUGGAUUCAUAAUGUUUUAAGUAAUGCUAAAAUAAACAUGUAUAUUGAAGUGUAGAUGAACAUGUCAUUUUCAUGCAAACGACAUGUUUUAUGGUAUCAUGUAGAAAAAUACUUUAGAAAAUAUUUUUUUUUAAACACAUAUACUUAACUUAUAUCCUGAUCAACCAGGUUCAUCAAUCGUUUCUCCCUUGAACUUUCAAUAAUCACUUUCAUGAGAUUAGUCGACACAACUCGACUAAGAAAAUUUGGAACAAAAAAAUAAAUAGUUGUUGUAUUAUAAAUGUGUAAUACAAUAAAUAUUUACGUAUAGAUAAGGUAGAAUGUUAAAAUAAAAUCUUACCAAAUGCAACACAAGUGUCGAUUCCUAGCUGUCAAAUCCUGGAAAGUCAAAAAAUUACAAGGAUCAACCAUAGUUGUCAACAAAAUUAUUUCCAUACUUAAUUUCAAAUGAUGCAUAAAUAGAUUAUAUAUUAUUUCCUAUUAAAUCAACUUAAAAGUGUAAUAUGAUCAUACUAAAAUAUUUUAAAAUCAUACCAAAGUUAACCGGAUUCUUAUUAUAUAAUAAUAAUAAAAAUCAUUAUCACCUCUAAUAUAUAAAAAUAACAUUUUCCUAAUUAGUGUCAAUUUCAAAGAUAGUGAAUUUCUAUUUUGUUAAAGGUGUGUAAUAUCUUUUCCUGUUUAUAUGAAAAGUUUCAGAAAAGUAGUUAACCGAUUUCAUGUAAUUUGUGAUAAAGAAAAUCGAAAUAUAUGAAUACAUAUAUAUAUUUGAUAUAGGAACAAAAAAAUAAUCGAAAAAAAUAUAGAAAGCAAAAGAAGGUACUAACCUUCUACUGCACAACAACGAAACUUUGAAGCAAAAAAUGAUGACGGAAGUUAUAAACAAUAAGAAUGAUGUUGUAGGAGAAGGUUUGAAGAAAAGAAACGAUUGAAAAUAAGUGUGAGUCGCGGAUUCAAUGAUGAAUCGUAUAUGUAUGUGCUAAUUUGAAUCUGAUUUUUUGGUAAUAAUGGUUUCCUAAUAAAAAUGGAUUUUUUAUAUUAAUGGGUUACUAAUAUAAACAUAUUUAUAUUAAUGGUUGAUAUUAAUGUCUUAAUUGAAAUGGUUUGUUACUAAUAUGUUUUUAAAGCUGUCCAUAUUAAAACCUUUAUAAUCAGAAAUUCAGGAUUUAAAAUAUGGAAAGAUUUUAUUGGAAUUAUAUACAUUCCAUUUCAACGGAUGUAAAUUAAUUUUGUUUGACAAUUGAAAAGUUUUAAUUGGAAUUAAAUACAUUCCAUUUGGGAAGAUGAUGUCAGCAAUUUGAUCUAAUGGUAGAAAACAUAGAAUUAAAAUACAAUCAAUGGCCCAGAUUGUUUAAGAUGAUGUCAUAAGGUUUCUCUUUUAAUAAUAUUUAGAGAUUAAAGUUACGAAGAAAAUGAAUAGUAAACUUGCAAUUUUUUUGGCAGAAUUGGUCCUUGUACUAUUUUACUUAUUUUGACACUUUUGGUCCUUGCAAUCAAUAUUUUUACACUUUUUAGGAACCUUUUAAUAUUUAAAGUUUGGCCACAAAACUUUAACGGUUUGACAACUUUGAUCCUUUUUCUAAAAAGUUGCUAAUUCCUACCUCUUUAAUUCUUUAGCCAUUUUGACACUUCUGGUUCUUGCAAUCCAAACUUUUACAUUUUUCACUUUUGUUCCUUGUAAUCAAUAUUUUUACACUUUUUAGGAAUCUUUUAAUAUUUAAAGUUUGGCCACAAAACUUUUACGGUUUGACAACUUUGAUCCUUUUUCUAAAAAGUUGCUAUUUCCUACCCCUUUAAUUCUUUAGCCAUUUUGACACUUCUGGUCCUUACAGUCAAAACUUUUACAUUUUUUCAUGAAAAUGAAAAAAAAAACGGUCUGGAGCAAAGCCCAGGCUUUUCAUUCUUGCACUUUCUACGUUUGUCAUUUUAUCGAUUUGGAAACAAUAUUGAAAUCUUCUGGCCCCCGCGUAGCGGGGGUAACCUUUCUAGUUGUCAUAAAGACCCAAAAAGGUUUUGUGAUUGGUUUUAAAUGGUCCUCAAACUAAUUUUUGUUCCUUCUAUAGGUAUAAACUCAAAAAUGACAUGUUAAUAAACGGAAGGUAACCUCUUGUUCCCUGUUAACAUAUAAAUUCAACCAAACCUUAAAUGACAUGGCAUAUUUUAUGCCACAUCGAUCCCACGUGUGAUGUGUACACCCAUCCUCCAAAACCUCACCUGAAACUAAUAAAACUCUCUUUAGAUUAGCACAACCUUUUUUCAUCUUCUUUAUAGGUGAUUCGGUUCUAACAUAGAUAAUAUAUAUUUUUCUCUCUCACAAAAUCAAAACAAAACUAAUAAAACUCUCUUUAGAUUAGCACAACCUUUUUUCAUCUUCUUUAUAGGUGAUUUGGUUCUAACAUAGAUAAUAUAUAUUUUUCUCUCUCACAAAAUCAAAACAAAAUCCUCCUAAAGAAAUCCAGUUACCGCCAUUUAUGUCUCUGUCCUAGAAACUACAGUGCACCAUCAACCUUUUUGGCGACCAUCUACGGGAAAAGGAAUCGAAGCUUCAUCUUGUUCAUUCACCUUUAAACAUAUCAAUGUUUGUGUGUUUGUUUUAGUUGCAGGUAAGUGUGUGUGUGUGUGUGUGUGUGUUUGUUUUAGUUGUAAAUAUGUGUGUAUUUUAGUUGCAAGUAGAUGAAUAGAUCUUAUUCUAGUGAUCAAUCAGGGAUUAUAAUGGUAAACUUAUUCUGGAAGUUUGAUACAGAAGAGUUCUUUUUUCCACCGUUAUUUCAUAUACAGAGAGGGGGGGUAAAGAGGUGUGUAGUUUGCCAACACCGACCGAUGAUGGGAAAAAGAUUACAGAUGAGUCGUUCUACAAGUGCGUUUCGUUUCAUUUUGGCUAAAUCAUUGUUUUCCAUCUUCAUUCCAGGUUUGAUUUAUAUCAAAAUCUGUUCUCCAGGUUUAAGUUUGUUGAAUCACCAUCGGUCAGUGCCGAUUUCUGCAGCUGCCAAUCCGUAGGUUACGAGCUUCAGCCUCCAAUUUUUUUUGCAACUAACGAUAUACGCCGAUUAGAAUUGUGAGGUGGUUAAGAAAAGUGAGGUUGAAGUCGUCGGGAAUAGAGAAGACAUCAUAGACACGAAUCUAAACUAGUCGACGAGUUGGGUGUCGGCCGAGAGUGGCCUCGGAGAAGCUGAUUGGAACGGUGGAUGUCUGGAUGGAAGAAACGCCACCGCCUGUCCGCUACUAGUGUUAUCGAUCUUCGGUUUGAAGAUGGAGAUGUGUUUUUAGUCGGCGGGGAUGAUGAAAUUUGCAGACCUAAAUGCCAACAUGGAUUAUCUUUUAAUUUUUUAUUUUUAUAAAAUAAAAAUAAAUCCACAUGGACUGUAGGUAACCUGUGAAACCGGAACUAAAUGAAAUAAGUAUAGUUUCUUAUCCAUAUUUAUUUUAAUGGCAUAAAAGACAUAAAAAAGUUUAAUGAUUUUUUAAAACUAAACGAAAACUUCAUUAGUUUUUAUGUCAAUAAUCCUUCUUUUGAACACAAUUAUCAAUGUUGAACACUUUUAGAAAUGUGUGCUAUAUAAUUUCUACCUAUUUCCCCAUGAUUAAAUUGGAAUCUUGGUCUCUACCAUUACGCAUCAUUCAUCAACAAUCUCCAUCUUAUAUGAUUGGGCUCAAAAUCUCAAAACUUUUAUAGGAUAUUUAACUAAGUAAAAUUCGCAUACUUCACCUUAGUAUUGAAGGCUCUGAUUCCAAAUAUGAGAAUUCUCUAACAAUUGUUUUUUGAAUUUUAAACGCACCAUGUUUAGGCCUUCCUUUUUUUCUUCACAUCACGAGACAAAAUAACAGGACAUUAAUCGAUAUUUUUUCUAUCCACCACCUCUAUAUCUAUAUUUUAUUAUUGUUGUUAACAAAAGGAUACCAUUUUCAUUUUCCCAUGCUAUUUUUGCACCAAUAAUAGACUCCCAAAAUUGGUCCAUUUAGGCUGAAAAUAAAUUAGGUACAUCAGGACCUUGAUGAGACCCACACAAUUCUUCACAACUUACCAUGCAUUAGGCAUAAGCUCAUGCACAAGCCCAUCUUGACUUACUCCUCCAAAGGCCCAUAUCUUGAUUACCUUUAAGGCUAUAACCUAUAGCCUUUUUCCAUGUAUUUCCAACACUUAAACAACCUUUUUAGUCAAAUAAUUAUGUAAAUCAUAUAUAGUAUACCCAUAUGAUGGGUUUUGGUCAUAAGACAUCCUAUGUGCUCAUACAAACCCUAAAGCUCGGAUCUAGGUUUCUCUAUUGUACAUACUUUGAAUCCAACACUAUAAACCCUAAUUCUAGCAUAUGGAAAUCAGAAUUCACAUGUAAAUAGGUUUAAGAACAUACCUUGAUUGUUAUGUAGCAAUAACAAUCCAAUUCCUCCUUGAAUUGACCUUGGAAAGCAGAGAGUCACAAGUUUCACUCCUCUAAUGGCUUAUAAACACCAUAAGCAAGUGGAGAAGGUAUAAAGAGAGAGGAGGGAGGUUAGAAUUCGUCUCUAAGACUUCUUGGGAAGGGAUACACGAAUUCAUGACCUUGGGGUUGUUUAUAUAGGUGUAGAGAUAGGGUUUCAGUCAUUAUCCUUAUCUAGUUGAUUAUCCAUUAAGCAACCAAUAAGAUAAUCCUUGAAUCCUUAUCAUACUCGAAUUCUAAGACUUUCCAACCUUAAAUUCGUCCACCAUAUUUAUAAGAUAAUCCUUACCUUAUUUUGUAACUAUCACAUAAUCACAAAUCAGCCCCUCUAGUUUAAUUAAUUACACUUGAUCACAAAAUUAAUUAUUAAUUAAUUAUUGACCAAUAUUAAUUAAACAAAUAUGAUUUCUCCUUUAAUAUAUUAUUCUUAUAACAUAUUAAUAAAUCAUAAUAACCUCUCUCUCUAUUUAUUUCUCCAAUCAAGUUGCUUUGGUGAAGGCAACCCAAAAGGACCAUGCACCAUCGGGUCAAGUACAUACCAAAAUAGUUAUGGACUUAGACACUAAUCCAACAGUCUCCCACUUGGAUAAGUCUAACAACUAUUCUGCGUAUGACUUCGGAUCCCGAUCUGCAAUCGUAGCUUUCCAAAGCCGCUGUCAACUCUGAUCAUAUCAGAUACGCGUGUCCUUAGAUAAGGGAUCAUAUAUUCCUCCAUUCUAGAUAUCAUAUGAGAUAUGAUUUCAAAUCAUUCUCUUUGUACUAUAUCUCGAUUUCCGAUUUAUGACGACUGACUAAUUGAACAAAUCAAAUUAGCCCUAGCCCGGCCGAGCAUUUACGUUUGUCAUCACUAAACCAUCGAGGGGCCCAAAGAUAUCGCUUUUAUCCUACUUUGGAUAAAAGGAACGGAUAAACUUUGAUACAAUGCUUGCUUGCACUCACUCACCGAAUCACACACAACAAUAUGUUUUAUAACACCAAGUUACUAGUGCGUUUACAUAUUAUCAAUGUGCAACCGAUUUGCAAGAUACAACUCACACAUCUCGGUUUCAAGAAUAUAAGAUGUUAUCGUCUCACCAAUCACUCGUGAUACAAUUCAUGGAGUGAUCCAAGUGAGCGUGGGUUUAAUCCAAUGCUCAAAUCACAUUCAUAAGCACUCAUGAACGUUGCAGCAAACAUUUGCUUAUGUCUAAUACUCUUUUAGACAAUCCACACACCAAUUCACGACAGUCUUCAUUCAUAUCUACUUCCAACAUAUGAACGACUGUGGCCCGUUUGAAUAAUUCGAUUAUUCUUAAUAAACUCAAUUAUUCUGGAAGUCAAAACAUGCAAAUGUGAAACACAAGAAUAAUACUAAUCCCAUAUGGCCUCAAACCUUUGAGUAUAAAUAAAACACCUUUUAUUUAUCACCAUAUUGAUUACUCAUUAUUUGUCGUUUCGGGUAAUCAACUUCUUACUUGAAUUCCAACACUUGUCCCAUGCUCCUAGCAUGCACACAAUGUUUACCUAUGGUUCUUACUUUGUGAAAUAGAUCACAUUGAACACAUUUCCAAUCCUUCUCAUUUCACAACUCCAAAUCCGUUUUUCAUAAGUCAAAGAAUAUCAAAUUCUUGCUACUUAUAGAAUAUGCUAGAUUCUAACAUUCUAUGCAACUAUCCUUUCGUAAUGUCACUGCACCAAAGUCACAAAGACUAUUGCCAAUGAUAUUACAAAGUCCUCUAUCGGAGAUUGUUACAAGACAAUUCCAUAGACGUGAUGUCUCUCACUCAAAGUACAUUCUUUGAACAUCCUUUUGCAUAGAAGUUUCUAAUCUAGUCAUAGAUUUCUCAAUAUUCAAUUCCCAAUAUGGACACACUUCCAUAUGUUCCAUAUGACAACUCAUUCUUAAUAGAAUCUUAUCUAUUCGUAAUGAUGUCGAUAUGGUCCAUCCAAUAUGGAAACAUUUCCAUAUUUUCCAAUACUAUACUUCCAACUACUCACAAGCGACCAAUCCUCGUCGAACUUUGGAUUGUCCUUUGAUAGUUGUUUAAUUAUUUUAGUCAAAACCAAUUCUAGUCCCUUUUCCCUCUAAAUGCGCUCGACAUUUGGAAAAUUUUAGAAUGGUCAAACAUUAAAGCAUUUGCAAUCGAUCCUAUACCCGAAGCGUAUGGGACACGACGCAUAAUGUUUUAUUUGCUAUGUUCUCAAAAUUCGAAUUGUGAAGAGGGAUGCCGUAAUCAUAAUCGAAAUUUUAAGAACACACUAUGUACCUUUGACUAAAUUUAUUAACAUUUCUCAACCUAAUCCUUUAGAUUUGAAAUGAAGCAUAAUAUUCUCUCCCUUAAUUAUAGCAAAACAACCUUUCAACUCUUACAACUUUGCAAAGUAUGACUCUUGUUUUCUAUAAUUAAUAUUGCUAACCUUGCAAUACUUUCCUUAAUAAUCAUACAAUCAUAACAUUUAUGCUCCCACUAUCAUGAUGAUUAUUAUAAAACAUAACACUUAUGCUCCCACUAGCUUCGACAUGUAUUCAUAAACAUCUUAACUUUCAGAAAACAAUACUUAUUGAAUUUCUUAAGUUCAUGUUUCUAAUACUUAGUGCUUUGAUAAUCCUUUAUCAAUGCUUCUUGAACUUAUACACCUUUGCCUUCGAUAGUUCAUAUGUGUGUCUAAACAAUUAAGACUAAUUGCCAAACCUCACAAUUCAAAUUAUGGAAAGGGAUGCCGUAACCAUAAUUGAAUUCGAGAAUGCAAUUUUACAAUCACUAUCUUCUUAAAAUCUUUCUUAGUGAAAGCAUUUCCUCACAAUCAUUUUCAUGAAGGAGGAAAUCUUAUGACACUUAGAUUUAAACGGUGUAUUUGUUCCUAUCCAUGUGAAUUUGUCAAAACCAAAGUUUACGACAAAUUCAAACUCAUAUGGACCGAACUUUCUUAAUCUUGAUUUCUUGCCUUAUGGUAGCACAGCUGCCCACCAUGUCUUCCAAGUAGUUAAGCAGCUCACCCUUUCCUAUCAAUGUACCUUUCAUUGAUUAAGGUGCUUUGCCUUUUAUGCGUUCAAAAUGAGAACUCAUAGAACUCACAUGCAUAAUUAACUCGAUUGGAUUGGCACAGAAACAAAAUAAUGUCAACACGAUAGGUUGUAAACCUCAACUCGUGUGCUAGUGAUGAUCGAUAAGGUUUAUUUGAUUUGUUCUUGAAACCUUUCAAGACCAUUAAGACUCCCACUGACUCCUUGACAUAUAAGAUUCUCUUGUCAAAAACCAUUUCUUGACAAACAAAUAUUCAAGAGUUAGUGUAGCUUUUAUCAAAACACUUCAUAAAUUGGUCCUAGUUGGUCUUUGUCUUAUCCAAGACAUCACAACUUUCCACAUUUAAUGAAAGUUACAAACCUUCUUAAUACUUUUCACUCAAUGUCACAAUCUUAACUUUAAGACUUGUUAUUGGAACGAAGUAUGAUUGACUUCUUGAUUUAACCAUUUCUUCAAUUCUUGAUUCCUCUUCUUAGACAUACAAUUGUACUAAGACUCACUUAGAGGAUCAAUUGAGAUAUGGUUCUUAAUCACUAAGACAUAUCAUAAAGCAUAAAAGCUACUCUCCCUUCUUCUUAGAAUGGAGAAACUUUUAUCUUUCUGCCUACUUGAUUCUUCUUAUUCGUUCUGCUAUUGAUCUAAACCCUUUAAUCAAUUCAGAAUUACACUUAAUCUUGUAAGUAUAAUCAUAUUUACUAAACCUUUAGUAAAUCAUGACGAAUAUCUUUGUUACUCUUAUGGUGGACUUGAUCAACACGCAACUUUGUGUAUUCGAUCUCCAAGUCCUUCACUUGACACUUUGUCAAUGAAUUAGUCUAAUUUCCAAAUAUGAAAUUUCUCAUUCAUCAUGCAACCAAGUUGCAUGAUUCCAAAUUUCUGUCCAAUUGAAACUUGGGCGAUGAGAAACUCUCCCUAUUUGGUAAAUUCUCGACUUUUCCAUAAACACCAUAAAUAAGAAUCAUAUCCAUUUGUUGUAGAAAUAUGCAAACACCAAUUUUCAUAACGAUUUCAUUGCAAGGAAAUAAAUAAAUAAAUAAGUCAAAUGAAAAUUUAUUUUAUUUAUAAAAGCAGCGGAAAAAUUUGUCCUUACAAUGCAAAAUCCAUUGAAAACUAUGUACAAAAGAAAAUUUCUAACAACUCUAUCAUAACUUUUUAAGUUCAAAAUCUAAUCUUCAAGUCCAUGCGACCGAGAUCCAUCUCUUGUGAUUAGAUUCAUCAUGCUCUCCUAUCAAGCUUCCUUUCUUUUCACCGACUCUACAAAACACUCAAAUGUAAUCUUAUUACAUCAUGUAUUAAGAAUCAAUGAAUAGGAACUUAAUGGAGUUAGAUAGUGGAUUUUUACCUAAAGCGCAGUCAUACCUUUGACUCUCCCAUCUCUUAGAUCUCUUAGGUAAUUAGGGCAACUUCGUCUCCAAUGCCCCUUCUCUUGGCAAUAAAAGCAAAUUGACUCUUUUGGAACAACACAUGGAACUACUUCAGACAUCGCCUUUCUCUUAUGAUCAAACUUUUCGAUCAUUGCAUGUCUUUCAUUGCCAUUGUCUAUAUCCAUAGAGGUCUUGAAGGCAGAUUCACCAAUCAACUUUGCUUUUCUAUUGCGCCAAACCAUUGCUGAUUCGGCAGCAAUAAGCAUAUAGGUGAGAUCUAUAAGGGUCACGUUGUGGUUCGUCAUAUAGUACUCUCUUACGAACUCACUAUAUGAGUUGGGAAGUGACUGAAGAACCCAAUCAACAGCCAUCUCUUCACUAACAACGGAUCCCAUCAUUCUUAGUCUAUCAAUGCGCGACUUCAUCCCUAGGACGUGUGCACACACCGACUUUCCUUCUUUAUGUUUACUUGCCAAAAGGGCUUGAGUGAUAUUGAACCUUUCAAUUUUACAAUCUUGUGGGUUAGGGAGAAUAAUUGGAGGAGGAGGAGGAAGUGAAGCAUGAUUUCUUGAUCCUCGAUCGAAUCGUGGAAUAUCAUCUUCAUGUGGAAUGCUUGUUCCACGGGAUUUGGGAAGACCAUAGUUGUCGAACUUUGACAUCUACAAAACGGGAGAAAACGAAUUCAAGUUAGUUGAUUGAUUGAGUCCUUAGUAAAUCACCCAAAUGAAAUACUAAGGCUAGGACCCAACACAAUAUUCUACAACUCGGGAGAGGGAUGCCGUAACCCUAAUUGCAGAAUAUUUGAAGGUAAGUGAAUGACGAUUCACUAAUUUCCACCAUGAAAAACGAAAAAGAAAUUUAAGUUUUAAAUCUAUGAAAACUCCUAGAUCCUUUGAGAUUCAUUGAACUUUCAAUGGCAUGUUUAAAUCUCGAUAUGCCCCUCUUGUUUGUGACUGGGAUGCCGAGGAUCACAAAGCGGGUGUGAAUAACCAUGCAAACUUACAUGGUGCCCUCACAUGUUACAGUCACCUAUUCGAUGUGCCGGUAAACCACACACGCUCCACCGAACUAUGACAAACAUUGAGUCACCCUUUGCUACCUUUGCUUAGAACCAUUUAGUGUGCCGGUUAACCACACACGCUCCACUAACGUCUUCGCAAGGGCACAAAGUGUAAUUUCAUGGAAUUGCAUCAAUUCACUUUUGCCUAAGUAACUAAGAUUGGGAAUUUUAUGAAAACAUUUAGUUACUUUUAUACUUCAUUAUACUUAUAAUGGAAGGUUUCGUCCUAUCCUACCCGUUCGGCUAACGACCCUCCACUAGUCAAGAGUGCGGUGGGUAAGAGUGGAUACCCAUUCAAUCGCCAUUUUAUAGGCAAUUUCCUUAAACACCCCUUAUAGACCAGCUUCGUGAAUGAGGCCUACUAACGGUAAGACUGACUUUUACUCAUACAUAUAUAUAAUGUUAGACUUUUAAUGUUAUAUAUAGUAUAGGGUGUAUUUUACACUUUUAAAAUACUAGGUGGUCAAAUUUAACAAUUAUACUUUUAAUUCAAUUAAAUUGUAAACCUAAACUUUUAUGGAUUUAUUAAACCUCUUUUAAUUAUACACCUUAAUUAAUUAAUAAAACCAUAAGGGUGUGAUUUGAACUUUUUCAAAACUAUACUAGAGUUUUAGAAUUUAACAUUCCUAAUUAAACUUUUAAUCAACUUUUAAAUUCCAAAACUUGAGGGCAAGUUUUGAAACAUUUCAACACAUUAGGGUUUAGAAUUUAAAUAUACAUCAAAAUUAAACCAUUUAAUCAAAAUUUAAAUUCCAAAACUUGAGGGCAAGUUUUGAAACCUUUUUCAAAACAUUAGGGUUUCAACUAUUUAAAUUUCAAAACAACAAAACUUUUGGGUUCAAAUUUAAACUAUAAAACCUAAAGGGGAAAAUAUGAAACUUUUCAUAACAACAAGGAUCAAAUAACAAAUAAUCUAAAUUAACAUUUAAUCACAUAAUUAUCCAUAUUUGAUUUAUUUAAUGAUUUCUUGCAAAACAAUUUAUCAAUUUAGUCAAAAUAAUUAAUCAAUUAUCACAUAAGGAAACAAUUAUCUUAUUAAUUGAUAAAUAUCUUCAAUUAGAUCAAAAAUAUAGUCAAAUAUAUCAUAAAAUCGGAUUUAUAUUGAUCUAAUAUGAUAAGGUAACUAUCCCAAAGCAAAAACAGCAAGAAAUCCCGAGAUAUACUCCAUCUGACGAGUUGACUCGUCGAGUCAAGCUUGGACUCGUCGAGUCUGCAUGGACUCGGCGAGUUCAGCUAUGGACUCGGCGAGUCCAGCCUCCAGAAACCAAAAAAUCGAAUUUUUCAAACAUAUCAAGCAUCAAUACAAUAGAAACCAGUCUAGGCUCUGAUACCACUGAUGGGUUUUGGUCAUAAGACAUCCUAUGUGCUCAUACAAACCCUAAAGCUCGGAUCUAGGUUUCUCUAUUGUACAUACUUUGAAUCCAAGACUUUGAACCCUAAUUCUAGCAUAUGGAAAUCAGAAUUCACAUGUAAAUAGGUUUAAGAACAUACCUUGAUUGUUAUGUAGCAAUAACAAUCCAAUUCCUCCUUGAAUUGACCUUGGAAAGCAGAGAGUCACAAGUGUCACUCCUCUAAUGGCUUACAAACACCAUAAGCAAGUGGAGAAGGUAUAAAGAGAGAGGAGGGAGGUUAGAAUUCGUCUCUAAGACUUCUUGGGAAGGGAUACACGAAUUCAUGACCUUGGGGUUGUUUAUAUAGGUGUAGAGAUAGGGUUUCAGUCAUUAUCCUUAUCUAGUUGAUUAUCCAUUAAGCAACCAAUAAGAUAAUCCUUGAAUCCUUAUCAUACUCGAAUUCUAAGGCUUUCCAACCUUAAAUUCGUCCACCAUAUUUAUAAGAUAAUCCUUACCUUAUUUUGUAACUAUCACAUAAUUACAAAUCAGCCUCUCUAGUUUAAUUAAUUACACUUGAUCACAAAAUUAAUUAUUAAUUAAUUAUUUACCAAUAUUUAUUAAGCAAAUAUGAUUUCUCCUUUAAUAUAUUAUUCUUAUAACAUAUUAAUAAAUCAUAUUAUCCUCUCUCUCUUUAUUUAUUUCUCCAAUCAAGUUGCUUUGGUGAAGGCAACCCAAAAGGACCAUGCACCAUCGGGUCAAGUACAUACCAAAAUAGUUAUGGACUUAGACACUAAUCCAACACCAUACGCACACACUCUUUCUUCCAUCAGGUCCAUCUCAUUACCAACAUCUUGGUCACCACCAAAAUUAUCCGAUUGGCUCUAACUAUCGUUGGCAGUAGUAAUCUUGUUUCCAAUAAUUCCAUUGCGAGAUAGAAUGAGCAGAGACUUUAAUUUCCUAUCAUUUGAUACAUGCCACUUUAUAUAAUAGGAGAAAAAACAACAUUCCUUUACCUAAAUUUUCAAAACAAUCUCAUUCACUUCUAUCUCUUUAUGUUACUGAUUAUUUUUCCAUGAAACGUAACUUGCAUNAUAUAUAUAUAAAAUAUAAAGGUAAAAAGGGUAUACAUAAGUGGGCUAGGAUACAAAAAACAAAGGUAAAAGGGCUAUACAUGUGUGGGCUAGGAUACAAUAGGCCACACAUAUUAAAAUGAAACUAAACUAAAUAUAAUAUAUAAUACAACAUAAAUAUACAUCUAACAUCCUCCCGCAGUCGGAAUAGGAGAUCUGGAACAGAUGCUCAGUCUAGAUUUGAAAUCAAGAAAUAAAGAAUAUGGAAGCCGUUUAGUGAAGAUAUCAACAUACUGGGACGAAGGUGGAAUGUGAAGAACACGAAUCUUACCCAUGGCCACCUUGUCACGCACAAAACGAAUAUCAAUCUCUAUAUGUUUGGUGCGUUGAUGCUGAACAGGAUUGGUGGACAUAUAGAUUGCACUUACGUUAAUACAAUAUACAAGAGUAGCGGAACGUGGUGGGUAAAGCAGUUCACGAAGUAUGUUGCAAAGCCAACAUGUCUCAAUAACAACAUUGGCAACUCCCAUGUACUAAAGCUUUAGAACUGGAUCGUGAUAUUGUACCUUGUCUUUUGGAAGACUAAGAGAGAAGGUUGUUGCCAAGGAAGACACAAUAACCAGAAGUGGAUCGUCACAAAAAGGGGGCAGUCUACCCAAUCGGUGUCAAAGUAAGCUAUGGUCAACAGUAAGAUAGCAGUCCCUAUGAGGGGGAGACAUAACGGUAAACAAGAAUAGAUUGAGGGUGAAAAUACUUUGUUGAUUGUCUACUUUACGAGGAAGCGGUACAAGACUAUAAAUAGAGGUAGGAUCCCUAGACAAAGGAAAACCUACGGCCCAUAGGCUAACUAGGCCAAAACCAAUAUAUGUAAUAUUUACAUUCUAAAAUUUACAUUCUAAUAAUAACAAUGUAAGCAAUGAUCAAGAGUGUCAUAAAUGUAUCUGAGAAUGUGCUUGAGAGCUAUAAAGUGGGGCUCUGGUGGAUCGUUCAUGUAUAGGCAAACCUGUUAGACGUUGUAAGUAAUGUCACGUCUAGUAAUGUUGGACGUCGUAAGUAAUGUCAUGUCUAGUAAAAUCAGAUACUAUAAUGAUCCAGUAAGACUCCUAUAGAGAGUAGGAUCAGUAACGGGUGGACCGGAACCAUCAAACUUAGCAGACGUGUCUGCUAGUGUGUGAGCUAGUUUGCAACUAAGCAUAUGUGAUCUCUCAAGUAUCUCACAACAUACUUUGGUUGUGAAAGGAACAUGGCAUGUCUAUCUCUAGUAACAGAGAUGCCAAGGAAAUAUUGAAAGGGCCUAGAUCGAUCAUAGCAAAUUCUGAACAUAACAAGUUAAUAACAUGCUAAAGAAGAAUUGUAUAUGAGGCAGUCAAUACAAUGUCAUCAACACAAAUCAUCGACUCGCACCCGAGUCAAAUAACACUAAGGCAGGUAUAGAAUUCACAAGAAAAGUACCUACGCAUAUCAUCAUAUAAGCACAAUAUCUCAACUCAGCAUGACAUAAAUAUGAAUACAUACCAGCCACUACAUCAGGCGCUGCGCGGACCUCCUCCGAUGUCAAUUGGAAAUCUCUCUCGCGAGCCUUAGUGCCUCGUCCUUCACUGGCCGAACCUCAGUAACCUUAGCAGCAGGUGCAAACCCCUGUGUUGAUCCCUGAUGUAACUGCGGGCACUCGACCUUCCGAUGGCCAGUCUGGUUGCAAUGAAAGCAAACCAUAAAUCCCUGGGGGCAAUCCUUGACGAUAUGCCCCUCCUUGACACAUUUGUAGCAAGCACUUGAUCGACAGACCCCAUCAUGUCCCUUGCCACACUUUCUGCGAGUGCGGCCCUUCUGGCCUCCAGAUCUCGUAUCAGCGGACUUAGCCCGCUUGGCUGUCGGCUGAUACUAUGCCGGCCGCCGAUCCAUCCUCUGAGACUCGGCCUCCUCCCUGGCCUAAGUCUCCAACUCAAUCUCCCUCUUCUAGUCAUUUGACUGGAGCUCAGCAAAUUUCCGGUAAGUCAAGUUCGACACGAACUCCCGAAUGUUUCUCCUCAAAACGCCCAAAUACCGGCUCAUCCAUGCCUUUUCAGAAGACACCUGCUCAGGGCAGAACAUCGCCCUCUCAUGGAACUUCCUGGUAACCACAGUAACAGAAUCAGUACCCUUCUUAAGGGUCAAAAACUCCUAAACCAACCAUUCCCUCUCCACCGGUUGAACAUACUCAUCUCUGAACAUCAUGGUGAACCUCUCCCAUGUCACCUCUGAAAUCUCUACAACAGUGAAGCUCGCCGUCACGAACUUCCACCAGUCCUUCGCUCCCAAGCGAAGCUGGUUCAGCACGAACCGAACCCUCAGAUGCUCCAGACAUGAACACGUGUAGAAGCAUCCCUCAAUAUUAGCAAUGCAUCUCAUCACAGCGAUCGGGUCCUGCGUCCCAUCAAACUCGGGUGGCUUCGUGUUGCUGAACUCCCGAAACAACAACGAGUCACCUCCCUGNNNNNNNNNNNNNNNNNNNNNNNNNNNNNNNNNCAGCGACAGCUGCGGUGGUUAUAGCAGCAGCAGCUUCAGUCACCGCGGUGUACCGCUCAUCGAAAGUCUCAAUCAGUGUGGUCUUGAUAGACCCAAACAUCUCCGAAAUCUCAACUCGGAUCGCUGCUGCCACCACAUCGUGGAUCAGCUGAUGAAGCUCCUCGUCACUCACACCGUUCGCCCCAGGUCUGUGGUGUGUUCCAACCAUGAUGUCUCUAAAAUACAACAUAAUAAUAUCAGAGACUCGCUCGAGCAUACUUGCACUCGAUAACUCGACCCUACGUGUUCCUUAGUACCCAAAGGAUUCUUACUUAGAGUGCGCACUGCUCCGAUGUCUUCAGUAGUAUGGGCCCUUAUACUACCAUCUACACCGCAUCAUUAUUCACCCUAAGUCCUCCUCCUUGGAUCCCAGAUCACAAGUACUCUAUAUCUCACUGGCAUAGGCUACCCUUCGGUAAACCUCUUAUCAACUCCUCACUAUUACCUACUCGCUCUCAAGCAUCACACAGCAGCAAAAUCCUUCCUAGGCUAAGGCAUCACAAAAUCAGGGCACUCUAGUCCUAAUAUAAAUACCUAGCCAAUUCUAGCAUGCAUAUCAUAUCAUAACAUUUCUCAUAACACAUAAUGUAAGGGUAUUUUGGGAAAUCACCGUUCAGGCGCUGGCUGAUCGUACACACUGCUUCCUUCUGCUUUUCUCAAAAUCUUUUACUCCCUUAGAAAAAUUGUUUAUUUUGUGAAAAACUUUCUCAAUUCCUCAUUUUGAGUUCAUAUUCAUCCGAAGAUGCACCCGAAUCCCUCAAACCAAGGCUCUGAUACCAACUUGUAACGUCGUAAAUUCUCAAAACAAUUUUUUCAUUAUUAAAACAUACUUUCAAUCAUCAAAAACAAUAUCAAAACAUAAUGUAUCCAAUGUUAUCAUAACAAAACAAUUCCCAGAAUCUCAAAAAUAAUCUCUAUGAGUGUGUACGGAUCAUGCCGACGCCUUCCCGCAUUCCUCGCUAGUACCUGAAACACAUACCAUAACAACUGUAAGCAUAAAUACCUAGUGAGUUCCCCAAAAUACCACAUACCAUACAUACGCCUGUCCAGGCCAUAACUCUAUAGGAUCUUCUGAUCCAUGUGUCUUAGGGGACUUCCAUCCCAAAUCCCGGUAGACCUUCCAGUCCGUACACUCUUGACCUUCCGGUCCGUAUCAUCUUGACCUUCCGUUCCUUACCAUAUGUAACAUACAUAGCACAUACAUAAAUAUCAUCUUGACCUUCCGGUCCUUAUCAUACAUAACAUAUAUAGCACAUACAUAUCACAUAACCGCAUAUAUCACAUACAUCAUAGCAUUCAAGACCUUCCGGUCACACAUAGGUACCCUUCUAGGUACAGUAUAGUGAGAAGACUCACCUCAAUGAAGUCGGAUAAACUCUCGUGCUCAACGUCCCGACUUAGCCUCCUCCUAUUUUUCAAAUAACAUUCCCGAUCAAUACACUCUCAUGAUCUCUUCUCUACAGACUGGGUAGAAGGCCAUUCUACCCUUCCUUGAACUCUCCUGAAUUAGUCUUGACCAGAAUCCUAAAGUCAACGAAAUUCGACGGUCAACUUUGACCUGACUCGUCGAGUGCACAUGGGCGACUCGGCGAGUCCAUGCGGGUCCUCUGAAUCCUUUCAGCCUCGCAUGGCUCGNCGAGUCAUCCUUCCACUCGACGAGUUACACCUGUCACGAAUCACGGGUCAACCCCGACUCGACUCGUCGAGUCCACUUAUGGAUUCGGCGAGUUGCUCCCAUAACAACUCUCAAAUUACCUUCUGAGGUCAGAUCUGCUUUACCAAACUAUAGAUCUGGCCUUCCAGUGCUUAAAGGUCACGUAAAGGUGCAACCUUUACGUGCUCGCAACCCAUAACAAGCCAUAAAUGGAGAAAUAACUCUAAAAAUGGCAACCUAGUCUCUAAUCCUCUAAGAACAAGCAUAAAGCAUAAUGGGAAAGGUUCUCUGGACCUCUAUGGGUCCAGAUCUGAGGUCUAACCCAGCAAAGGACCAUAUACUGAACCUUUCAAGCCUUAAAAGGUUUGUAGAAAACCCUAGAUCAUAGAUUUUAACCCAAAACAAAAGGGAAGUUCGAUUUGAUACCUCAAUAGUGUAGAUCUAAACUAGACAACCUUAGAUCUGCAGCCCCCUUGACCUCCUCUUGAUGGAACCACCUUUCUUUUGCUAAAACACUCAAGAAAUGGUGAGUUAGCCUCCCUCAAGCACCACAAACACACACACUCUCUCUCUCUAGGGUUCUCAAGGGUGAAAUGGACGCAAGCCCGCUAUGGAGGCUAUAAAGGCCUUUAAAUAAGCCGCAAGCCCUGAGAAUUAGGGUUUUCUCUUAAUAGCGCGUACUCGCCGAGUCCAUCCAUCGAAUCGCCGAGUCCUUCAUUAAAUCAGACCAGAAAUGUGUGAUCCCACUCGGCGAGUCUAAGCGCCUACUCACCGAGUUCCUCUCUAAAUUUCAAUAUGAAUACUCAAAAUACGAUACCUGGAAAUCCGGAUGUUACAAGCGUGGUCAAACAUUACUCGAAAUGGGAAGAUUUCACGAGAAACAACAAAGUGGACCGAAACCACCUUCGGUCCGGAUUCACUUUCGGCCUAAGACCCCUUUCGGCCCAGGCUACUACGUUUUGAGCCUACUUUCGGUUGUGAACCUAAUUUCAGUCCAAGGCCAUGUUUGGUUUAUUCCCCUAUGGCACAAACUGCUCUCGGUUAUGACUACCUUCGGGUCCUUACUACUCAUAGUUCAAUCCAGUUUCAGUCAAAGUCUCAUGAACUAAGACCCCACACCACAUUUCCCCUCCACCUCACAAUUCAAAAACCAAGGUAGAAAACCCAAAAAGUGACCCUCUUGGUCCGGAGCCCUCUGAGUCCGGAACGUGACCCUCAAAAUGAACCGGACAAUUCCGUAUACACCCUCCUUCUUUUGGAACCUCCUCAUCCGGAACCAACUCGCCUCGAAAGGAUCCGUACCAGAUGAGCUUCACGGUCUUGGAAGACCAAGGCCACUACGGAAGUUUAUAAUCCCGCACCUCCACUCCGGAACCAUGGAUGAACUCCGGACGGACGUUCCUGACUCCGGAAGGACGUUCCUAACUCCGUACACUCUAUCUCAUUUACCAACUUUGUAGAGAAGAACCCGUUCUUAUAAUAUCUAGGACUCAUUAUUAAAUCAUGGUCUGGGGAAAUCCUUAUUAUAAGAAAUAUCUAUUAUACAAGAUACUCUCUAAGAAUUGGUUGACUUUUUCCAAAAAGUUAUGACACCAACCCACUCCCCAUACACACUUUAUGACAACUUUAUGGCACUAUUCUCAUAGUACCUACUCAAAUCGAUAUCUUUUCUCCAACACUCCACCAGAUUUUCCUAUUCUAAAUCCACUAAUUGGAUUCUCAACCUCCAUCUAUAAAACCUCAAUUCCAUCUUUCAAAGACAAGCUUUACUUCCUCUUUCACUAUUCUUCAAUCUGGAACACGAGAAUUCCCUAGGAAGCAUCUGCCCUCAUUUCACCCUUGGUAAGCUCUUUACCUUCACUCUUUAAUAUUGCACAAUCCCUCACACAUAUUAUGGUUUUCUUAUGCAAUAUCGUCAUAAUUACUCUUAGGAUCUCCAAAUCCUUAAGCUUUCUCCAAGUGUUCUCGACUUGGAAACCUUUUUCCUUCGACAUCCAUUUCUAGGAAUCACUCAAGGUGAAUUCAUACCCCUGCAUUUUCAUUUUUUCUUCAAGUGUUAGGGGGGGGAUACAAGUUAUAACAUCAAAAACUUAACUAAACUCAAACAUUAGCUUUCCAUAGGAAAGUUGUAACAUCCCGAAAUAUCAAGAGUAGAGUUGAAGGGCUAAAAGAGUAAGUUGUGGAAGAGUGACUCGGCGAGUCCAUGGAUGGACUCGGCGAGUAGAGUCGCGACUGGGUCGCGUGUUAAGUAGCCGACUCGGCAAGUCAGUAAGGAGGACUCGGCGAGUAGGCGUUGGCUAGAGAAAACCCUAAUUCUCGGGGUUGAGCCCUAUAUAAAGAACAUAACAGCCCACUCUCAGCCUCUUUGUUCAUCUCCAAGUCCUAAAACCCUUAGCCUUCGUGUGUGAGUGAUCCUAUCUCAAUCGGGAGCUUGAAGGAGAUGAUUAUUGAAGGAAUUUUGGGAGAUUGAAGGCUUGGAGCAAGGGGCUUUGCUUGGAUUUGAAUUUCAUUUCAGUUAGGGCGUCCAUUGGAGGUAAUAUCUUGUUCUUGGUCUGAUUGUAUGUUGUUUAUUCAUUUUGGGGUUGUGGGAACUUGUCUAUGGAUGUAAUUGGAAGUCUAGAGGUUAGAUCUGAGGUUGCUACCUCAGAUCUGGAAUGGAGAAGAAUCAGAGAGCAUGAAAGUCCCUGUGUUGGAGUGUUUAGUGAAGCUUACAUGUCCCAAACCCUAAACCAAUGUGCAAAAGGCCUAGAUCUCUUUGGAUUCACGUAAAGUCUGCCACUUUACGUGAUGGAUGAGUUGUAGGAGGCUAGAUCUAUGUUUUGGAUCAAUUGCAUGGUCUGGAAUGCUUCUGUAUGGAUUCAGAUCGGUGGUACUCGGCGAGUCACAUGGGUGAACUCGACGAGUUGUUUGAAGAUGAGCUGGGACUCGGCGAGUUGGAAGAACAACUCGGCGAGUCGGAUGAAGAUGGCCUUGGACUCGGCGAGUUGUAUGAACAACUCGGCGAGUAGGUUGAAGAUAGCCAUAGACUCGGCGAGUCUGUUCUUGGACUCGGCGAGUCUUGUCGAAGAGUUCCGAUAUUCUCUGGUUGAGUCGAGAAUCGGUGAGUCAAGGGAUGACUCGGUGAGUUGUGUGCGAGAGGACUCAGAAGUUGUGGGACUCGGCGAGUCUCGGGGUGACUCGGCGAGUUAGGUCGCGGAUUGAGUGANNNNNNNNNNNNNNNNNNNNNNNNNNNNNNNNNNNNNNNNNNNNNNNNNNNNNNNNNNNNNNNNNNNNNNNNNNNNNNNNNNNNNNNNNNNNNNNNNNNNNNNNNNNNNNNNNNNNNNNNNNNNNNNNNNNNNNNNNNNNNNNNNNNNNNNNNNNNNNNNNNNNNNNNNNNNNNNNNNNNNNNNNNNNNNNNNNNNNNNNNNNNNNNNNNNNNNNNNNNNNNNNNNNNNNNNNNNNNNNNNNNNNNNNNNNNNNNNNNNNNNNNNNNNNNNNNNNNNNNNNNNNNNNNNNNNNNNNNNNNNNNNNNNNNNNNNNNNNNNNNNNNNNNNNNNNNNNNNNNNNNNNNNNNNNNNNNNNNNNNNNNNNNNNNNNNNNNNNNNNNNNNNNNNNNNNNNNNNNNNNNNNNNNNNNNNNNNNNNNNNNNNNNNNNNNNNNNNNNNNNNNNNNNNNNNNNNNNNNNNNNNNNNNNNNNNNNNNNNNNNNNNNNNNNNNNNNNNNNNNNNNNNNNNNNNNNNNNNNNNNNNNNNNNNNNNNNNNNNNNNNNNNNNNNNNNNNNNNNNNNNNNNNNNNNNNNNNNNNNNNNNNNNNNNNNNNNNNNNNNNNNNNNNNNNNNNNNNNNNNNNNNNNNNNNNNNNNNNNNNNNNNNNNNNNNNNNNNNNNNNNNNNNNNNNNNNNNNNNNNNNNNNNNNNNNNNNNNNNNNNNNNNNNNNNNNNNNNNNNNNNNNNNNNNNNNNNNNNNNNNNNNNNNNNNNNNNNNNNNNNNNNNNNNNNNNNNNNNNNNNNNNNNNNNNNNNNNNNNNNNNNNNNNNNNNNNNNNNNNNNNNNNNNNNNNNNNNNNNNNNNNNNNNNNNNNNNNNNNNNNNNNNNNNNNNNNNNNNNNNNNNNNNNNNNNNNNNNNNNNNNNNNNNNNNNNNNNNNNNNNNNNNNNNNNNNNNNNNNNNNNNNNNNNNNNNNNNNNNNNNNNNNNNNNNNNNNNNNNNNNNNNNNNNNNNNNNNNNNNNNNNNNNNNNNNNNNNNNNNNNNNNNNNNNNNNNNNNNNNNNNNNNNNNNNNNNNNNNNNNNNNNNNNNNNNNNNNNNNNNNNNNNNNNNNNNNNNNNNNNNNNNNNNNNNNNNNNNNNNNNNNNNNNNNNNNNNNNNNNNNNNNNNNNNNNNNNNNNNNNNNNNNNNNNNNNNNNNNNNNNNNNNNNNNNNNNNNNNNNNNNNNNNNNNNNNNNNNNNNNNNNNNNNNNNNNNNNNNNNNNNNNNNNNNNNNNNNNNNNNNNNNNNNNNNNNNNNNNNNNNNNNNNNNNNNNNNNNNNNNNNNNNNNNNNNNNNNNNNNNNNNNNNNNNNNNNNNNNNNNNNNNNNNNNNNNNNNNNNNNNNNNNNNNNNNNNNNNNNNNNNNNNNNNNNNNNNNNNNNNNNNNNNNNNNNNNNNNNNNNNNNNNNNNNNNNNNNNNNNNNNNNNNNNNNNNNNNNNNNNNNNNNNNNNNNNNNNNNNNNNNNNNNNNNNNNNNNNNNNNNNNNNNNNNNNNNNNNNNNNNNNNNNNNNNNNNNNNNNNNNNNNNNNNNNNNNNNNNNNNNNNNNNNNNNNNNNNNNNNNNNNNNNNNNNNNNNNNNNNNNNNNNNNNNNNNNNNNNNNNNNNNNNNNNNNNNNNNNNNNNNNNNNNNNNNNNNNNNNNNNNNNNNNNNNNNNNNNNNNNNNNNNNNNNNNNNNNNNNNNNNNNNNNNNNNNNNNNNNNNNNNNNNNNNNNNNNNNNNNNNNNNNNNNNNNNNNNNNNNNNNNNNNNNNNNNNNNNNNNNNNNNNNNNNNNNNNNNNNNNNNNNNNNNNNNNNNNNNNNNNNNNNNNNNNNNNNNNNNNNNNNNNNNNNNNNNNNNNNNNNNNNNNNNNNNNNNNNNNNNNNNNNNNNNNNNNNNNNNNNNNNNNNNNNNNNNNNNNNNNNNNNNNNNNNNNNNNNNNNNNNNNNNNNNNNNNNNNNNNNNNNNNNNNNNNNNNNNNNNNNNNNNNNNNNNNNNNNNNNNNNNNNNNNNNNNNNNNNNNNNNNNNNNNNNNNNNNNNNNNNNNNNNNNNNNNNNNNNNNNNNNNNNNNNNNNNNNNNNNNNNNNNNNNNNNNNNNNNNNNNNNNNNNNNNNCGGCUGCCGCGGCGGCUACAGUGGCUGUAGCAACGGCAAGGGGAGGAGCUGAUAGAGAUUUUCAGUAUCGGGACUUCGAUAAUGCGGAGCCUCCCGCCUUCGAUGGAUUUCAGGACCCGAUUGUUGCUAUGAGAUGGUUAUCGGACGGGGAGGGGUGUUUCUUCACGUGUUCAUGCCCUGCUGAUCUGAGGGUGAGGUAUGCUCUGAGCCUGUUGAGACUCGGGGUGAAGGAUUGGUGGAGAUUGACCACGGGGUCAUACUCGGAUGCGCAGAGGGCUGCGGUUUCAUGGGAUCAGUUCAGAGAGAUGUUCAGCACUCGAUAUGUUCCGCAAGUUGCGAGGGAGAGAUUGUCUUAGGAGUUCCUUGAGUUGAAGCAGGAUUCGGAGUCGGUGACUGAGAUCGCCAGGAUGUUCUUUGUGAGGGAGAUGUUUUGCCCUGAGUUCGCUUCGGAGCAGGCUCAGAUGUCCCGAUAUCUGAGUAUGUUCAGGGGGGAUAUCAGACAGUUCAUGUCUGCGCAGAGGUGUGAAACUUUGUUGGAGUUGUAGGAGGCCGCCAGGCGGCGUGAGUUAGAGGUUGAGUUGCAGUUGCGUGAGCUGAGGCAGGCUCCGAUGUAGUCGCAGCCGGUGCUGAAACGGUCCAGGACCGUUGAUGUUAGAAUGGGGAAUCUGAGUGGCCACACUUGUGGGAAGUGUGGGAGGGGUCAUACCAGAGUUUGUUGGUCCGGUGGUGCAUGCCGCAAGUGCGGAAAGGAGGAGCACUAUGCGCGGGUUUGUCGGCAGUCAGUGCCGGUUCGGGAUUUGAGGAUUUGUUAUCAUUGUUGUCAGGUUGGACAUUUGAGGGUCAACUGUCCACAGCUUUCUGCAGGACCGGUGCAGGCUCCAGCACCGACCACUUUGAGGAUUCCAGGAGGAGGUCAAGAUGGAGCGGAGCCCCCAAGGGCUCAGGGUCGUGCUUAUCAGCUUGCGGCNGAUCAGUGCCGGAGGCAGCUGCGGGUAUGUUUCUUUCUUGAUGUUUUGUUAUCUUGCGAUUAUGGUGGUGUAUUGUUUGUGCUCGUAUCUUUGUGUGGAUUUCGAUGCGGUAUUUGUCGUUUUGCGGGUUGAGGUUUGGCAUGGUUAUGGAUUUAUGUUUCGGGUUUUCGUCUUAGUAUCCGUUGUCCCUUGAGGGUUUGGCAUGGUUAUGGAUUUGUGUUUCGGGUUGGUAUCCGUUGUUCCCUGAGGGUUUGGUAUGAUUAUAGUUUGGUGUUUGUGCUAUCGUUGGUUAUCGUUCAUGAGGGUUAUUAGUGGAGAUGCGGCAUUGGGUUGAAUGUCGGGUAGCAUCCACAUUCGUGGAAGGGAUAAUUGGAGAUCGGAUUCUUUUGAGCGGAUUGAUCAGUGAGGAGAUGUGUUUUGCUGAGGGUUGCUUAUGCUUGUGGGAAGCAAUCAGUGUNGGGGUUGUUCUGGAAGGUCGUUAAUGGCGACCGGUGGUUGUUAGUCAGUGCUUUAAGUGGGGGAGAAUUGGAGAAUUCUCCGGGAGAUCGAUGAGUAUUUGAGGGUGCUUAGCUGUUGGGAUUCAGCAGUGUUCUGUCAGCCCAGAGUAUAGGCUGAUAGGAGCGAGUGUCGGGCAUGCGGGGCGAGAUACAGACCUAGAGCAUUUGAUUGUGGAGGCCUGGGAGCAGGCCGGGAUCAAGUUUGAGUAGGCAACCGGGGUUAUGUGAUCAGAGUAUUUGUAUGCUUUAUGUAUGUUAUGUGUUGUAUUGCAUUAUUUCUAUGUGAUUUAUGCUGUGCAUGUUUUCAGAGUUGGAACUGGAGGGUUCCUGGAGUUAGAACCGGAAGGUUCACAGAGUUAGAACUUGAGGGUUCAUAGAGUUUGGGUGUACGGACCCACAGAGUUAUAGCCUCGAGUGGCUAAUAUGUGUUAUGUGAGUCGGUCCAGUCAUGCUGGAGACUCUGUUGGUAUUGUUGGAUCAGUUUGAGAUUGCGGAUUGUGUAUGUUGCAGUGUGAUUGCAUUGGAAGGUCUGGCCCCGGGUAGUGAUCUUGUUUAGUUGAGGUAGUGCAUGGGCUUGAGAGUCCCUGCGAGGAGAGUCAGAGUAAGUGUGUAGGAUGGAUAGCGGAGACGCUAAAGGGUGGUGUAGCGUUAGACGUGCACCGUGGCAUUUUCCGGAGUGACAUUGUGGCCAAGUGGAUUCCUUGGUAAAGGAAGAGAGAGAGGUAGGAGGUGUGUAACUCCGAGAGGGAGUGCAAGUUCACGGAAGUGAAAGCGGCAGAGCAGAGUUAUGAUUAGAGUAAUUCGAGUUUGGUUACUGAGCAACGUGUUUGCGGCAGUGGAGUAGAAGCUCAUCCGGUUUGGAAUGUCUGCUGAGGUCGCGGAGGGAAAUCCGCAAGUGUAGAGCCAAGAGGCUCGGAAGGGAUGCAGAGAGAGAGAGAGAGAGUCUUAGACUCUCAGUGUGAUUCUGAUCAGGGUAUGGGGUGUAUAUUAGUGGUUCAUCCUGUGGGGAUGUUUGAGGAUAUUAUCAGUGUAUCAGGUUUUCCCAACCUGAGGGUGUUAGAGCUGGUUCAGCUUGUGUGUGUGGUUGCAAGGGGAGAACUCAUGAGAGUUGCUUUGAGAUUAAGAAUGGGUCUCUCAGUCGUCCCGGAAUGGAUAGAGUGGGAUUCGGAUCGGGGAUCCGAUGGUUCAUGGUUUUCUAACCCUUAUGGGUCGAGCGAUUAUUGAGAUUUGGGGCAGUGAUGCAUCUUGGGUAAUUCUCGGUUGUUGAGAGUGAUGAUCAGGGGGUAGAGUCGGUGCCCGGUUCGAGACGAUGGUCAGGACACCAUGAAGGAAGGGAAACUGUGCGAGUUUAGAUAAGUAUGCCUUGAGGGAUCUGGUCUGGUUAAGGCUAGGUGGAGCGUUGUGGGAGUAUCCUUGGAGUUGAGUUGCUGUAGGCGUCGAGGGCGAAGCCUAAUUUAAGUGGGGGAGAAUUGUAACAUCCCAAAAUAUCAAGAGUAGAGUUGAAGGGCUAAAAGAGUAAGUUAUGGAAGAGUGACUCGGCGNGGACUCGGCGAGUACAGUCGCGAAUUUGGUCGCGUGUUAAGAAGCCGACUCGGCGAGUCGAUGAGAUGGACUCGGCGAGUAGGCGCUGGGUGGAGAAAACCCUAAUUCCCGGGGUUAAGCCCUAUAUAAAGAACAUAACAGCCCACUCUCAGCCUCUUUAUUCAUCUCCAAGUCCUGAAACCCUUAGCCUUCGUGUGUGAGUGAUCCUAUCUCAAUCGGGAGCUUGAAGGAGAUGAUUAUUGAAGGAAUUUUGGGAGAUUGAAGGCUUGGAGCAAGGGGCUUUGCUUGGAUUCAAAUUUCAUUUCAGUUGGGGCGUCCAUUGGAGGUAAUAUCUCGUUCUUGGUCUGAUUGUAUGUUGUUUAUUCAUUUUGGGGUUGUGGGAACUUGUCUAUGGAUGUAAUUGGAAGUCUAGAGGUUAGAUCUGAGGUUGCUACCUCAGAUCUGGAAUGGAGAAGAAUCAGAGAGCAUGAAAGUCCCUGUGUUGGAGUGUUUAGUGAAGCUUACAUGUCCCAAACCCUAAACCAAUGUGCAANNNNNNNNNNNNNNNNNNNAAUGCUUCUGAAAGGAUUCAGAUCGGUGGUACUCGGCGAGUCACAUGGGUGAACUCGACGAGUUGCUUGAAGAUGAGCUGGGACUCGACGAGUUGGAAGAACAACUCGGCGAGUCGGAUGAAGAUGGCCUUGGACUCGGCGAGUUGUAUGAACAACUCGGCGAGUAGGUUGAAGAUAGCCAUAAACUCGGCGAGUCUGUUCUUGGACUCGGCGAGUCUUGUCGAAGAGUUCCGAUAUUCUCUGGUUGAGUCGAGAAUCGGUGAGUCAAGGGAUGACUCGGUGAGUUGUGUGCGAGAGGACUCAGAAGUUGUGGGACUCGGCGAGUCUCGGGGUGACUCGGCGAGUUAGGUCGCGGAUUGAGUGAGCUCUGAGUAUGGGAACUCGGCGAGUCAUCGGGUUGACUCGGCGAGUAGGGUCAGUCAGGGGUUGACUUUGACGUUGUCUUUGACCAAGGGUUAACCAGUGGUUUCCAGGGGUAUUUUGGUAAUUGUUGUUUAUGGUUUUGAGUUCAGUGCAUUGGUGGCUGUCCAGUGGUGGAGAUCGUAUCAGUGAUCGGAGCAGCUUGAGUUACCUGUUCUGUAGGCAGUUUCAAGGUGAGUUAUCCUCACUAUAUCGAUAGGGUUUAUGGCACCAAGGCCAACCCUUUUUAUCGGAUGGAAAUCCGGAUAGUUGUCAGUUAUUAUGUUAUGGGCCGGAAGGCGUUAUAUGUUGUGGGCCGGAAGGCAUUUGCGAUGUGGACCGGAAGGUCAUGGCCUGGAAAGGCGUAUGUGUGCAUUUAGUAUGUUGUCUGAUUUGUAGGGUGAUGUUAUGCUAGUGACCGGCUAGGCUGGUAUCUUGGUUAGGGUAAUGCUAUGUUAUGUGAUCUGUUGAUCGAUUGCUGACUGUGAGUCGUUAUAUGAUUAUGUGUUAUGUGCAUGAUUGCUAGGUCUGGGGUGUGACCCGGUAUGCGGGUUCGUUCUAUGUUUUGUUAUGAUAUGUAUACUUUUUAUGUUAUGGGCCGGAAGGCAACAUGUUAUGGGGCGGAAGGCAUUGCGUUAUGGCUGGAAGGUGAUAUGUUUUGGACCGGAAGGUCGUGGCUUGGAAGGGCGUAUAUGUGUUUGGUAUAUUGGGGGUAUCUCACUAAGCUUCUGGGCAUACAGUUGUGGUUUUAUGUUUUCAGGUUCUCAGGAGUCUGUGGCAAGGCAAAGGCGUGAUCGUAUCGUUCCUCGCGUUGGUGUUUUAUGAUAUGAACCUGGGAAAAUACUCUGUAAAAUAAUGUAUUGAAAACCUUUUGUAAAGAUUUUAUGGAAUCGAGAUGUUUUUGAAAAAUUUAAAAUUGGUUGUAUUUUUCGGUCGUUACAAAAGUUUAGUUCCAUUCACGGAUUGUUUUGAACAUCUUAAACUUUUUAUUUUUCAAAACUUUACAAGGUGAAAAUAGUUCAGGUUUACACCUUUCUAAUGAGUACUUGCACAAGUUCAUACGAUUUUUCUACAAAUUAUGACGAAUUUUACAAAACUGCCUAUCAUUUCAGCAAACAGUUUUGGACCAGUCUGUUAAGUUGCACAUUUUCACACAAGUUAAAGGUCACUAAAAAUCAUUAUAAAAAUUAUGAAAAAACUAGACACAAUUUCUAAACUCUCAGAAUUUACGGAUUCUGAUUUCAACUUUCAAUGAUUUUUCUAUAGUUUUUCUAGGAACAGAUUAGAAAAGCUAAAACUAGAAAAUAGUAAACAAGUUCAUUUACACUUUGUAACCUAUUGAGCAAAGUGUGUAUUAUUGUAUAAAUACACACUUUGCUCAAACAUCAUCUUUCCACAAUAAAGUUUAGUUCUAUUCACGGACUGUUUUGAACAUCUUAAACUUUUUAGUUUUCAAAACUUUACAAGCUGAAAAUAGUUCAGGUUUACACCUUUCUAAUGACUAAUUGCACAAGUUCAUACGAUUUUUCUACAAAUUAUGACGAAUUUUACAAAACUGCCUAUCAUUUCAGCAACAGUUUCAGACUAGUCUGUGAAGUUGCACAUUUUCACACAAGUUAAAGGUCACUAAAAAUCAUAAUAAAAAUUAUGAACAAACUAGACACAAUUUCUAAACUCUCAGAAUUUACGGAUUCUGCUUUCAACUUUCAAUGAUUUUUCUAUAAUUUUUCUAGGAACAGAUUAAAAAAGCUAAAACUAGAAAAAUAGUUAACAUGUUCAUUUACACUUUGUAACAUGUUGAGCAAAGUGUGUAUUAUUGUAUAAAUACAUGUUGUUUGUAUUUCAUGUCUUAUACCUUCGUAAGAAGGUGUGCAUCAUAUACAAAGGAUUUUUAUCACUGCAAACUCACUAUAAAAAGUUCCGUUUACAUUAUAAAAAGGAUUUUCAUUAACACUACACGUAAACUCGUUAUCAUAAAUUGUGAGACAUAACUUCAUUGUACUCUUAGAGUGAUGGUAAAUUUCAUGUAGUUAUAGCCAGAGUCUCUUGUAGGGAGAGCGUGAUAGUUGUGUAUAGAUCUAUAUUGGGAUUGACAACUCACACCUUAGUUGCAUGUAACAGCCUGACCGGCCAGUCAGGGGUGACAAAUUUCAUAACAUUCCGACGCCUGAAGAAUGUCGUAGCAGGUCAUCUAUGUCAUAACAUGGUUAUAACGACUCGCACAGGGAGAUAACGAAACAUAUACUUUACGGGGAUUCUUCAUCUAAAAAGGGUUUUAUGUUGAUUUAAAACCACAUUUACUACUAUAAGUAUGGAAAUUUACUUGUACAUUUCGGUCUUUGGGUAUUAAGACUACAACUCAUUUCAUAAGGAAAAUAUUGGAUUUUUCUUGAAACAUAUACAUUCAUUUACACAGAAAGGUUUGCAAUCCUACAUGCAAAAAGCUUAUGCACUCACCAACUUAAUUGUUGACAUUCUUUCAAAAUUACUUGUAUUCUCAGGAAAUCAAUGAAAUCAGGUAACUACAAGCUUUUGUGGAAGGAACGCUUCGACGUUUGACAAACUAUUUUGAUAUUAUGUUGUAAUCGAUUUUGAAACACGUAGCAUUUGAAAACACGUAACCCUUUUGAUAAUAUUUAUGAUUGGUUGCAUUUAAUGUGAUCACAAUUAUACUCAUUUGUCAUGAUACUAUGAAUGAAGUCCUCCACCCCCAGACGUUUCCACCAUUCGAGGUUUGGGGGUGUGAAAUAAGGAAUCUGACGAUAUCAGGCUCAAGGAGCCUGUUUGAGGCCAUACAGGGAUCUCUGCAACAAGUUGACAUGAGUUGGGAGGUUCGGAUCAUCGAAACUUGGAGGCUAAUGCAUAUACAUUGUUUCCUAAAAAUGAAUGUGAAGAAAUGAAUUGUUCACACCAAGCUGAUGAACAUGCCAGUGGUGGGAUAGAGCCAAACUAAGGAUCAUCCGAAUGGUAUCCAGUUUGACGAUCGGGUUAAAGGUCUCAUCAGAAUCAAUGUCUAGCCUUUGACUGUGACCAUUGGCAACAAGUCUUGCUUCAUACCGGAAUAGAGAUCUAUCUACAUUAUGUUGCUUUUGAAUAAAAAAAAUACAAUUAACCAUGAUGGCACUAGGAGGCCAAGGCACAAGCACCUAAUUUCUGUUAGAAAUAAGUGCAUCCUAUUCUUCUUUCAUAGCGUUUAGCUAGUUAUUAUCUCAAAAAGCUUUGAAAUAAUUGUGAGGGAUAUGAUAGGAGGAGGAUUCAAUGUGAAGAUUGAGUUUUUGAAUGAGGUUGGAGAUGUCAUCAUGAGACUGAGUGACCAUUGGGUAAGACUGAGGAGGGACGGUAAAAAGAGGAUGGGAUGGAGGGUGGUGGCCAUGAUUAUUACUGUUACAGAGUGGUAUAAUAAACUUUUAAAGGAAUAUGGGGGUGAGUUUUGUGUUUGAUGAUGGAGAUAACUAGGAUGAAGAAGAAGAAGAUGCGUUAGGUUAUUACAAAUCAUGGAAUCGCAUAAUUGGUGGAGAUCUCUCUCUUUUUCAAAAAACAACAUGACAAUACAUCAUAUACAACUGGCGGGUUUUUCAGCCCCUUAUGUUACAAUGUAUCCAUAUCAUCCUAAAUUUGUUCCAAACGGCCCUAACUAUCAAGGUAGAUGUCAUUUUUAUUAUUGUUAUGUUUUUGUAUAAAAUGUCCUGAGUCACCUUACCCAUGACCUAACUUCUUUAAAUAGAUGGAUAAUGACCCCAUUAAAUUUUAAUACAUGGAUCAUAACCUAAUUCUUUUAAAUAAAUGGAUCAUAUGACCUAAGUCCGCCCAUUAAUUAUUGAUUUUAUUAACCUCAAAAUAUGUUAUUCCCUUUGAGGUUUACCUACACCAGACGAGCUAAGUCUCAAGUGUUUGACUGGUAGGGUUGACGUUUACUUGUAUUACAAUAAGUCUGAGUUGGGAAGCAUAAUUUGGUCUUUUCCUUAAGUCAGUUAGUAUAGUGUUAGCAUUGGAGGAGGAAAUUUCUUGUUCAGUUGAACCUAGUUCAUUGCGAGAGACCUGCCCUCUCAAAAGGCAGAUGUCAUAAUUGUAAUCCUUCUUUCUAGUACAUUAAUCAUUUAGUAAAGAGUAAUCAGUUCAAUCUUACAGAUCUAGAUUACUCCAAAAUGGUCUAGGAUGUAACAAAAUAAAAAUAGUUAUAACCUUGCAAUAGAUGCUUGAAAAUGGCAACAUCUAAAUGUAGUUGGGGCAUGAAAUUUGUCUAAUGUUGUUUUAACUAUUUACAUGCAAACCUCAAAUCUUUACUUAAGAGGAGCAUGUCAAGCAACUGUACAGUUAGGGCUCUAAAUUCAGAGUUAAGGCAUGCUUUCUUCAAAAGUAUAUGCAUAGCUCCUCCACAUGUUGACUUUUUUUUUUCUUAACUACAAAUCUAGCCACUUUUUUUCAUAAUUUAAUAAAAGCUUUGUUUUCUAUUUAUCAUUAUUUGUAUACACAUUGCAAGAAAAGCUUAUAACUCCAGUGGGUGCAAUCUUUGGGAUAAAGUAUUUACAUAUAAAAACAUUUUACACAUUAAUUUGAACCAAUCAUUAUAAAGUUAGAAAAAUCAUAUUACUAUAUAAAUUAAUAAAUGUUUGAAAAUCAUUAAUUAGUGAUUAUAACUACAAAGUAUUAAUAUUAUUUUAAUUUACUAACUGCGGUUACUACGAGUUAGUUUAUAAAGAAGCAAACCACUUAAAUAUACCUUUUUCACUAUUCAAAUACUAGAAAUCACUUGACCAUCUUCUUAACAAACCAUUAUUAUAACCACAAAAAAGAAGAAAUAUGAACAACAAGGUCUAAGAUGAGAGAGAGUCGAUACUCAUAAUUUUCUCAAGCCAACCCCACUUCUUAAAAUUUGGACAAUUUUACGCAUACAACUAGUCUAGGAAUGACAUUUAUUAUUAAAAAAUUGAAAUGAAAUGAGAAUGAAAUUUAAAGAGUAAAAUGGAAUAAAAUGUGUGGUUUUCAAUUGGUACGAAGAGAGUAUUUAUAAUGAUAUAAAGGAGAAAAAAAAGGAAAAAAAAUGAAAAUGUAACUGUUAGAACGCGUUCCACAAACCUUUAACCUUCUUCUAACGGUAACCAAUGCGCUCAAAUCCAUCUCCUCGGCGGUACCGCCCGUCACCCGUCGGAGCCUACUUCUGAGACCCUCCACUCUAAUAAAUAUCAUUAUUAUCUUCCAAUUUUAAGUAUCAUGAUAAGUUCUGUGUUGACUUUGGGUUGACAUAAUGAAUAUCAAUUAUUUUCUCUAAAAUUCUCCUUGCUAAUCAUUAUUUUGUUGAAAUGUACCUUUUCCUUAUGAGCAUAAUUACUUUAUUAAAUUUAGCUUGCCUUGAUAAAUAUCUUUUAUUUUCGUGAAGUUUACAUUGUCUUAAUAAAUAUCAUUACCACUUUAAUAAUUAUCAUUUCUAAUUCCACAAUAAAUAUCAUUAAAUAGUUUUCUUUAAUAAUUAUUAGACAACAUUACAAAAAUGGUCCCUGUGGUUUGCCGAAAAUCACGAAGUCAGUCUCUGUUAAUUUUUUUUUGAUGUAAAUGGUCCUUGUGGUUUGCAAAACUUGCAAAGAUGACUCUUUUUACUAACACCGCUAGUAUUCAGCCGUUAGGAACUAAACCUGUGAGGGUAUUUUCGUCUUUUCAAGUAUAAAUGAAUAUAUUCGAACUUUGGACCUCCUACCUUUCUCCCUUAAUCAACCAAAGUUUUAACCAAUUAGGCUAGAGACGCACUUGAUUUAUAUUUUCGAAAACUAACUAAUAUUAUCUACAAAUCGUAAAUAAAUUAAUAAUAAAAUAUUAAAAAAAACAUAUUUUUUAAAAAAAAAAAAAUAAAACAAAAUAUAUUUUUAGCGUAUUGUAAAAAAAAAUAAAAACAAUUAUUUGUUUUUUUACGUAUUUAAAAAAAUAAGUUUUCGUAUACUUUUAAAUACAUAAAAAAAUAACGUAAUAACAUAUUCUACAAAAACAUAAUCCUAAAAAACAUAAAAAAAAGUUUUUGUAUAUAUUUAUUUUAUGUGAAGAUUCAGUUUCUAACGGCUGAAUACUAACGUAAAAAGGGUCAUUUUUGCAAGUUUUGCAAACCACAAGGACCAUUUACAUUAAAAAAAAAAUUAGUAGGGAUUGACUUUGUGACUUUUGGCAAACCAUAGGGAUAUUUUUGUUAUUAUGUCUAAUUAUUAUUAUAGAAAAGAAUUGAAAAAAAAAAAAAAAGCGACACCAUCAAGGCAUCGAAGGAAAACCCAACACCCUCGUUGACUCUCCUCUCUGGUCGUCUCCCUUCCUCGUUGACUUGCUGUUUCCCUGCCGACUUAACGCGGUUCGCUCUGUACUUUUCACUCUUCAUCGAUCUUUCUCAGACUCGUCACUGUUGGUUCAUCCUUUAUCGCUGCUGUUUCAGUUCUCCUUGUCAUCCUGUAUGCUUCUUAAUUACAAGUUGUUAGACAAUUUCAUCUUAUGAAUCAUAAAUCACAUCAUAAUCGUUUGGUUAUUUCACUAAAAGGUGAUUGAAUAUUGUCUAUUUCCAUUAUUUUUGUUUUAUUUUAUAUAUCAAUUAGGAUAGUCCACACUCCUUCUAGCUAAAGUCAAGUACGAUGAACAAAAUUUCCUGCACGUUGAGAAUUCUUUGAUCCUUUAAAAUUUCUUCCUCAAUUCCUCUAUAUUUUCUAAUUCACAACACGAUUUUUAGAUUUGAUUCUUUUUGAAUGAUGUUUAUGAACAAGCUUCAAUAUUUGACUGUCAUAAUGAGUGUUUUGCUUGUGUAUAGACUAAAGAGUGCAUUUAGCUUUGAAGUUUCUUCUAUUAUUGAGUUUGAAAUUGAACCCUUAGAAAGGGCAAAGUGGAAGGCGUGUUUUGUUGGCUUCAGAAACAUAUCAUUUGGAACAACCCCAUCAAUAUUGUUAGUUGAAACACUUAAAAUAAGAUUUAUGCUGAUACUAGAUCCAGUUAUAUAUGAAUUUUAAAUUUGUGUAGAUUGUUGUUGCUAAUUUUGGAGAUCCAUAAUUAAACAACCUUGUCAAGCAAGUGCUGUUUUUUUUGUUUAAAACUUUACAUCUUUCAAUUGUAUGUUGAUAUCUAGUAAAAGCUUGAAAUUUCCUGUAUGUUUUGCAAUUUCCUUCAUGGGAGGUAAUAGUGGAUCUUGUAGUUAUUUCCAGAAUGGUAUUUUGGUGUAGAUUUGUUUGAGGAUUACUUUACUGAAAUUCAUAUGGAUUUUACUUAGACAAAUAAGGAUCUUCAUGUGGGCUAAUCAAAUUAAAACAGAGGCGUUGUAGUUUCAAUGCAUAAAUUGGUUUGUUUUUUUUUUUUCUUGAAUCUAAACUUAGCCAGAAAAACAGGUUAACCAAUUUAGUUUAAUUGGUAACAGCAUUUAAAAUAAAUUUCAUGGCAAUGUAAUGGUUAUUCUAUAUCCAUACUUUGUUUUUGUGGGAAAAAAUAUUCUAUAUAAAUACUUAGUUAGCUAUAUAUGUGUUGGCUAAAGGAUCCAAAAACCUGUCACAUAAUUAUUAUUGCCAUGAGAUUGCUGUUGUAGUGAUUUAACAGCCUCUCUUUGUAUUUCAAACACGGCAGCAACCGCUUAAUGCUUAUUCUUUUGUGUUCCUUUUCCAGUGUUUAUUUGAUGAGAUUUAAGUUGCAUAUUAUAAAUAUUAAUAAUUUGGAUUUUAUGUACAGGCUUUAUUUGAACCACAAGUUAAGUGUUUCUAGCUAAUUGAGAUACACAAAGGCUCAUCAACCCAAAACUCAUAAUGGUUAUUCUCUCUGAACUCCUCUCAGAAGGAUCUUCAUCUUCUUCAUCAACUCAUGGUUAUAGUCCAUCAGCUUGUGUUCCUACUUCAUCAACUCAUAAUCAUAGAUAUGAUGUAUUUUUAAGUUUUAGAGGUGUUGACACUCGUCAUAGUUUCACUGAUCACCUUCAUAAAGCCCUCAUUGAUGCCAAUAUCACUACGUUCUUGGAUGAUGAAGAGAUUGAAACAGGGGAAGAUCUGAAACCAGAACUGGAGACUGCAAUUAAGGCAUCUCGGGGUUCUAUCAUUGUGAUAUCUAAGAAUUACGCUUCUUCAACAUGGUGUCUGGAUGAAUUGGUGUUGAUCCUUGAGCAGAAUAUGACAUCUGAUCAUAUUGUUAUCCCCAUAUUUUAUCAUGUUGAGCCCACCCAUAUCAGGAAGCAACAAAGUAGCUUUGGAGAUGCAAUGGCUAAGCAUAAACAGAUGAUGGAGGCAGAGAAAAAUGCAUAUAAAA